This 267609-nucleotide long non-coding RNA is filed under the name Citrus maxima (pomelo). RNAcentral's name for it is "long non-coding RNA (CMAX_LNC003928)". The record is from RNAcentral. Lineage: Eukaryota; Viridiplantae; Streptophyta; Magnoliopsida; Sapindales; Rutaceae.
AUGAGUUAUUGUGUGGUUUACCAAAUCUUCAAGUCCAACCAUGCAAACUUAGCAAGCCUAGGACAGAACAUAAAUCAAGGAAAAAGAUACUUCUCAUUGUGAUUGUUUUGCCAUUGAGUAUUGCUCUAACGAUAGCAAUCACUCUAGCUCUCAAAUCUAAGCUGAUCGAAUGUAGAAAAAGAGGCACAGAGUUAUCAAAUGAUAGUAUCUUGUCAUCAGAAGCAACACUAAGAAGAUUUUUAUACUUAGAACUUUUACAAGCAACAGAUAAUUUUGCUGAAAACAACAUAAUUGGCAGAGGAGGUUUUGGUUCCGUUUAUGGAGCAAGACUUGAAGAUGGGAUGAAGAUUGCAAUAAAAGUGUUUCACCAGCAAUGUGCAAGCGCAUUGAAGAGUUUUGAGGCUGAAUGUGAAGUGUUAAAAAAUAUUCACCAUCGAAACCUUAUCAAAGUUAUCAGCAGUUGCUCGAACGAUGACUUCAAAGCAUUAGUCCUAGAAUACAUGUCCAACGGGAGCUUGGAGGAUUGGCUGCAUUCUAGCAAUUAUGUGCUGAAUAUAUUUCAGAGGUUGAACAUAAUGAUUGACGUUGCAUCAGCUUUAGAAUAUCUCCACUUCGAUCAUUCAACUGCUAUUAUUCAUUGUGACUUAAAGCCUAGUAAUGUAUUGUUGGACGAAAAUAUGGUUGCUCAUUUGAGUGAUUUUGGCAUAGCAAAGCUUUUAAGUGGAGAGGAUGAGUCUACGAUACGAACAAAAACCCUUGCCACUCUAGGUUAUAUGGCACCAGGUUUGCUUCAAACAACUUUCGUUUUUAGUUCAUUUUAAAUUUUCCAACUUAUUGAUUUUUACAAUCCUCACAUCAAAAUGUUAUUGAUUAUUUAUCUAAUUGUGAAAUUAAUUUGAUUCAUAGAGUAUGGCAUAGGAGGAGAAGUAUCUACAAAAAGUGAUGUUUAUAGCUAUGGGAUUAUGUUGAUGGAAACUUUUACCAAGAAAAAACCCACAGAUGAAAUUUUUGUUGGAGAAUUGAGCUUAAAGCGUUGGGUUAAUGACUUGCUUCCUAAUUCAUUAGUGGAAGUUGUGGACAAAACUCUGCUAAGUGGAGAGGAAAAACAUUCUGCAGCAAAGGAGCAAUGUCUGUUGUCUAUCUUUAGUUUGGCUCUGGAGUGUACAAUGGAAUCACCGGAAAAGAGGAUUAAUGCAAAAGAUAUUGUUACCGGAUUACUCAAGAUAAGAGACACAUUGAGUAAAAGGAUAGGAAAUUUAAGUUAAUUUCGUUUGCUUUCAUUGAUAGUUAAUUCGAAUUCAUGUAAUAAGUGUAAGAACCUUAUAUCUUUUACUUUGAUUUUUUUUUUCUUGAGAAAACUGUUGUAGUCAUCUUGUUUCCAUGGGCGGAGUUGAUUUAGUUCUUCCAAGAAAUGCUACUGAUGACAUUUGUUUUAUACUUUCUCUUUUUUUUUGCAUGUGUUUAGGUAGAAUAGUGGUUUGGUUGCACUCUAAGAAGUCUAACUACACUAAAAGAAUAUGAUUUAAUUUAUUAAACAAAACUUCAAGUUCAAGAAAAGUAUCUCAUUGCCCCCAAUGCUUUGGACACCUAUUGGUAGGUUUGUACGUGUCCUCAACUUUUUUUUGGAGCACAAAAUUCGAGUCCCAUAAAGGCUCAAACAUUCCUUUCCUUCAUCCCGAGGGCGCCUUCUGUCCUCUGUUUUCUGUUUCCACACACAAAUAGCAAAAAGAAAUUAGAAUGACAACUGGGACAUAUAUAAGAGUGAAAUAAUUAAAAAAAUUAUGCUUUUUUGUCUGUCGUGUUAAAAUCGUAAGUACCGAAGUACUGUGAAAGAGAUUAAUUUACAGAAACUGAAGCCAAGGGUUCAAAAAAAACUAUUGAUGUAGGUAGAAUGCAAUGUCAUAUUCAUACAGAGAUGAAGUAUAUUAUUUACGGCUGGUAAGGACUAAGAAUUGAUGUAGCUAGAAUGCAAAGAUGAUGAGGUAUGUUGUACACUAUUGUUUUUAUUCUACAAUCAAUCUUGACCCCUGAUGCUUGGCUCUCAAUCUUGUCCAUUGAUCUUCUCUGAUUUUGGAGACUUGAAGACCUUUCAGUAUCAUGCCUUGUUGUUGGUGUCUUCCGUGCUGUAGAAUUCAUAUACAAGUUUUCCCGCCGACUUGCCAAGUAUUUGUUCAUUGAUGCAUUUUAUCAAACAGUUGGCCUGCUCAGAGCAAACAGCUCCUGUUUUAACUCCCCCUCCGUAGCUCAACUAUCUGGGAAGACAAUUAAUUGAGCUUGUUUCACAAUUAUAUGAAUCUGAAAGUUCAAUUAUAUCCUCUAAUGGAGAGAACUCAUUGCCUCAGUAUGAUCACUGUGUCAUCAACCCACUCCCCGCUUCUUUGCUUGGUUGUUGCAGCAAGCAACAAUUUUACCACAGAUCAACAAUAGUUUGUCCAUUUGUUCCAGUGAGGUCGUCAUUAAAAAUUAAUUUUCAUAUUGAUUUUCUUAAUUAUAAAUAAUACUAAUGAUAUUUCAUAGUUAUAAAUAUAUUAGAAUUAAUCGAAAUCAUUUUUUAGUGCGGCAUGGCUAAAACUACCUUUUUUUUUUUUAAGUAAUUACUACUUCAAGGAAAAUACUCCUAUUUUCAAGGAAAAGUCAAGUACCCGUAGUUGUGAAGACUCGAGCUCACCCUCUUAUGAUAAAUCUUCUUAUCAAUUACAUAAAUAUCCUCUAAAUUUUUAGUUAACUAUUCAAAAUUCGAUGUUAUACGGGUAUUUCAUUUAUUUGAGUAGGGGUUCGGGGUCAAUUGGAUACAAAUUCAAAAUUAUCCUUACUUGAGAAGGUGAUAAAAAUUGGGGAUUUAGUUUGGAUGCAUUAGCUACAAAUAUUAAACUCAUACAUCUAAUUCAAAAUUAGAGGGCUGAUAUAUGUGCAUCCUCGUGCACAUUAUAGUGACACGUGUCACCAUCCUACAACCUAUCCAAUGAAAAAUUGACAUGCAUCUUGUGCGCUUCUGAUCAAAAUCCUGAAAAUUAAUCACAAAGUUAUACUUUUAUUAUAAAAAGAAUAAAGAAACUCCAAAAAAAAAAAAAGACUUACAUAUAUAAAUAGUUUGAAUAAUCUAGAUUCCAAGUUGUCUAUAUUAGCUUGAUCUUUUUAUAAAUAGUCAUCUUCGAAAAAAAAUUCCACCAACAUAUAUUUUAAUUUUAUGUUAAUUAAUAAAUAGAAAAAAAUCAUUUUAGAAUUAAUUAAAACAUUAUUUAUUGUUGCCAAAAAAAGGAAGAAUUUAGUGAUAAGAAAAAAGUGUCUCAAAUAUACGUUAAAAAAAUUAAUCAUGGUGGGUUCGAUUGAUUGAAUUUUUUUUUUUAAUCUUUUUCUUUUUUAAGAAUUAAGACAAUUGGAUUGAUUGAGUAAUAAUAAAAUAUAUUUAUUUGGCAAAUGGCAGGUAGGCUUUCUUCUGAUGCAGAUUGAUUAUAGAGAAUAUACAACAAUUUUAAGCUCGUCAGAUUCGGAACCUGCUUAUCUGUCGUGUGGGGAUCACUUCCGUGUCUUAUUUUUCUAGAAAAAUCUGGACCAUUAGGCAGUAGAGAAAUGUUGAUCUUGAUUCCUGAUCAGGAUCGAAGUUUGAUUCUAUCUAACAUGAUAUCAGAUUGCGAAGCAGGCUAGUAUGUAAAUUUCUUUUAUCUUUUAGAGGAAAAUGGGCAAGAGAAGAAGAUUUGGCAAAGGAAUUGCAACCGCAUUUCUAGUAUGUUCUGAUCAGAGAAGCGAAAUCCAUCACGGUCUUUUAUCUUUACCCAUGUGGAGAAAUCAAGGGAUUUCGAAUCAGAGAAGCGAUGGGAUUUAGUUCUGAUCUGGGAUUUUGGAGACUUAGGGAGUGUGCGGUCUUGGACCAACAUUGAUGACGAUGACGCUUCAAAUUCAAUGACUUGAAAGCAGAAAACAAAGACAGACAAAAACAGACAUGCACUACAGCAAGAAAGAUUGACUGAAUCUUGGGUUACUGUGUCUGUGGUCUCAAAUGAAACACAAGUGGGAAGCCUUGCUGCAGUUUCAGCUUUGGUUUGUGUUUGAAGUUUUGAAUGUAAAAAGAGAACCGAGCAUGUGGUUGCCGACAAGAAUGGCCUGAGGUUUCUUAAGCUUCAUUGUAAUGUUACAACUGCUACUAAUUUGGUGGGGUGGGAGGUCGCUGGGUCGCUGUCAGUCCAUUUGCUUCUUUUCUUUCUUUUUGUUAUUUGUUGAGUUUUUUCCAUUUCUACUUUUCUUAAUAUAUAAAUUAUCAUUUUUUUAACAUGCAAAAUAUAUAGAACAUUUUAUGAGUUUAUAAAUAAAAAUUAUAUUAUGGGAUAAUAGUGAAUGAGUUCCUGGUGCUUUGGAGUUCUUUAAAUUAAGGGCCCAGUUUGUCCAUUUGUUUUAGUUAGGUCCUUCUUAAAAAUUGAUUUUCUUAAUUAUAACUAAUACUAAUGAUAUUUCAUAGUUAUAAAUAUAUUAGAAUUAAUCCAAAAUAUUUUUUAGCGUGGCAUGGCUAAAACUACCUUUUUCUAUAAGUAAUCACUACUUUUGCAUUAAGGAAAAUAUUCCUAUUUAAAAAAAAAUUGAAUAUCUAUAGUUGUGAGGACUCGAACUCACUCGCUUAUGAUAAAUCUUUGUUGAUGCGAGAUUCUGGUUACCCACUCGACCACGUCCAGGAUCUCUGCUCAAUCAACUAACUCGACCACGAUCAGGAUCUCUCCUCGUAUGCUUUCUUCUUCAAAAAUUCCUGCGUACACAGAAACAAGUCAGAGCACGCCAGUUGUUUUCCCGGCGUAAACCCUCCGACGCUCAAGUCAGAUAUGAAGGUUUUGUGUUCCUGGGAACGUUAGCCACUAGUCUUAAGCUUUGCUUUUGGUAUCGAUUGCUGAAUGCUCUCUUUAUCUCAAUUUCCGUAUUAAAAGUUAACCCUUUUACCUUCGUUGGCUGCCUUUUUAUAGGCUCCACCUGAGUCCAGAUCCUCCCCUCCAUUCACGCCCGUUACCUUCCCACCUCUCGAAAGUGGAUGCUUUGUUUCCGUAAUCGUGGGUGAUUGCAUGGCCUUCGUGCCUCGAUUCUCAGGCUGGAGAGUACGUCUCGCCAACUGUCGUUGACUGGGUCUCCUCGCCUCAAACCUUAGCAGGAAUGGCUUUAUGCUUCUAACAAGAGACCGGCUUCGCGGAUGGCGUAUUCAUGGACGAGCAGAUAUUCCUGCUUAUGUUCCAAUGCUACCAGACCUCUGCUCAUCACGGCUGGUCUCGUCGAAGUACAUCCCCCAAACACCGGUCCCCCAGUUUCUGGUGUUGGGUAACAUAGUGAGCCAACAGUAGAAACUCGACAGUUCUUGCUCGCGCGAGAUAGGAAAAGACUGCCAAGAGUCGUGUCGCAUUUAAUGGCGGAUGAGGUGAUGUGGCAGAAAUCUACCCCUCCAUUUGAAUUUCAAACCGACGGUUACGAAACCCUAGGGAUUUGUGCCGUUAAAUGCCGGCAGCCCAAGAGUUUGUUCUUCAUUAGGAAAACCCAAAACCCCCAAAAGAGGAACUCGUCUUUUACUCCGUUUCUGUCUCUCCUGCGAAUGAGUCCUUCCUCUCCCUCGGCGUAAAAGCUUCCUUCCUUGUCUCUCUCCGACUAAGUCACAACUUCAGGUACUAUUUCUUUUUUCCUCGGUCGUGGAUAGUUGUAAACAAUUUCUUUUACAUUUUGCUUGGGUAGUGUUUGGUGGUGCAGUUCUGGUUAUAGUUUAGGGAAUGUCGAAAGGUAAGGAGAAAGUCAUUGAGAUUGAUGACGACGAGUUAGACUUCUUGCCUAGUCUGCUCGCCGAUUCUGCUUUCGACACCGGGAUCCCCUUAGAACCCGUUAGACCUAAUGUUGCGACUAGUGCUAGGAGGAUGUCCCCCCAAGUAACCUCCUCAACUGGAAAUAGCGACGACGAGGGUUCUUCUGGUUCGGAAGACACUUUGAGUGAAGAUCAGGGAAAUGAUUCUGGUGAGAUGUCCUCACCAGGAACAUCGUGACCAGAUAGGAGGGGCAUAGUAGGAGGUAGAGCUCUAUCACAGAAUUACACUAUUGAUUUUAUGACGUGCACGACCACAGUAGAUGAGCUAGUUAGUCUCCGGGCUAGAUACGGCAUCCCUGAUGAAAUUUCCCUUAGGAUCCCAGGAAAAAAAGAUACCCCCAGCCGGCCUCCUAGGGGAUAUAUUACUCUGUUUCUAGAGAGUUUUAAACUUGGGCUAAGGUACCCCAUACAACCCUACUUUGCCCGAAUACUCAAUGGGUUGAAUUUAGCUCCUGGUCAACUGAACCCCAAUGGGUGGUGAGUACUUUCUGGUCUGUUCAUAUUGUGAGACAGAUGUUGCCAAAGCGAGCCAACAAUUGACGAGGUGAAGCACCUGUACCAGCUAAAGAGCAGCCCCAAAGAUGUCGGCUGGUAUUACUUCCAGUCUAGUACCAAGACCAGGAAACCCAUAACCGAUCUUCCAACUGGUGGUGGUAGGACUUGGAAGAAAAAAUUCUUUUUUGCUGGGGGUCCCUGGGGUCAAGUUGCACAGAUUGACGAGAAGGAUUACCGUGUCCCACCUCAUUUCGUGGUCCCAGGUUGCCUACUCGCUUAAGAUGUUUUGUCUCCAUAGUCGUUCUCAUUUUGCUGAUUUGUUUCUAAUCCAAAAUCUGUUCGCAUUGCAGGUUCCUGGGGUGUGCACUACCAGCUUAAACCCGAGCCGCUCAAGCGAGUCGAAGCUGUACUGGCCAAUUUCUACACGAACCGAGAGCUGCUAACUACUUUCAAUUUGGUCGAAUCUCGUUUGGUGUCUACCGGCCAUAAAAUGGAGGAUGCUGUGAUCGGGGCUCUGACUCGGAAACGUCCCCAACCUCAUGCUACCAAGCAGGACCAGAAUAAAUAUGCUCCCACUGCGAAGCGGGUGAACAUUGUGCAGCAGGUUCCUCCCUUGAAGACCCUACCACCUCCUUCUGCCAAAGUCGGAGAAACUAGCGGAGCAGCCACCGAUCCCGCUUCCUCUUAUCCUCCAGUCGGGCCGAGAUCUCGUUUAUCUGACAAUCGAGCAAAACAUUUGGUCCCCUAUAUCAACGAGUUCUCUAAACUCGUGAGCAAGAGGGACCUAGAGGACUUUGACGACAGCACCUUGGGUGAGCUGGUGGGGGCCAUGCAAUAUAGCGCUUUCCAUCUCGACUGUAUGGCCACUUACUACAAGGCCAAGGUUGGUCGUUAUGACCGAAAGAUGAAGGAGGACAUUCAAUCGGCCAUGAUCAAAGCUGAUGCUGCCGAGAAGAAAGCAGGGGACUUGAAUCUCGAGAAUUUGAAGUUGAUAGAGCGAGAAUCUCUUGCUCAAGCAAAAGCCAUUACUCUCGAGGAUGAGCUAGCUAAGGUCAAGGAGGAUCUGCAAAGACAGCAGGCUAUGUACGAGGCCCAGCUCGAAUCUCUUCGGGAUUCCCACAAGGUUUAGGUCGAGAACCUGGAGAAGGAAGCUGAUAAUCAAUAUGACCAGGGGCUUCAGCACUCCUAUCAUUGCAUCAUGGCCGUCCUUGGGAAGCAGCAUCCGGAUAUGAAAAUGGACGAGCUUGCUACUGGUGUUGCUCAGCAUAUGGAUGAGGAGGCAGCAAAAGAGGACGCCGAAGAGGUGGAGCCAACUGAGGUUGAGGAGGGAAACACUCCUCCUCGUGCAAUCCUUGCUGAUGUCGCUGAGGCGAGUACCCCCCGAAUGCAACUGGUGAUACCCCCUGCCCCUGAGGUGGACCAGCCAACCAAGGCUGCUCGGCUUACUGACCCGCCGUCCUCUUGAUUGUAUUUUGUGUUGUAGUUGCUUUCUUGAAACGCUAUAUGUUAUGACUAGCAGUUUUUUCUGGUUGUUGAUUAAUAAAUAAGAAUGUUCUCAUUUGCUUUCUCGUCGUAAAUCAUUUUAAGUUUGAGGGUCUACUUGCCUUCUCUUGUACUAGCAGUUCUUGACACGCUUGGCUUCUGGUCUCGCCAUAGAACAUGCUUGUGACUUGGUGAGCCUUUGCAUGCCUUAGAAAUUUUUUCAAUGUUGGGAUUCUGCUCGCCUUCGCUUGGUCGAGCAGAUCUUGGCACGCUUGGCUUUUGGUCUCGCCAUAAAAACAGGCUUUGAAAAUUGGUGAGCCUUUGCAUGCCUUAGAAAUUUUUUCAAUGCUUGGGAUUUUGCUCGCCGUCGCUUGGUCGAGCAGAUCCUGGCACGCUUAGCUUUUGGUCUCGCCAUAAAAUAGGCUUUGAGACUUGGUGAGCCUUUGUAUGCCUUCGAAAUUUUUUCAAUGAUAGGGAUUCUGCUCGUCGUCGCUUGGUCGAGCAGAUCCUGGCACACUUGGCUUCUAGUCUCGCCAUAAAACAGGCUUUGAGACUUGGUGAGCCUUUGCAUGCCUUAGAAAUUUUUUCAAUGCUUGGGAUUCUGCUCGCCGUUGCUUGGUUGAGCAGAUCCUGGCACGCUUGGUUUCUGGUCUCGCCAUAAAACAGGUUUUGAGACUUGGUGAGCCUUUGCAUGCCUUAGAAAUUUUUUGCACAGUUACAAGUGAAUGAAAUUCCUCGACGUUUCAUUAAUUACAGAAUUCAACUUACAUAGGAAUGCAUAGCAACGAGAACAAAUUAAAGUAAUUUUUGAACAUGAGCAAGUCUUACUGGAAAUAUUUCCUGAGGUGCGCUGCGUUCCAUAGGCGUUUCACCUCGUGGCCAUCCGUGCGAACAAGCUUGUAAGCUCCGAGUCCCACUAUCUGCUUGACCCUGUAUAGCCCCUGCCAAUUCGGUCCAAGCACUCCUUGAGUCGAGUCUUUGGUGUUCUGAUUCACUCUCCUUAGCACCCAAUCUCCGACCCUAAACUGCCGUACAUUCACCUUCUGGUUAUAAUACCGAGCAACCCUCUGCUGGUAAAUGGCUAAUCGCUUCGAUGCUUGCUCCCUCUUCUCUACAAGCAAAUUCAGAUUCAAGCACAUCUGCUCGUUGUUAUCUUGCUCAUUGAAAUGAUCUGUCCGGUGCGUGGUCGUUCCUAUCUCGGCUGGUACGACCGCUUCAUGUCCGAAGGCCAAGGCGAACGGUGUUUCUCCAGUUGCUGUUUUGUAGGUUGUCCUGUAUGCCCAUAAAACACAUGAUAGCUCAUCAACCCAUGCUCCAUUUUUUGCUCCAAGCCUGGUUUUCAAAAGCCUCUUGAUCGUCUUGUUGGCUGCUUCUACUUGUCCAUUGGAUUGAGGGUGAGCAAGCGAGCAGUACUUCAACUCUAUCCCGAGGUUCUGGCAGAAAUCCCUGAAACUGUGAUUAUCGAACUGCCUGCCAUUAUCCAUUACCAAGGCAUAGGGGAUCCCGUACCGACAGACCAGGUUUCUCCAUACGAAGUCUGUUGUCUUCUUCUCUGUGAUCUUGCUGAGGGCUUCUACUUCUAUCCACUUCAUGAAGUAGUCUAUUGCUACUAUUCCAUGUGUUGUUGCUCCUCGUCCCCUUGGCAACGGCCCGAUCAGAUCAAUUCCCCACUGAGCAAAUGGCCAAGGGGAGGCUAUAGAGGUGAGCUUCUCUGGUGUUUGGCUGGAGAAACUUGCAAAACUCUGGCAGCUUAAGCAGCUCCUGGUCUUCUCCUGCGCAUCCUGGUGCAUUGUCGGCCAGAAAUAUCCCUGCCUUAGAACCUUAUGGGCAAGGGACCUCCCACCAGAAUGGUUUCCGCAAAUUCCUUCAUGUACUUCUCUCAGUACGUAGUCUGCGUUGUCCUCAUCUAAGCACCGAAGGAACGUGAGUGUAUAUCCUCGCCGAUAUAGCACCCCAUCAAUCAUUGUGUACCUUGAGUCUUGGGCUCUAAUCUUCCGAGCUCGUAGCUUAUCUGGUGGUAACACCCCGUCUCUGAUAUAUGAAAUUAUCGGAUCCAUCCACGAGCCUUUUUGUUCUAUCUGCAUCACCUUCAAAUUCUGCUCGAUGCUAGGGUUGGUUUUCACUUCCAAAGGGACCGUCUUAGGCAUUUUAGGGUCUGCUACAACUGUCAUCCUGGCCAGAAUAUCGGCUCGACUAUUUUGUUCCCUUGGGAUUUGUAUCAACUUAACCGCUUCGAACUUCCUCAUCAUCUGCCUGACUUUCUUCAAGUACUGCUCCAUCUUCUCAUCUCUCGGUUGAAAACUUUCACUGACAUGAUUUGCGACCAGCUGAGAAUAAGUUCUGAUCUUCACCCUAUCUGCUUUCAUUGCCUUAGCCAAUUCCAAACCUGCUAUCAAGGCUUCGUAUUCUGCCUGGUUAUUUGUGGCUGUGAACUCUAACUUUACAGCAUAAGAAAUCUCCUCCCCCUCUGGGUCUUUUAAGACAAUUUCUGCUCCUGAUCCUUGCUCACCUGAUGACCCAUCUACAGACAUCUGCCAUACUCGAGCUUUGCUGCUAUCUGUAGCGGUGUCCAGUUGGUCCAAACAUACUUCAAGCUCCGCGAAUUCUGCUAUGAAAUCGGCCGUUGCCUGAGCCUUUAUUGCUGCUCGGGGUUUGUAAUCUAUGUCGAACUCGCUAAGCUCUAUAGCCCACUUCACGAGCCGACCAGAAGCAUCUGGCUUGUGCAGAGUUUGACGCAAUGGCUGGUUUGUUAUUACCGUGACGGGGAAUGCUUGAAAGUACGGCCUCAGCUUCCGAGCAGCAACCACAAGGGCGAGUGUCCAUUUCUCCACCAAUGGGUAUCUGGUCUCGGCAUCGAGCAGGGUCUUGUUGGUGAAGUAUAUCGGGUACUGAACCCCUUCUUCUUCUCUUACUAGAACAGAACUUGCAGCAUGAUUUGAUACCGCCAAAUAUAAGAACAACCUAUCGUCAUCCCUUAGUGUGGACAGCAAAGGUGCUUGUUGCAAGUACUGCUUCAAGUUCUGGAAGGCUUCUUCACAUUCUGGGGUCCAUUCUGUAUUCUUUCCUCUCCUUAUCACUUGGAAAAAUGGCUGACACUUAUCUGUAGCCUUGGAUAUGAAUCGGCUUAAUGCCGCCAACCUCCCCGUAAGGCUCUGUGUCUCCUUCAGGUUACGAGGUGACCUCAUCUGCACGAUCGCCUGGAUCUUCUCAAGAUUUGCCUCGAUCCUGCUCGAACAUGGGGAUUUGGUUGUAUCCCGAGAAUGCGUCCAUGAAGCUGAGCAAGCCAUGUCCGGCUUUUAAGUCUACAAGCUGGUCAAUCUUUGGUAAUGGAAAGCUGUCUUUCGGGCACGCCUUGUUGAGGCCCGUGAAAUCCACACACAUCCUCCACUUGCCAUUAGCCUUUUUUACUAACACCACAUUCGAUAUCCACUCGGGAUAAUUGACUUCCCGAAUGAACCCUGCUUUCAAGAGCUUCUCCACCUCGCCGUUUAUAGCCUCAUACCUCUCCUGGUUGAAGCACCUCCUUUUCUGCCUUACUGCCCGAGCACCUUUCUUUAUUGCCAGUUUAUGACAUGCGACCUAAGGGUCGAUUCUUGGCAUGUCUUCAUGUGUCCAAGCAAACACAUCUGCAUGAGCCCGCAAGCAUUGCACCAACUCCUGCUUCUGCUAUUCUUUAAGCCUCAACCCAAUUCGGAUCGUUUUUCCCAGAUCCUUUGGUCCUAGGCUCACUGUCUUCAACUCCUCUACAGGUUCUUGUCUACCAGUCUUGGUUCCCACUCGGGUAUCAAGGGAUGUUAUCUGCAUUGCUUCCCUUGCUGACGAGGAGUAAUAGCUUCGUGCGAUUCUCUGGUCUCCUCAUACCACUCCAACUACCCCAUUCACCCGGUACUUGAGAGCUAGAUAAUGGUUGGAUGACACCGCUUUACUCAUCCUCAGAAAUGGUCGACCUAGGAUCAUCUGGUAAGGACCCUCUUCAUCGACUACCAAAAAAUCCAGCAUCAUAGUCCUUUCUGUCGGGGAGCUUCCAAUCGUGAUAGGCAGCUCAACCACGCCCAGGGGGACCAGCUUUCCUCCUCCAAAUCCCUUCAAGGAGGUAUUGGUGUGCUCCAACCUCAGGUCUGUUAUUCUCAUCUCCUCCAGAGUUGACUUAAACAACACAUCAACUGAGCUCCCUGUGUCAACCAGUAUCCGGUCAAACUUCUUGCUGGCGACGGUGGCCUUGAUGACUAAGGCAUCCUUGUGUGGGUAUAGAAUCCCUUAUUCAUCCUCAUCUGUCCACAUGAUUGGCACUUGUCAGACUCUUGCUCGUUUGGCUGCUGGGGUGUUGAAGAACACAUCUUUACUAGUCAUGGCAAAUUUAGCAUAAUUUUUCCUCGAUCUGUUGGAAUCUCCGGCCAACGUUGGACCCCCUAACAAUCACUCUUACUAUAGGCUGCCUGUGGCUCAAGUUCCUGUUACCCUGCUCCUCUUCACAUAUCGGGGCCACCGUCGGAAAAGUCCCAUCGAUAAACUCGUCCAGGUAUCGAUUUCUCACCAAAUCUUUAACCUGGGUCUUAAGGUCUCUUCAUUCUAUUGUGGUAUGGCCAUGAGUACCAUGGAACUUGCAAUAGUGCCCCUAUCCCUUCUGCUGGGUAGCUUUGUUAUUGGGGCUGGGAGGUACAGUAAUCCCCAGUCCUUUAUGGCCUCACAGACUUCGUCCAGUGGGAUAUUCAAGGAAGUAUACUGCCCAUAGUCCUGGUUCUGGUCGAUCAUAUGCACUGCCCUUUCUCUGUUUGUGCCAUUCUGAGUUGGAGGUGGUGGCAGCGCUUCUGGUCUGCUCCCCCUACUACCAUGGGGGUGUGGGUGAAGGUGACCGUAUGUCGCGUCAUGCCUUCUCCUAGGCUCCCUAGCUGGUGAGCGAGAAGGUUGCGCCCUGCUGUGCUGAUACUGUGGUGGCCUCUAAUGAGGUUGGUAAGCGGUUACCCGACCUCUUGUACCACUACCUAAGGCAUGGUGGUCCCUCCUCUUAAUCGGCCCAUUUCCUGGUACGGCUCUCUUCUCUUUCCUCUUUAAUCCUUCCAGCUGGUCUGUCUUAAUCCGUGCCGCCUUUUCCUCCUCUAUUUCUAUGUCUCUCUUAGCCUGCUCGUAAGCAACUGAAUAUGUCUGAAUAACUGGGCUUCUCAAGUUAUAUCACAUCCGUCUUAUCUUCACUCCUUCUUUCAAUCCCCUUAAUGCCUGAGGAUGGUUGAAGGCUCCCAAGUCGAGGACAGCACGGUGGAACCUUUUGAUGAAUUCCCGAAGGGUUUCCUCCUCUCUCUGCUUCAUGCUCGUUAACUCCAUCAUAUCAUCUUCCGGUGCCAUUACCCCACGAAACUGCUCUGCAAAUUCCUGGCACAUCUGCUCGAAGGCUUUAAUGCUCCCUCGAGGAAGUUUCCUGUACCACUCGCGUGCUCGUCCCUCUAGAGAUAGUGGGAACACCCUGCAUCUUUGGGCUUGAGAUAGUCCUUGCACCCCGGUCAUGUUGUUGAAGCGCUCUAUGUGCACCAACGGAUCAGUUCGCCCCAAAUAUCUGAGGUCUGGGAGGCGAAAAUCUCUUGAAAUGACUGCCCUCAUGAUCUCUGCCGAGAGCGGGGUUUCUCCGUCCAGCAUUAUCCUCCAACCAGGUGCUCUACUCCUUCCUUGCAUAUCAUCAAUUACUUGCGCUAGUUUGCGCACUUCCUUCUCUAGCUGCAUUGCACGACCAGGGUCACGUGCUGUAACUUGAUCCCGCUCUUUCUCUACAUCAUGUAAGUAUUGCCUGAGCUCUGUUUCCUCUGCAUUCACCACCCCAUCAUCCUCAUCAAAAAUCUAUCUUCUUGGGGAUUGCUCUUCUUCUCUAUGAAUUCCUCCCCGUAAAGAUAAGUUACCUCUCUCACCACCAAAUCUCCUGGUGGUCUGACUUCUCAUCAUACCAUCGUGCCCUGGUGCCACUCUGCCACCUCUCACCCUUUUCUCAUGGGUUCCCCUUCGUUCACUCCUUAGUUCAUGUAGGAUGGUUGUCAGGGUCUCCAUCUGCUUUUCCAUCCGUUCCAUUCGGUCAUGCAUGGCUUUUUCCCGUGCUUCAAUGGCUAUCUCCCUUAACGUCAUGGAUUCGUUAAGCCUCAUAUCACCUCCUUGUGCACUACUUCCUCCUACAUCCAUUGUUUCUUCUCUUGCUUUGUUUUUCCUUUCUCUGUCAACAGAAGUUUUUUUAUCAGCUCCCUACAGACGGCGCCAAAAUGUUGAUGCGAGAUUCUGGUUACCCACUCGACCACGACCAGGAUCUCUGCUCAAUCAACUAACUCGACCACGAUCAGGAUCUCUCCUCGUAUGCUUUCUUCUUCAAAAAUUCCUGCGUACACAGAAACAAGUCAGAGCACGCUGGUUGUUUUCUCGGCGUAAACCCUCCGAUGCUCAAGUCAAAUAUGAAGGUUUUGUGUUCCUGGGAACAUUAGCCACUAGUCUUAAGCUUUGCUUUUAGUAUCGACUGUUGAAUGCUCUCUUUAUCUCAAUUUCUGUAUUAAAAGUUCUAACCCUUUUACCUUCGUUGGCUGCCUUUUUAUAGGCUCCUCCUGAGUCCAGAUCCUCCCCUCCAUUCACGUCCGUUACCUUCCCACCUCUCGAAAGUGGAUGCUCCGUUUCCGUAAUCGUGGGUGGUUGCAUGGCCUUCGUGCCUCGAUUCUCGGGCUGGAGAGUACGUCUUGCCAACUGUCGUUGAUUGGGUCUCCUCGCUUCAAACCUUAGCAGGACCAUUAUGCUUCUAACAGGAGAUCGGCUUCGCGGAUGGUGUAUUCGUGGACGAGCAGAUAUUCCUGCUUCUGUUCCCAUGCUACCAGACCUCAGCUCAUCACGGCUGGUCUCGUCGAAGUACAUCCCCCAAACAAUCUUCAUAUUAAUUACGAAAAUAUCCUCUAAAUUUUAACUUAACUAUUCAUAAUUCAAUGUCAUUCGGAUAUUUCGUUUAUUUGAGUAGGGAUUAGGGGUCAAUUUGAUACAAAUUCAAAAUUAUCCUCAUUUGCGAAGGUGAUAAAAGUUAGGGAUUUAGUUUGGAUGUCACUAGCCACAAAUAUUAAACGCAUGCAUCUAAUUCAAAAUUAGAGGCAUUAUCGUUAUAUUGACAUGUGUCACCAUCCCACAACCUCUCCAAUGAAAAAUUGACAUGCAUCUUGUGUGCUUCUUAUCAAAAUCCUGAAAAUUAAUCACAAAAGUUAUAUUUUUAUUAUAAAAAGAAGAAAGAAACUCCAUGAGUGAAGAAAAAAAAAAAAGACUUACAUUAAUAGUUUGGAUAAUCUAGAUUUCAAGUUGUCUAUAUUAGCUUGAUAUUUUUAUAAAUAUCAAGAUUUCAAGUUGUCUAUAGUAGCUUGAUAUCUUCUAAAAAAAACUCCAUCAACAUAUAUUUUAAUUUUACGUUAAUUAAUAAAUAGAAAAUCCAUUUUAGAAUUAAUUAAAGCAUUAUUUAUUGUUGCCAAAGAAGGAAGUAUUUAGCGAUAAGAAAAAAGUGUCUCAAAUAUAUGUUUAAAAAAAAAUAAUCAUGGUUGGUUGGACUGAUUGAAUUUUUCUUUUCUUUUUUCUUUUUUAAGAACUAAGACAAUUGGAUUGAUUGAGUAAUAAUAAAAUAUAUUUAUUUGGCAAAUGGCAGGUAGGCUUUCUUCUGGUGCAGAUUGAUUAGAGAGAAUAUAUAACAAUUUUAAGCUCGUAAGAUUCGGAACCUGCUUAUCUGUCGUGUGGGAAUCACUUCCGUGUCUUAUUUUUCUAGAAAAAUCUAGACCAUUGGAUUUACCAUUGGGCAGUAGAGAAAUGUUGAUCUUGAUUCCUGAUCAGGAUCGAAGUUUGAUUCUAUCUAACAUGAUAUCAGAUUGCGAAGCAAGCUAGUUGUGAGUAACUUGUUCUAUUUUGAUGGAAGAAACACAAGUUCUAAUAAAAAAUUCUAAGUAUACAUUUUUUUUUUUAAUUUUUUUAUUGUGAUCAAUAUAACUAGUCAAAUCUAUUUUUAAACAUUUUUUUUAAAUAUUUUGUUAACAAUGAUAUGAAAAUAUUCGAACCCCUCCUCAUAUAGUAAAGUGAAUUACUAUCCAACGAUCCAACUAACGUCUUCAAAUUGUAAAUUGCAAAUCGUGUGUUUGCUCCAUUACAGAGUUUCUUCAAUUUAAAAUAGAGAAUCGUUUGUGUUCUAGAUUAAUCGUGGGUCUAUAUCCAAAUCUAAAAAUUGACUAACUUGAUUUCUAUUAAAUUCUUAACCCUAACAAGAAAAAUAGAAGAUUAAAAAUGACUAAUUUGGUUUCUAUUAAUUUGAGUAACGAUUAAUAUUUAUCAUUCAAUAGUCACUUAUAUUAUCAAAAUCUUGGGUCGAAAAUAUUAGGAUAGGUGAUAAUUGGAAUUAAGUUGUAGAUAAGAUAGAAAUGGAUUUGGAGAGAGAUUGGAAUCCUGGGUAAAUCCGGUACACGUUGGUGUGUUAAAUUCUCGUUGACUUCACGUUGACCGAGGCAUUAUUGGAAGAAACAAGCAAGCUUAUUUUCUUCUCUCAUUUUUAACCUUUGUCUAAAUUUAUUGGUGUGAGGCCUUUGAGAUGGUAAAGUGUUAAAUCUGAGAAGAGUACCCACACUAUUACUCUUAUUUUAUCACGUUUUAUCACAAUAUUACUCUUAUAGUCAAUGUUUGAUUCGCACGAAAAAAAAUUUGCGAGGAUUGUGAGGGUUGAUGCAAUAUAAUUUAGAUGCAAAGUGUUUACAAGUGCGAUGCUUCGUAAGUGUACUCGAAUCAUUAUAAACUCACGUUAUUUUCAUAGUGAUUAUUUCAUUUGCACGUGAAUAUAAUCAUAUAUGUGGAGAAUUUUUUUUCCUAAAUUAUGGUCUUAUUUAGUAUUGAGAUGUUAUAUCUUUUAAAUUAUAAUUAAUAUUAGUAAAAAAACUGCAACUAUAAAAUAAAAGUUAAUAUUAUGUCCUGAAUAUAAUUGUUAAAUAAUAAUUUUGACAAAAUUAGUGAAGACAUACAGAUUUUUUUAUCAUAUAAGUGUAAAAUUCUAUCAACUUAGCUUUUAAGUUAUACAGCAUCUAUUGUUUACCAAAUACUUUAGUGUUGUAACUUUUAAGUUAUAACUGUCUAACCUUUAACCUCAAUCUCAAACGAGGCUUAUAAAGAUCAAGGAUUUCCUCAUAAAAAUUAUUACGUCAUGUGAUUGCUUAUUUAAUUUAUAUUUUCGUCAUUUAUCUUUAUUAAUUAAACAUGCACAUAUUAUUUCCUUUUAUUUUCUGCUUGGUAACCCGUAAAUACUAAUCCAGUACUACUAAUUUCAGACAGAAAAUUUUGAACUCUAGGCUGCAGUUUGACUCAAAAUGAUGGUCACUGGCUUCGCACCAUUUUACCGGUAUACAUUUCUACAAACUGAACAAGGCUAUUGAUUAUUAUUAUUAUUAUUUUAAUUUGUUUAUAAAUUACUAUUUUAAUUUUCACUUUUUAUUGGGUUGUUUAACGGAUUGGUGAAGCUGGUGGUCGUUGAUGCACUCACAAGGUACAAUUUUAUUUUAUAAUUUCAAAUUCGUAUUUUAAAACGCAGGUACAUUAUGUAUAUACAUAAUUAUUGAUUUUCGUAUGAGGGUGUUUUGAAAUAUUGCUAAAAGACCAAACUUUAAUAAACUAUUUUUGAUCUUUUUUUUUUUUCCUAAAGUUUGGGUGAUAUGCGCAUUUUAAAUUCACGUGGAACAAAAGUUAAUGUAUGUAUAAAAAUUCUUUUAUUUUACUGAGCAAAAUAGGCAAGCGAAAAAGUUUUGGCAAAUGAGUUGCAACUGAAUUCAAAACCAAUACAAUGCGAGCAUAGGAAAGAGGCCAGUGUUUAGGAUUUGAAUUUAGGUAGCGUUUACUUUUUGGAUUGGAUUGGGAAUCCUGGGGAGUGGGAAUCCUAGGAUUGAGAGUGUGGAGUGGGAGUGGGAGUAGGUUGUUUACUUACACUGGAAUGGAAGCAUGGAAUGGAGAUCAGAAUCCAAUUUAUGUGUUUACUUUGUCUUGGAUUGGGAGUAAAUAGUUUCAAAUUACAAUUUUAUCCUUAUUUAAAGAAUUAUAAUUUUAAUUACAAAACUAAUAAAAUAUAUAUUUAAUGAAUAAUAUUUAUUUUAUUAUAUUUGUAAAUUUAUUAUAAUUAUUAAUAUUCUUAAUUAUGAACAAUAAAUUAUUAAUUGUAAUUUUAAUAUAAAAUGAAAUGUUAUUUUAUUUAAUAUAAUUAUAUUAAAUUUAUUAUUAUAUAAAAUAAUAAUAUAAUAUUAUUUAGUACAAAAUUAAUAUUUUCUUAGAAUAAAGUAUUUAUUAUUAUUAUUAAAUAAAAUAUAGUACUAUUAUUUUUAAAAUAAAUAUAAUAAUAUUAUAUUUAUUAAUUCUCUAUUAAUAUAAUAAUAUUAUUUUAAAAUAAUUUUAACUUAGAAUCAAUGUAAAUUAUUAUUUAGUUAAAUAUAAUAUUAUUAUUUAAAUAAAUAUAAUAUUAUUAUUUAAAUAAAUAUAAUAUUAUUUAUUUUAUUUUAUUAAUUAUAAAACAUAAAAUAAAAAAAAAAAGGGUAGAAAUGGGAGAGGUGGGAGUGGAUUCCCACUCCCACCUCCCCCAAUGGGAGUCCCACUCCCACUCCCCACUCCAAAAAUGGGUGGGGCCCACGGAGUGGGACUCCCAAUUCCUUCUCAUUUUAAGUAAGUAAACGCUGGAGUGGGAGGAAUCCACACUCCUCACUCCCACUCCAGCAAGUAAACACAACAUUAGUAUUAAGCUGAAUUUUAUGGUAAGCUCUUUUAUAGUACUGUGAUUGAUAAGCUCAGCCCCGGAUUUGCUUUUGCUUUUGCUUUUACUUCAAGUGAAAGAGAGAGGAAACCUUUUGUUUUUUUCUUUGGUUUUCAACUAUGUUACCUAUACAAAGAGUCAAGAUACCUGCCAUAAGUGAUGGUGUUAAAAAGAUUAAGCAGCGCACACAAUCUUACUGUCGUCUAGACCAUCCAGUGAUGACUCUAGUCUUUUGGUUACGUUAGCUUUAGUUGAAAGAAGGGCCAAUUUAACAAAGACUAGAUUUGAUGGCUUACUAUGUUUAAUGUAAUGCUAAUUCUCAGGGAAUCUAAUGUUAUAACUUAUAAGACGAUCUCCUAUGAUGAAUAACAGUAACACAUUACUGUGAUUGAGAAAACUCAGUUACAAUAAACUAUUCAUUUACUCAUUGCGGAGAUUGAAUAGCAAAUAGAGAAUAGAAUGAAGCAGAGGAAUCUCAUUGCCAAUAAAAUUGACCCUCUUUAAUGUUAUAUGGCACAGGUGUGGAGGAAGAACAAGUUACUUGCAGUUUUUAUUGUAAAAUAUACAGGUAUGACCAUGAUCAUUACAGUUGGGUUUUGAUAAUUUCAGAUGCUUUUUAAAAAAAAAAAAAAUUAUGACAUCUUUGAUUUACGGUAGUUUUGCAGAAAAAAAAAUAUAAAAAUUAAGAGGGAUGAGUUAAACUGACGAUUACAAUCAUUCCAGCAAUGCUGAUGAGUGAUACAUCACUUGAAAUUUACUUGUCAGUUGCUGAAAUGAUGAAAAAAAAACAAUAAACGAUAACAGUAAUAAUGUUCCGUUGCUGAAAUUCAAUUUUGACUUUCUACUCUUGGCUUUUAUGGAAAGUAAAAUGACUUGUAUAUUAUCCUCAUACAAUCCACUCUACAUAAUGAUAUCAUUUUAAUAAGGCAAUGGCUGAUGAUCUCCAUUUAAAAACUACAUCAUUUUUUUUGCUUCAUUUAACUUUUUGGUUGUUGAAAAUAACCUUAAUUAUCAAAUAAUUGGAGAAAGAGUAAAGAACAUUUAACAAAUUUAUGUGCAAAAAAAAAAAAGGAGAAGUUGAAGAGAAAGGGUGCUUGCAGAAGUGGGUGUCAAAGAUAAAUCGGUCCAUAAGAAUUAUUGUGGUUAUUUUUUUGGCAAUAUAAGAACUUAUGCGAUAGCAUUUUUUAUGGGUGCAUAUAACCUCCCUUUAAAAAUAUAUAUAAUAAUUACUGCUUAAUAUAGUAUUAAAUACAAAAAUAUCAAUAUUUGACUACUUAAAUUUAUAUCAUUAGGUCCUUAAAAUUUAAAAUGGAAGAUAUGAAAGGAAAUAUAUAUAAAUUUCAUUGUCCUGGUAAAGGGCCCUCUUAUAAUCUUAUAAUAUUUGAACUUUGAUAGAUUUUUUGAAACAAAUGUACUUUUAUUUGUGUACAAUCAAUAUUUACUCAUUUAUUAUAUUUUAAUUUAUUAACUAUUAAUCAUGUAAGUAUACUUAGUCAGAAAAAUUAUAUCAAGAGAAAAUUCUAAUUUCACGCAAAAACAAAUACCAAAACAAAUAUCUCAAUUUCUAUACUAUUCACUUUCCUGUAGAAUCAAUUAUUUAAAAUGCAAGUUUGUGGCUACAGAAAACUCGCCAAAGAAAAAAGAUAAUAACAAUUGAGCAUUGAUAGCAAAACUAAUGCAUCCAAUUCUUCUUGACUUGAUGAGAUGGCGCCAUAACGUAGACACAAGUACCUAAAUUGACCGGCACUGAGUGAUGUGAAUACUACCAGCCAGUUCAUCUCUUCCAGUCUUGCUUAAUCACAAUCACAAACACCACGAGAUCGACAUUUGCAUUAUAUAUAUCUUCUGCAAUCGAAACACCUUGCAUUACCAAAUAAGCCCGUAACAGACAAAGCAAUCUUUCAUGGAGAGAAACCUUAGUCUCAGUAUGAUCACUGUGUCAUUAACCUACUGCCUGCUUCUUUGCUUGGUUGCUGCAGCAGCAGCAGCGGCAAGCAACAAUAUUACCACAGACCAACAAGCUCUUCUUGCCCUGAAAGAUCAUAUAAUUUAUGAUCCUACCAGCCUUUUAGCUCACAAUUGGACCUCGAAUACCUCUGUUUGUACCUGGAUUGGCAUCACUUGUGAUGCCAAUAGCCAUAGAGUCAAAACCUUAGAUAUUUCUCAAUUCAAUCUACAAGGCACCAUCCCUCCUCAACUUGGAAAUCUCUCUUCACUCACAACACUUAAUCUUAGUCAUAACAGGCUUUCUGGAAGUGUUCCCUCCUCCAUCUACACCAUGCAUACGCUAAAAUUUCUUGACUUCACUGAUAACCAGCUCUCUGGUUCAGUGUCUUCCUUCGUCUUCAACAUGUCUUCAAUAUUAGUAAUUCGUUUGACCAAUAACAUAUUUUCUGGUGAGCUUCCGAAAAAUAUUUGCAACUAUCUUCCUUAUUUGAAGGCCCUUUUCUUAAACAAAAACAUGUUUCAUGGCAAAAUUCCUUCUGCUUUAUCAAAGUGCAAACAACUGCAACAAUUAAAUUUGCAGUUCAAUAAUUUAUCCGGUGCAAUACCAAAAGAAAUCGGCAACUUGACUAUGCUCAAAGGGAUAUAUCUCCUCUACAACAAACUCCACGGUAUGUUCACAAUACUAUAUAAAUAUUUUAAUUUAUCACUUAUUAUCUUUCUUGAAUAAUUUAGUUAAGAUCUUGUAAGAGAGAUUUUUUGCAUCUACGUUAAUUUACCAGGUGAGAUACCCCACGAAAUCGCUAAUCUUCCAAAUCUAGAGGCUUUAGCGCUUGGAAUCAACAACGUAGUUGGUGUGUUACCAGCUCCCAUCUUCAACAUGUCAACACUGAAGGUACUUAUCCUCAUAAAUAACUCUCUCUCCGGAAGCCUUCCAUCAAGAGUAGACCUUUCACUUCCAACUGUUGAGCAACUUAACUUGGCACUUAAUAGAUUUUCUGGAACCAUUCCUAGUUCCAUCACCAAUGCUUCUAAGCUCACCUUUCUAGAGUUGGGAGCAAACACAUUUUCGGGGUUUAUUCCAAACACAAUUGGUAAUUUAAGAAACCUUAAGUGGCUCGGCUUGGCUAAUAACUCCUUGACAUCUUCAACCUCAAAAUUGAGCUUUCUUUCCUCUUUGGCAAAUUGCAAGAAAUUAAGAUUCGUAAACGUAAUAGGCAAUCCACUGGACGGCUUCCUUCCAAGUUCAAUAGGUAAUCUUUCUGUGUCUUUGGAAACACUUGGCAUCGGCAAUUGCAGUAUUAGUGGCAACAUUCCUCCAGCAAUUAGCAAUUUAAGCAACUUGUUGACCUUAGUAUUAGACGGCAAUAAAUUGACUGGACCAAUCCCAACUACAUUCGGCCAACUGCAGAAACUCCAAGGCUUAGAUCUUGCAUUCAAUAAGUUGGUAGGUUCAUUCCCAGAUGAGCUUUGCCAUCUGGCAAGGCUGGAUCAAUUGGUCUUAUUUGGCAAUAAGCUUUCAGGAUCUAUACCUUCAUGCUUAAGUAACCUCACUUCUCUAAGAUCUCUCUAUUUAGGGUCCAAUAAGUUUACUUCUGUUUUUCCCUCAACCUUCUGGAGCCUAAAAGACAUCUUGUUCUUUGACUUUUCAUCAAAUUUCUUGGUUGGUCCUCUUUCUUUAGAUAUAGGAAAUUUGAAGGUGCUUCUAGGAAUAAGUUUAUCAAAAAAUAAUUUAUCCGGUGAUAUCCCAGCCACAAUUGGAGGACUGAAAGAUCUUCAAUUUAUGGACCUAGCAUAUAAUAGAUUGGAAGGCCCAAUUCCUAAAUCAUUUGGUGACUUGAUAAGUUUAGAAGUUCUGAAUUUAUCAAAUAAUAAAAUCUCUGGGUCUAUUCCAACAUCCAUGGAGAAACUCUUUUACCUCGGAGAGUUAAAUCUCUCUUUCAAUAAACUAGAAGGUGAGAUUCCUAGUGGAGGAACUUUUGCCAACUUCACAGCUGAGUCAUUUAUGGGAAAUGAGUUUUUGUGUGGUUUACCAAAUCUUCAAGUCCAACCAUGCAAAGUUAGCAAGCCGAGGACAGAACAUAAAUCAAGGAAAAAGAUACUUCUCAUUGUGAUUGUUUUGCCAUUGAGUAUUGCUCUAACAAUAGCAAUCACUCUAGCUCUCAAAUCUAAGCCGAUCGAAUGUGGAGAAAGAAGCACAGUGUUGUCAAAUGAUAGUAUCUUGUCAUCACAAGCAACACUAAGAAGAUUUUCAUACUUAGAACUUUUACAAGCAACAGAUAAUUUUGCUGAAAACAGCAUAAUUGGCAGAGGAGGUUUCGGUUCCGUUUAUGGAGCAAGACUUGAAGAUGGGAUGAAGAUUGCAAUAAAAGUGUUUCACCGGCAAUGUGCAAGCGCAUUGAAGAGUUUUGAGGCUGAAUGUGAAGUGUUAAAAAAAAUUCGCCAUCGAAACCUUAUCAAAGUUAUCAGCAGUUGCUCGAACGAUGACUUCAAAGCAUUAGUCCUAGAAUACAUGUCCAACGGGAGCUUAGGGGAUUGGCUGCAUUCGAGCAAUUACGUGCUGAAUAUUUUUCAAAGGUUGAACAUAAUGAUUGACGUUGCAUCAGCUUUAGAAUACCUCCACUUCGAUCAUUCAACUCCUAUUAUUCAUUGUGACUUAAAGCCUAGUAAUGUAUUGUUGGACGAAAAUAUGGUUGCUCAUUUGAGUGAUUUUGGCAUAGCAAAGCUUUUAAGUGGAGAAGAUGAGUCUACGAUGCGAACAAAAACCCUUGCCACUAUAGGUUAUAUGGCACCAGGUUUGCUUCAAACAACUUUUUUUUUUAAGUUCAUUUUAAAUUUUCUAAAUCAUUGAUUUUUACGAUCCUCAUAUCAAAUUGUUAUUGAUUAUUUAUCUAAUUGUGAAAUUAAUUUGAUUCAUAGAGUAUGGCAUAGGAGGAGAAGUAUCUACAAAAAGCGAUGUUUACAGCUACGGGAUUAUGUUGAUGGAAACUUUUACCAAGAAAAAACCCACAGAUGAAAUUUUUGUUGGAGAAUUGAGCUUAAAGCAUUGGGUUAAUGACUUGCUUCCUAAUUCAUUAGUGGAAGUUGUGGACAAAACUCUGCUAAGUGGAGAGGAAAAACAUUUUGCAUCAAAGGGGCAAUGUCUGUUGUCUAUCUUUAGUUUGGCUCUGGAGUGUACAAUGGAAUCACCGGAAAAGAGGAUUAAUGCAAAAGAUAUUGUUACCGGAUUACUCAAGAUAAGAGACACAUUGAGUAAAAGGAUAGGAAAUUUAAGUUAAUUUCGUUUGCUUUCAUUGAUAGUUAAUUCGAAUUCAUGUAAUAAGUGCAAGAAUCUUAUAUCUUUUCCUUUGAUAUAUUCUUUUUCUUGAGAAAACUGUUGUAGUCAUCUUGUUUCCAUGGGAAGAGUUGAUUUAGUUCUUCCAAAAAAUGCUACUGAUGACCUUUGUUUAAUACUUUCUCUUUUUUUGCACGUGUUUAGGUAGAACAGUGGUUUGGCUGCAGGCUAAUAAGUCAAGCUACGCCAAAAGCGUAUGAUUUAAUUUAUUAAACAUAACUUCAAGUUCAAGAAGUGUUUCUCAUUGCCACCAAUGCUUUGGACACCUGUUGGAAGGUUUGUUGUCCUCAGCUUUUGUUUAGAGCAAAAGUUCGAGUCCCAUAAAGGCUCAAACAUUCCUUUCCUUCAUCCCGAGGGCGCCUUCUGUCCUCUGUUUUCUGUUUCCACACACAAAUAGCAAAAAGAAAUUAGAAUGACAACUGGGACAUAUAUAAGAGUGAAAUAAUUAAAAAAAUUAUGCUUUUUUGUCUGUCGUGUUAAAAUCGUAAGUACCGAAGUACUGUGAAAGAGAUUAAUUUACAGAAACUGAAGCCAAGGGUUCAAAAAAAAACUAUUGAUGUAGCUAGGAUGCAAUGUCAUAUUCAUACAGAGAUGAAGUAUAUUAUUUACGGCUGGUAAAGACUAGGAAUUGAUGUAGCUAGAAUCCAAAGAUGAUAAGGUAUGUUGUGCACUAUUGUUUUAUUCUACGGUCAAUCUUGACCCUUGGUGCUUGGCUCUCAAUCUUGUCCAUUGAUCUUCUCUGAUCUUGGAAACUUCAAGACCUUUCACUCUCAUGCCUUAUUAUUGGUGUCUUCCAUGCUGUAGCUUUCAAAUACAAGCUUUCCCGCCAACUUGCCAAUUAUUUGUCCGUUGGUGCAUUUUAUCAAACAGUUUGGAUACUUAUACCAAACGCCUUCUGUUUUAACUCCCCCCCUCAAGCUCAAGCAUCUGGGAAGACAUUAAUAAGCUUGUUUCUCAAGUAUAUAUAUCUGAAAAUUAAAUUUUAUAAAUUAUAUUCGGACUCUACAUUUUCUAAUGAACAUUGGUUUGGCUUAUAAGCUUAUUAUACUCAGGUUUGGUAGGAGCCAUAUCACAAUGUUAACGCUAACCAGCAGUACUGCCAAAGCUGGCCAACUCAGCCUGCAAGUUCAUAGCAACCAUAGUUACAGUCCUAGUCCGGUACAAAAAUCGUAAAUAUCAUUUACAUUACAAUGGUGUGGGGGGGGGGGGGGGGGUUUGUUGGGUGGCUGGAGAGGGAAUCAACAAAGAUCUAGAACGAAGGGUAGGCUUGUAUCCGUAACCCAUGUCACAGUGUUAAUGCUAACCGUGGACCUUAUUAUAUUAGUUGCUGGACUAUUAUUACUUUUGAAUUGCCAUCUUUGAAUUUACGUUCAUUUCUGCCUCGACAAGAUGUUUGUAAAAAUAUGCUAAUUAUUAAUGUGCCGUGUACAAAUAAGCAUGUUACUGUGCAAGGAUUGUAGUCAUGAUACAGUGGUGCAAAAUGUACAUGCUACUUCUUCUUUUCCUCAGUUAGGAUCACCGUCGUCACCAUUUAAUUCUAAGUCCACCCAUGCGGCCUAUGCAAUUGAAAUCAUGUGACCAUGUAAUUUUAGGUUCUGAUCUUCCUUGUGGGGUUAAACCUCAAAACUGUGACCAUUUUGGGACUUUUAAUCAGUUCCAAUCAUUUUCUGGUUCCCAUUCGUCCACCCAAGCCUUGAUUCCCCCGAUAUAGCAUUGCAAUAUAUAUAGGAAUAUUAAGGUUGUGUACAGUUUUUUUCUUUUCUGUUUUUAAUUUGAUAUAAAUUAUCAAUCAUGAAUCUACAUAAAGUUUCAACUAGGCUACUACCACAAUAAACAUUUGGAUGAACUAUUAUUGAAACCUUAUUGAGAAGUAGGACAUGUCGCAUACCAAUGCACUGACAUAUCUUCAAAUAGUGGUAACUCCACACAACAUGGCACAAUAAAUUAAGAGUUAUAUAGAUAAAAUCUUUCACUCUUUGGUAAUCAUCAAUGUCGGCAUGACAAUGCGUCCCACAAAUAUGGCUCCUUAUCAAAAUUCAUAAAUCAAAACAAAAAUAGAGAAUCAUAUUUGUUCUAGAUUGUAGUGAUGGUUGUUGAUGCACUCACAAUUUACAAUUUUAUUUAAUAUCUUCAAAUUCGCAUUUUAAAAUGCCCAAAUGUUUGUGUAUACAUAAUUAGUAAUCGAUUCUCAAGCAUGGCCAUUUAAAAGCAUUGCUGAAAGACAAAAUUUUAAUUUACUAUUUUUUGUCUUUUAAUUUUCUUUAAGUUUUUAAUGAUUCCGCAUUUUAAAAUCCUGUGGAACGUGUAUGUAAAAUUCUUUUAUCUUUUAGAGGAAAAUGGGCAAGAGAAGAAGAUUUGGCAAAGGAAUUGCAACCGCAUUUGGAGCUAGUUUUAAUUUUGUCUUUUAAUUCUUUUACACUUGGCUUUUGUUAUUGAUGUCAACUUCGAUGUGUGUGAAGACUCGAGCUCACUCCCUUAUGAGCUAGUUUUAUUUUUCUACUUUCACAUUAAGAAAAAUACUCCUAUUUUUAAGGAAAAGUCAAGUACCUGUAGUUGUGAAGACUCGAGCUCACUCCCUUAUGAUAAAUCUUCAUAUUAAUUACGUAAAUAUCCUCUAAAAUUUUAAAUUAGCUAUUCAAAAUUUGAUGUUAUACGGGUAUUUCAUUUAUUUGAGUAGGGGUUGGGGGUCAAUUGGAUACAAAUUCAAAAUUAUCCUUACUUGAGAUGGUGAUAAAAAUUGGGGAUUUAAUUUGGAUGUCAUUAGCUACAAAUAUUAAACUCAUACAUUUAAUUCAAAAUUGGAAAGCUGAUAUAUGCGCAUCAUCCCACAACCUCUCCAAUGAAAAAUUAACACGUUUCUUGUGUGCAUUUGAUCAGAAUCCUGAAAAUUAAUCACAAAAUUGUCCUGGAAAAAAAAAUGCUUACAUAAAUGGUUUGAAAAAUCUAGAUUUCAAGUUGUCUAUAUUAGCUUGAUAUUUUUAUAAAUAGUCAUCCUCUCAAAAAAAUUCCAUCAAAAUAUAUUUUAAUUUUAUGUUAAUUCAUAAACAUGAAAAAAUCAUUUCAGAAUUAAUUAAAACAUAAUUUAUUGUUUCUCAAAAAAGGUAGAACUUAGUGAUAAGAAAAAAGUAUCUCAAAUAUAUGUAAAAAAAAAAAAAUCUUGGUUAGUUGGAAUGAUUGAAUUUGUUUUUUUUUUCUUUUUUAAGAAUUAAGACAAUCGGAUUGAUUGAGUAAUAAUAAUAUAUAUUUAUUUGGCAAAUGGCAGGUAGGCUUUCGUCUCAUGCAGAUUGAUUAGAGAGAAAAUAUAACAAUUUUAAGCUCGUCAGAUUCGAAGCUGCUUUCCUGUCGUGUGGGGAUCACUUCCGUGUCUUAUUUUUCUAGAAAAAUCAGGACCAUUGGAUUUAUGCGAAUCGUACUGAACAUUGGAAUUGAUGUAUAAGAAAAAAAUUCUGUAGUUUAAGAAGAACAAAAAGGCAUGUUGAAUAGAUUACAAUAGUUUAAGGAAAAAAAUUAUUCAAUUGGGAAUUUUUUUUUCUUUAAUUUUUGUUGUACUUGAUUGAGAUUUCUCCUUAGUCCUUAGAGUUUUAAGUUUGGAAACCGUAGGAUCAGUAAUUUCGUACUUCCUUUGCAAGCUGAGUAUAAGGAUGAAAUUCUUUUAAGAAAUUAAAAAAGAUAAAAAAAAAGCAUACCAAUAGGUAAUUAUAAAUAACCACAAAUAAAUAUAAACAAAAUGUUUAUGAAGUAAAUUAAACAUGCUCAUAUUAUUUUCUUUUAUUUUCUGCUUGGAAACCCAUAAAUACACUAAUCCAGUAUUACUAAUUUCAGACAGAAAAUUUUGAAUUUAACCAGUAUACACUAAUCCAGUAUUAUUUUUAUUAUUAUUUUAAUUUGUUUAUAAAUUACUAUUUUAAUUUGUUUAUAAAUUACUAUUUUAAUUUUCACUUUUUAUUGGGUUGUUUAACGGAUUAGUGAAGCUGGUGGUCGUUGAUGCACUCACAAGGUACAAUUUUAUUUUAGAAUUUCAAAUUCGUAAUUUAAAAUGCAGGCACAUUAUGUAUACAUAAUUAUUGAUUUUCAUAUGUGGGUGUUUUGAAAUAUUGCCAAAAGACCAAACUUUAAUAAACUAUUUUUGAUCUUUUUUUUUCCUUUGUACCUAAAGUUUGAGUGAUAUCCGCAUUUUAAAUUCAUGUGGACCAAAAGCUAAUGUAUGCACAAAAUUCUUUUAAUUUUUUCCGAGAAAAAUGGGUAAGAGAAGAAGAUUUUUCUCUUGAAAAAGAAAAAAUAAUACGUUGCAAGCAUAGGAAAGAGGCCAGUGUUUUGGAUUUGAAUUUAGUAUUGGGUUGAAUUUUAUGCUAAGCUCUUUUAUAAUACUUUAUAGAAUAAAAAUGUAAGGGAUAUUUGGCUAGGCAUGUACUUUAUAGAAUAAAAAUGUAAUAAUGUAAGUCAGUGCAAUGAUCUGCUGUCAUAGUAGUUAUAAAUAUUUAUGUGUAAUACAGUAACAUGAUGCUUAAUCAGUUAAAAAAAAAUUGUAUAUCUUUUUUUAUUUUUUUUAUUGUGAUCAAUAUAACUAGUCAAAUUUAUUUUUAAAUAUUUUUUUAAAAAUAUUUUUAUCGUGUGUUUGCUCCAUUACAGGGUUUCUUCAAUUUAAAAUAGAGAAUCAUUUGUGUUCUAGAUUAAUCGUGGGUCUAUAUCCAAAUCCAAAAAUUGACUAACUUGAUUUCUAUUAAGUUCUCAACCCUAACAAGAAAAAUAAAAGAGUAAAAAUGACUAUUUUGGUUUCUAUUAAUUUGAGUAACGCUUAAUAUUUAUCAUACAAUAGUCACUUAUAUUAUCAAAAUCUUGGGUCGAAAAUAUUAGGAUAGGUGAUAAUUGGAAUUAAGUUGUAGAUAAGAUAGCCUUUCAAAAAAAAGAAAAGAAAAAAAGUUGUAGAUAAGAUAGAAAUGGAUUUGGAGAGAGAUUGGAAUCCUGGCUAAUCCGGUGCACGUUGUUGCGUUAAAUUCUCGUUGACUUCACGUUGACCGAAGCAUUAUUGGAAGAAACAAGCAAGCUUAUUUUCUUCUCUCAUUUUUUACUUUUGUCUAAAUUUAUUGAUGUGAGCCCUCUGAGAUGGUAAAGUGUUAAAUCUGAGAAGAGUACCCACACACCCAUUUGUUGGAGGAUUAACAAUUAAAACACACUAUUUUAUUUCUUCAACAACACUCCUCACCAAUUACAACUCUUAUUUUUCACUCUCUACACCUUAGAGAUUUUGCUGCUUCACUUGAUGUUUAAACCAAAAGGGAGAGGGGGUAUUUAUAUAUGAAACAAACUAAUCACAACCAUUCAUUUAUUCAACUAAUAAACACAUCCUCACCAUCCAUUAAAACCUACCACUCACCUACUUCACCAACCACACCUAACACACCUAACACAAAUAAUUCAAACCUCACCAACCAUACCUACUCAUGGAACCUUCCAUGAGUUGGGCUUGAUUUAUUCAUCUUGGAUCAAGUUUAUGAUCCAACACCUCUCCUUAAACUUGAUCCUGUGACACCAAGCAAACUUCUGAAUCUUACAAAGUCUUCUUGUUUGAGUGGUUUAGUGAAGAUAUCAGCUGCUUGAUCUUGUGAUUUUACAUACUUGAUUUGCACUUCUUUUCUUGCAAUACACUCUCUUAUGAAAUGAUAGCGAGUGGCUAUGUGUUUACUUCGAUCAUGAAAGACUGGAUUCUUGGAUAGGGCAAUUGCUGAUUUGUUAUCAACACAAAUCUCAGUUGGCUCUUCUUGUGCCAAACUCAACUCCUUUAGCAAAUUUCUGAGCCAAAUUGCAUGACAAACACUUGAUGUGGCAGCUACAUAUUCAGCUUCACAGGUGGAUAGCGUGACAAUUGGUUGCUUCUUUGACAUCCAUGUGAAAGCAGUAUCUCCUAUGAAGAACACAAAUCCUGUGGUGUUAUUUCGAUCAUCUACAUCUCCACCCCAAUCGCUAUCGCUAUAUCCAACAAGCUUGUAGUCAUUAGAAAAUGAGUAUAGCAAGCCGAAAUUAGUUGUACCUUUGAUGUAGCGAAGGAUUCUUUUUGCAGCUUUAAAAUGGGUGGUCUUUGGAUUCUCCAUGUAUCGGCUCACAAGUCCAACAACAUAAAGGAUAUCUGGUCUUGUGCAUGUCAAAUAACGUAGGCUUCCAACCAAACUUUUAAAGAAUGUUGGAUCUAUAUCUUCGCCUUCAUCAUGUUUGGAUAACUUGACUCCGCAUUCCACUGGCGUGCUUAUAGGCUUACAAUCAUUCAUCUUGAACUUCUUGAGAAUCUCCUCUGCAUAGCUUUCUUGGGAGAUAAAUAUGCUUUCUUCCUUUUGCUUGACUUCAAUGCCGAGGUAAUAUGCCAUCAGUCCGAUGUCAGUCAUCUCGAACUCUUUGAUCAUCACUCUCUUGAACUCUUCAAACAAGCCUGGAUUACUUCCAGUGAAAAUGAGAUCAUCCACAUACAGGCACACAAUCAAAAUAUCUCCAUAUUUUUCUUUGACGUAGAGAGCAUGUUCAUAUGGGCAUUUGGUGAAGCCUUUCUCUUGAAAAUACUUGUCAAUUCUGCUAUUCCAUGCCCUUGGUGCUUGCUUUAACCCAUAAAGAGCUUUCUUCAAUCUCAAAACUUUGUCCUCGUGUCCUUUCACCACAUAGCCUAAUGGUUGUUCGAUGUAAACUUCUUCUUCAAGGAAUCCAUUCAAGAAAGCAGACUUCACAUCCAUUUGAAAAAUCUUCCAUUUGUUCUGAGCAGCCAAAGAAAUAAUAAGUCUAAUAGUUUUAAGUCGAGCUACAGGAGCAAAUACCUCGUCAUAGUCUAUGCCAGCCUUUUGACUAUAGCCUUUUGCAACUAGCCUCGCCUUGUGCCUUUCAAUUUCUCCCUUCGCAUUUCUUUUUGUUUUAUACACCCAUUUGACACCGAUCGCCUUGUGACCUUUUGGAAGAGUAGUAAGCUCCCAAGUAUCAUUCUUCACAAUGGCUUUGAUUUCUUCAUCCAUUGCAAUUCUCCACUUCUCAUCUAGUGCAGCUUCUUGGAAGUUGACUGGCUCACAAUCAGCAAAGAGGCAAAAGAGAGUGAGAUUAUCAUGUCUCUCAGUUACCUCAUAGAGAUCUUGAAGACUCCUUGCACGUUCUUCGGUUCUUUCAUUUAAGAAAGACGGCGGUGAAUCUCCGCAUGUGGUUGGUGCUGGUGAGAUAGGUGGAGUGGCAGGCUCUUGUUGUUCGUCUACUUGUUUUACCUGUGUAUGAUCAUCUUCUUCAAUGGGAAAGAAGUUGAAGUCAUCCACACCAGAGCCAAAAUCUCAUUCUCCUUCUUCAUCAAAAAUUACAUCUCGACUGAUCACAAUCUUUCCGUUGUUUGGAUUGUAAAGCUUGUAUCCUUUGGAGUUGUUGUCGUAGCCGAUGAAGAUGAACAACUCACUUUUGUCAUCCAGCUUGGCUCUACUUUCGUCUGGUACAUGUACAUGGGCAAUGCUUCCGAAAACUCUUAGAUGGGUGAUGCCAGGUUUUCUUCCACUCCAAGCUUCUUGUGGCGUCUUGCCCCACACGCUUCUUGUUGGAGAUCGAUUGGAUAAGUAGAUUGCACAUGCAACUGCUUCAGCCCAAAAUUCUUUAGGUAGCCUCUUACUCUUAAGCAUGCUUCUUGCCAUGUCGAGGAUGGUUCUGUUCUUCCUUUCUGCAACACCAUUUUGUUGGGGGGAUCUUGGAACUGUCAAAGGGCGUCGAAUUCCAUUUGCUUCACAAAACUCUAAAAAUUCUUUGGAAGUGAACUCUCCACCUCGAUCAGAUCUCAUGGCUUUAAUCUGGUAUCCACUUUCUUUUUCAACUGCAGCUUUAAACUUCUUGAAAGCUUCAAAGACUUCUGAUUUUUGCUUCAAAAAAUACACCCAAGUUUUUCUUGAAAAAUCAUCUAUAAAAAGAAUGAAGUAGUUACUUUUACCAAGGGAGUUUGGCUUGAAUGGACCGCACACAUCAGUAUGAAUGAGCUCGAGUGGCUUCUGAGCUCUUGAGUUUGACUCCUUUGGAAAGCUCUUUCUGAACUGCUUGCCAAGUAAACAUCCUUCACAAAGUUGAUCAGGGUGAUUGAUGUAUGGUAAGCCUUUCACCAUGUUCUUCUUAGAGAGUAGCUCCAGUCCUCUAAAGUUGAGAUGCUCAUAUCGAAGAUGCCAAGUCCAGGAUUGAUCUUUGUGACAGGCUUUGAGACAUUUUGCAACAUCAUUUUGAAUAUUUAAAGGAAACAUUCUAUUCUUUGACAUUCUCACUUUUGUAUUUAGAUUUCCUUUUUCAUCUCUUAGAAAAAGACUAUAAUCUUUUAAGUGAAUAUCAUAGCCCUUUUUCUAAAAGUUGACCUAAACUAAGAAUGUUGCUUUUCAUAUUGGACACAUAGUAAACAUUCGAAAUUAUUUGGUGGCUACCAUCUUUUGCACGAAAAAGAAUGUUACCUCUACCCUUCACUGGUACUUUUGAAUCAUCUCCAAAAGUGACACUGCCAUUCACAAAUUCACUUAGUUGCACGAACAUGCUUCUGUUUCCACUCAUAUGAUUGCUAGCACCUGUGUCAAGAUACCAUGUAUUUUCUUGACCUCCAUUUGUGUCAUUGCGUGCUAGUAAAAGUGUGUCAUCUUCACCAUUUUUCUCUUCAGCAUAGUUCACUCUCUCUUUAAUUCUGGUGCUUGGAGCUCUGCAUUCUGAAGCAUAAUGCCCAAACUUUUGACAAUUAUAGCACUGUACUUGGGAUUUGUCAUACCUCGAUCUUGAAUUGCCUCUGCCUUGUUCUCUGGUUGAGCUUUCUCCUUUGGCAUAAUUGGAGUUGUUGUUGUUGAAAUUCCAACCUCGUCCAUGACCACGACCUCUACCUCGUCCUCGACCUCUACCUCGGACAUAGUGCCUUCUCUCAUUGUCGGAGCUUUCUUCUCUUUUCUUUGGAUUGACUUCCAUCUUGAGAAGUUGUUCUUCGAUUCCUUGCUUCUUUUUUUGUUUUUCUUCAUAGGCUUGCAACCUUCCUUGAAGUUGCUCGAUCGUCAUAUCCUCCAGAUCUCUUGUUUCUUCAAUUGUCAUAACAAUAUGAUCAAACUUCGAGUCUACUGAUCGAAGUAUCUUUUCAAUGAUCCUUACCUCUUUUAACUCCUCGCCAUUUCUUUUUAAUUCAUUGGAAACGGUCACAACUCGAGUAAAGUAGUCAGAAAUUGACUCCGACACCUUCAUGUGUAAGGACUCAAAUUCUCCUCGUAAUGUUUGGAGACGAACCUUCUUAACUUGCUCUGCUCCUUUGUAAGAGGUCUUUAGUUUCUCCCAUGCUUCUUUUGAGGAGGUUGUACCAGCAAUCUUUUCAAAAGCAUCUUCAUCUAAUGAUUGAAAGAUGAGAUACUUUGCUUUAUUCUCUUUCUUCUUCAAGUCUUUUAAAUUCUCCUUCUGCGCCGCAGUUAAAGUGGCUUCAUUUUCUGGCACAAUAAAGCCUUUCUCCACGACAUCCCAUACGUCAUGUGCACUCAAUAGAGCCUUCAUUUUAAUACUCCAAUUGUCAAACUUACUUCCUUUUAAUUGUGGAACUUGAAAUGACAUCAUCAUACCACCGUUUGCCAUAACUCACAAAUUGAGUGAGAAUUUGGAGAUUCUGAAUGCACAGAUGGAUCCGGCACGUCGAAAAACCUUGGGAAGGACUCGAGUCAACUUUCGGUCAACGGUCAACGUCGGUCAACGGUCAACACCGGCUUGGUAGUCUCGGUUCGGUCCGGAUUGGUUCAGCUCGAGUUGGCUCGGUUCGACUUGAUUCGGUUCAGCUCGGCUCGGCUUGGUUCAGUUCGGCUCAGCUUGGUUCAACUCGGUGAGUCGACUCAGCUUCAGGACAUAAAACUUCCGGCGGCAGGUGUGGGCGCGUACGGUCUCGGAUCGGGAUGAUUUUUGCGGCGUCACGUUCCUCUCGUCGAGAUCUUCGAUUUGAUAUGCUAUAUGACUAUAUAUAGCAUCAAACACUAGCUCUGAUACCACUUUGUUGGAGGAUUAACAAUUAAAACACACAAAAAACACACUAUUUUAUUUCUUCAACAACACUCCUCACCAAUUACAACUCUUAUUUUUCACUCUCUACACCUUAGAGAUUUUGCUGCUUCACUUGAUGUUUAAACCAAAGGGGAGAGGGGGUAUUUAUACAUGAAACAAACUAAUCACAACCAUUAAUUUAUUCAACUAAUAAACACAUCCUCACCAUCCAUUAAAACCUACUACUCACCUACUUCACCAACCACACCUAACACACCUAACACAAAUAAUUCAAACCUCACCAACCAUACCUACUCAUGGAACCUUCCAUGAGUUGGGCUUGAUUUAUUCAUCUUGGAUCAAGUUUAUGAUCCAACACCAUUAUCCUAUUACUCUUAUUUUAUCACAUGCAGAGACGUCAACGUUUGAUUCGCACGGAAAAAAAUUUGCGAGGAUUGUGAGGGUUGAUUCAAUAUAAUUUAGAUGCAAAGUGUUUACAAGUGCGAUGCUUCGUAAGUGCACCCGAAUCAUUAUAAACUCACCUUAUUUUCAUAGUGAUUAUUUCAUCUGCAUGUGAAUAUAAUCAUAUGUGGAGAUUUUUUUUUUCCCUAAACGAUGAUCUUCUCUAGUAUUGAGGUGUUAUAUCUUUUAAAUUAUAAUUAUUAUUAGUAAAAAACUGCAACUAUGAAAAAUAAAUUUAAUAUUAUGUCCUGAAUAUAAUUGUUAAAUAAUAAUUUUGACAAAAUUAAUGAAUAUAUACAGAUUUUUUUAUCAUAUAAAUGUAAAAUUAUAUCAACUUAGCUUCUAAGCUAUACAACGGUUACUAUUUACUAAAUACUUUAGUGUCGUAGUUUUUAAGAUAUAUUUAUCCACCCUCAAUCCCAAACAUAACCUGUAAGGAUAAAAAAUUUCAUCCUAAAAAUUAUACGUCUUGUGACUUAUUUAAUUUAUAUUUUUGUUAUUUAUAUUUAUUAAUUAUAGUCAUCUUUUAAUAAAUUACAAUUGAAGGAAGGUGGUUGAUGUUGUCGAGACACACACACAAAGAUAUAUUGGAAGUGCUUAUGUCCACUCGAAGUUGUGGGGAGUUAAUGCAUGUAUUGAUUUAUUGGGAGUGUUAAUGCAUGUAUUGAUUGAUUGAGUGAUUGAAUACUGUUUGAUUGCUUCAUAUCAAUUCUAGAAAGUUUAUUUCUUUGUGAAAUUUCAACGAAACGUGUUUUUUAGAAUAAUAAGGGUGUUUUAAGUAAUUUUAAAAAAUGAAUGGACUAAUUAGAAUUAAUUAUUAGGUAAUUAACUCGAAUUGUAGAGGGUAAGCAAACAUUUAUCCUAAUUAUAUUAUGAUAAAUCCUUUUCCAAUUAGAAUUAGGAAACCAUAGAUAUACUGAAUUUUUUUUUAUUUCCCUUCGCGAAAACGGAUCAGAGAAUUAGAAAACAAUCCUAGUGAUACUAUUGUUAGGUUUAAAACACUGCAUAGAUGGUAAAAACAUUGGAAUUGAUGUAGAUUAAUUUGUUAAUUGCUAUCGUACUGAACAUUGUUUUAUGCAAAUUAAUUUGAGAAUUAGAAAAAAGUUUGUUGCAUGCAAACUUUUUGUUUUAUGCAAAUCGUACUGAACAUUGGGACUGAUGUUUAAGAAAAAAAUUCUGUAGUUAAAGAAAAACAAAAAGGCAUGUUGAAUAGAUUACGAUAGUUUAUUCAAUUGGGAAUUUUUUUUCUUUAAUUUUUGUUGUACUUGAUUGAGAUUUCUCUUUAGUCCUUUCGUACUUCCUUUGUAAGCUGAGUAUAAGGAUGAAAUUCUUUUAAGAAAUUAAAAAAGAAAAAAAAGCAUGCCACUACGCAAUUAUAAAUAACCACAAAUAAAUAUAAACAAAAUGUUUAUGAAGUAAAUUAAACAUGCACAUAUUAUUUUCUUUUAUUUGCUGCUUGGAAACCCAUAAAUGCACUAAUCCAAUAUUACAAUUAAUUUCAAACAGAAAAAAUUGAACUCUAGGCUGCAGUUUGACUCAAAAUGAUGACCACUGGCUUCGCACCAUUCAACCGGUAUACAUUUCUACAAACCGAACAACGCUAUUGAUUUUUAUUUUUUUUUUUAAUUUGUCUAUAAAUUACUAUUUUAAUUUUCACUUUUUAUUGGGUUGUUUAACGGAUUAGUGAAGCUGGUGGUCGUUGAUGCACUCAUAAGGUACAAUUUUAUUUUAGAAUUUCAAAUUCGUAUUUUAAAAUGCAGGCACAUUAUGUAUACAUAAUUAUUGAUUUUCAUAUGUGGGUGUUUUGAAAUAUUGCCAAAAGACCAAACUUUAAUAAACUAUUUUUGAUUUUUUUUUUCCUUUUUACCUAAAGUUGGAGUGAUAUCCGCAUUUUAAAUUCAUGUGGAACAAAGCUAAUGUAAGCACAAAAUUCUUUUAUUUUUUCCGAGAAAAAUGGGUAAGAGAAGAAGAUUUUUCUCUUGAAAAAUGAAAAAAAAUACAAUGCAAGCAUAGGAAAGAGGUCAGUGUUUUGGAUUUGAAUUUAGUAUUGAGCUGAAUUUUAUGCUAAGCUCUUUUAUAGUACUGCGAUUAAUAAGCUAGCUCAGGAUUUGCUUUUGCUUUUACUUCAAGUAAAAGAAAGAGGAAGCCUUUUGUUUUUUUGUUUGAUUUUUGACUAUAUAUGUUACCUAUAUAGAGAGUUGAGGUAGCAGCCUUAAGUGAUGGUGAUAAAAAGAUUAAGCAGUGCACACAAUCUUACUGUCAUCCAGACCAUCCAGUGAUGGCUCUAGUUUUUUUGUUACGUUAGCUUUAGUGGAAAGAAGGGCCAAUUUAACAAAGACUAGAUUUGGUGGCUUACUAUGUUUAAUGUAAUGCUUAUUCUCAGCGCACACAAUCUUACUAUGUUUAAUGUAAUGGUUAUGUUGAAUGAUCUUCUAUGAUUGUGAGUAGUAUAGUAUAAUUGAAAAGGGCCUGGGCUCCUAUGAUGAAUAACAGUAACACAUUACUGUGAUUGAGAAAACUCAGUUCCAAUAAACUCUUCAUUUACUCAUUGCGGAGAUCGAAUGGCAAACAGAGAAUAGAAUGAAGCAGAAGAAUCUCAUUGUUAGGUUUUGAUGAUUUCAGAUGCUUUUUUUUUAAAAAAAAAUUGUGACAUCUUUGAUUUACGGCAGUUUUGCAGAAAAAAAAAACAUAUAAAAAUUAAGAGGGAUGAGUUAACUGACGAUUACAAUCAUUACAGCAAUGCUGAUGAGUGAUAUAUCACUUGAAAUUUACUUGUCAGUUGCUGAAAUGAUGAAAAAAAACCAACAAACGAUAACAGUAAUAAUGUUCCCUUGCUGAAAUUCAAUUUUGACUUUCGACUCUUGGCUUUUAUGGAGAGUAAAAUGACUUGUAUAUUAUACUCAUACAAUCCACUCUACAUAAUGAUAUCGUUUUAAUAAGGCAAUGGCUGAUGAUCUCCAUUUAAAAACUACAUCAAUUUUUUUGCUUCAUUUAACUUUUUGGUUGUUGAAAAUAACCUUAAUUAUCAAAUAAUUGGAGAAAGAGUUAAGAACAUUUAACAAAUUUAUGUGCAAAAAAAAAAAAAAAAGGAAGAAGUUGAAGAGAAAGGGUGCUUGCAGAAGUGGGUGUCAAAGAUAAAUCGGUCCAUAAGAAUUAUUGUGGUUAUUUUUUGGCAAUAUAAAAAUUUUUUAGCAAGUAAAAAUAAUUUUUUUUCCGAUUUACUAAAAAAUUAACUAAAAACUUCUGCGAUGUCAUUUUUUAUGGGUGCAUAUACCCUCCCUUUAAAAAAUUUAUAAUAAUUACUGCUUAAUAUAGUAUUAAAUACGAAAAAUAUCAAUAUUUGACUACUCAAAUUUAUAUCAUUAGGUCCUUAAAAUUUAAAAUGGAAGAUAUGAAAGGAAAUAUAUAUAAAUUUCAUUGUCCUGGGAAAGGACCCUCUUAUUAUCUUAUAAUAUUUGAAAUUUGAUAGAUUUUUUGAAACAAAUGUACUUUUAUUUGUGUACAAUCAAUAUUUACUCAUUUAUUAUAUUUUAAUUUAUUAACUAUCAAUCAUGUAAGUAUACUUAGUCAAAAAAAUUAUAUCAAGAGAGAAUUCUAAUUUCACGCAAAAACAAAUACCAAAACAAAUAUCUCAAUUUCUAUACUAUUCACUUUCCUGUAGAAUCAAUUAUUUAAAAUGCAAGUUUGUGGCUACAGAAAACUCGCCAAAGAAAGAAGAUAAUAACAAUUGAGCAUUGAUGGCAAAACUAAUGCAUCCAAUUCUUCUUGACUUGAUGAGAUGGCGCCAUAACGUAGAAACAAGUACCUAAAUUGACCGGCACUGAGUGGUGUGAAUACUACCAGCCAGUUCAUCUCUUCCAGUCUUGCUUAAUCACAAUCACAAACACCACGAGAUCGACAUUUGCAUUAUAUAUAUCUUCUGCAAUCGAAACACCUUGCAUUACCAAAUAAGCCCGUAACAGACAAAGCAAUCUUUCAUGGAGAGAAACCUUAGUCUCAGUAUGAUCACUGUGUCAUUAACGUACUGCCUGCUUCUUUGCUUGGUUGCUGCAGCAGCAGCAGCGGCAAGCAACAAUAUUACCACAGACCAACAAGCUCUUCUUGCCCUGAAAGAUCAUAUAAUUUAUGAUCCGACCAGCCUUUUAGCUCACAAUUGGACCUCGAAUACCUCUGUUUGUACCUGGAUUGGCAUCACUUGUGAUGCCAAUAGCCAUAGAGUCACAACCUUAGAUAUUUCUCAAUUCAAUCUACAAGGCACCAUCCCUCCUCAACUUGGGAACCUCUCUUCACUCACAACACUUAAUCUUAGUCAUAACAAGCUUUCUGGAAACGUUCCCUCCUCCAUCUACACCAUGCAUACGCUAGAAUUUCUUGACUUCACUGAUAACCAGCUCUCUGGUUCAGUGACUUCCUUCGUCUUGAACAUGUCUUCAAUAUUAGACAUUCGUUUGACCAAUAACAGACUUUCUGGUGAGCUUCCGAAAAAUAUUUAGAGCUAUCUUCCUCAUUUGAAAGCCCUUUUUUUGGACAAAAACAUGUUUCAUAGCAAACUUCCUUCUGCUUUAUCAAAGUGCAAACAACUGCAACAAUUAAAUUUGAAGUUCAAUAAUUUAUCCGGUGCAAUACCAAAAGAAAUCGGCAACUUGACUAUGCUCAAAGGGAUAGACCUCGGCUACAACAAACUCCACGGUAUGUUCAUAAUACUAUACAAAUAUUAUCUUUCUUGAAUACUUUAGAUAAGAUCUUGUAUGUGAGAUUUUUUUGCAUCUAUAUUAAUUUUCCAGGUGAGAUACCGCACGAAAUCGCUAAUCUUCCAAAUCUAGAGGCUUUAGCGCUUGGAAUGAACAACCUAGUUGGUGUGUUACCAGCUCCAAUCUUCAACAUGUCAACACUGAAUGUACUUAUCCUCAUAAAUAACUCUCUCUCCGGUAGUCUUCCAUCAAGAAUGGACCUUUCACUUCCAACUAUUGAGCAUCUUAACUUUGCACUUAAUAGAUUUUCUGGAACAAUUCCUAGUUCCAUAACCAAUGCUUCUAAGCUCACAUUUCUAGAGUUGGGAGGAAACACAUUUUCGGGCUUUAUUCCAAACACAAUUGGUAAUUUAAGAAACCUUGAGUUGUUCGGCUUGGUUUUUAACUACUUGACAUCUUCGAGCUCAAAAUUGAGCUUUCUUUCCUCUUUGGCAAAUUGCAAGAAAUUAAGAGUCAUAGGCUUAACAGGCAAUCCACUCAACGGCAUCCUUCCAAGUUCAGUAGGUAAUCUUUCUAUGUCUUUGAAAACACUUCACAUCGCCAAUUGCAGUAUUAGUGGCAACAUUCCUCCAGCAAUUAGCAAUUUAAGCAACUUGUUGGCCUUAGUAUUAGAAGGCAAUAAAUUGACUGGACCAAUCCCAACUACAUUCGGCCAACUACAGAAACUCCAAGGCUUAGAUCUCGCAUUCAAUAAGUUGGUAGGUUCAUUCCCAGAUGAGCUUUGCCAUCUAGCUAGGCUGGAUGAAUUGGUCUUAUUUGGCAAUAAGCUUUCAGGAUCUAUACCUUCAUGCUUAAGUAACCUCACUUCUCUGAGAUCUCUCCACUUAGGGUCCAAUAGGUUUACUUAUGUCAUUCCCUCAACUUUCUGGAGCCUAAAAGACAUCUUGUUCUUUGACUUUUCAUCAAAUUUCUUGGUUGGUCCUCUUUCUUUAGACAUAGGAAAUUUGAAGGUGCUUCUAGGAAUAAAUUUAUCAGAAAAUAACUUAUCGGGUGAUAUGCCAGCCACAAUUGGAGGACUAAAAAACCUUCAAAUUAUGGACCUAACAUAUAAUAGACUGGAAGGGCAAAUUCCUGAAUCAUUUGGUGACUUGACAAGUUUGGAGGUUUUGAAUUUGUCAAAUAAUAAAAUCUCUGGGUCUAUUCCAAAAUCCAUGGAGAAACUCUUUUACCUUCGAGAGUUAAAUCUCUCUUUCAAUGAACUAGAAGGUGAGAUUCCUAGUGGAGAAAUUUUUACCAACUUCACAGUUGAGUCAUUUAUGGGAAAUGAGUUAUUGUGUGGUUUACCAAAUCUUCAAGUCCAACCAUGCAAACUUAGCAAGCCAAGGACAGAACAUAAAUCAAGGAAAAAGAUACUUCUCAUUGUGAUUGUUUUGCCAUUGAGUAUUGCUCUAACAAUAGCAAUCACUCUACCUCUCAAAUCUAAGCUGACCAAAUGUGGAAAAAGAUGCACAGUGUUGUCAAAUGAUAGUGUCUUGUCAUCACAAGCAACACUAAGAAGAUUUUCAUACUUAGAACUUUUACAAGCAACAGAUAAUUUUGCUGAAAACAACGUAAUUGGCAUAGGUGGUUUUGGUUCUGUUUAUAGAGCAAGACUUGAAGAUGGGAUGAAGAUUGCAAUAAAAGUGUUUCACCAGCAAUGUGCAAGCGCAUUGAAGAGUUUUGAGGCUGAAUGUGAAGUGUUAAAAAAUAUUCGCCAUCGAAAUCUUAUCAAAGUUAUCAGCAGUUAUUCAAACAAUGACUUCAAAGCAUUAGUCCUAGAAUACAUGUCCAACAGGAGCUUGGGGGAUUGGUUGCAUUCCAGCAAUUAUAUGCUGAAUAUAUUUCAAAGGUUGAACAUAAUGAUUGACGUUGCAUCAGCUUUGGAAUAUCUCCACUUCGAUCAUUUACCUCCUAUUAUUCAUUGUGACUUAAAGCCUAGUAAUGUAUUGUUGGAUGAAAAUAUGGUUGCUCAUUUGAGUGAUUUUGGCAUAGCAAAGCUUUUAAUUGGGGAGGAUGUGUAUGUCAUGCGAACAAAAACCCUUGCCACUAUAGGUUACAUCGCACCAGGUUUGCUUCAAACAACUUUUUUUUAGUUCAUUUUAAAUUUUCUAAAUCAUUGAUUUUUACGAUCCUCAUAUCAAAUUGUUAUUGAUUAUUUAUCUAAUUGUGAAAUUAAUUUGAUUCAUAGAGUAUGGCAUAGAAGGAGAAAUAUCUACAAAAAGUGAUGUUUACAGCUAUGGGAUUAUGUCGAUGGAAACUUUUACCAAGAAAAAACCCACAGAUGAAAUUUUUGUUGGAGAAUUGAGCUUAAAGCGUUGGGUUGAUGACUUGCUUCCUGAUUCAUUAGUGGAAGUUGUGGACAAAACUCUAGUAAGUGGAGAGGAAAAACAUUUUGCCGCAAAGGAGCAAUGUCUGUUGUCUAUCUUUAGUUUGGCUCUGGAGUGUACAAUGGAAUCACUGAAAAAGAGGAUCAAUGCAAAAGAUAUUGUUACCAGAUUACUCAAGAUAAGAGACACAUUGAGUAAAAGGAUAGGAAAUUUAAGUUAAUAUCGUUUGCUUUCAUUGAUAGUUAUUUUGAAUUCAUGUAAUAAGUGUACGAACCUUAUAUCUUUUCCUUUGAUAUUUUUUUCCUUGAGAAAACUAUUGUAGUCAUCUUAUUUCCAUGGGCAGAGUUGAUUUAGUUCUUCCAAGAAAUGCUACUGAUGACCUUUGUUUUAUACUUUCUCUUUUUUUGCAUGUGUUUAGGUAGAACAGUGGUUUGGCUGCAGGCUAAGAAGACUAACUACACUAAAAGAAUAUGAUUUAAUUUAUUAAACAAAACUUCAAGAAAAGUAUUUCACUGCCCCCAAUGCUUUGGACACCUACUGGUGGGUUUGUACGUGUCCUCAACUUUUUUUUGGAGCACAAAAUUCGAGUCCCAUGGAGACUCAAACAUUCCUUUCCCACAUCUCGAGCACGCUAAAUUUAUCAGACUGACAACUGGGACAUAUACAAGAGUGAAAUGUUUAGAGCACUCUAAGUUCGAGUGAAAGAGAUUAAUUUACAGAAAAUAAAGCCAAGGGUUCAGAAAAAAGUGCAAAGAGAAUAAAGGAACGUCUGAGCUAUUUAAAGCUUCAUGGAAAGUUGAAGGCUCUCCAUAUUUUGUUAGAAGAUAGUAUGCAACAUUGAUCUCUGUGACAUACUCCGAGUGCCACGUUGGCGGUCGUCUCUCACGAGUUGACCGACGAAUUUCUUGAGCCUCGGACUCGACUAGUUCUUGUUCCUCGUGCUCUGGUGCUGCUUCAGAAGAAUUUGAAUCUUUUGAAUUAUUUUUCACAUAUACCGGUACAGUCUCUGACUUUUCUUUUACAGUGCUAUCAUCCUCAUCUUUCCUUUGCAAUUGAUCUUCUAUAAAAAUAACAUCUCUGCUGAUGACGAUCUUGUGGGCAGUGGGAUCCCACAGACGAUACCCUUUUACUCCAUCAGCAUAUCCCAAGAAGAUACAUCUUCUAGAUUUUGCAUCCAGUUUUGUUUUUUCUUGAGCAUUGUACAUCACGUACACAGGACAUCCAAAUGUAUGUAGGUAGGAAUAAUCAGCUGGCUUUCCAGUCUAUAUCUCCAUCGCUGUCUUCAGCCCAAUUACUGUAGAUGGUGAUCGAUUUACUAUAUAACAGGCAGUUUUGGCUGCUUCUACCCAAAAUGAAUUGGGUAGACCAGCAGUCCUCAACAUAGCUCUUAUCCGUUCUGUAAUAGUUCUAUUCAUCCGCUCUGCCACUCUAUUUUGUUGAGGAGUGUAUGCCACCGUGAACUGUCUCUGAAUACCUUCUUGCUUACAGAAAACAAGAAACUCGCCGUCUAUAUACUCUCCACCAUUAUCUGUCCUCAAGCACUUGAUCUUUUUACCAGAUUCAAGUUCUACCGUGCUUUUAAACACUGGAAAUACAUCUGACUUUUUCUUAAUUGGAUACACCCAACAUCUUCUGGAAUAAUCAUUAAUGAAAGUCACCAUGUACUUUGCACCUCCCAUGGAUAUAUCCGGUGAUUCCCAAAUAUCAAAAUGAAUCAAGUCUAUAAUGCAUUUACUUCUAGCAAUAGAUCUACUGAAUUUUAAUUUAUGCUGCUUACUUGUAACACAAUGCUCGCAAAAUGGUAAACUUACCGAUUUGAGCCCCGGAAGCAAUUUUCGCUCAAAGAGAAUCUUCAAUCCUUGUUCUGACAUGUGGCCAAGUUUGAGAUGCCACAUCAUCGUUGACUCUUCUCCAUUUGACGCGACACAUGCAUCAGCCUCUUGUAGUGUUUCUCCUUUAAGCAUGAAUAAAUUAGCACCGAUCUUUUCUGCCUUCAUCAAUACAAACGCACCUUUAACGAUCUUCAUAAUUCCAUUCUCCACAUGAGUUUUGUACCCAUGACUAUCCAUUUGUCCCAAAGGUAAAAGAUUUUUCUUCAGGCCGUUGACAUGUCGUACCUCCCUAAUUGUGCGAAUUGUACCAUCAAACAUUUUUAUUUUGAUAGUACCAAUACCAACGAUCUCCAAGGCAUGAUCAUUACCCAUAUAUACAGAUCCUCCUGAGAUAGGUUCAUAUGUGUGGAACCAUUCUCUCCGAGAGGUCAUGUGUCAGGUAGCUCCUGAGUCUAUAAGUCAGACAUCAGAUAGUCGUUUUCUGCCUUCUAAAACAGUUGUUGCCUCGCUGUAGAGAAUUUCGCCAUCAUCCGAGGUACUUACGACACAACCCUGAGCAUUUGAUGACUUAGGUUCUUUGCCCACUCUUGUCUUCUAAUUACUCCAACACUCUUUCUUGACGUGCCCUUUCUUGCCACAGUUGUAGCAUUUAACAUUCUUCUUACUUCUAGAUUUUGAUCUACCAUGAUUUUGACUCCCAUUGGGGCCACGUUCCGUUGAUCUCCCUCUCGUCACCGAUAGCGCCUCCGCUUGCUGCGAACUUGCUUGUCUGUUUUUCUUAUUUUUUCGUCUGCUUUCCUCAUUUAAUACAGAGGCUGCAACAUCGUCGAAAACUAGACUGUCCACUGGAUUGCUGUUCGUUAGGUUGAUGAUGAGUUGAUCAUACGAAUCUGGUAGACUUUGAAGUAGAAGCUCUGCACGUUCAUUCUCCUCUAUAUUAUGACCCAACGUUGUAAGUUGUGAAAAUAGAGUCUUCAAGGUGUUGAUGUGAUCGGUUACCAUUAUAGAUUCCGCCAUUUGAAGAGUAUAAAGUUUCCUCUUCAAGAAGAUUUUGUUGUGUAGUGACUUGGCCUCGUACAAUUUUGUGAGAGUAUCCUAAAUUUCCUUCGCUGUAUUUUUCUUUGCCACACUGGAUAAUACUCCGUCUGCAAGUGCCAAGUGUAGAUCAGAAAUGGCAUUGCCAUCUAUCUCGUUCCACUUGUCAUCAGUUAUCUCCAUGGGCCUUUCUCCAAUUGCUUCCAAGUAAUUAUUUUUCCUCAAUACAACUUUCAUCUUAAUUUUCCACAACGAAAAAUUAUUUUCGUUAAAUUUCUCAAUUUCAUACUUUGCUGUCAUUUUGUUGAUAAAUAUUGUACACAAACUAGUGUAUCACCUUGAAUAGUUGUGAGUAUGUGUAAGAAUGCACACCAGAAAAGUUCCUAGGAAAGACUGGAGGGGUCACAAUAGUCCCACUUAAAACUCAGACUCCUUAAGCUCUUAUCGCCUUUGUGACAGAACUUUCCUAGACAUGUAUAAAACCACACAAUUGCUUUACUCACACCACUAUUCCCUGCUUUGUACCGCCAAAUUCUUCGAUCGCUCCCACCGUUUCACGUGAAUAGUACUGUAUACGUGAACAGUACCGUGUACGUGAAUAGUAUCCCUUACGUGAACAGUACCCAACUCUAAAAAAUACAAUAAAUAGCUCUGAUACCACUGUUAGGAAAUUGGUGGGUGAAGCAGGACCGCAGCUAAUAUGAAAUUGGAAGAAAAUAAAGAACAAGGACAAAAAGAGGAUACCAGAAAUUACGUGGUUCGGCUUUUAACCUACGUCCACGGGCGAAAACAGAAGGAAAUAUUUUACUCGUAAAAAGGAGUUACAAGUAUUGUAGUAUUUUAGCUCACUUUCCAAAAUCCCAAUACACCCAAACUCUCAAAACACUAAAACAAGAGCUUAUAAUUUCAAGCUCUCUAAACUCUCUCUAAAUACAAGAAAACUCUUCUCAAAAUUGGAUAAGCAAAUGAGGGAAUGAGCCCCUCUAUUUAUAGCCAAAAUCUUGGCUACUAUUCACUUUUUUUUAAAAAUUAUUUAUUAUUGUUCAAAAUUUCAACAUUCAAAGUUUGAUAUUCAAACUUUGAAUAUCUAGAAUUUUGAAUUUGAUAUUCAAAGUUUGAAUAUCUAGAAGUUUGAAUUUGAUAUUCAAAGUUUGAAUAUCAAGACACCCAAUCUUGACACUAAAUUCACCAGACUGACAACUGGGGCAUAUAGAAGAGCGAAAUAACUGGGACAUAUACAAGAGUGAAAUGUUUAGAGCACGCUAAGUUCGAGUGAAAGAGAUUAAUUUACGGAAACUGAAGCCAAGAGAAUAAAGGACAACACUUACGUGAAGCGACAUAAUUGUAUUGAAAGCACAAUGUCAAAUUCAUACGGAGAUCUAGUAUAUUAUUUACAGCUGGUGAGGGCUAAGAAUUGAUGUAGCUAGAAUACAAAGACGAUAAGGUAUGUUGUGCACUAUUGUUUUAUUCUACGAUCAAUCUUGACCCUUGAUGCUUGGCUCUCAAUCUUGUCCAUUGAUCUUCUUUGAUUUUGGACACUUCAAGACCUUUCAGUAUCAUUCCUUGUUGUUGGUGUCUUCCGUGCUGUAGAAUUCAUAUACAAGCCUUCCCGCCGACUUGCCAAGUAUUCGUUCAUUGAUGCAUUUUUAUCAAACAGCUGGGCUACUUAUGCCAAACACCGCCUGGUUUAACUCCCCCUCUCUAGCUCAACUAUCUGGGAAGACAAUUAAUUGAGAUAUGAAUCAGAAAAUUAAAUUUUAAAAAUUGUAUUCGGACUCUACAUUUUGUAAUGAACAUUGGUUUGACUUGUUAUACAUUUAUGCGUACAUAAUUAAUAACCGAUUCUCAAGUGCGGACAUUCAAGAGCACUGCUUAAAGACCAAAUAUUUUGAUUUACUAUUUUUUGUCUUUCAAUUUUCUUUUAAGUUCUGAUGACGUCCGCAUUUUAAAAUCCUGUGGAACAAAGGCCUGACGUGCAUAUAAAAUUCUUUUAUUUUUUCAGAGGAAAAUGGGUUAGAGAAGAAGAUUUGGCAAAAGAAUUGCAACGGCAUUUGAAACUAGUCUUCGUCUUUUAAUUCUUUUAUAUUUGUUUUUGUUAUUGAUGUUAGCUUGGAUGUGAACCCGUGUGACUGAAUUCAACUUAUAUUUGUUUUUGUUAUUGUUAUUAAUUUUAUUUGUUUUUGUUAAAUUGGACCACCAACAAGGGCGGUCCAUUAUCAAAUCAACACGGUUUAAUUAUUAUUAUUUCUACACUUUUUUUAUGAACAAAUAUAAAAUAAAAGGACAUUUACACCCUCAAUUUUAGUGAAAUAGUCAUUAACACCCCUAAAUUUUUAAAAGUAGACAUCAAGAUCAUUUUUUUACCUUAAUACUCUUAUACGGUACCUCUAUUAUUCCCAAAAAUUGAUUCUAAUGUUUUAUAAUAAAUAAAAAUAAAACAUUAAAAUAAAUGUAAUAACAUAUAUAUUUUAAAAUAAUUUCAAUAUUUAAAAAAUAUUUUUAACAUUUUACAAUCUAUUAACUAUAUUUUAUUAUAUUGAAGUAAAUUUUAUAAUAAAUAGAAUCAUAUUAUUAAAAUAAAUGUAUUAAAAUUUAAAUGAUUUUGAAUAUCAUGUACAAUAAUAAUUUUAACAUUACUAAUAUGUCAGAUUUUUUUUUAAGAAUGUAUUUAGUGCAAAUAUUUCUUUCAAAUCUCCACAAUAAAUAAAAGAUUAAAAUAAAUAUAAUAAUUUACAUAUCUAAAUUUAUUAAAAUAUUUUAAUAUUGUUAGUCUACUGCAUAGAUCACAAUAUUUAUAUAAUAUUUGUAUUUAUUAAAAACUUUAAAAUCAAUUCUUUUGAGAAUAAUAGAGGUAAAGGGUAUAAUGGUCAAAAUGGGGACUUUGUACUCCUUUUUGAAAACUUGAAGGUGUUGGUGGCUAUUUUUCCAAACCUUCAGGGUGUAGAUGUCAUUUUUCCACAAAUAUAUGAGAAAAUUAUCAAGAAAUACAGUAUCUGAACUCUGAAGUAACAAGGAUCACCUUUUAUGAAAUCGAUUGCUUUUCAUGAUAGACUGUUACUAUUUUUCUACAAUAGAUUGAAUUUAGUAAAAAAUUGAUUAAGAUGUCUACUCAUGGAGAGUGAAAUUUAUGUUCAAUACUAAUUUCAACAUGCAUGCACCACCGAACGUGUUUCUCACGGAAAAGUUGCUUGGAUUUUUGGGACUUCCUGUUCAAAUAUUCAACACGGCAUGCACCACGCGAUUGAACAUGCAAAAGUAGGGGUCUAUUAUCAUUUCCAGCAUUAUAGAAAUCUUAAUUUUGUUCAUUAUUUAUUUUGAUCAGCACUGUUGAAUCUCCAUGUAUUGCCAAUCACUGGGAAACAACAUAUUCUUAUUAAUUAUAUCCUCUAAUGGAGAGAACUCAUUGUCUCAGUGUAAGAUCACUGUGUCAUUAACCCACAGCCUGCUGAUUUGCUUGGUUGCUGCAGCAAGCAAAAAUAUUACCACAGAUCAAAAAGCUCUUCUUGCCCCAAAAGAUCACAUAACUUAUGCUCCAACCAAUCUUUUGACCGAAAAUUGGACCUCAAAUACCUCUGUUUGUACGGGGAUUAGCAUCACUUGUGAUGUCAAUAGCCGCAGCCUUGGAUAUUUCUCAAUUCAAUCUACAAGGCACCAUUAUUCCAAACACAACUGGUAAUUUAAGAAACCUUAAGUGGCUCGGCUUGGCUUAUAAACUACUUGACAUCUUCAACUUCAAAAUUGAGCUUUCUUUCCUCUUUGGCAAAUUGCAAAAAAUUAAGAAUCUUAGGCUUACUGGAAAUCCACUUGACCGUAUCCUCUCACGUUCAAUAGGUAAUCUUUCUAUGUCUUAGGAAAGAUUUCACGUCGCCAAUUGCAGCAUUAGUGGCAGAAUUCCUCAAGUAAUCAGCAAUUUAAGCAACUUGUUGGCAGUUGUGCAAAAUUUUAAUAUACUCGCAAGUGCACGAAUCUAGAAAUAGAAUAAUGGUAAUGAGGUCAAACCCAUAGGGAUUGUUUUAAAAUGACAAAAGAAUAGCUGCUGGUCUAGAGGUGGCUUACUACAUUCAUACAAGAUCGUUUCUUGUUCUCUAAGAUGUGCAUUAUACUAAUAAUGCUAUACAAACUUAUCCAAAGGUCUAUUAAUUAAUUCAUUAAUCCAACGGCUUGUUAGGUUGUCCUUUCAUCCAUACAGCUGCAUGCUUGUCUUCAUAUACACUGAUCUUAUCCUCUAGAUCUGUUCAGGCUGAGUGAUCUCUCACAUUUGCCAUAUCAGAAGAUUACAUGCCAGUAAUGUCAUGUGAUGACCUGUUGCUUGGUGAUGUCGAAUGCCUGGCCUUUACUUCUCUGAGCAAAUUGAUCAAACAAUUUGUUCAUUUUAUCGAACACCUUCACCAACUAACAUUUUAUUUACUUUGGAUGGUUUUUAAGUGCAUUUAAUGAUUAUUUUUGCUCCAACUUCAGAUAAACCAAACGCCAGUAUAUUAGAAGAAGAAGUUAACUGGCAGCUAACCAGGUCAAAAUAGCGACUCUAUAUAAAAAAAAUAUAUAAAAUAAAAAAAUGGGACUUUAUUUAAUUAAUUGUUGGUCUAAAGCUGUUGGUAUCCGUUGGCCACGUUUCUGAAGAGUCAUCUCAAAUCGAAAUUUUUAACGAACAAAGGACAUUGCUGCUGGCUGCCGCCCGUGAGAUAAAAGUGCUAAAAUCCAAAAUGUUCCACCAUCAUUUAUUCUAAUUUUAAUUUUCCAAUGGAAAAAAUUACAUAAUUAAAAUGGCUUCUAAUAUCAUUUCCACACCUCAAUAUGUGUCACUAUCAUAAAGUUGUUCUCAUGAUUCAUGGAAAAUUUGGAUUACAGCACCUGUACUUUCUGAUGGUUCAUUAUUUAUUCUCAGGAAUCGAGUCUCCUUACAUUACCAAACUAAUAACAAACAGGAAUCUUUUAUCCUUUCACGGUGAGAAAUUACAGUCUUCGUAUGAUCGCAGUGCCAUUAACCCACUGCCUGCUUCUUUACUUGGUUGUUGCAGUAGCAGCAGCAAGCUACAUUACCACAGACCAACAAGCUCUUCUUGCCCUGAAAGCUCAUAUAAGUUAUGAUCCAACUAAUCUUUUGGCUCAAAAUUGGACCUCAAAUACCUCUGUUUGUAACUGGAUAGGCAUUACUUGUAAUGUCAAUAGCCAUAGAGUUACAGCAUUUGGAUGAAUUUUUAUUGAAACCUUUCUGAGAAGUAGGACAUGUCAGACAUCAAAGCACUGAGAUAUCUUCAAAUAGUGGUAACCCCACUCAUCAAGGCACAAUAAAUUAUACAGAUAAAAUCCUCCACUCUUUCGUAAUCAUCGGUGUAGGCACGGUGAUGCGUCGGACAGAUAUGGGUCGGAUCCACUCCAGCUCCAUAUCAAGAUUCAUAAACCAUGACAAAAAUAGAGAAUCAUAGGUGUUGCAGAUAGUGAUGGUUGUUGAUGCACUCGUAAUUUAAAAUUUUAUUUUAUAUCUUCAAGUUCGCAUUUUAAGUGUACAUUUUUUUUUUAUUUUGUGAUCAAUAUAACUUGUCAAAUCUAUUUUUAAAUAAUUUUUUAAAACAUUUUAUUAACAAUGAUAUGAAAAUAUUCGACCCCUUUUCAUAGUAAAGUGAAUUAUUAUCCGACAAUCCAACUCAUGUUUUCAAAUUGUAAAUUGCAAAUCGUGUGUUUGCUCCUGUUAGAGUGCAAUUUAUGCACUAGUUUUGCAUUGUUUACUUCCCUUAAUAUCGAUGUUUUGCACUUAAUAAUAAUGAUUUACUUGUGUUUUACUUUUGUAGGUGCAAUUCUAUUGAUUUGUGAUAAAAUUGAGCUAUAAGAUGAUGUUUAAAGAUGAUUGUUCUCUUGGAGAAAUGAUGAGCGUCAGAAGAACUUUGUUGAUAAGGCGUGAGCGCGUGCUGUCAACUACGGGCCUGCUGUUUUUAGUUUAACGUGUUUUGUAUUUUUGGUUAUUUUUGUAAUUACGAAUUUAAUAUUUCAGAUAUUAGUAUUUUAUUUUAAAUAGAAUUCUAGAGGAGAAGAGAGAGAGAGUAUUUAAGGGAGGAAUCUAUUGUGAAAAAAGGGGAUUUUGGAUUGGAGGAAAAGAAAAGAAACCCUAGAUCUAAUUUUUCUCUUCUCUCUAUGAAGAACUAAACUUAUUUUUCUGGUUGAAGGAUAAUGAAGCUUUGAUUCAUCACUACUGUGAGAUCUUUCUUGUGCUUUAAUUGUUUUAUUGCUUUUUGGGUAUUUGUUUAUUCUCUGAAUUAUUUUCAUGAUUAUGUUUGUUAAUUAGAUAAUUGGCCACUAUUUAAUUAUCAACUUAAUCUAUUGUUAAUUAAAGGAUUUAUCGUAUGAAGAAUUUAAUGUUUGUGACAAAUAACAUAGCAGAGAGUUGUGUUGUGAGAAUAAACAAUCUAAUUUAAAUGAAUCAUCAUAUGUGUUGAUUAGGAUUUAGGUCUCUCUGGUUUUUCAGGCUGUCAAUUGAUUAAAUCCUAUGAUCGUAUCUAGGGUUGUCCAUUGAUUAGGGAAAUAUCCAACGGUCGUACCUUGGUUAUCGACUAAUUAAGGAGAGAUUGGCUAUUAGAGGGUCUCAGUAGCUAUAACCGGUCUAUUCAUAAGUAAUAAUAAUUUAUAUUUGAAUCAAUGAUCAGUAGUCGAAUCAAGCUGAGUUAAUUCCUUCAACCGGAGCUUUCUCCAAUUUGAAUUACAACUUUAAUUUGCAUUCUUGUUAUUUUAAUUUGAUUUUUAUUAUUGUCAACAAUUCCCCCAUUUUACGUUUUACGUUUCAAAAGGAUUUAAAUAAUUACCGAUCUCUGUGGACACGACCCUGCUCAAUCACUAUACACAAUUUAUUUAGAGUAGGAAUUUAUUUUUGUUGGCUUCGACAACCAUCAAAUUUUGGCACUGUUGCCGGGGAUUGGUGUCAUUUAUUUAAUCCUUUUUACGUUUUACUUGGUGUAUGAUUCGUUCUUCUCGUACAGGUACACUUUCGUUUGAUCCUGAAAUUGAGAAGAUAGCUCGCCACCUGAGACAGCAGACGAAGCGAGCUAAGCAACGAUCCUCGUCACCUUUGCUUUCUGAAACAGAUACGGUGCUUGAUUUAGUUGAAUCAUCUAGCGAUUCGGAAGAACAAGUGAUGGAUAGAGUUGCACCUGUAGAAAGAACUCUUAGAGAGUUAGCUGAACCAGACUUGAAUCAACAACCACUCUGCAUUCAAUAUGUAGACUUGGAGGUAAAUUUUGAAUUAAAGUCUGGUCUUAUUCAUUUAUUACCCAAGUUUCGUGGUUUUGCAGGUGAAGAUCCUCAUAAACAUCUUAAGGAGUUUCAUGUUGUGUGUUCAAGUAUGAGGCCACAAGGCGUGACUGAAGAGCAGAUUAAGCUGCGUGCUUUUCCGUUCUCUGUAGAUGGGCUAGCUAAAGACUGGUUGUACUACUUGCCUCCUGGAUCGAUUACAACGUGGAAUGGUUUGAAGAAGCAAUUCCUCGAGAAGUACUUUCCUACUUCAAGAGCUGCCAACAUCAGAAAAGAUAUUUGUGGGAUCAGACAACUUCCUGGGGAGACUUUGUAUGAGUAUUGGGAGCGAUUUAAACAAUUGUGUGCCAGCUGUCCUCAGCAUCAGAUUUCUGAUCAACUUCUUAUUCAAUAUUUUUACGAAGGACUGUCAUUGAUGGAUAGGAGUAUGAUAGAUGCUGCUAGUGGAGGCGUGUUGGUGAACAAGACCCCUACUCAAGCAAGGGAGCUGAUAUCAAAUAUGGCUGCCAAUGCACAACAAUUUGGCAGCAGGCAAGAUCCCACUUCAAGGAAGGUAAAUGAGGUAAAUAUUUCUUCUGUUGAACAACGUUUAGAUAAACUUACUUCUCUUGUGGAAAAGUUUGUUGUAGGUAAUGUGCAACAUAUGAAGACUUGUGGCAUUUGUUACAAUAUGGGUCAUUCAAUUGAUAUGUGUCCUACACUUCAAGAAGAACCCGUUGAACAAGCCAAUGCAAUUCAAGGAUUUCCAGGCAUGCCUCAGAGGAGGUAUGAUCCUUAUGCACAAACAUACAAUCCGGGAUGGAAGGAUCAUCCCAACUUCAGCUAUGGAGUUAGGCCGUCAGGAUUCCCACAACAGUAUCCACCAAGACAACCAGCACCUCCACAGUCAAACUCCAAGUCAGGUAUAUCUCUUGAAGAAAUUGUUAAAUCACUUGCGACUAACACUCAACAAUUUCAGCAGGCAACUACAGCAAGCAUUCAGAAUUUGGAGAACCAAAUGAGUCAAUUGGCGAUUACAGUGAGCCGUCUGGAGUCUCAAGUAUUAGGGAGAUUGCCUUCACAAUCUGAGGUGAAUCCAAAGCAAAACAUUAGUGCUGUCAUCCUUAGAAGUGGGAAGGAGUUGCAAGAGCCUAGUAAGAAAGUGACAAAGCAUGUAGAAGAUGAGUUUGAGAAGAAUGAAUUGAUGCCUCAAUCUCAAGAUGUGGAACCCACCAGAGCGAAACCCCUACCUAUUGUGAUACCUCCUCCUUUUCCAAGCCGGUUUGCAAAAUCCAAGAAGGAGGAACAAGAGAAAGACAUCCUUGAGACAUUUCGCAAGGUUGAGGUAAAUAUUCCUUUAUUAGAUGCUAUAAAACAAAUACCUCGAUAUGCUAAAGUCCUUAAGGAACUGUGCACCUCCAAGAGAAAAUUAAGAGGAGAUGAAAAAGUUCACAUGGGGGAGAAUGUUUCAGCAGUUCUCCAAAAGAAACUACCUCCUAAGUGCAAGGAUCCAUGUAUGUUUACUAUCCCUUGUAAAAUUGGUAGUGUUAGAAUUGAAAAGGCUUUGUUAGAUCUAGGAGCUGCUAUUAAUGUCAUGCCUCGUUCCAUUUAUUCAUCUUUAAAUUUGGUCCAUUAAAAGAAACUGGCGUGAUAAUUCAACUAGCUGAUAGGUCUAAUGCAUAUCCUGAUGGGGUAUUAGAAGAUGUCUUAGUACAAGUUAAUGAGUUGGUUUUUCCUGCUGAUUUUUAUGUACUUGAUAUGGAAGAGGAUAACUCCUCUAAUUCUGUCCCAAUUUUGCUAGGAAGACCUUUUCUUAAGACUGCUAGGACUAAAAUGGAUGUACAUAAAGGGACUCUUACUAUGGAGUUUGAUGGAGAGGUUAUAGAAUUCAAUAUGAAUGAUGCCAUGAAAUAUCAUAGUGAGGAACAUUCGGUAUUUUCUGUAGAUGUUAUUAACCCGAUAGUGCAGGAAGUUAUUUACAAGGAAAAAACGACGACAUUUCAUGAUAGAAUGAUUUUGUGAAAGGAGUUCUCUGUUGGUCAAAAAGUUCUUCUUUUUCAUUCUAAGCUUAAACUUUUUUCGGGUAAAUUACGUUCUUGCUGGGUUGGACCUUUUAUUGUUACUAAUAUUUUUCCUCAUGGUGCAGUUGAGAUUCGGAGUCCGACCUCUGACAAAGUUUCUAAGGUUAAUGGUCAUCGCUUAAAACCUUUUUAUGAAGGUUUUUCGGUGAAUAUUGUGGAGGAUGUGGCUCUCGAGAGUCCCAAUUAUGGAGAUUGAUGCAUAAAUGUGUCUAGCCAAAGACAUAAAACAAAGGCGCUUUUUGGGAGGCAACCCAAAUGAUUUAUUUAUUUUGGUUUUUGUUAUAUCUUCUUUUAAUUUUGAUUCUUUUUUUUUUUAAUGUGUUUGCUUAUUUUGGUCAGAAUAAAAUUUUUGAUAAGGCGUGUCCACGUCUUAACUAAUAAGUACUUCUGUGAUUUUUAAAGUAAAAUGGUUUUAAGGUGUGCCCACGUGCUUAUUAAAAAAGUGCAUCUGAAAUUUUUGUUGUCUCAAAGUGAUUCAUCACAAAAAUAAAAAAAAAAUUAUUUAUUUAUUAUUUUUUUUUCUAUUUAUUUUUUUUUAAAAAAACGAAAAAAAAAGGAGAUUUUCUUUUGUUCUUUCUUUUAUAUAUUUAUUUAUUUAUUUAUAAAAAAAAUUCAAAAAAUCACUGUUAAAAAAAAAAAUUUACUGUUCAUAAAAUCCCUAAUUUUCCAGAACUUGUUUUCUUCUCCAACCGCUUGCAGCACACCAGCAGCAAAGCAGCCCGCCGGAAAACGCACCACCCCGCGCGCGCAGCACCAGCAUCGAGCACCAUCCCGCGAGCGCAGCACCAGCAUUCUGUGUCUCGCAGCCCAGCAGCGCGCAACGAAGUCCCACCAGCGCGCAACGCAGCCUCACCAGCGCGCAACGCAGCCCCAACGCACAGCAAACGAGCACGCCCCGCAACGCAGAUCCGCAGCUCUAGCCCGCCCGCGCAGCGCAAAUCAAUCCAGCCAUCACCAUCGCGCAGCGCAUCGGUCCCGCGCGCGCAACGCAACGCAGCAUCAGCAUCCCACGUCCAGCGAGCAGCAACCCGCGCGCGCAGAUCUAGUCUUCGCCCAGCAGCGCGCAGAACCAGCGUCAGCCUAGCUCUCGCGCGCAACACAGCCCACGCAGCACGCAGAUCUAGUAGCCCCAGCGCGCGCGCACAACACAAUCAGCGCCAUCCCGCGUCCAUCAAGCAAGCUCCAGCCGAGCAGCAAUCGCAACGCAACCAACGUACGACCUAUAUUCCAGCUGGAUAAAUCGAAAUCCGUGAGUGCAAUUAUUGUAACAAUGCCGAAGAGAAAAGCAUCAACUUCCAAGUCAUCUAAAAAGACACCCGUCGCAAAUAAAUCCAAGAUUGCCGGUCCCACUACGGUUCCUUGGAACACAAUUUCAGAUUCACGCCAAGCCGUGAGACAAAGCUCGAAACAUGGAAAAGGCAUGAGUGUUUUGCCACUUGCAGAAUCCAAUCUUGGAGGGUGCCUCGCAUUCGCGACUCAACAAGAGAAAGAGAGGUACAAAGAUAUUUUCACGCACAAAAUACUUCCAGCUAAGUAUAUUCCUUACCUGACUCUUGAAAAAUUGAAUGUUAAGGAUAAUUUUGAUUCUUUGAUAGAUAAGAUUGGGUUGCGUAAGUUUGUUGAUGUUGAUUGUUUGGGUUAUGUUGAGUUGAUUAGGGAGUUUUAUGCUACUUUUCAAUUUAAUAUGUCGAAUGAUUUUACUUUGCAUACCCCGGAUGUCAUAAAGUUUAGGUUAAUGGGACGAAAUUUUUCACACUCUAUCACGGAUUUUAACCUAGCUUUAGGAUUCAUUGAUGAUGAUUAUUCUUCUAGUGAUGCAUAUUUAGGAACAACUUGUGACUUUAGCGAAAAUUUUGAGCCUUAUGGUCUUUGCCGUAAUUUAUCUGUUGAUCACAAUGCUUAUGACCCAAGUAAAUCAAAGAGUUCUUUCUUACGUGAUCCUGUUUUGAAAUGUGUGCAUCGAUUCUUAGCAUAUAAAUUUUUAGGCAAGAAAGAUCACUCAGGAGUUUUCUCUAAAACUGAAUUUUAUUUUAUCUGGUGCAUGUUAAAUGAUGUGAGGCCUAAUUUAGGUUUUUGGUUAGCGGAUUAAUUUCAAAGUGUGCUUAAACGGUAUAUGACUUUAUUUCUUGGUCCAUACAUUACUCUGUUAGCUGUAAACCUACCUAUGUGUGCUUGAUCUUGACAAUAAUGAUUUGCAUCUUGCUUGAUUUUUGGAUAUGUCUGAGUUUGAAAGAACAGGUGUGGUCGAAUUCAAGGAGGGGAGAUUUCAGUUUACUGAACCAGCACCCACUCAACCUCCGAAGAAGCUUUAUGCUAGAAGUGGUGCUACCUCUGAUGACGAGUUUGACGACGACACUGCUGCCCCGCCAACUAUUCCUUCUACAUCCGCACCACCUUUGAGCAUUCAGUUAGAGAAAAUGGAGCACAAGCUGCACAAGAUGGAGCAGAAUUUGGCCGCACACUUCGAGAGUGUGGGAUUUACCCCACCAUUUCCGCCAAGCCCAUAGACGUUAUGUGGAUCAAAGUUCACAAUUCAGGGAAGUUUCUUUUUGCCCUUAAUCUUUUAUCCUUACGCUUUAAUUUUUGUGUGAGCUUUGAUUAUCUUACAUUGGGGACAAUGUAAGUUCUUGGUGUGGGGGAGGGAUUUUUGCAUUAUUGAUGUCUGAAAUUAUUGUUUUCACUCUACUCAUCCUUAAAUGAUUUUGGAGUUAGUAUGCUUUAUAUAUUAUUAAUUUUCUUUUCCUUUCUCUCUCACUACUCUUUUCCCAUCUAUCUCAAAUUAUUUACAUCUAUUUUUUUUUCUAUCAUACUCUUUCAUCACUCACAUUUUAUCUUUCAUUUUUUUUACUACAUACAUCUUUCUCGCUUAUUAUCCUUUUUACCUUUCCUUUUAUAUCUCACUCAUACCUUCUUCUCAUUCUACACCACUAUUGAUGGUUGAUUCGUUUGAAGAGUGUACAGGAUUUGAUGGCAAAUUUACCAACUUUGUGAGGAUUUAAGCCUAUGAGCAACCACUUUGCUCUAAUUAUUUUUUGUUAUGUGAAUAUCAAUCCUAGUUUGUUUAUUCUAGAACUUGCUUUGUUAUGCAUGUUGAAGCCACAUUACGGGAUUUUAUGCAUUAAAAUGAUAAGGGCAAACCCUUUUCUAUUUUUCUAUUCUCCCAUUUUUUUUUCUCUAUCCGAAGACCUUUAUUUGCUAUCUUGGUUUGAGCCUUAACCAUUACCCAUCUAAUUCUCUCCGUCUACUUAACCAUUUUUCUUCUUUUUGAGCCUCAAUUUAAUGAGAUUUUUUUUGGACUCAUUGUGUGGAUAUAUUUUGUUGCUUUUUCUACCUUGUAUUAAAGUUUCUCAAUUAGAUCAACAAGCAUUAUGCUUGAAUUGAAUUGUGCAAGGUUCGUUUCUUUUGUUUGAUUCAAAAACAAAAAAAAAAAGAAAAAGAAAAAGAAAAAGAAAAAUCGAAAAAAAAAGAAAAAAAAUGUUUACAUUCUUGGUGACAUGAGUAGAAAUAAGCAUUUUGAUAUCAUAAGUUCAUUCAAUGAGUUCAUUCUUCUCAUUUUGAUCUCUUUUUCUUUCGUAAACCUUUCUUUUUCAUUCAACCUAUUUAACCCCAUUACAACCCUUUUAAGACCCUUAGAUUUUUGCAUUUUAUUCAUGUUUUGUGGAUUGAGAUGUGAUAUAUGAGCAAGCUUAUGGUAAUAGCAUUCUUUGAUUUGAUUUGAGUGAAUAAAUGACACCCUAAAUACUUUGAGUGCAUGGAGUGAAGUUAUUGAGAGGGCUAUUAAAUAUUGUUGCACUUGAAUUUUGAAUGGAUCUUCUUGGUGGUUGAAUGUUCUUAUUCUAUCUUAUGAAAUUCUAUGCUUUAAAAUCCUUGUCUCUAGAAUGUUGAUCGACUUAAUUUCUUGAGGUAUGCUUGCCUAAAAUUGUUUUUGGAUGAGUUGAGAUGAGAAUUGAGUGGAACUUUGGGAUUAAUCUUGAGUUAUAUGCUUGAGGACAAGCAUCAUCUUGGUGUGGGGGAAUUUGUUAGAGUGCAAUUUAUGCACUAGUUUUGCAUUGUUUACUUCCCUUAAUAUCGAUGUUUUGCACUUAAUAAUAAUGAUUUACUUGUGUUUUACUUUUGUUGGUGCAAUUCUAUUUAUUUGUGAUAAAAUUGAGCUAUAAGAUGAUGUUUAAAGAUGAUUGUUCUCUUGGAGAAAUUAUGAGCAUCAGAAGAACUUUGUUGAUAAGGCGUGGGCGCGUGCUGUCAACUACGGACCUGCAGUUUUUAGUUUAACGUGUUUUGUAUUUUUGGUUAUUUUUGUAAUUAUGAAUUUAAUAUUUCAGAUAUUAGUAUUUUAUUUUAAAUAGAAUUCUAGAGGAGAAGAGAGAGAGAGUAUUUAAGGGAGGAAUCUAUUGUGAAAAAAAGGGAUUUUGGAUUGGAGGAAAAGAAAAGAAACCCUAGAUCUAAUUUUUCUCUUCUCUCUAUGAAGAACUAAACUUAUUUUUCUGGUUGAAGGAUAAUGAAGCUUUGAUUCAUCACUACUGUGAGAUCUUUCUUGUGCUUUAAUUGUUUUAUUGCUUUUUGGGUAUUUGUUUAUUCUCUGAAUUAUUUUCAUGAUUAUGUUUGUUAAUUAGAUAAUUGGGCACUAUUUAAUUAUCAACUUAAUCUAUUGUUAAUUAAAGGAUUCAUCGUAUGAAGAAUUUAAUGUUUGUGACAAAUAACAUAGCAGAGAAUUGUGUUGUGAGAAUAAACAAUCUAAUUUAAAUGAAUCAUCAUAUGUGUUGAUUAGGAUUUGGGUCUCUCUGGUUUUUCAGGCUGUCAAUUGAUUAAAUCCUAUGAUCGUAUCUAGGGUUGUCUAUUGAUUAGGGAAAUAUCCAAUGGUCGUACCUUGGUUAUCGACUAAUUAAGGAGAGAUUGGCUAUUAGAGGGUCUCAGUAGCUAUAACCGGUCUAUUCAUAAGUAAUAAUAAUUUAUAUUUGAAUCAAUGAUCAGUAGUCGAAUCAAGCUGAGUUAAUUCCUUCAACCAGAGCUUUCUCCAAUUUGAAUUACAACUUUAAUUUGCAUUCUUGUUAUUUUAAUUUGAUUUUUAUUAUUAUCAACAAUUCUCCCAUUUUACGUUUUACGUUUCAAAAGGAUUUAAAUAAUUACCGAUCUCUGUGGACACGACCCUGCUCAAUCACUAUACACAAUUUAUUUAGAGUAGGAAUUUAUUUUUGUUGGCUUCGACAACCAUCAGCUCCAUUACAGAGUUUCAUCAAUUUGAAAUAGAGAAUCAUUUGUGUUCUAGAUUAAUCGAGGGUCUAUAUCCAAAUCUAAAAAUUGACUAACUUGGUUUCUAUUAAAUUCUUAAUCCUAACAAGAAAAAUAGAAGAUUAAAAAUGACUAAUUUGGUUUCUAUUAAUUUGAGUAACGAUCGAAUUACCUCAUUUAUUAAGAUUUAUCAAAAUCCUAUGUCAAAAUCCAUUAAUAAUAUAGGUUGGAUGAUGAAAUAGUCACUUAUUAUUAUUUUUGACUUCAUAAAUAGAUGAACGGAUGUUAUUUUUGGAUUCUGGAGAAUCCAAAAUAUCAGGAUAUGUGAUAAAUGGAAUUAAGUUGUAGAUAAGAUAGAAAUGGAUUUGGAGAGAGAUUGGAAUCCUGGGUAAUCCGGUGUACGUUGUUGUGUUGAAUGCUCGUUGACUUCACGUUGACUGACACAUUAUUGGAAGAAGUGAGCAAGCUUAUUUUCUUCUCUCAUUUUUAAAUUUGUCUAAGUUUAUUGAUGUGAGGCCUUUGAGAUUGUAAGUUUCAAAUCUGAGAAGAAUAACCACACACCCAUUAAUAAAUUUGUGAGGAUUGUGAGGGUUGAUGCAAUAUAAUUUAGAUGCAAAGUGUUUACAAGUACGAUGCUUCAUAAGUGUUCUUCAAUCAUUAUAAACUCACGUUAUUUUUAUAAUGAUUGUUUCAUCUGCACAUGGAUAUAAUCAUAUGUUGAGAUUUUUUCCUAAAUUAUGGUCUUAUUUGGUAUUGAGGUGUUAGAUCUUUUAAGAUACAAUUACUAUUGGAAAAAAUAGUGCAACUAUGAAAUAAAAGUUAAUAUUGUGUACUAAUUAUAAUUGUUAAAUAAUAAUUUUGACAAAAUUAGUGAAGAUAUAUAGUUUUUUUUUUAUCAUAUAAGUAUAAAAUCAAAUCAACUUAACUUCUAAACUAUAUAGCAGCUACUGCUUACCAAAUAUUUUAGUGCUGUAGCUUUUAAGUUAUAACUGCCUAACCUCAGUCUCAAACAAUGGCUAUAAAGAUCAAAGAUUUCCUCAUAAAAAUUAUACGUCUUGUGAUUGCUUAUUUAAUUUAUAUUUUUUUAUUUAUCUUUAUUAAUUACAAUCAUCUUUUAAUAAAUUACAAUUGGAGGAAGUUGAUGUUCGAAGUGCUUAUGUCGACUCGAAGUUGUUGGGAAUUAAUGCAUGUAUUGAUUUAUUGGGAGUGUUUAAAUGAUUUUGUGAUUUACUUGAUUGAUUGAUUGAAUAUUGUUUGAUUACUUUGUAUCCAUUCUAGAAAGUUUAUUUCUUUGUGAAAUUUCGACAAAAUAUGUUUUUCUUUUUAAAUAAUAAGGGUGUUUUAAGUAAUUUUUAAAAAUAAAUGGACUAACUAGAAUUAAUUAUUAGGUAACUAACUCGAACUGUACAAGGUAAGCGAACAUUUAUGCUGAUUAUAUCAUGAUAAAUCAUUUUCCGAUUAGAAUUAGGAAACCAUUAGCAUAUUGACUUUUUUUUUUUUUUUUUUCAAUCUCCCUUUGCGAAAACGGAUUACAGAAUUAGAAAACAAUCCUAAUGAUAUUAUUGUUAGGUUUAAAACACGGCAUAGAUAGUCAAAAGCUAACUAGUCUGCAGUAAUUUGUUAAUUGCUAUCGCCUCUCCAUGCGUGGUGAAUAAUUUGUUGCAUGCAAACUUUUUCCAUUUUAAAUAAACACAACGCGAUGUUUAUCUGCUCCGCGUUUUGCAAUCUGUUUAUUCGUUGUUUAUUUGCUUCGUAAGUCCUCAAACUUUGAUAACCAAAAAUUUCACCAAACUAUGAAAAUUAUUCUGCAGGUUAGUUUUUAUUUUCGGAAUAAUUAUUUGAGAAUACUAAAACACAAUAUAAAAUAAGAAAAUAGGGGGUUAAAAUUUGAAAAAAAAAAACAAAAGGGCAUGUUGGAUAGAUUACUGUGGUUUAAGAAAAAAAAUUAUUCAGUUGGGAAUUUUUUUUCUUUAAUUUUUGUUUUACUUAAUUGAGAUUUCUCCUUAAUCCUUACAGUUUUAAAUUUGGAUAACAUAGGAUUAGUAAUUUAGUACUUCCUUUGCAAGCUGAGGUUAAGGAUGAAAUUCUUUUAAGAAAAAAAGAUAAAAGAGCAUAACAAUAGUCAAUUAUAAAUAACCACAAAUAAAUACAAACAAAAUGUUUAUGAAGUAAAUUAAAAAUGCACAUAUUAUUUUUUAUUUUAUUUCUUACUAAUCUGUGUAUUUGCUGCUUGAAAAACCAUAAAUACACAGAUGACCAUUGGCUUCGCACCAUUUAAUCGGGAUACAUUUCUACGUACAAACUGAACAAGGCUAUUGAUUUUUAUUUAUUUAUAAAUUACUAUUUCAAUUUUCACUUUUUAUUGGGUUGUUUAAUGGAUUAGUGAGGCUGGUGGUCGUUGAUGCACUCACAAGGUACAAUUUUGUUUUCAAAUUUCAAAUUCGUAUUUUAAAAUGCAGCACAUUAUGCAUACAUAAUUAUUGAUUUUCAUAUGUGGGUGUUUUGAAAUAUUGCUAAAAGGCCAAACUUUAAUAAACUAUUUUUGAUCCUUUUUUGUUUCUUUUUUCCUAAAGUUUGAGUGAUAUCCGCAUUUUUAAAAGCUAAUGUAUGCAAAAAAUUCUUUCAUUUUUCUGGGGAAAAUAGGUAAGAGAAAAAGUUUUGGCAAAUGAGCUGCAACUGAAUUCAAAACCAAUACGAUGCGAGCAUAGGAAAGAGGUCAGUGUUUUGGAUUUGAAUUUAAAGAGGUCAGUGUUUUGGAUUUGAAUUUAGUAUUGAGCUGAAUUUUAUGUUUAACACAUGAUUCUAUUAUAGUACUGCGAUUAAUAAGCUCAGCCCCGGAUUUGCUUUUGCUUUUGCUUUUACUUCAAGUGAAAGAAAGAGGAAACCUUUUGUUUUUUCUUUGGUUUUUGACUAUGUUACCUAUACAGAGAGUCAAGAUAUCAGCCAUAAGUGAUGGUGUUAAAAAGAUUAAGCAGCGCACACAAUCUUACUGCUGUCUAGACGAUCCAAUGAUGACUCCAGUCUUUUGGUUACAUUAGCUUUAGUUGAAAUAAGGGCCAAUUUAGCAAACACUAGCUUUGGUGGCUUAUUAUGUUUAAUGUAAUGCUUAUUCUUAAGGAAUCUAAUGUAUAUAAGAUGAUUGAAUGAUCUUCUAUGAUUGUGAGUAGUAUAGGAUAAUUGAAAAGAGUCUGGUGUUAAAGGCUUACAGUUUUAAGCCUUUUAAACCAUGCGAUUUUAAAGUUUUACCGGAUUUUCCCGCACUUUAAAAUUUUAGACUGAAACAUUUUUGUAUAUAUAUACAUAAAAAUAUAUAUAUAUAAAUAUAUAAAUUAAGAGGGAUGAGUUAACUGAAGAUUAUAAUCAUUACAACAAUGCUGAUGAGUGAUACAUCACUUGAAAUUUACUUGUCAGUUGCUGAAAUGAUGAAAAAAAAAAUAAACAAUAACAGUGAUAAUGUUCUCUUGCUGAAAUGACUUGUAUAUUAUACAAUCCACUCUACUUAAUGAUAUCGUUUUAAUAAAUGUUUGAUGAUCUCCAUUUAAAAACUACUUCAAUUUUUUUCUUCAUUUAAGUUUUUGGUUGUUGAAAAUAACCUUAAUUAUCAAAUAAUUGGAGAAAGAGUAAAGAACAUUUAACAAAUUUAUGUGCAAAAAAAAAAAAGGGAGAAGUUGAAGAGAAAGGGUGCUUGCAGAAGUAGGUGUCAAAGAUAAAUCGGUCCAUAGGAAUUAUUUUGGUUAUUUUUUAGCAAUAGAAAAAUUUUUUAGCAAGUAAAAAUUAAUUUUUUUCCGCUUUACUAAAAAAUUAACUAAAAACUUAUGCGAUAGCAUUUUUUAUGGGUGCAUAUACUUCCCUUUAAAAAAAAUAUAAUAAUUAAUGCUUAAUAUAGUAUUAAAUACGAAAAUAUCAAUAUUUGACUACUCAAAUGUAUAUCAUUAGGUCCUUAAAAUUUAAAAUUGAAGAUACAAAAGGUAAUAUAUAUAAAUUUCAUUCUCAUGGGAAAGGAUCAUCUUAUAAUCUUAUAAUAUUUGAGCUUUGAAAGAUUUUUUUGAAACAAAUGUACUUUUAUUUGUGUACAAUCAAUAUGUACUUAUUUAUUAUAUUUUUAUUUAUUAACUAUCAAUCAUGUGAGUAUAUUUAGUCAGAAAAAUUAUAUCAAGAGAGAACCCUAAUUUCACGUAAAGACAAAUACAAGACAAAUAUGGCAAUUUCUAUACUAUUCACUUUCCUGUAAAAUCAAUUAUCUAAAAUGCAAGUUUGUGGCUUCAAAAAACUCGCCAAAGAAAGAAGAUAAUAGCAAUUGAGCAUUGAUAGCAAAUCUAAUGCAUCCAAUUCUUCUUAACUUGAUGAGUGACGUGAAUGCUACCAGUCUGUGACACCCAAAUUUUUAUUAUUUUAUUUAUUUUUUUAAUGGAAUUUGUAAAUGACGUUUUUGCCCUUAUAAAAAGGGUUAUUCAUGGAAUAAUUUUUAGGAAAGGGUUAUUUUUCCAAAUUCAAUAGGGUUUCUUAAGACUCCCUAUAAAUUCAUAUUUUUCUCCUUUCAUAACCCUAAAAGCACGACGUUUCUUCUUUUUCUAUACUGCUCAUUACACUCUUACCCAAACCCUAAGAUUCAAACCUUUGGUUAAGAGAGAAUCAAAGCGAUUGGUAAGUUUAUUCCCCUUAUUCUCUACAAGAUUCCCAAUCACUCUAUCUAGGGUCUAUAUUGGCAUGAUUUUAGAUUGUUAUAGAUCAUAAUACAUGAUUUAGAAUGUGUUUAGGCUUUGUUUAGAGUUUUGAUUUAUUAUGAGUUUAGUUAAUCAACCUUGACGUAUUAAGCACAUAGAAUAGUUCCAUAGAAUAUUAUGUUAUUCUAAGUUUUAGAUUAAGAGUUAAAAUUCUAAGCAUCAGACUUGUACGGGUACGAAUUAGAAAAAUCGGGUUCUUAGAAUAAGUUAUUAAUUGUCAUAUCUUGUAUUUGUUUAAGGUGAUUGAGGCUCUUAGAGGGUUAGAGGUGUGUUAAUUCAAAUUCUUUUGUCGAGGUAAGUAACUUCAUUCCUAAUGUACUGGAUAUAUAUAUAUAUAUAUGAUUAUUUUGAUAUUAUUAUAAGUACACAAAUUUUUUUACUACUUAGAAGAUUAAUUGAUUUUCAUAACAAAAUCAGUUUGUGUAAAUGUUUUCAAACCUAAAUUCCUUUUAAUAAAUUAUUUUGUAAAGGCUUUUAAAUAUGUAAGUUAUUUUAUGACAUGACUACCUUUUAUAAUUUUGUCUAUGAAAUAUUUGCAAGCCUAAAUUGUGGUUAUGGACUUUCAUGAAACUAAUACGAAUGUUUUGUACCUAUGUAUGAUUUCAAUUAUUUAUGAUUGUACGGGGGCCACCUCUUGGGACUAUAUGGGGGCCACCUCUUGAAAUUCAAAGCAUCACAAAAGUGCCACGUAUAAGUCAUUAUGUUUUGGCUCAUUAUCUGUAGUUAUUCUGAUUCUGAUUCUGAUGGUAUAAUACAAUAUAUGUCUGUUCUGGACCAGUACUAGGUUUUUGUUUUGAGUGUGCACAUGAUAUUCUGACUCUGUUUCUGGCCGGGUCACUAGGACUAUAGGUGACACUAUGUGACAUGAGCUAACCUUUUGUUUUCUGUGAAUGUGAUAUAUGAUUUGCUUUUGUAAAUAACUAUGCUUUUGAUAUUCUGAGUUACAAUGAAUUUAAAUUAUUUUAUAGUGAUAUAUCGUUUUAUGAAAUUUAUGGAUUAUGAUAUAUGUUUUAAUUAAAAGAAGGCUUGCAAUAUUUUUGGUAUUGAUAGGUCUAGUGUGUUAGGAAUAUUUUUACUUACCGAGUUGACGGCUCACCCCUCGUCAUUACUUUUUGCAGAUUAAGUUUCUUUUGAGAGCUGCGCUUAGCUUUGGAGUUAGUAAUUUUCUGUUUCCGUUUGCCAUUUGAAUAAGAGGAGAAAUAAACUCAUGUUUCUAUUUAGUUUAUUUAUGUUAUGAAUGUGUAAUUUGGAGUUUGAGACUUUUGUUAUUUUUUUUAUGUCCUCGGGAGAGAUUAUUUAGUAUUAGACGUUUGAAUUUGUGGAUUUAUUUGAAUAAGAAUUUGAGGUAUUUCAGUUUGAAACUUAUGAGUAAAGAUUAUGAUUUGUAAGUAACAUCCUUCUUCACGUGCUCCGCACGUGUUAGAUUUGGGGUGUUACAAUUGUGGUAUCAGGGCAUUAGGUUUGGGAUUCUGUAAACUUUAUUUGAGGCUAGAUUUCUUAAGCACAAUCAAUUAGUUCAAUGGUAUUGCUUGCCAUGAGGUUAUCGGAAAGAGUAGAUCUUUAAGGCGAGGAGUAAUUUUGGUCUUUUUGAUUUUCUAGUUGCUUGUGACUUUGUAAUAACUCCUUGAUAUAGGAUUUUGGUAUUAACGUAGAAUGAAAUAUUUGUUUGCUCUUGUUGUCAAUUACUAACUUUUCUCAAUUAUACUAUUUACUCAGUACUUUGUGCUAUAGCAAGCCCUUUAACUAUGAAUUAUUUACCAUUUUAUUUAUUUAUUUAUUUUUAUUCUUCGUGUUAUAGUCAAAAGAUGUCACGUAGGGGAGGUGCUAGGCAUGCCUUUAGCUCGAGAGAUGUUUUAGGUAUCGUUGAUGACGCUGACCUAACCUUGCGCGAGAUGGCUAACGAAGGGAAUCCUAUGAUGCGCGCAAUGGUUAGAUUGAUGGAACAACAAAGUAAGUUGAUUCAAGAUAUGGCUAGAGGUAAAGUUGGGGCACAUGAGAUUGUGCCAGUUGAAAGACAAGGUGGUGGAAGAGAUCAGGGAGGUAUGAUGAGCUUAGAGCGGUUUAGGAAAUUGAGACCACCUACCUUUCAGGGGGCUGCCAAUCCUAUGGUUGCAGAGGCAUGGCUAAAACAGAUGGAGAAGAUAUUUAUGGCUAUGGGUUGUAAUGAUGAUUAGAGGGUGAUAUUGGCCUCAUUGGUCCUUUAGGGUGAGGUAGACCACUGGUGGGAUGCCAAAUCCCGUCUUUUGAGGGCCGGGUUGCAAGAUGCACCUAUUACUUGGGAGUUAUUUCUGAAGGCUUUUCAUGAAAAAUAUUUUCCUGAACGAGUUCGACAUCAGAUGGAGGCUGACUUCCUGAAAUUGACUCAAGGAACAAAGCAUGUUGCGGAGUAUGAGGAGCAAUUUACUGCUCUAUCUCGUUUUUCUCGUACCUUAGUUGCUAAUGAGGGUAGUAAGUGUAGGAAAUUCUUGGAAGGCUUACAUCCAAACAUAAAAAGACGGUUGACCAUCCUUAAGCUUAAUAAUAAUGCCCAUUUGGUGGAUAGUACGAUUAUUGCAGAGAGGGAUAUAAUUCAAUCUCAAGUUGCACGAUCUAAUCGACAUAAUAACCAGCCAAUAAAACAUGAUAGUAAUGGUAGUGAAGGUGAACAUAAGUGCACUCUAAUGGUGGGUCUAUUCAAGAGAACAAACCAUUCUGUAAUCGUUGUGACAAGUACCAUAAUGGCACGUGUUAUUUAAAGAUAUGAGCUUGUUUUGGCUAUGGACAGAUUGGGCAUAAGGUUAUAAAUUGCCCAAAAAAGCACAGUGGUAACAUAGAUUCUGCCGAGAACCAAAGGAAAAAGCCACGUGUCUUCGCCAUGGUGGAGCAAGAUAUUAAAAAACCGAAUAACGAAGCCUCAGGUGCAUUACCUAUUUUCCAUAGAAAGCCUUGAAUUUUUGAGUAAUUGGUAUUGUGCUUUUCCUCCAUCCUUUCUUAUUGGAUGCAUCGUAGCUAGAGUUUUUAGCCUAAUAAUCACUACUAGAAAAAUAGGCUUUACUGACGCUAAAUUAGUGUCAGUAAUUACUUUUCCUGACACUUAUUAAUUGUGUCAAUAAUGCUCCAGCCAUAAUACACUGACACUAAUUUCUAGUGUCAGCGAUUUUUGUGUCAGUAAUUCAUGUCAUUAUGGUAUCACGAAAAUAAUGACACGAUAGCGUUAGUAUUUAAUGAUACUAUUUAUAUGUCAGUAAUUUAUGAGACUACAGUAUCAAGAGCACACUGACUCAAUAACAUCAAAAAUUACUACUGCUAUUUUAAACAUUUAGUGUCAGUAUUUAGUGAUGUUAUGGUUCUUUUGGUUAAUAGUAUACUUUGAUUUUAAUUAUAUUUUCCUAUUUGUUUUACAACUGAAAGAAAACUCAAAAUAUAUUAAAUAUACAAAAUCUCGCAACACAAUUGCAUAAGAAACAUCUCAAAUACAUCACUCAAAUUCAUAUCAUUAAACUACAUCAUUGUUUGGAAAAGAAAAAUAUAAAUACUAAAUUAAGUCUUGGACAAGCUCUUAACAACCAAGUACUAAGUUAAGAUUCAACAAAUAUUAACCAACAAAAAGAAGCACAUAAUGUCAUUGAACAUCCACAAGCGGCUUCAUUUUUCUUUUCCCACCUACAAGUACAUAAAAUCAAUUAGUAUACCACAAAAAGUAAUUCUUGAAUUUUUGGGAGAAAAAACAAUCAGGCCAAUUUCAGUGUUCAAAGAGACUAACAAAGAAUGGGGGCAAAAACAAUACAUAGCUCUCUUAGUGCAAGCUAAUUGUAAUAGGUAGUAUUGUGAAGAAUAUUUAUCUGCUAAGAAUUGAACUUGAGUGGAUUUUCCUACAGAUCUAUACACAACUCAACUUAAGAAGAAUAAAAAAAUAAAAAAAUAAAAAUCCUAAGGAUUAAGAAAGAUAAAUGGAGAUUUAUUAGUAUACAUCCAAAAUUAGAAACUCAUUAAACAAUCCAGGGGUAAAAAUUGAGGAAUAAGAAUAUAGCGUAUCUCAGGAUAAGACCAAAGACAUAAUAACAGAAACAUUUGAGGCAAACCACUACAAAGUUUUUACAUAAUAACCCAAAGCAAAGCAAACCAUUAUAAAAUUUUUACAUAAUAACCUAGAAACAAAACAGACGAAAAUUGGGCAAGUCCAUAUCCCAAACCUCUGUUAGGAAAAAUGUGUUCAGCAGACUCAUGGCUCCAACAAUAGAAAUUAACCCGUACACAAGGAAACAAAUUAAUUGAUAUAAAAAACAGUCAAAGACAAAGCCAACUAAGAAGAUUAACUAAUUUGGAGAUUGAAUUACAUAGUUAUUUUUACAAAAUAUAGCAUAAGCCCAUUGUAUUUCAUAGUAAGCAACUGCAAAAAUGCCUAGAGGCAAAUUCAUAAAGGAAGAGUAGAUAGAAGAAAAAAAAGACGAGGAAAUAAACAGCUUGAAACAAACAAAUCACCUAACACAUCAUGGGGAAUUGACUUGUUAACGUUAAAGAGCAAAAUAAAACUUGGCACCUUCAUUCGAAAAAGAACAGACGCUUACCCCUUACGGAGAAUGGCUUAGGUUUUUCUUUAGAGUUUCAGGCUGAUUUAUAAGAAUAUGAAGAAGAAAUGAUUAUGGAAGUUUGAUAGUGAUCAAGGAUUGAAUAUUGGGCUUAAAAUACAAAUUGGCAGUGAGGGCUGGUUUUCGAUCAUAAUGUUGAGAGACCACUAAUUCCCAAUACUUGUACCCUCUCACAGAAAAAUCCAAAUUUAAUAAACAUGAACUAAAUCCAGUGUAUUGAGUGUUAUUAUUUAAUGGAACAUAAAAUCUCUGGGUCAAAUAAUUCUAAAGUUAAACCAACAAUAAUCCCAAAAGCUAUAGUUGAUAAGAAAGGCCCAACAGUAUACUUCUAUCACACAAAAUUUGAAGAUAGAAAAAAGAAGGGCCUUUUUGUUUUUUAACUGAAACUGAAAAAAGAUUCAGUAUUAACAAUUCAUAAAUUUUAAAGACGUUGGUUUUCCAUCUUAACACUGAAAACUUGGUGUUUAUAUAUCCGAAUAUAAUUAAGCCAAAAAUUUUAAUUUAUCACUAAAUAGGAAAACAACUAAAUAAGCUGCAUAGUUUUAUUUUCCAAUAAAUGCUUAUAAUAUUUAUUCAUUCCUUACCAUAUAAAAACCUAUCCUUCAUUAUUUAUUUAUUUUUUAUAGGAAACAGAGAAAUUAGUAUUAAUAAGAACAAUAAUUACAAAAUGUCAAAAGGGUGUCCACAAAAAAAGGCUAUUGAAGUAUCACAGACCAAUCUCCAAAUUAGGCAAGCACUCAGAUUCCAAGCUAAUACUCCAAAAAACAAAUCUAACCUCAAACUACCUGAUAAACAGCUCAAAAUGACAUAAUCCUCAACAUUCUUCAGACUAAUUGAUCAUGCAUCAAGGUAUGUUGGGAUCUACAAAUACAUUGAAAAGAUCUUUGCAAAUAACAGUACAACUAGAAAGCUUGGUGUUUACAUUCUUGAAAAUUCUUUUUAUUGCUGACAAUAGAAAGGGAUUCCUUUUUCUGCUUAUUUCCUAAAAAUACUAAUAUAUGCUGCCCCACUAUACUCACAAGUAAUCUUACACAAAUGCUCUUUAGACAAGAUUAGUAUUUGCUACCUUUCACCCCAAUUACAAAACCAUAGAAACUCACCACCUAGACAAAUUUUAAAUUGUCUCUAUAGUUGGCUAUUAAAAACUGCUAAAUUUGUUUGCAGCCAUGCCCAAAAAUUUCAAGAACAUUGAACACAACGUAUUAUAGGUACAAACAAGAUAAAAUGAUGUUCCAGGAUUCACUCGACAUGUCAUCCAAGGUGAUACAAAACGGUAGAACUAUAGAACUAGGACAAAACUUGCAGCAAGAUAAUGGCAAUUUCCCCCUUUCGUGUAAGAUAAUCAUAUUAUUCUUCAAAGAGAGACGCACAAAAAAAAAAUGCUUGUUGAAAACAAGCAAGCAUAUGGGUAUGAGUCUAUUGUUGUUUAUCUGUGAAUCAUGUUAAUAACCAGCCACAGAAAAAUAGUAAACAAUAGUUUUCACACAAUCGAUGCAUAUUAACACAAGCCACGGAUUAUGAUUUCACUAACCAUUGCACACAAAGGUUCCAGACCAAUUUUAGAAGGAGGUUCUACAAGUUACUUUCCUUCAACUACUUGAAAAUCAAUCAUUAACUAAAGAAAUACACAUGAAAUUAGUUUAAAUAAUAGGAAAGGUAAAGGAGACAUUUUAUAAAAACUCUUAAAUGUGGUACUAUGAUUUCCACAGACUGUGCAACAAAAAUAAAAUUGGAUGAACUAUAAUAAGUGAGAAGACAUAUUGUAAUUCUAUCAUCAAAGAAAGAUAAGCUUAAUCAUUUUUAAUUUUUUCUCAAAUAUCCAGUAGUACCUUAAGGUAAUAGGACAAGAUCGCAGAAGUUGUCAUGAAGAGUGUAAAGCACUAAAUAACAAAAAUUAUACUAAUAAAUAAAACUCAAUUUAUUUUCUCCCUCAAUCAAUUGCUUUGAGCUUACUAUGAAUUCAACUAUGAAUUUGAGGAAAAAAUACAGACCUCAGUUUGUCAACUUCUUGUUCAUGAGAUUCAGCCGCAGUAAAUGCAAACCUCCAUUUCUCGUCAAGCAUUGUUAACCUCUACGACAAAUUGAAGGUAAGAAGAUGAACAAAAUAAGUGUAAUGUGCAGGAAAAAAAAUGAAGUCUAUGGGUACAACAACACUUCAAGAUUUUUCAAGUUCUAGUUCAUUUAAAUAGACAUUCCUUGAACUUCAGUAGCAAAGAAAGUACAUUAUAGCAACAAUUUCAAUUCAUUUCAAUCUUUAGAAUUUUUUAUUUUAAAAAAAUAAAUUCCUUCAAACUAGUGAAAGGAAAAUAAAAGUGUGUUUACAGAAGAAAAAUCAUGGAAUGAAUUAAUGACCAUGCAAGUGAGGAAACACAGAAAUUUCUGAAUAAGAGCGAAACUAACCGUGCAAAUGAACAAAGAAAAUGUAAGUCUUCAAGUGCUACAACAAGCAAAACUACCUAAAAACAAGCAUUUUCUUCUUGAAUUAAAGACAAAUCAUGAACUUUGUGCAAUCUCAAAACAUUCAGACAAGCAUGAACUUAGUUAAUUCAUAUCAUAGUCAUUGUCUCUAUUAAAAAUCUUCCAACUAAAAAAAAUAAAAAAAUAAACAUGUUGGUUUCUAUAACAUAAUUUGCCUAUCUUUACAUGAAACAGAGCAAUAAAUAACACUUAAUAAUUAUGAAAUACACAGCCAUUCAAUCUAUAUAAUAUAGAAAUAAAGGAAAAAAAAGAAAAAAAUUCAAAUUACAAUUAAAUAAACAAAAAAUAGAUAUGGAAAAGAAAUCCCACCAAGACUGCACUACUGGGAGAAUUUCUCAACAUCUGCAACAACCCAUAAAAUUAAAAUUAACAAAAAACCCUAAUAAUCAUAAGCUAAAAUAAAACAAAUUUAUUAAUUAAUUUGACAAAGAAAAUAAAAUAUUAAGCCAUUACCAGCAGUUAAAGCCUUAAUCAAGGCAACCUGUUUGCCCUUAAAGUCAUUGAAAAUCUCCUUCACAGGUCUAAGUAUAAGGUGUGGUAUCCCUUCCAUAGCAAGAAAAUUAACUAAUUUCUCAAUAAUUUUAUUCAAAUUCAAGCAAAUGGGUUUUGAAUAUUGAACAAAAAAAAGUGAAAUUUGACCAUAAAAAGAAAAAAAAUUGAUAAAAGAAGCCUCGAUUACGGUUUUGGUCCGUUUUUCAAUUUGAGAAAAAAAAGGAAAAAGGGAAUAAAAGCCUCACUUAGGGUUUUAGCUUUAUAUUAUCUAUUUGAGUUAAAUGAACGAGUUUGUGAAUGGAAAGAAAAAAAAGGAAGAGAUCGAGAAGAGAAAAAGGAAAGAGAAAGGGAAAGAGAAAGGCAAGAGACAGUUUUGGGUUUGAGUUUGGGUUAGAGAUUUGUGUGUAUAAAAGACAGGGAGAUGGGGACAAUUGCUAAGUUUGGGAUAUGUUUUACUUUCGUUUUACAUGUUUUAAAUUCUUAAUUUAGUACCUGCAGUGUCGAACCACUUGAACGGAAGUGAUAGUGGCAACGGCGUGGGGGUGGGCGCAGCCAUGGGGGUUGGGCGCGGCCGUGGGCGUGGGCGUUUGGGCCUGGUCAUUCUCCAUCUUUCACGAUAGAGAAGAAGAAGUCAAGAAAGGCAAGGAAAUUACGCAGCAGCUACGACAUGGGCUCUAUUGCACAAUGGAAAAGGGGAAUUAGGGUUUGGUUUUUUAUAUGUUAAUAUUUUAUAUAACAUUGUAAUUCCAACUCAAUUUUAUGGGGUCCAGUGGUUUGCAAUCUAAACGUAAAAGUUUUGAGUUUUAGAAAUCCCAGGUUCGAGUUAAAAUCAAAACAAAUUUUAAUGAUUCUUUUUAGAUCUCUGAUGCUGAAGUAUCAGUGAUCUCUAAUAUUUAAUUUACUGAUACAUUAGUAUUAAUAAUUUGUGACAUUUAUUUGUUAAAAGUGGAAAAUGGUGCAUAGUUAGGUAAUUACUGACACUUUUUUUAAAGUGCCAGAAACAAAGUGUCAGUAAAAGUCAUUUUUGUAGUAGUGAAUUUCUUUUUUCAUCCAUUGAAUUUCUAUGGUACAUUAGUAGGAUAUGAGGUGUGAUUUUAUAAGGCCAUUAGGAUUAACUUAUGGUUGGAUGGAGUAGGGACUAAUAUGAUAUUUAGUAGGAUAUGGGAUGAAGAUUGCAAUAAAAGUGUUUCACCAGCAAUGUGCGAGCGCAUUGAAGGGUUUUGAAGUUGAAUGUGAAGUGAUAAAAAAUAUUCACCAUCGAAACCUUAUCAAUGUUAUUAUUAGUUGUUCGAACGAUGACUUCAAAGCAUUAGUCCUAGAAUACAUGUACAACGGGAGCUUGGAGGAUUGGCUGCAUUCUAGCAAUUAUGUGCUUAAUAUUUUUCCCAGGUUGAACAUAAUGAUUGACGUUGCAUCAGCUUUAAAAUAUCUCCACUUUGAUCAUUCAACUCGUAUCAUUCAUUGUGACUUAAAGCCUAAUAAUGUGUUGUUGGAUGAAAAUAUGGUUGCUCAUUUGAGUGAUUUUGGCAUAGCAAAGCUUUUAAGUUGAAGAUGAGUCUACGAUGCGAACAAAAACCCUUGCCACUAUAGGUUAUACGGCACAAGGUUUGCUUGAAACAACUUUUUUUUAGUUUAUUUUAAAAUUUCCAAAUUAUUGAUUUUUACGAUCCUCAUAUCAAAAUGUUAUUGAUUAUUUAUCUAAUUAUGAAAUAAUUUGAUUCAUAGAGUAUGGCAUAGAAGGAGAAAUAUGUGCAAAAAGUGAUGUUUACAGCUACGGGAUUAUGUUGAUGGAAACUUUUACCAAGAAAAAACCCACAGAUGAGAUUUUUGUUGGAGAAUUGAGCUUAAAGCGUUGGGUUAAUGACUUGCUUCCUAAUUCAUUAGUGGAAGUUGUGGACAAAAUUCUGCUAAUUGAAGAGGAAAAACAUUUUGCCGCAAAGGAGCAAUGUCUGUUCUCUAUCUUUAUUUUGGCACUAGAGUGUACAAUGGAAUCACCGGAAAAGAGGAUCAAUACAAAAGAUAUUGUUACCAGAUUACUCAAGAUAAGAGACACGUUGAGUAAAAGGAUAGGAAAUUUAAGUUAAUUUUGUUUGCUUUCAUUGAUAGUUACUUUGAAUUCAAGUAAUAAGUGUAAGAAUCGUUUAUCUUUUCUUUUGAUAUUUUUUUCUUGAGAAAACUGUUGUAGUCAUCUUUUUUCAAUGGGCAGAGUUGAUUUAGUUCUUCCAAGAAAUGCUAUUGUUGAUCUUUGUUACAUACGUUUGUCUUUUUUUGCAUGCAUUUAGGUAGAAUAGUGGUCUAGCUGCAGGCUAACAAGUCAAGCUACGCUAAAAGCGUAUGAUUUAAUUUAUUAAACCUAACUUCAAGUUCAAGAAUUGCAUCUCAUUGCCACCAAUGCUUUAGACACCUAUUCGUAGGUUUGUGUCCUCAACUUUGUUUGGAGCAAAAGUUCCAGUCCCAUGGAGGCUCAAAUAUUUCUCUCCUACGUCCCGAACACGCUAAAUUCAUCAGCCUCUUGAACCCUCUCCUGAGGGCGCCUUCUGUCCUCUGUUUUCUGUUUCCAUACACAAAUAGCAAAAAGAAUUCAGACUGAUAACUGGGUAUCUAAGAAUAUAUAAGAGUGAAAUAAUUAAAAAAAAUUGUGCUUUUUUGUUUGUCGUGUUAAAAUCGUAAGGUAUCUAAGUACUAUGAAAGAGAUUAGUUUACGAAAACUGAAGCCAAGGGUUCAUAAAAAAAAGUGCAUAGAGAAUAAAGGACAACGCUUAUGUAAAGCGACAUAAUUGUAUUGGUAGCACAAUGUCACGUUCAUACAGAGAUCAAGUACAUUAUUUACAGCUGGUAAGGGCUAAGAAUUGAUGUAGCUAGAAUACAAAGAUGAUAUGGUAUGUUGUGCACUAUUGUUUUAUUCUACAAUCAAUCUUGACCCUUGAUGCUUGGCUCUCAAUCUUGUCCAUUGAUCUUCUCUGAUCUCGAAAACUUCAAGACCUUUCAAUCUCAUGCCUUAUUAUUGGUGUCUUCUAUGCUGUUAAUUUCAAAUACUAGCUUUUCCGCCAACUUGCCAAUUAUUUGUUCAUUGGUGCGUUUUGUCAAACAGUGUGGAUACUUAUACCAAACGCUUUCUGUUUUAACUACCCCUUUCAAGCUCAAUUAUCUGGGAAGACACUAAUAAGCUUGUUUCUCAAGUAUAUGUAUCUGAAAAUUAAAUUUUCAAAAUUAUAUUCGGACUCUACAUUUUCUAAUGAACAUUGGUUUGGCUCAUAAGCUUAUUAUACUUGGGCUUGGUAGGAUUAUCGGUCGGUAGAUGAACAAGUGUUAGAGCUUUCGAAUUUAUGCCAAUUAAAAAAAAUCUAUAUAAAUUUUCCACUAGGCUAUUACCACAAUAAACAUUUGGAUGAACUAUUAUUGAAACCUUAUUGAGAAGUAGGACAUGUCGCAUACCAAUGCACUGACAUAUCUUCAAAUAGUGGUAACUCCACACAACAUGGCACAAUAAAUUAAGAGUUAUAUAGAUAAAAUCUUUCACUCUUUGGUAAUCAUCAAUGUCGGCAUGACAAUGCGUCCCACAAAUAUGGCUCCUUAUCAAAAUUCAUAAAUCAAAACAAAAUAGAGAAUCAUAUUUGUUCCAGAUUGUAGUGAUGGUUGUUGAUGCACUCACAAUUUACAAUUUUAUUUAAUAUCUUCAAAUUCGCAUUUUAAAAUGCCCAAAUGUUUGUGUAUACAUAAUUAGAUAAAAUCUUUCAUUCUUUGGUAAUCAUCAAUUUCACUAUUAUUCGCUUUAUUAUGUUUGUUUCUUGCAGUAUGUUAAAAGAUUAUGUUGUGAAUUUGUUUUACAGGCCGCCCGUAAGUCUGCGCCCACUGUUGUGAAUUUGUGUAUACAUAAUUAGUAAUCGAUUCUCAAGCACGGACAUUUAAAAGCACUGCCGAAAGACAAAAUUUUAAUUUACUAUUUUUUGUCUUUUAAUUUUCUUUAAGUUUUAAUGAUUCCGCAUUUUAAAAUCCUGUGGAACGUGUAUGUAAAAUUCUUUUAUCUUUUAGAGGAAAACGGGCAAGAGAAGAAUAUUUGGCAAAGGAAUUGCAACCGCAUUUGGAGCUAUAUUUAAUUUUGUCUUUUAAGUCUUUUACACUUGUUUUUGUUAUUGAUGUUAGCUUGGAUGUGUGUGCGUGUGCGACUGAAUUCAACUUACAUGCUAUUGAUGCAGCCACCAAAAAGGGGUGGUCCAUCAUCAAUCAACAAGGUUUAUUAUUAUUUUCAUAUGGAUUUUCUUAAUUAUAAAUAAUACUAAUGCUAUUUCAUAGUUAUAAAUAUAUUAGAAUUAAUCGAAAUCAUUUUUUAGUGUGGCAUUGCCAAACUACCUUUUUUUAUAAGUAAUUACUACUUUCACAUUAAGAAAAAUACUCCUAUUUUUAGGGAAAAAUCAAGUACUUGUAGUUGUGAAAACUUGAGCUCACUCGCGUAUGAUAAAUCUUCAUAUUAAUUACAUAAAUAUCCUCUAAAAUUUUAAAUUAACUAUUCAAAAUUCGAUGUUAUACGGGUAUUUCAUUUAUUUGAGUAGGGGUUAGGGGUCAAUUGGAUACAAAUUCAAAAUUAUCCUUACUUGAGAAGGUGAUAAAAAUUGGGGAUUUAAUUUGGAUGUCAUUAGCUACAAAUAUUAAAUUCAUACAUUUAAUUCAAAAUUGGAGGGUUGAUAUAUGCGCAUCAUCGUGCACGUUAUAGUGACACUGCGUCACCAUCCCACAACCUCUCCAAUGAAAAAUUAACACGUUUCUCGUGUGCAUUUGAUCAGAAUCCUGAAAAUUAAUCACAAAAUUGUACUUUUAUUAUAAAAAGAAUAAAGAAACUCCUGAAAAAAAAAUACUUACAUAAAUGGUUUGAAAAUUCUAGAUUUCAAGUUGUCUAUAUUAGCUUGAUAUUUUUAUAAAUAGUCAUCCUCUCAAAAAAAUUCCAUCAAAAUAUAUAUUUUAAUUUUAUGUUAAUUCAUAAACAUGAAAAAAUCAUUUCAUAAUUAAUUAAAACAUAAUUUAUUGUUUCUCAAAAAAGGUAGAACUUAGUGAUAAGAAAAAAGUAUCUCAAAUAUAUGUAAAAAAAAAAAAAAUCUUGGUUGGUUGGAAUGAUUGAAUUUGCUUUUCUUUUUCUUUUUUAAGAAUUAAGACAAUCGGAUUGAUUGAGUAAUAAUAAUAUAUAUUUAUUUGGAGGUAGGCUUUCGUCUCAUGCAGAUUGAUUAGAGAGAAAACAAAACAAUUUUAAGCUCGUUAGAUUCGAAGCUGCUUACCUGUCGUGUGGGGAUCACUUCCGUGUCUUAUUUUUCUAAAAAAGUCUGGACCAUUGGAUUUAUGUGAAUCGUACUGAACAUUGGAAUUGAUGUAUAAGAAAAAAAUUUUGUAGUCGUUUAAGGAAAAAAAUUAUUCAAUUGGGAAUUUUUUUCCUUUAAUUUUUGUUGUACUUGAUUGAGAUUUCUCCUUAGUCCCUACAGUUUUAAGUUUGGAAACCGUAGGAUUAGUAAUUUCGUACUUCCUUUGCAAGCUGAGUAUAAGGAUGAAAUUCUUUUAAGAAAUUAAAAAAGAUAAAAAAAAGCAUACCAAUAGGCAAUUAUAAAUAACCACAAAUAAAUAUAAACAAAAUGUUUAUGACGUAAAUUAAACAUGCUCAAUUAUUUUCUUUUAUUUUCUGCUCGGAAACCCAUAAAUGCACUAAUCCAGUAUUACUAAUUUCAGACAGAAAAAUUUGAAUUUAACCGGUAUACAUUUCUACAAACCAAACAAGGCUAUUAUUUUUAUUAUUAUUUUUUUUUUUUUAUAAAUUACUAUUUUAAUUUUUCACUUUUUAUUGGGUUGCUUAACAGAUUAGUGAAGUUGGUGGUCGUUGAUGCACUCACAAGGUACAAUUUUAUUUUAGAAAUUGAAAUUUCGUAUUUUAAAAUGCAGGCACAUUAUGUAUGCAUAAUUAUUGAUUUUCAUAUGUGGGUGUUUUGAAAUAUUGCUAAAAGACCAAACUUUAAUAAACUAUUUUUGAUCUUUUUUUUUCCUUUGUACCUAAAGUUAGAGUGAUAUCCGCAUUUUAAAUUCAUGUGGACCAAAAGCUAAUGUAUGGACAAAAUUAUUUUAUUUUUCCGAGAAAAAUGGGUAAGAGAAGAAGAUUUUUCUCUUGAAAAAGAAAAACUAAUACGUUGCAAGCAUAGGAAAGAGGCUAGUGUGUUUGGAUUUGAAUUUAGUAUUGAGUUCAAUUUUAUGCUAAGCUCUUUUAUAAUACUGCGAUUAGGGAGCCCUUAAGUUACAUGUAAUAUAACUUACACUCGCUCACUUAAAUAGUGGGUGGGUUGGGGGCCCACUCACUGUUCAUGUGAGUGAGUGUAAGUUCCAUUAUAUGUAAUUUAGCACUUGCCUUGCGAUUAAUAAGCUCAGGAUUUGCUUUUGCUUUUACUUCAAGUAAAAGAAAGAGGAAACCUUUUGUUUUUUGUUUGAUUUUUGACUAUAUAUGUUACCUAUAUAGAGAGUUGAGAUGGCUGCCUUAAGUGAUGGUGAUAAAAAGAUUAAGCAGCGCACACAAUCUUACUAUCGUCCAGACUGUCCAGUGAUAGACUCUAGUUUUUUGGUUACAUUAGCUUUAGUGGAAAGAAGGGCCAAUUUAACAAAGACUAGAUUUGGUGGCUUGUUGUAAUGCUUAUUCUCAGGGAAUCUAAGGUUAUAAGAUGAUUGAAUGAUCUUCUAUGAUUGUGAGCAGUAUAUUAUAAUUGAAGAGAGCUUGGGCUCCUAUGAUGUAUAACAAUAACACAUUACUAUGAUUGAGAAAACUCAGUUACAAUAAACUCUUCAUUUAUUCAUUGCUGAGAUUGAAUGGCAAAUAGAGAAUAGAAUGAAGCAGAGGAAUCUCAUUGCCUGUAAAAUUGAGCCUAUUUAAUAUUACUUGUAGUUUUUAUUGUAAAAUAUACAGGUAUGACCAUGAUCAGAUGCUUUUUUUAAAAACAAAUGAGACAUCUUUGAUUUAUGGUAGUUUUAGAGAAAAAAAAAACAUAUAAAAAUUAAGAGGGAUGAGUUAACUGACGAUUACAAUCAUUACAGCAAUGCUGAUGAGUGAUACAUCACUUGAAAUUUAUUUGUCAGUUGCUGUAAUGAUGGAAAAAAACAAUAAACAAUAACAGUAAUAAUGUUCCCUUGCUGAAAUUCAAUUUUGACUUUCGACUCUUGGCUUUUAUGGAGAGUAAAAUGACUUGUAUAUUAUCCUCAUACAAUCCACUCUACAUAAUGAUAUCAUUUUAAUAAGGCAAUGGCUGAUGAUCUCCAUUGAAAAACUUUUUGUUUUAUUUAACUUUUUGGUUGUUGAAAAUAACCUUAAUUAUCAAAUAAUCAGAGAAAGAGUAAAGAACAUUUAACAAAUUUAUGUGCCAAAAAAAAAAGGAGAAAUUGAAGAGAAAGGAUGCUUGCAGAAGUGGGUGUCAAAGAGAUAAAUCGGUCUAUAAGAAUUAUUGUGGUUAUUUUUUUGGUGCCUUGGAGUUCUUUAAAUUAAGGGCCCAGUUUGUCCAUUUGUUUCAGUUAGGUCCUUAUUAAAAAUUAAUUUUAAUAUUGGUUUUCUUAAUUAUAACUAAUACUAAUGAUAUUUCAUAGUUAUAAAUAUAUUAGAAUUAAUCCAAAACAUUUUUUAGUGUGGCAUGGCUAAAACUACCUUUUCUAUUAGUAAUUACUACUUUUGCAUUAAGGAAAAUACUCCUAUUUUUAGAAAAAAGUCAAGUACCUAUAGUUGUGAGAACUUGAGCUCACUCGCUUAUGAUAAAUCUUCAUAUUAAUUACGAAAAUAUCCUCUAAAUUUUAACUAAACUAUUCGAAAUUCAAUGUUAUUCGGAUAUUUCGUUUAUUUGAGCAGGGGUUAGGGGUCAAUUUGAUACAAAUUCAAAAUUAUCCUCAUUUGCGAAGAUGAUAAAAAUUAGGGAUUUAAUUUGGAUGUCACUGGCCACAAAUAUUAAACUCAUGCAUCUCAAAAUUAGAGGGCUGAUAUAUAUGCAUUAUCGUUAUAUUGACAUGUGUCACCAUCCCACAACCUCUCCAAUGAAAAAUUGACAUGCAUCUUGUGUGCUUCUUAUCAAAAUCCUGAAAAUUAAUCACAAAGUUAUAUUUUUAUUAUAAAAAGAAGAAAGAAACUCCAUAAGUGAAAAAAAAAAAGACUUAAACAUAAAUAUUUUAGAUAAUCUAGAUUUCAAGUUGUCUAUACUAGCUUGAUAUUUUUAUAAAUAUCAAGAUUUCAAGUUGUCCAUAGUAGCUUGAUAUCUUCUAAAAAAAUUCCAUCAACAUAUAUUUUAAUUUUACGUUAAUUAAUAAAUAGAAAAUUCAUUUUAGAAUUAAUUAAAACAUUAUUUAUUGUUGCCAAAGAAGGAAGUACUUAGCGAUAAGAAAAAAGUGUCUCAAAUAUAUGUUAAAAAAAAAUCAUGGUCGGUUGGACUGAUUGAAUUUUUUUUUCUUUUUCUUUUUUAAGAAUUAAGACAAUUGGAUUGAUUGAGUAAUAAUAAAAUAUAUUUAUUUGGCAAAUGGCAGGUAGGCUUUCUUCUGAUGCAGAUUGAUUAGAGAGAAUAUGCAGCAAUUUUAAGCUUGUCAGAUUCGGAGGCUGCUUAUCUGUCGUGUGGGGAUCACUUCCAUGUCUUAUUUUUCUUGAAAAAUCUGGACCGUUGGAUUUACCAUUAGUCAAUAGAGAAAUGCUGAUCUUGAUUCUUGAUCAAGAUCGAAGUUUGAUUCUAUCUAACAUGAUAUCAGAUUGCGAAGCAAGCAAAUUGAAAGUAACUUGUUCUAUUUUGAUGGAAGAAACACAAUUUCUAUUGUUCUAAUAAAAAAUUUUAAUUAUACAUAUUUUUCUUUUGCCACUUGGGUUUGUAGUCCAGUGGUGAACUAUUGGCCUUAAAGUUAAGUAUGACUAUGAGGGCAAUGGUUCGAGUGCCCACGAACUCAAACUCCCUCAAUUAAACAUAAUUAUGUGGAGAUUACUUAUAACGUCUUUCUCUCUUGUGAAAUCUGAGUGGAGUAGAAAUAUCCCUUUCCCGUGAGGGUUAUUUGGCUAGGCAUGUACUUUAUAGAAUAAAAAUGUAAUAAUGUAAGUCAGUGCAAUGAUCUACUGUCAUAGUAGUUGUAAAUAUCUAGGUGUAAUACAGUAACCUGAUGCUUAAUCAGUUAAAAAAAAUGUAUAUCUUUUUUUUAUUUUUUUCAUUGUGAUCACUAUAACUAGUCAAAUUUAUUUUUAAAUAUUUUUUAAAAAAAUAUUUUAUUAACAAUGAUAUGAAAAUAUUCGAACCCCUUCUCAUAGUAAAGUGAAUUACUAUCCAACUGAUGCCUUCAAACUGUAAAUUGCAAAUCGUGUGUUUGCUCCAUUACAGGGUGUCUUCAAUUUAAAAUAGAGAAUAAUUUGGUUCUAGAUUAAUCGUGGGUCUAUAUCCAAAUCCAAAAAUUGACUAACUUGAUUUCUAUUAAGUUCUCAACCCUAACACGAAAAAUAGAAGAUUAAAAAUGACUAUUUUGGUUUCUAUUAAUUUGAGUAACACUUAAUAUUUAUCAUACAAUAGUCACUUAUAUUAUCAAAAUCUUGGGUCGAAAAUAUUAGGAUAGGUGAUAAUUGGAAUUAAGUUGUAGAUAAGAUAGAAAUGGAUUUGGAGAGAGAUUGGAAUCCUGGCUAAUCCGGUGCACGUUGUUGCGUUAAAUUCUCGUUGACUUCACGUUGACCGAAGCAUUAUUGGAAGAAACAAGCAAGCUUAUUUUCUUCUCUCAUUUUUUACUUUUGUCUAAAUUUAUUGAUGUGAGGCCUCUGAGAUGGUAAAGUGUUAAAUCUGAGAAGAGUACCCACACACCCAUUAUCCUAUUACUCUUAUUUUAUCACAUGCAGAGACGUCAACGUUUGAUUCGCACGGAAAAAAAUUUGCUAGGAUUGUGAGGGUUGAUGUAAUGUAAUUUAGAUGCAAAGUGUUCACAAGUGCGAUGCUUCGUAAGUGUACUUGAAUCAUUAUAAACUCACCUUAUUUUCAUAGUGAUUAUUUCAUCUGCAUGUGAAUAUAAUCAUAUGUGGAGAUUUUUUUCCUAAAUUAUGAUCUUCUCUGGUAUUGAGGUGUUAUAUUUUUUAAAGGUUAAUGUUAAGUUACAUGCAUGUAACUUACAACCCUCUCACAUGAAUAGUGAGUGGACCCACACCAUUCACUAUUCAUAUGAGAGGGUUGUAAGUUACAUCCUCUUUUAAAUUAUAAUUAUUAUUAUAAAAAAACUGCAACUAUGAAAAAAAAUUAAUAUUAUGUCCUGAAUAUAAUUGUUAAAUAAUAAUUUUGACAAAAUUAAUGAAUAUAUACAGUUUUUUUAUCAUAUAAGUGUAAAAUUAUAUCAAAUUAGCUUUUAAAUUAUACAGUGGCUACUGCUUAUCAAACACUUUAGUGUUGUAACUUUUAAGUUAUAACUGUCUAGCCUUUAACCUCAAUCUCAAACGAGGCUUAUAAAGAUCAAGGAUUUCCUCAUAAAAAUUAUACGUCUUGUGAUUGCUUAUUUAAUUUAUAUUUUCGUUAUUUAUCUUUAUUAAUUAUAGUCAUCUUUUUAUAAAUUACAAUUGGAGAAAGUUGGUUGAUGUUGUUGACACACACACACACAUACAAAGAUAUAUUGGAAGUGCUUAUUAUGUCGACUCGAAGUUGUGGGGAGUUAAUGCAUGUAUUGAUUUAUUGGGAGUGUUUAAAUUAUUUUGUGAUUUACUUGAUAGAUUGAUUGAUUGAAUAUUGUUUGAUUGCUUCAUAUCAAUUCUGGAAAGUUUAUUUCUUUGUGAAAUUUCAACGAAAUAUGUUUUUUAAAAUAAUAAGGGUGUUUUAAGUAAUUUUGAAAAAUAAAUACACUAAUUAGAAUUAAUUAUUAAGUAAUUAACUCGAACUGUAGAGGAUAAGCAAACAUUUAUCCUAAUUAUAUUAUGAUAAAUCCUUUUCCAACUAGAAUUAGGAAACCAUAGAUAUACAGAUUUUUAUUUUUAUUUCCCUUUGCGAAAACGGAUUAGAGAAUUAGAAAACAAUCCUAGUGAGACUAUUGUUAGGUUUAAUAUUUUGUCGAAUUUGGAAACUUUUUGUCGAAUUAGAAAACAUGCGUGGUGAAUAUUUUGUCGCAUGCAAACUUUUUGUUUUAUGCAAAUCGUACUGAACAUUGGGACUGAUGUUUAAGAAAAAAAUUCUGUAGUUAAAGAAAAACAAAAAGGCAUGUUGAAUAGAUUACGAUAGUUUAUUCAAUUGGGAAUUUUUUUUCUUUAAUUUUUGUUGUACUUGAUUGAGAUUUCUCCUUGGUCCUUACAGUCUUAAGUUUGGAUACCGUAGGAUUAGUAAUUUCGUACUUCCUUUGCAAGCUGAGUAUAAGGAUGAAAUUCUUUUAAGAAAUUAAAAAAAAAUGAUAAAAAAGGCAUACCAGUAGGCAAUUAUAAAUAACCACAAAUAAAUAUAAACAAAAUGUUUAUGAAGUAAAUUAAACAUGCACAUAUUAUUUUCUUUUAUUUUCUGCUUGGAAACCCAUAAAUACACUAAUCCAGUACUACUAAUUUCAGAUAGAAAAAUUUGAACUCUAAGCUGCAGUUUGACUCAAAAUGAUGAUCACUGGCUUCGCACCAUUUAACCGGUAUACAUUUCUACAAACUGAACAAGGCUAUUGAUUUUUAUUAUUAUUUUAAUUUGUUUAUAAAUUACUAUUUUAAUUUUCACUUUUUAUUGGGUUGUGUAACGGAUUAGUGAAGCUGGUGGUCGUUGAUGCACUUACAAGGUACAAUUUUAUUUUAUAAUUUCAAAUUCGUAUUUUAAAAUGCAGGUACAUUAUGUAUACAUAAUUAUUGAUUUUCGUAUGAGGGUGUUUUGAAAUAUUGCUAAAAGACUAAACUUUAAUAAACUAUUUUUGAUCUUUUUUUUUCCUAAAGUUUGGGUGAUAUGCGCAUUUUAAAUUCAUGUGGAACAAAAGUUAAUGUUUGUAUAAAAAUUCUUUUAUUUUUUUGAGCAAAAUAGGCAAGCGAAAAAGUUUUGGCAAAUGAGUUGCAACUGAAUCCAAAACCAAUACAAUGCAAGCAUAGGAAAGAGGCCAGUGUUUAGGAUUUGAAUUUAGUAUUAAGCUGAAUUUUAUGGUACGCUCUUUUAGAGUACUGUGAUCGAUAAGCUCAGCCCCGGAUUUGCUUUUGCUUUUGCUUUUACUUCAAGUGAAAGAAAGAGGAAACCUUUUGUUUUUUCUUUGGUUUUCAACUAUGUUACCUAUACAGAGAGACAAGAUACCUGCCAUAAGUGAUGGUGUUAAAAAGAUUAAGCAGCGCACACAAACUUACUAUCGUCUAGACCAUCCAGUGAUGACCCUAGUCUUUUGGUUACGUUAGCUUUAGUUGAAAGAAGGGCCAAUUUAACAAAGACUAGAUUUGAUGGCUUACUAUGUUUAAUGUAAUGCUAAUUUUCAGGGAAUCUAAUGUUAUAACUUAUAAGAUGAUCUCCUAUGAUGAACAACAGUAACACAUUACUGUGAUUGAGAAAACUCAGUUACAAUAAACUCUUCAUUUACUCAUUGAGAAGAUUGAAUAGCAAACAGAGAAUAGAAUGAAGCAGAGGAAUCUCAUUGCCAAUAAAAUUGACCCUCUUUAAUGUUAUAUGGCACAGGUGUGGAGGAAGAACAAGUUACUUGCAGUUUUUAUAGUAAAAUAUACAGGUAUGACCAUGAUCAUUACAGUUAGGUUUUGAUGAUUUCGGAUGCUUUUUUUAAAAAAAAAAAAAUUGUGACAUCUUUGAUUUACGGUAGUUUUGUAGAAAAAAAAUAUAUAAAAAUUAAGAGGGAUGAGUUAAACUGACGAUUACAAUCAUUCCAGCAAUGCUGAUGAGUGAUACAUCACUUGAAAUUUACUUAUUAGUUGCUGAAAUGAUGAAAAAAAAAAACAAUAAACGAUAACAGUAAUAAUGUUCCCUUGCUGAAAUUCAAUUUUGACUUUCGACUCUUGGCUUUUAUGGAGAGUAAAAUGACUUGUAUAUUAUACUCAUACAAUCCACUCUACAUAAUGAUAUCGUUUUAAUAAGGCAAUGGCUGAUGAUCUCCAUUUAAAAACUACAUCAAUUUUUUUGCUUCAUUUAACUCUCUGGUUGUUGAAAAUAACCUUAAUUAUCAAAUAAUUGGAGAAAGAGUUAAGAACAUUUAACAAAUUUAUGUGCAAAAAAAAAAAAAAAAAGGAGAAGUUGAAGAGAAAGGGUGCUUGCAGAAGUGGGUGUCAAAGAUAAAUCGGUCCAUAAGAAUUAUUGGGGUUAUUUUUUGGCAAAAUAAGAACUUAUGCGAUAGCAUUUUUUAUGGGUGCAUAUAACCUCCCUUUAAAAAAAUAUAUAAUAAUUACUGCUUAAUAUAGUAUUAAAUACAAAAAUAUCAAUAUUUGACUACUUAAAUUUAUAUCAUUAGGUCCUUAAAAUUUAAAAUGGAAGAUAUGAAAGGAAAUAUAUAUAAAUUUCAUUGUCCUGGUAAAGGGCCCUCUUAUAAUCUUAUAAUAUUUGAACUUUGAUAGAUUUUUUGAAACAAAUGUACUUUUAUUUGUGUACAAUCAAUAUUUACUCAUUUAUUAUAUUUUAAUUUAUUAACUAUUAAUCAUGUAAGUAUACUUAAUCAGAAAAAUUAUAUCAAGAGAAAAUUCUAAUUUCACGCAAAAACAAAUACCAAAACAAAUAUCUCAAUUUCUAUACUAUUCACUUUCCUGUAGAAUCAAUUAUUUAAAAUGCAAGUUUGUGGCUACAGAAAACUCGCCAAAGAAAGAAGAUAAUAACAAUUGAGCAUUGAUAGCAAAACUAAUGCAUCCAAUUCUUCUUGACUUGAUGAGAUGGCGCCAUAACGUAGACACAAGUACCUAAAUUGACCGGCACUGAGUGAUGUGAAUACUACCAGCCAGUUCAUCUCUUCCAGUCUUGCUUAAUCACAAUCACAAACACCACGAGAUCGACAUUUGCAUUAUAUAUAUCUUCAGCAAUCGAAACACCUUGCAUUACCAAAUAAGCCCGUAACAGACAAAGCAAUCUUUCAUGGAGAGAAACCUUAGUCUCAGUAUGAUCACUGUGUCAUUAACCUACUGCCUGCUUCUUUGCUUGGUUGCUGCAGCAGCAGCAGCGGCAAGCAACAAUAUUACCACAGACCAACAAGCUCUUCUUGCCCUGAAAGAUCAUAUAAUUUAUGAUCCGACCAGCCUUUUAGCUCACAAUUGGACCUCGAAUACCUCUGUUUGUACCUGGAUUGGCAUCACUUGUGAUGCCAAUAGCCAUAGAGUCACAACCUUAGAUAUUUCUCAAUUCAAUCUACAAGGCACCAUCCCUCCUCAACUUGGAAACCUCUCUUCACUCACAACACUUAAUCUUAGUCAUAACAGGCUUUCUGGAAGCGUUCCCUCCUCCAUCUACACCAUGCAUACGCUAAAAUUUCUUGACUUCACUGAUAACCAGCUCUCUGGUUCAGUGUCUUCCUUCGUCUUCAACAUGUCUUCAAUAUUAGUAAUUCGUUUGACCAAUAACAUAUUUUCUGGUGAGCUUCCGAAAAAUAUUUGCAACUAUCUUCCUUAUUUGAAGGCCCUUUUCUUAAACAAAAACAUGUUUCAUGGCAAAAUUCCUUCUGCUUUAUCAAAGUGCAAACAACUGCAACAAUUAAAUUUGCAGUUCAAUAAUUUAUCCGGUGCAAUACCAAAAGAAAUCGGCAACUUGACUAUGCUCAAAGGGAUAUAUCUCCUCUACAACAAACUCCACGGUAUGUUCACAAUACUAUAUAAAUAUUUUAAUUUAUCACUUAUUAUCUUUCUUGAAUAAUUUAGCUAAGAUCUUGUAAGAGAGAUAUUUUGCAUCUACGUUAAUUUACCAGGUGAGAUACCCCACGAAAUCGCUAAUCUUCCAAAUCUAGAGGCUUUAGCGCUUGGAAUCAACAACCUAGUUGGUGUGUUACCAGCUCCCAUCUUCAACAUGUCAACACUGAAGGUACUUAUCCUCAUAAAUAACUCUCUCUCCGGAAGUCUUCCAUCAAGAGUAGACCUUUCACUUCCAACUGUUGAGCAACUUAACUUGGCACUUAAUAGAUUUUCUGGAACCAUUCCUAGUUCCAUCACCAAUGCUUCUAAGCUCACCUUUCUAGAGUUGGGAGCAAACACAUUUUCGGGGUUUAUUCCAAACACAAUUGGUAAUUUAAGAAACCUUAAGUGGCUCGGCUUGGCUAAUAACUCCUUGACAUCUUCAACCUCAAAAUUGAGCUUUCUUUCCUCUUUGGCAAAUUGCAAGAAAUUAAGAUUCGUAAACUUAAUAGGCAAUCCACUGGACGGCUUCCUUCCAAGUUCAAUAGGUAAUCUUUCUGUGUCUUUGGAAACACUUGGCAUCGGCAAUUGCAGUAUUAGUGGCAACAUUCCUCCAGCAAUUAGCAAUUUAAGCAACUUGUUGACCUUAGUAUUACACGGCAAUAAAUUGACUGGACCAAUCCCAACUACAUUCGGCCAACUGCAGAAACUCCAAGGCUUAGAUCUUGCAUUCAAUAAGUUGGUAGGUUCAUUCCCAGAUGAGCUUUGCCAUCUGGCAAGGCUGGAUCAAUUGAUCUUAUUUGGCAAUAAGCUUUCAGGAUCUAUACCUUCAUGCUUAAGCAACCUCACUUCUCUAAGAUCUCUCUAUUUAGGGUCUAAUAAGUUUACUUCUGUUAUUCCCUCAACCUUCUGGAGCCUAAAAGACAUCUUGUUCUUUGACUUUUCAUCAAAUUUCUUGGUUGGUCCUCUUUCUUUAGAUAUAGGAAAUUUGAAGGUGCUUCUAGGAAUAAGUUUAUCGAAAAAUAAUUUAUCCGGUGAUAUCCCAGCCACAAUUGGAGGACUGAAAGAUCUUCAAUUUAUGGACCUAGCAUAUAAUAGAUUGGAAGGCCCAAUUCCUAAAUCAUUUGGUGACUUGAUAAGUUUAGAAGUUCUGAAUUUAUCAAAUAAUAAAAUCUUUGGGUCUAUUCCAACAUCCAUGGAGAAACUUUUUUACCUCGGAGAGUUAAAUCUCUCUUUCAAUAAACUAGAAGGUGAGAUUCCUAGUGGAGGAACUUUUGCCAACUUCACAGCUAAGUCAUUUAUGGGAAAUGAGUUUUUGUGUGGUUUACAAAAUCUUCAAGUCCAACCAUGCAAAGUUAGCAAGCCGAGGACAGAACAUAAAUCAAGGAAAAAGAUACUUCUCAUUGUGAUUGUUUCGCCAUUGAGUAUUGCUCUAACAAUAGCAAUCACUCUAGCUCUCAAAUCUAAGCUGAUCGAAUGUGGAGAAAGAAGCACAGUGUUGUCAAAUGAUAGUAUCUUGUCAUCACAAGCAACACUAAGAAGAUUUUCAUACUUAGAACUUUUACAAGCAACAGAUAAUUUUGCUGAAAACAGCAUAAUUGGCAGAGGAGGUUUCGGUUCCGUUUAUGGAGCAAGACUUGAAGAUGGGAUGAAGAUUGCAAUAAAAGUGUUUCACAGGCAAUGUGCAAGCGCAUUGAAGAGUUUUGAGGCUGAAUGUGAAGUGAUAAAAAAAAUUCGCCAUCGAAACCUUAUCAAAGUUAUCAGCAGUUGCUCGAACGAUGACUUCAAAGCAUUAGUCCUAGAAUACAUGUCCAACGGGAGCUUAGGGGAUUGGCUGCAUUCGAGCAAUUACGUGCUGAAUAUUUUUCAAAGGUUGAACAUACUAAUUGACGUUGCAUCAGCUUUAGAAUACCUCCACUUCGAUCAUUCAACUCCUAUUAUUCAUUGUGACUUAAAGCCUAGUAAUGUAUUGUUGGACGAAAAUAUGGUUGCUCAUUUGAGUGAUUUUGGCAUAGCAAAGCUUUUAAGUGGAGAAGAUGAGUCUACGAUGCGAACAAAAACCCUUGCCACUAUAGGUUAUAUGGCACCAGGUUUGCUUCAAACAACUUUUUUUUUUUAAACUUCAUUUUAAAUUUUCUAAAUCAUUGAUUUUUACGAUCCUCAUAUCAAAUUGUUAUUGAUUAUUUAUCUAAUUGUGAAAUUAAUUUGAUUCAUAGAGUAUGGCAUAGGAGGAGAAGUAUCUACAAAAAGCGAUGUUUACAGCUAUGGGAUUAUGCUGAUGGAAACUUUUACCAAGAAAAAACCCACAGAUGAAAUUUUUGUUGGAGAAUUGAGCUUAAAGCAUUGGGUUAAUGACUUGCUUCCUAAUUCAUUAGUGGAAGUUGUGGACAAAACUCUGCUAAGUGGAGAGGAAAAACACUCUGCAGCAAAGGAGCAAUGUCUGUUGUCUAUCUUUAGUUUGGCUCUGGAGUGUACAAUGGAAUCACCGGAAAAGAGGAUUAAUGCAAAAGAUAUUGUUACCGGAUUACUCAAGAUAAGAGACACAUUCAGUAAAAGGAUAGGAAAUUUAAGUUAAUUUCGUUUGCUUUCAUUGAUAGUUAAUUCGAAUUCAUGUAAUAAGUGUAAGAAUCUUAUAUCUUUUCCUUUGAUAUAUUUUUUUUCUUGAGAAAACUGUUGUAGUCAUCUUGUUUCCAUGGGCAGAGUUGAUUUAGUUCUUCCAAAAAAUGCUACUGAUGACCUUUGUUUAAUACUUUCUCUUUUUUUGCAUGUGUUUAGGUAGAACAGUGGUUUGGCUGCAGGCUAAUAAGUCAAGCUACGCCAAAAGCGUAUGAUUUAAUUUAUUAAACAUAACUUCAAGUUCAAGAAGUGUUUCUCAUUGCCACCAAUGCUUUGGACACCUGUUGGAAGGUUUGUUGUCCUCAGCUUUUGUUUAGAGCAAAAGUUCGAGUCCCAUAAAGGCUCAAACAUUCCUUUCCUUCAUCCCGAGGGCGCCUUCUGUCCUCUGUUUUCUGUUUCCACACACAAAUAGCACAAAGAAUUUAGAAUGACAACUGGGACAUAUAUAAGAGUGAAAUAAUUAAAAAAAUUAUGCUUUUUUGUUUGUCGUGUUAAAAUCGUAAGUACCGAAGUACUGUGAAAGAGAUUAAUUUACAGAAACUGAAGCCAAGGGUUCAAAAAAAACUAUUGAUGUAGCUAGAAUGCAAUGUCAUAUUCAUACAGAGAUGAAGUAUAUUAUUUACGGCUGGUAAGGACUAGGAAUUGAUGUAGCUAGAAUCCAAAGAUGAUAAGGUAUGUUGUGCACUAUUGUUUUAUUCUACGGUCAAUCUUGACCCUUGGUGCUUGGCUCUCAAUCUUGUCCAUUGAUCUUCUCUGAUCUUGGAAACUUCAAGACCUUUCACUCUCAUGCCUUAUUAUUGGUGUCUUCCAUGCUGUAGCUUUCAAAUACAAGCUUUCCCGCCAACUUGCCAAUUAUUUGUCCGUUGGUGCAUUUUAUCAAACAGUUUGGAUACUUAUACCAAACGCCUCCUGUUUUAACUCCCCCCUCAAGCUCAAGCAUGUGGGAAGACAUUAAUAAGCUUGUUUCUCAAGUAUAUGUAUCUGAAAAUUAAAUUUUAUAAAUUAUAUUCGGACUCUACAUUUUCUAAUGAACAUUGGUUUGGCUUAUAAGCUUAUUAUACUCAGGUUUGGUAGGAGCCAUGUCACAAUGUUAACGCUAACCAGCAGUACUGCCAAAGCUGGCCAACUCAGCCUGCAAGUUCAUAGCAACCAUAGUUACAGUCCUAGUCCGGUACAAAAAUCGUAAAUAUCAUUUACAUUACAAUGGUGUGGGGGGGGGGGGGGGGGGGGGGGGGGGGUGGCUGGAGAGGGAAUCAACAAAGAUCUAGAACGAAGGGUAGGCUUGUAUCCGUAACCCAUGUCACAGUGUUAAUGCUAACCGUGGACCUUAUUAUAUUAGUUUCUGGACUAUUAUUACUUUUGAAUUGCCAUCUUUGAAUUUACGUUCAUUUCUGCCUCGACAAGAUGUUUGUAAAAAUAUGCUAAUUAUUAAUGUGCCGUGUACAAAUAAGCAUGUUACUGUGCAAGGAUUGUAGUCAUGAUACAGUGGUGCAAAAUGUACAUGCUACUUCUUCUUUUCCUCAGUUAGGAUCACCGUCGUCACCAUUUAAUUCUAAGUCCACCCAUGCGGCCUAUGCAAUUGAAAUCAUGUGACCAUGUAAUUUUAGGUUCUGAUCUUCCUUGUGGGGUUAAACCUCAAAACUGUGACCAUUUUGGGACUUUUAAUCAGUUCCAAUCAUUUUCUGGUUCCCAUUCGUCCACCCAAGCCUUGAUUCCCCCGAUAUAGCAUGGCAAUAUAUAUAGGAAUAUUAAGGUUGUGUACAGUUUUUUUCUUUUCUGUUUUUAAUUUGAUAUAAAUUAUCAAUCAUGAAUCUACAUAAAGUUUCAACUAGGCUACUACCACAAUAAACAUUUGGAUGAACUAUUAUUGAAACCUUAUUGAGAAGUAGGACAUGUCGCAUACCAAUGCACUGACAUAUCUUCAAAUAGUGGUAACUCCACACAACAUGGCACAAUAAAUUAAGAGUUAUAUAGAUAAAAUCUUUCACUCUUUGGUAAUCAUCAAUGUCGGCAUGACAAUGCGUCCCACAAAUAUGGCUCCUUAUCAAAAUUCAUAAAUCAAAACAAAAAUAGAGAAUCAUAUUUGUUCCAGAUUGUAGUGAUGGUUGUUGAUGCACUCACAAUUUACAAUUUUAUUUAAUAUCUUCAAAUUCGCAUUUUAAAAUGCCCAAAUGUUUGUGUAUACAUAAUUAGAUAAAAUCUUUCAUUCUUUGGUAAUCAUCAAUUUCACUAUUAUUCGCUUUAUUAUGUUUGUUUCUUUCAGUAUGUUAAAAGAUUAUGUUGUGAAUUUGUUUUACAGGCCGCCCGUAAGUCUGCGCCCACUGUUGUGAAUUUGUGUAUACAUAAUUAGUAAUCGAUUCUCAAGCACGGACAUUUAAAAGCACUGCCGAAAGACAAAAUUUUAAUUUACUAUUUUUUGUCUUUUAAUUUUCUUUAAGUUUUAAUGAUUCCGCAUUUUAAAAUCCUGUGGAACGUGUAUGUAAAAUUCUUUUAUCUUUUAGAGGAAAACGGGCAAGAGAAGAAUAUUUGGCAAAGGAAUUGCAACCGCAUUUGGAGCUAUAUUUAAUUUUGUCUUUUAAGUCUUUUACACUUGUUUUUGUUAUUGAUGUUAGCUUGGAUGUGUGUGCGUGUGCGACUGAAUUCAACUUACAUGCUAUUGAUGCAGCCACCAAAAAGGGGUGGUCCAUCAUCAAUCAACAAGGUUUAUUAUUAUUAAUUUCCAUAUUGAUUUUCUUAAUUAUAAAUAAUACUAAUGUUAUUUCAUAGUUAUAAAUAUAUUAGAAUUAAUCGAAAUCAUUUUUUAGUGCGGCAUGGCUAAAACUACCCUCUUCUUUUUUUUUAUAAGUAAUUACUACUUUCACAUUAAGAAAAAUACUCCUAUUUUUUAGGAAAAGUCAAGUACCUGUAGUUGUGAAGACUCGAGCUCACUCCCUUAUGAUAAAUCUUCAUAUUAAUUACGUAAAUAUCCUCUAAAAUUUUAAAUUAGCUAUUCAAAAUUUGAUGUUAUACGGGUAUUUCAUUUAUUUGAGUAGGGGUUAGGGGUCAAUUGGAUACAAAUUCAAAAUUAUCCUUACUUGAGAUGGUGAUAAAAAUUGGGGAUUUAAUUUGGAUGUCAUUAGCUACAAAUAUUAAACUCAUACAUUUAAUUCAAAAUUGGAGGGCUGAUAUAAGCGCAUCAUCCCACAACCUCUCCAAUGAAAAAUUAACACGUUUCUUGUGUGCAUUUGAUCAGAAUCCUGAAAAUUAAUCACAAAAUUGUCCUGGAAAAAAAAAUACUUACAUAAAUGGUUUGAAAAAUCUAGAUUUCAAGUUGUCUAUAUUAGGUUGAUAUUUUUAUAAAUAGUCAUCCUCUCAAAAAAAUUCCGUCAAAAUAUAUUUUAAUUUUAUGUUAAUUCAUAAACAUGAAAAAAUCAUUUCAGAAUUAAUUAAAACAUAAUUUAUUGUUUCUCAAAAAAGGUAGAACUUAGUGAUAAGAAAAAAGUAUCUCAAAUAUAUGUAAAAAAAAAAAAAAUCUUGGUUAGUUGGAAUGAUUGAAUUUGUUUUUUUUUUUCUUUUUUAAGAAUUAAGACAAUCGGAUUGAUUGAGUAAUAAUAAUAUAUAUUUAUUUGGCAAAUGGCAGGUAGGCUUUCGUCUCAUGCAGAUUGAUUAGAGAGAAAAUAUAACAAUUUUAAGCUCGUCAGAUUCGAAGCUGCUUUCCUGUCGUGUGGGGAUCACUUCCGUGUCUUAUUUUUCUAGAAAAAUCAGGACCAUUGGAUUUAUGCGAAUCGUACUGAACAUUGGAAUUGAUGUAUAAGAAAAAAAUUCUGUAGUUUAAGAAGAACAAAAAGGCAUGUUGAAUAGAUUACAAUAGUUUAAGGAAAAAAAUUAUUCAAUUGGGAAUUUUUUUUUUCUUUAAUUUUUGUUGUACUUGAUUGAGAUUUCUCCUUAGUCCUUAGAGUUUUAAGUUUGGAAACCGUAGGAUCAGUAAUUUCGUACUUCCUUUGCAAGCUGAGUAUAAGGAUGAAAUUCUUUUAAGAAAUUAAAAAAGAUAAAAAAAAGCAUACCAAUAGGUAAUUAUAAAUAACCACAAAUAAAUAUAAACAAAAUGUUUAUGAAGUAAAUUAAACAUGCUCAUAUUAUUUUCUUUUAUUUUCUACUUGGAAAUCCAUAAAUACACUAAUCCAGUAUUACUAAUUUCAGACAGAAAAAUUUGAAUUUAACCAGUAUACACUAAUCCAGUAUUAUUUUUAUUAUUAUUUUAAUUUGUUUAUAAAUUACUAUUUUAAUUUUCACUUUUUAUUGGGUUGUUUAACGGAUUAGUGAAGCUGGUGGUCGUUGAUGCACUCACAAGGUACAAUUUUAUUUUAGAAUUUCAAAUUCGUAAUUUAAAAUGCAGGCACAUUAUGUAUACAUAAUUAUUGAUUUUCAUAUGUGGGUGUCUUGAAAUAUUGCCAAAAGAUCAAACUUUAAUAAACGAUUUUUGAUCUUUUUUUUUCCUUUGUACCUAAAGUUUGAGUGAUAUCCGCAUUUUAAAUUCAUGUGGACCAAAAGCUAAUGUAUGCACAAAAUUCUUUUAUUUUUUCCGAGAAAAAUGGGUAAGAGAAGAAGAUUUUUCUCUUGAAAAAGAAAAACUAAUACGUUGCAAGCAUAGGAAAGAGGCCAGUGUUUUGGAUUUGAAUUUAGUAUUGGGUUGAAUUUUAUGCUAAGCUCUUUUAUAAUACUUUAUAGAAUAAAAAUGUAAGGGGUAUUUGGUUAGGCAUGUACUUUGUAGAAUAAAAAUGUAAUAAUGUAAGUCAGUGCAAUGAUCUGCUGUCAUAAUAGUUGUAAAUAUUUAUGUGUAAUAUAGUAACAUGAUGCUUAAUCAGUUAAAAAAAAAUUGUAUAUCUUUUUUUAUUUUUUUUUAUUGUGAUCAAUAUAACUAGUCAAAUUUAUUUUUAAAUAUUUUUUUAAAAAUAUUUUUAUCGUGUGUUUGCUCCAUUACAGGGUUUCUUCAAUUUAAAAUAGAGAAUCAUUUGUGUUCUAGAUUAAUCGUGGGUCUAUAUCCAAAUCCAAAAAUUGACUAACUUGAUUUCUAUUAAGUUCUCAACCCUAACAAGAAAAAUAGAAGAUUAAAAAUGACUAUUUUGGUUUCUAUUAAUUUGAGUAACGCUUAAUAUUUAUCAUACAAUAGUCACUUAUAUUAUCAAAAUCUUGGGUCGAAAAUAUUAGGAUAGGUGAUAAUUGGAAUUAAGUUGUAGAUAAGAUAGCCUUUCAAAAAAAAGAAAAGAAAAAAAGUUGUAGAUAAGAUAGAAAUGGAUUUGGAGAGAGAUUGGAAUCCUGGCUAAUCCGGUGCACGUUGUUGCGUUAAAUUCUCGUUGACUUCACGUUGACCGAAGCAUUAUUGGAAGAAACAAGCAAGCUUAUUUUCUUCUCUCAUUUUUUACUUUUGUCUAAAUUUAUUGAUGUGAGGCCUCUGAGAUGGUAAAGUGUUAAAUCUGAGAAGAGUACCCACACACCCAUUAUCCUAUUACUCUUAUUUUAUCACAUGCAGAGACGUCAACGUUUGAUUCGCACAGAAAAAAAUUUGCGAGGAUUGUGAGGGUUGAUUCAAUAUAAUUUAGAUGCAAAGUGUUUACAAGUGCGAUGCUUCGUAAGUGCACCCGAAUCAUUAUAAACUCACCUUAUUUUCAUAGUGAUUAUUUCAUCUGCAUGUGAAUAUAAUCAUAUGUGGAGAUUUUUUUUUCCCUAAACUAUGAUCUUCUCUGGUAUUAAGGUGUUAUAUCUUUUAAAUUAUAAUUAUUAUUAGUAAAAAACUGCAACUAUGAAAAAGAAAUUUAAUAUUAUGUCCUGAAUAUAAUUAUUAAAUAAUAAUUUUGACAAAAUUAAUGAAUAUAUACAGAUUUUUUUAUCAUAUAAAUGUAAAAUUAUAUCAACUUAGCUUCUAAGCUAUACAACGGCUACUAUUUACUAAAUACUUUAGUGUCGUAGUUUUUAAGAUAUAUUUAUCCAACCUCAAUCCCAAACAUAACCUGUAAGGAUAAAAAAUUUCAUCCUAAAAAUUAUACGUCUUGUGACUUAUUUAAUUUAUAUUUUUGUUAUUUAUAUUUACUAAUUAUAGUCAUCUUUUAAUAAAUUACAAUUGAAGGAAGGUGGUUGAUGUUGUCGAGACACACACACAAAGAUAUAUUGGAAGUGCUUAUGUCCACUCGAAGUUGUGGGGAGUUAAUGCAUGUAUUGAUUUAUUGGGAGUGUUAAUGCAUGUAUUGAUUGAUUGAGUGAUUGAAUACUGUUUGAUUGCUUCAUAUCAAUUCUAGAAAGUUUAUUUCUUUGUGAAAUUUCAACGAAACGUGUUUUUUUAGAAUAAUAAGGGUGUUUUAAGUAAUUUUAAAAAAUGAAUGGACUAAUUAGAAUUAAUUAUUAGGUAAUUAACUCGAAUUGUAGAGGGUAAGCAAACAUUUAUCCUAAUUAUAUUAUGAUAAAUCCUUUUCCAAUUAGAAUUAGGAAACCAUAGAUAUACUGAAUUUUUUUUAUUUCCCUUCGCGAAAACGGAUUAGAGAAUUAGAAAACAAUCCUAGUGAUACUAUUGUUAGGUUUAAAACACUGCAUAGAUGGUAAAAACAUUGGAAUUGAUGUAGAUUAAUUUGUUAAUUGCUAUCGUACUGAACAUUGUUUUAUGCAAAUUAAUUUGAGAAUUAGAAAAUAUUUUGUUGCAUGCAAACUUUUUGUUUUAUGCAAAUCGUACUGAACAUUGGGACUGAUGUUUAAGAAAAAAAUUCUGUAGUUAAAGAAAAACAAAAAGGCAUGUUGAAUAGAUUACGAUAGUUUAUUCAAUUGGGAAUUUUUUUUUUUAAUUUUGUUGUACUUGAUUGAGAUUUCUCUUUAGUCCUUUCGUACUUCCUUUGUAAGCUGAGUAUAAGGAUGAAAUUCUUUUAAGAAAUUAAAAAAGAAAAAAAAGCAUGCCACUACGCAAUUAUAAAUAACCACAAAUAAAUAUAAACAAAAUGUUUAUGAAGUAAAUUAAACAUGCACAUAUUAUUUUCUUUUAUUUGCUGCUUGGAAACCCAUAAAUGCACUAAUCCAAUAUUACAAUUAAUUUCAGACAGAAAAAAUUGAACUCUAGGCUGCAGUUUGACUCAAAAUGAUGACCACUGGCUUCGCACCAUUCAACCGGUAUACAUUUCUACAAACCGAACAACGCUAUUGAUUUUUAUUAUUUUUUUAAUUUUUUUAUAAAUUACUAUUUUAAUUUUCACUUUUUAUUGGGUUGUUUAACGGAUUAGUGAAGCUGGUGGUCGUUGAUGCACUCAUAAGGUACAAUUUUAUUUUAGAAUUUCAAAUUCGUAUUUUAAAAUGCAGGCACAUUAUGUAUACAUAAUUAUUGAUUUUCAUAUGUGGGUGUUUUGAAAUAUUGCCAAAAGACCAAACUUUAAUAAACUAUUUUUGAUUUUUUUUUCCUUUUUACCUAAAGUUGGAGUGAUAUCCGCAUUUUAAAUUCAUGUGGAACAAAAGCUAAUGUAAGCACAAAAUUCUUUUAUUUUUUCCGAGAAAAAUGGGUAAGAGAAGAAGAUUUUUCUCUUGAAAAAGAAAAAAAAAUACAAUGCAAGCAUAGGAAAGAGGUCAGUGUUUUGGAUUUGAAUUUAGUAUUGAGCUGAAUUUUAUGCUAAGCUCUUUUAUAGUACUGCGAUUAAUAAGCUAGCUCAGGAUUUGCUUUUGCUUUUACUUCAAGUAAAAGAAUGAGGAAGCCUUUUGUUUUUUUGUUUGAUUUUUGACUAUAUAUGUUACCUAUAUAGAGAGUUGAGGUAGCAGCCUUAAGUGAUGGUGAUAAAAAGAUUAAGCAGCGCACACAAUCUUACUGUCGUCGAGACCAUCCAGUGAUGGCUCUUGUUUUUUUGUUACGUUAGCUUUAGUGGAAAGAAGGACCAAUUUAACAAAGACUAGAUUUGGUGGCUUACUAUGUUUAAUGUAAUGCUUAUUCUCAGCGCACACAAUCUUACUAUGUUUAAUGUAAUGGUUAUGUUGAAUGAUCUUCUAUGAUUGUGAGUAGUAUAGUAUAAUUGCAAGGGGCCUGGGCUCCUAUGAUGAAUAACAGUAACACAUUACUGUGAUUGAGAAAACUCAGUUCCAAUAAACUCUUCAUUUACUCAUUGCGGAGAUUGAAUGGCAAACAGAGAAUAGAAUGAAGCAGAAGAAUCUCAUUGUUAGGUUUUGAUGAUUUCAGAUGCUUUUUAAAAAAAAACAAUUGUGACAUCUUUGAUUUAAGGUAGUUUUGCAAAAAACAAAACAUAUAAAAAUUAAGAGGGAUGAUUUAACUGACGAUUACAAUCAUUACAGCAAUGCUGAUGAGUGAUAAAUCACUUGAAAUUUACUUGUCAGUUGCUGAAAUGAUGAAAAAAAACAAUAAACGAUAACAGUAAUAAUGUUCCCUUGCUGAAAUUCAAUUUUGACUUUCGACUCUUGGCUUUUAUGGAGAGUAAAAUGACUUGUAUAUUAUACUCAUACAAUCCACUCUACAUAAUGAUAUCGUUUUAGUAAGGCAAUGGCUGAUGAUCUCCAUUUAAAAACUACAUCAAUUUUUUUUUGCUUCAUUUAACUUUUUGGUUGUUGAAAAUAACCUUAAUUACCAAAUAAUUGGAGAAAGAGUUAAGAACAUUUAACAAAUUUAUGUGCAAAAAAAAAAGAAGGAGAAGUUGAAGAGAAAGGGUGCUUGCAGAAGUGGGUGUCAAAGAUAAAUCGGUCCAUAAGAAUUAUUGUGGUUAUUUUUUGGCAAUAUAAAAAAUUUUUAGUAAGUAAAAAUAAUUUUUUUUUCGAUUUACUAAAAAAUUAACUAAAAACUUCUGCGAUAGCAUUUUUUAUGGGUGCAGAUACCCUCCCUUUAAAAAAAAUAUAAUAAUUACUGCUUAAUAUAGUAUUAAAUACGAAAAUAUCAAUAUUUGACUACUCAAAUUUAUGUCAUUAGGUCCUUCAAAUUUAAAAUGGAAGAUAUGAAAGGAAAUAUAUAUAAAUUUCAUUGUCCUGGGAAAGGACCCUCUUAUAAUCUUAUAAUAUUUGAACUUUGAUAGAUUUUUUGAAACAAAUUUAGAUAGAUUUUUUGAAACAAAUUUACUUUUAUUUGUGUACAAUCAAUAUUUACUUAUUUAUUAUAUUUUAAUUUAUUAACUAUCAAUCAUGUUAAUAUAUUUAGUCAGAAAAAUCAUAUCAAGAGAAAAUCAUGACCCCACGCACGGAUAAAUACGUUAAUUUCUAUACUAUUCACUUUCCUGUAGAAUCAAUUAUUUAAAAUGCAAGUUUGUGGCUACAGAAAACUCGCCAAAGAAAGAAGAUAAUAACAAUUGAGCAUUGAUAGCAAAACUAAUGCAUCCAAUUCUUCUUGACUUGAUGAGAUGGCGCCAUAACGUAGAAACAAGUACCUAAAUUGACCGGCACUGAGUGGUGUGAAUACUACCAGCCAGUUCAUCUCUUCCAGUCGUGCUUAAUCACAAUCACAAACACCACGAGAUCGACAUUUGCAUUAUAUAUAUCUUCAGCAAUCGAAACACCUUGCAUUACCAAAUUAACCAGCAACAAACAAAGCAAUCUUUCAUGGAGAGAAACCUUAGUCUCAGUAUGAUCACUGUGUCAUUAACCCACUGCCUGCUUCUUUGCUUGGUUGUUGCAGCAGCAGCAGCAGCAAGCAGCAAUAUUACCACAGACCAACAAGCUCUUCUUGCCCUGAAAGAUCAUAUAAUUUAUGAUCCGACCAACCUUUUAGCCCAUAAUUGGACCUCGAACACCUCUCUUUGUACCUGGAUUGGCAUCACUUGUGAUGCCAAUAGCCAUAGAGUCACAACCUUAGAUAUUUCUCAAUUCAAUCUACAAGGCACCAUCCCUCCUCAACUUGGAAACCUCUCUUCACUCACAACGCUUAAUCUUAGUCAUAAUAAGCUUUCUGGAAGCGUUCCCCCCUCCAUCUACACCAUGCAUACGCUAAAAUUUCUAGACUCCACUGCUAACCAGCUCUCUGGUUCAGUGUCUUCCUUCGUCUUCAACAUGUCUUCAAUAUUAGACAUUCGUUUGACCAAUAACAGACUUUCUGGUGAGCUUCCGAAAAAUAUUUGCAACUAUCUUCCUCAUUUGAAAGCCCUUUUUUUGGACAAAAACAUGUUUCAUGGCAAAAUUCCUUCUGCUUUAUCAAAGUGCAAACAACUGCAACAAUUAAAUUUGCAGUUCAAUAAUUUAUCCGGUGCAAUACCAAAAGAAAUCGGCAACUUGACUAUGCUCAAAGGGAUAUAUCUCCUCUACAACAAACUCCACGGUAUGUUCACAAUACUAUAUAAAUAUUUUAAUUUAUCACUUAUUAUCUUUCUUGAAUAAUUUAACUAAGAUCUUGUAAGUGAGAUUUUUUGCAUCUAUGUUAAUAACCAGGUGAGAUACCCCACGAAAUCGCUAAUCUUCAAAAUCUAGAGGCUUUAGGGCUUGGAAUGAACAACCUAGUUGGUGUGUUACCAGCUCCCAUCUUCAACAUGUCAACACUGAAGGUACUUAUCCUCAUAAAUAACUCUCUCUCCGGAAGUCUUCCAUCAAGAAUGGACCUUUCACUUCCAACUGUUGACCAUCUUAACUUGGCACUUAAUAGAUUUUCUGGAACCAUUCCUAGUUCCAUCACCAAUGCUUCUAAGCUCACCUUUCUGGAGUUGGGAGGAAACACAUUUUCGGGGUUUAUUCCAAACACAAUUGGUAAUUGUUGUUUGUGAAAGCAAAUCCAGAAAACCAAAACGGCAGAAGACUUUGCGUUUAGAAGCUGGAAACACUUAAACUCAAAACGGCACAGGAGCCUGCGUUUUGGUGAGUAAAAGAAAUGCACUCCUGGACGACGUAUGGGUUUGACGUUUAGAUUUAAGUGAUUCACGCGUAUAUCACGUGCUUGAGUUCAGCCUUGCAAAGUUCGUUAUAUGUCGUUAGGAGCACGAAGAGCUCACGUGAGGUGCUGGGGUUUUUCUGGGUUUAUUAGCUAAAGCUGUUAUGGAACAGCUGAUGUGGAAGCAACGGACUGGAGAGCAGAGAGAGCUAAAGAUAGAGAAGGGAACUGGUUAUAUAAGCUAGUUAUAAUCUGUCUUUUAGGGACUAAGCAUUUACUCUGUAAUUCAUCUGAAAGAAAUCAAUAAAGCUGUGUUCUUUCCCUCCCGUGGAUGUAAGCUAGAGAAGUCUAGCUGAACCACGUUAAGAUUCUUUGUUCUUUCUUUACAUUACUUUCUUUUGAUUCUUUAGACCAAUUUUGUUUACCAUUUAAGUUCCAUAGAUUUCAUCUUAGUCAUAGCUUUUCGGUAAGCCAUCUUGCUGCAUCUUGUUCUGUUGGCUGGAGAUCUUGGGGCAGAGUCUUGGGUUGCUCUAUCAGUCUUUAGCACCUGAGAUUCUACAGUAAUUUAAUAAACCUUGAGUGGCUCAACUUGGGUAAUAACUCCUUGACAUCUUCAACCUCAAAAUUGAGCUUUCUUUCCUCUUUGGCAAAUUGCAAGAAAUUAAGAGUCAUAGGCUUAACAGGCAAUCCACUCAAUGGUAUCCUUCCAAGUUCAGUAGGUAAUCUUUCUAUGUCUUUGAAAACACUUGUCAUCGGCAAUUGCAGUAUUAUUGGCAACAUUCCUCGAGUAAUUGGCAAUUUAAGCAACUUGUUGGCCUUAUCAUUAGAAGGCAAUAAAUUGACUGGAUCAAUUCUAAUUACAUUCGCCCGACUACAGAAACUCCAAGGCUUAGAUCUCGCAUUCAAUAAGUUGGUAGGUUCAUUCCCAGAUGAGCUUUGCCAUCUAGCUAGGCUGGCAGAAUUGGUCUUAUUUGGCAAUAAGCCAAAUAAGCUUUCAGGAUCUAUACCUUCAUGCCUAAGUAAUUUCACUUCUAUAAGAUCUCUCUAUUUAGGGUCCAAUAGGUUUACUUCUGUCAUUCCCUCAACUUUCUGGAGCCUAAAAGACAUCUUGUUCUUUGACUUUUCAUCAAAUUUCUUGGUUGGUACUCUUUCUUUCGACAUAGGUAAUUUGAAGGUGCUUCGAGGAAUAAAUUUAUCAGAAAAUAACUUAUCGGGUGAUAUGCCAGCCACAAUUUGAGGACUAAAAAACCUUCAAAUUAUGGACCUAGCAUAUAAUAGAUUGGAAGGGCAAAUUCCUGAAUCAUUUGGUGACUUGACAAGUUUGGAGCUUUUGAAUUUGUCAAAUAAUAAAAUCUCUGGGUCUAUUCCAAAAUCCAUGGAGAAACUCUUUUACCUCCAAGAGUUAAAUCUCUCUUUCUAUGAACUAGAAGGUGAGAUUCCUAGUGGAGGAAUUUUUGCCAACUUCACAGCUGAGUCAUUUAUGGGAAAUGAGUUAUUGUGUGUUUUGCCAUUGAGUAUUGCUCUAACAAUAGCAAUCACUCUAGCUCUCAAAUAUAAGCUUAUUGAAUGUAGAAAGGGAAGAACAGUGUUGUCAAAUGAUAGUAUCUUGUCAUCACAAGCAACACUAAGAAGAUUUUCAUACUUAGAACUUUUACGAGCAACAAAUAAUUUUUCUGAAAACAACAUAAUUGGCAUAGGAGGUUUUGGUUCUGUUUACGGUGGAAGACUUGAAGAUGGGAUGAAGAUUGCAAUAAAAGUGUUUCACCAGCAAUGUGCAAGCGCAUUGAAGAGUUUUGAGGCUGAAUGUGAAGUGUUAAAAAAUAUUCGCCAUCGAAACCUUAUCAAAGUUAUCAGCAGUUAUUCAAACAAUGACUUCAAAGCAUUAGUCCAAGAAUACAUGUCCAACUGGAGCUUGGGGGAUUGGAUGCAUUCUAGCAAUUAUAUGCUGAAUAUAUUUCAAAGGUUGAACAUAAUGAUUGACGUUGCAUCAGCUUUAGAAUAUCUUCACUUCUAUCAUUCAACUGCUAUUAUUCACUGUGACUUAAAGCCUAGUAAUGUAUUGUUGGACGAAAAUAUGGUUGCUCAUUUAAGUGAUUUUGGCAUAGCAAAGCUUUUAAGUGGAGAAGAUGAGUCUAUGAUGCGAACAAAAACCCUUGCCACUAUAGGUUAUAUGGCACCAGGUUUGCUUCAAACAACUUUUUUUUUAGUUCAUUUUAAAUUUUCCAAAUCAUCGAUUUUUACGAUCCUCAUAUCAAAAUGUUAUUGAUUAUUUAUCUAAUUGUGAAAUUAAUUUGAUUCAUAGAGUACGGCAUAAAAGGAGAAGUAUCUACAAAAAGUGAUGUUUACAGCUAUGGGAUUAUGUUGAUGGAAACUUUUACCAAGAAAAAACCCACAGAUGAAAUUUUUGUCGGAGAAUUGAGCUUAAGGCGUUGGGUUAAUGACUUGCUUUCUGCUUCAUUAGUGGAAGUUGUGGACAAAACUCUGCUAAGUGGAGAGGAAAAAUAUUUUGCAUCAAAGGAGCAAUGUCUGUUGUCUAUCUUUAGUUUGGCUCUGGAGUGUACAAUGGAAUCACCGGAAAAGAGGAUUAAUGCAAAAGAUAUUGUUACCAGAUUACUCAAGAUAAGAGACACAUUGAGUAAAAGGAUCGGAAAUUUAAGUUAAUUUCGUUUGCUUUCGUUGAUAGUUAAUUCAAAUUCAUGUAAUAAGUGUAAGAAUCUUAUAUCUUUUCCUUUGAUAUUUUUUUUUUUGAGAAAACUGUUGUAGUCAUCUUAUUUCCAUGGGUAGAGUUGAUUUAGUUCUUCCAAGAAUUAAUUGAGCUUGUUUCACAAGUAUAUGAAUCAGACAGUUAAAUUUUAAAAAUUAUAUUCGGACUCUACGUUUUGUAAUGAACAUUGGUCUGACUUGUUAUACAUUUAUGCGGACAUUCAAGAGCAAAUAUUUUGAUUUACUAUUUUUUGUCUUUCAAUUUUCUUUUAGGUUCUGAUGACGUGCGCAUUUUAAAAUCCUAAGGUACAUAUAAAAUUCUUUUAUUUUUCGGAGGAAAAUGGGUGAGAGAAGAAGAUUUGGCAAAGGAAUUGCAACGGCAUUUGAAACUAGUCUUUGUCGUUUAAUUCUUUUAUAUUCGUUUUUUUUAUUGAUGUUAGCUUGGAUGUGGGCGCGUGUGACUGAAUUCAACUUAUAUUUGUUUUUGUUAUUAAUUUUAUUUGUUUUUGUUAAAUUGGACCACCAAAAAGGGUGGUCCAUUAUCAAAUCAACACCGUUUAAUUAUUAUUAUUUCUACACUUUUUUUUAUGAACAAAUAUAAAAUAAAAGGACAUUUACACCCAAAUUUUAGUGAAAUAGUCAUCAACACCCUUAAAUUUUUAAAAAGAGACAUCAAGAUCAUUUUUUGAUCUUAAUACUCUUAUACAGUACCUCUAUUAUUCCUAAAAAUUGACUCUAAUGUUUUAUAAUAAAUAAAAAUAAAAGAUUAAAAUAAAUGUAAUAACAUAUACAUUUUAAAACCAUUUCAAUAUUUAAAAAAUAUUUUUAACAUUUUACAAUCUAUUAAAUAUAUUUUAUUAUAUUAAAGUAAAUUUUAUAAUAAAUAGAAUCAUAUUAUUAAAAUAAAUGCAUUAAAAUUUAAAUUAUUUUGAAUAUCAUGUAAGAUAAUAAUUUUAACAUUACUAGUAUGUCAGAUUUUUUUUUUAAUUGUAGAGUGUAUUUAGUGCAAAUAUUUAUUUCAAAUAUCUACAAUAAAUAAAAGAUUAAAGUAAAUAUAAUAAUUUACAUAUCUAAAUUUAUUAAAAUAUUUUAAUAUUGUUAGUCUACUGCAUAGAUCACAAUAUUCAUAUAACAUUUGUAUUUAUUAAAAACUUUAAAAUCAAUUCUUUUGAGAAUAAUAGAGGUAAAGGGUAUAAUGGUCAAAAGGGAAAUUUUGUAUCCCUUUCUGAAAACUUGAGGAUGUUGGUGACUAUUUCUCCAAAUCUUCAGCGUGUAGAUGUCCUUUUCUCCGACAGUAUCUGAACUUUGAAGUAAUAAGGAUCACCUUUUACGAAAUUAUAUUGCUUUUCAUGAUAGACUGUUACCAUUUUUCUACAAUAGAUUGAAUUUAGUAAAAAAUUGAUUAAGAUGUCUACUCAUGGAGAGUGAAAUUUAUGUUCAAAACUAAUUUCAACAGGCAUGCACCAUCGAACGUGUUUCUCACGGAAAAGUUGCUUGGAUUUUUGGGACUUCCUGUUCAAAUAUUCAACACGGCAUGCACCACGCGAUUGAACAUGCAAAAGUAGGGGUCUAUUUUCAUUUCCAGCAUUAUAGAAAUCUUAAUUUUGUUCAUUAUUUAUUUUGAUCAGCACUGUUGAAUCUCCAUGCAUUGCCAAUCACUAGGAAACAACAUAUUUUUAUUAAUUAUAUCCUCUAAUGGAGAGAACUCAUUGUCUCAGUAAGAUCACUGUGUCAUUAACCCACAGCCUGCUGAUUUGCUUGGUUGCUACUGCAAGCAAAAAUAUUACCACAGAUCAAAAAGCUCUUCUUGCCCCAAAAGAUCACAUAACUUAUGCUCCAACUAAUCUAUUGACCCAGAAUUGGACCUCAAAUACCUCUGUUUGUACGGGGAUUAGCAUCACUUGUGAUGUCAAUGGCCAUGAAGUUGCAGCCUUGGAUAUUUCUCAAUUCAAUCUACAAGGCACCAUUAUUCCAAACACAACUGGUAAUUUAAGAAACCUUAAGUGGCUCGGCUUGGCUUAUAAACUACUUGACAUCUUAAACUUCAAAAUUGAGCUUUCUUUCCUCUUUGGCAAAUUGCAAAAAAUUAAGAAUCUUAGGCUUACUGGAAAUCCACUUGACCGUAUCCUCUCAGGUUCAAUAGGUAAUCUUUCUAUGUCUUAGGAAAUAUUUCACAUCGCCAAUUGCAGCAUUAGUGGCAGAAUUCCUUAAGUAAUCAGCAAUUUAAGCAACUUGUUGGCUAGUGUGCAAAAUUUUAAUGUACUCGCAAGCGCAUGAACCUAAAAAUAGAAUAGUGGUAACGAGGUCAAACUCACAGGGAUUGUUAUAAAAUGACAAAAGAAUAGCUGCUGGUCUAGAGGUGGCUUAUUACAUUCAUACAAGAUCGUUUCUUGUUCUCUAAGAUGUGCAUUAUGCUAAUAAUGCUAUACAAACUUAUCCAAAGGUCUAUUGAUUAAUUCAUUAAUCCAACUGCUGGUUAGGUUGUCCUUUCAUCCAAACAGCUGCAUGCUUGUCUUCUUAUAUGCUGAUCUUAUCCUCUAGAUCUGUUCAGGCUGAGUGAUCUCUCACAUUUGCCAUAUCAGAAGAUUACAUGCCAGUAAUGUCUUGUGAUGAUCUGUUGCUUGGUGAUGUCGAAUGCCUGGCCUUUACUUCUCUGAGCAAAUUGAUCAAACAAUUUGUUCAUUUUAUCGAUGGUUUUUAAGUGCAUUUAAUGAUUAUUUUUGCUCCAACUUCAGAUAAACCAAACGCUAGUAUAUUAGAUGAAGAAGUUAACUGGCAGCUAACCAGGUCAAAAUAGCGACUCUAUAUAAAAAAUAUAUAUAUAUAAUAUAAAAUAUAAAAUGGGAAUUUAUUUAAUUAAUUGUUGGUCUAAAGCUGUUGGUAUCCGUUGGCCACGUUUCUGAAGAGUCAUCUCAAAUCGAAAUUUUUAACGAACAAAGAACUUUGCUUUUUUCCAUUGUUCACAUAUCUGCUGGCUGCCACCCGUGAGAUAAAAGUGCUACAAUCCAAAAUGUUCCACCAUUAUUUAUUCUAAUUUUAAUUUUCCAAUGGAAAAAAUUACAUAAUUAAAAUGGCUUCUAAUAUCAUUUCCACCCCUCAAUAUGUGUCACUAUCAGAAGGUUGUUUUCAUGAUUCAUGGUAAAUUUGGAUUACAGCACCUGUACUUUCUGAUGGUUCAUUAUUUAUUCUCAGGAAUCGAGUCUCCUUACAUUACCAAACUAAUAACAAACAGCAAUAUUUUAUCCUUUCAUGGAGAGAAAUUACAGUCUUCGUUUGACCGCAGUGCUAUUAACCCACUGCUUGCUUCUUCAGUUGGUUGUUGCAGCAGCAGCAGCAAGCAACAUUACAACAGACCAACAAGCUCUUCUUGCCCUGGAAGCUUAUAUAAGUUAUCAUCCAACUAAUUUUUUGGCUCAAAAUUGGACCUCAAAUACCUCUGUUUGUAACUGGGUAGGCAUUACUUGUGAUGUCAAUAGCCAUAGAGUUACGGCCUUGAAUAUUUCCAGCUUGAAUCUACAGGGUACCAUCCCCCCUCAACUUGGAAACCGAUCUUCACUGACAACACUUAAUCUUAGUCAAAACAAGCUUUAAGGCGACAUUCCCCCCCUUCAUCUUCACCGUGCAUGAGCUGAAAUUUCUUGAUUUCAGUGAUAAUCAGCUCUCUGGUUCUUUGUCUUCCUUUACCUUCAAUUUGUCUUCAAUAUUAGAUAUUCGUUUGGAUAGUAACAAACUCUCUGGUGAACUCCCAUUAAAUAUUUGCAAUUAUCUUCACUAUUUAAAAGUCCUUUUUUUGGCCGAAAACAUGUUUCACGGUCAAAUACCACUGGCUUUAUCCAAGUUCAAACAGCUACAACUGUUAAAUUUGGGGUUCAAUAAAUUAUCAGGAGCCAUACCGAAAGAAAUCAGCAACUUGACUAUACUUCGAAAGAUAUCUCUCAGAAAUAAUAAACUUCGCGGUAUAAAUGUUUAUAAUAUAUACUUUGUAAAUGCUCUUAUUAAUCAUUCUUGAACUUUCUUAGAUACUUUUGUCUAAAUAAGAUUUUGUAAAAGAGUUUUUUGCAUCUCUGUUAAUUUUGCAGGCGAGAUACCUCACGAAAUUGGGUAUCUUCCAAAUCUAGAGAAUUUGGUGCUUGGAUUCAACAACCUAGUAGGUGUUGUACCUGCUGCAAUCUUCAACAUGUCAACAGUGAAAGAAAUUUACCUAUUAGAUAACUCUCUCUUGGGAAGUUUUUCAUUAGGAAUAGACCUUUCACUUCCUAACGUUGAGAGACUGAACCUGGGGCUGAACAGAUUUUCUGGAACCAUUCCUAGUUUCAUCACCAACGCAUCUAAACUUGUAUAUCUAGAUAUGGGAACAAACUCUUUUUCGGGCAUUAUUCCGAACACAAUUGGUAAUAAUCUAAGAAACCUUGAGUGGCUCGACUUAACAUACAAUCGCUUGACAUCAUUAACUCUAGAAUUGAGCUUUCUUUCCUCUUUGACAAAUUGCAAGAAAUUAAGAUUCUUAGGCUUAACAGGCAAUCCACUUGACGGUGUCCUUCCAACUUCAAUAGGUAAUCUUUCUAUGUCUUUGGAAAACAUUUACAUCUCAAAUUGUAGUAUUGGUGGCAGCAUUCCUCAACUAAUCACCAAUUUAAGCAAUUUGUUGCUCUUAGAUUUAGAAGGCAAUAAGUUGACUGGAUCAAUUCCAGUCACAUUCGGCCGGUUGCAGAAACUCUAGGGUUUAUAUCUUCCAUUUAACAAGUUAGCAGGAUCAAUCCCAGACCAGCUUUGCCAUUUAGCUAGACUGAAUACAUUAGGUUUGGCUGGUAAUAAGUUUUCUGGAUCAAUCCCUUCAUGUUUAGGUAAUCUCACUUCUCUAAGGUCUCCCGACUUAGGGUCCAAUAGGCUUACAUCAGUCUUGCCCUCAACUUUUUGGAAUCUAAAAGACAUCUUGUUCUUUGACCUUUCAUCAAAUUCUUUGGAUGGUCCUCUUUCUUUAGACAUAGGAAAUUUAAGGGUUGUGAUAUCAAUAAAUUUAUCACGAAAUAACUUUUCAGGUGAUAUCCCAAGUACAAUUGGAGAUCUAAAAGACUUACAGAAUAUCUCCUUAGCAUGUAAUGGAUUGGAAGGUCUAAUUCCUGAAUCAUUUGGUUACUUGACAGGUUUGGAAAUUUUAGAUUUGUGAAAUAACAAAAUCUUUGGGUUUAUUCCGAUAUCUUUUGAAAAACUCUUGUACCUCAAAGAGCUAAAUUUGUCUUUCAACGAACUAGAAGGAGAGAUUCCUAGGGGAGGACCUUUUGCAAAUUUCACAGCUAAGUCAUUCAUGGGAAAUGAGAAAUUGUGUGGUUUACCAAAUCUCCAAUUCCCAAAAUGCAAGCGUCGGACACGUCGAAAAUCAAAGAAAAAGAUGCUUCUACUUGUGAUUGUCUUGCCAUUGAGUACUACUCUAAUAAUCGUAGUCCCUCUAGCUCUAAAAUAUAAAUCGAUAAGAGGUGGAAAGAGUAGUACUAGGUUGUUAAAUGAUGGUAUCUUGUCAUCACAAGAAACACUAAGAAGAUUUUCAUACCAAGAUCUUUUUCGUGCAACAGAAAAAUUUAGUAAAGACAAUCUAAUUGGCGUAGGAAGUUUUGGUUCUAUUUAUCGAGGAAGACUUCAUGAUGGAAUUGAGGUUGCAAUAAAAGUGUUUCACCAGAAUUGUGCAAUGGCAUUGAAGAGUUUUGAGGCUGAAUGUGAAGUGAUGAAAAAUAUGUUGGGAAAAUAUGCUCUUUAAAAGCAUAUGUGUUUAUUUAAUUGUAAUAAACAUUUUUUCUGAUUAAUAAAAGUAAUGAGGUAUUUUAUCCAAAUAUCUUAAUUGCAUUAAUAUUUUUAUUAAAGUCCAUUUAAUCAUAUUAUAUGUAUUUAUGUGAUCACCAUGUGGAUUCACAGAAGACAUAAAUACAAGUUAUCUUAUGAUUAAAUAAAUUUAGUUCGCAGUUGAUAAAUAAAGUUGGGCACUUUAUUUAGGUAUAGACUGUAAUGAAUUCAUUGAAUGAUUUGUCUUAAUCAUGUAUGAAUUUAUUGAUGUAGUACGACUACAUUGAACAGGAUCACAUAUGAGAUUUAAUUAACUUUGUAAUAACUGUCAGACUUAUUAAAUCUCAUAGGCAUUGAUUUUACUGUAAUCUUAAUCUUGAGUUAAUUAUGAUUUCAUGAUUGUAAUUGUUAUUCCAUUUGAGUUACCAAUAGGCAUGACACAUACUUGUAGUCUAGAUAACCUGGUAUCUUGGUGGGAGCAUUUAUGAGUAUUAGAGUUAUAGAUUAACAAUAUAGAAUUUGUAUAACACAUCUCUUGAUGGGUUUUCGGCACUUGAUCAUAGAAUUCUCUGGCCAGAGUGUGUCAACAUAUUUAGUAUGUUGAAAAUGAUCAUUAGAGAAAACCAGUAAGUAUCAAGAAACAAGAUGUAAUUAAAUUGAUUGGACAGUUGAGAUAUCGAUUUAAUUAAUGAAGUGGUACAAAGGAUUGUGCAGUAAAGAAAUCAAUAUGGCUUGGGACGAAUUAUUAUUCGAGCAUACAAUUCUGGAAGUCAGUUCCAAUCUUUUAGUGGAGUAGAUUUGGAAUUAAAUAAUUGGGCUAGUUUAAUUACAAGCCUAAUUAUUGUAGCCACUAUUGUAUGUUCCCAAAUGAUCCCCGGGUUAGCUCAUUUAAUUGACUGCACCACUACUGGACUAAUAAGUAAGAUAACUAGCUAUUUGGGUCAAAAAGCCUAAAUAUAUCAUUUAGCGGGAGGCUCCAUUUAAUUAGCUUUUGUAUAAGGGGCCUUAUGUUAUUUUACAAGGUGGGUCCCCUAUAGAAAAAACAAAUAACGUGAGUUUUGUUUUUUGAUUAUUUGGAGCCUAGGGUUUUCACUAAAGGGUGAUAUAAAAGGCUUAUUUUCUCUAAAGAAAAAAAAGCAGCCACUUUAUACAGAUCAGGAGAAUAAGAUUUUUCUCUCUAUUGUUGAGAGAAAAAUUUUCUCGUGCUAGUUGCUUUGGUAGUGAUAAAGGCGCCCACACGUCAAGUGCAGAUUGAACUUGAGUCAUAACCUGGAAGAUCAUUGAUGACAGUUCGUGAUCUAACAAGCGUGGUGGUGACGGAUCGUGAUCUAACAUGAGUGGUGGUGGCGGAUCGUGAUCUAGGAGUCUAAAUCACUUCAACGGAAAAAGCCAAAUCGGAUUUUCAAGGUACGAUUUCUAGAUUACAAAUUCUUAUAUAUUAUAUGAGAGCGAUCUUCAAAAGGUUUUAUAAAAAAUUUAAAAACCUAAUUUUUCCCCAACAAAAUAUUCGUCAUCGAAAUCUUGUCAAAAGAAUCAGUUGUUGUUCGAACGAAGAUUUCAAAGCAUUAGUUUUAUAAUAUAUGCCCAAUAGAAGCUUGGAGGAUUGCCUGCAUUCUACCAAUUGUUCGUUAAAUAUUUUUGACAAGUUGAACAUAAUGAUAGAUGUUGCAUCGACUUUGGAAUAUCUCCACUUCAAUCAUUCAACUCCUGUCAUUCAUUGUGACUUAAAGCCCAAAAAUGUAUUGUUAGAUAAAAACAUGGUUGCUCAUUUCAGUGAUUUUGGAAUUGGAAGGCUCUUAACUGGAGAUCGAUCAAUGAUACAAACAGAAACACUUGUCACAAUUGGUUAUAUGGCACCAGGUUUGCUCUGAAAUAAUUUUUGUUUUUUGGGUUUUCAUUCAGACUUUCCAAAUUAUUAUUUUUCCAUGAUCCUUCUAUCCUAAUGUUAUUGAUUAUUUAUCUAAUGAUAAAAUCAAUUUGGUUGAUAGAAUAUGGCAUAGAAGGAUGAGUAUCUACAAGAAGUGAUGUUUAUAGUUAUGGAAUUAUGUUAAUAGAAACAUUUACUAGGAAGAAACCCACAGAUGAAAUGUUUACUACAGAAUUGGGCUUAAAACUUUGGGUUAACAACUUACUACCUACUUCAUUGAUGGAAGUUGUGGACAAAACUCUUUUAAGUAGGGAAGAAGAAGAUUUUGCUGCGAUGGAGCAACGUGUGUUAUCAAUCUUGAGUUUAGCCAUGGAGUACGUGAUGGAAAUGCCAGAAAAAAGGAUCGAUCCAAUAGAUAUUGUAACUAAACUAUUGAAAAUAAGAGACACAUUGAGUAAAAGGUUAGCAAAUUUAGGUUAACCUUAUUUCUUGGCAUUGAUACUUGAAUCAAUAUGUACUUAAUUUGAAUCAAUGUAUGAGUGUAAGAAUAUGAUAUAUUUUCUUUUAAUUUUUUUUCCUGAGAGAAAUGUCAUAGCUGCCUUGUUUCAAAUUAAUUUUAUACUUUUUUUUUCUUUUUCUAAGAUCAUGCCAAUGAGUUGUAGGAAGAUCAGCUACAAAUUCAAAGCCGGCUAAGGCAUUUGAAGAUGGAGAGAUUGUUAGUUUUUUUCCCAUUAAAAUUAACAUAUAUCACUUAUCCCAACUAUUUUCAUAAUACCUAAUAAGCUCUUGGCACCAUAACUUUACCAUAUAACCCUUAUUUUGAAAUACACUUUUAUUCAUAUUAAUAUUAAUUAAAUAAAUCAUAUGAGUUGAAAUUAAAAUUAAAAAAAUUAAAUACCAAAAAUAAGAAAUAUACGUUUUAGUGUGCUAAAAAAAUUAAUAUUAAAAUAUUUUUCCUGUACUUUUUAUUAUUUUGUGAAUAUUUUUCUUAUAAUAUAUAUAUAUAUAUAUAUUAUUCUCAAAAUAAUGUAUCAAGCAAAUGACUUUUUUCUCUUCUUUUUCUUUAACUUUUUUUGUGCUAGUAGAGUUUUUAGAUAUUAUAAAAACAAUAAAAGAAUAAGUGAUAUAUAUUAAUUUCAGUUGGAAAUAACCGACAAUCCCCCUUUAAUUACGUGUCACACCCAACUUUUUUGCCAAUGUUGACAUUUGCCUAUAUCAGGUUUUUGAUGUGUACAGUGCAGGUUCAACUUAAGCCAUAAAUAAAACAACUUGAGAGAGCAAAAGAAUUGCAAGUUCUUGAUUUCAAAUCUCCAAGCAUAGGAAGCCAAAGCAUCUGCUUCUUUUGGGCAUGCUGCAAAUGAUGGUUCUAGUUCGAAUGUGACCUUUCAGUCAUCUCAAGGGCUAUUCAUUGGGGACAUCGACGUAACUUUACCCCACCUAGAGGUUUGAUAAUUGAUGGGUGUCGAAGCCAACAAAAAUAAAUUCUUAUUCUAAAUAAAUUGUGUAUAGUGAUUGAGCAGGGUUGUGUCCACAGAGAUCGGUAAUUAAUUAAAUCCUUUUGAAACAUAAAACGUAAAAUGGGGGAAUUGUUGACAAUAAUAAAAAUCAAAUUAAAAUAACAAGAAUGCAAAUUAAAGUUGUAACUCAAAUUGGAGAAAGCUCUGGUUGAAGGAAUUAACUCAGCUUGAUUCGACUACUGAUCAUUGAUUCAAAUAUAGAUUAUUAUUACUCAUGAAUAGACCGGUUAUAGCUACUGAGACCCUCUAAUAGCCAAUCUCUCCUUAACUAGUCGAUAACCAAGGUACGACCGUUGGUUAUUUCCCUAAUCAAUAGACAACCCUAGAUACGAUCAUAGGAUUUAAUCAAUUGACAGCCUGAAAAACCAGAGAGACCUAAAUCCUAAUCAACACAUAUGAUGAUUCAUUUAAAUUAGAUUAUUUAUUCUCACAACACAACUCUCUGCUAUGUUAUUUGUCACAAGCAUUAAAUUCUUCAUACGAUGAAUCCUUUAAUUGACAAUAGAUUAAGUUGAUAAUUAAAUAGUGGCCAAUUACCUAAUUAAUAAACAUAAUCAUGAAACUAAUUCAGAGAAUAAACAAAUACCCAAAAAGCAAUAAAACAAUUAAAGCACAAGAAAGAUCUCACAGUAGUGAUGAAUCAAAGCUUCAUUAUCCUUCAACCAGAAAAAUAGGUUUAGUUCUUCAUAGAGAGAAGAGAAAAAUUAAGAUCUAGGGUUUCUUUCUUUCUCCAAUCCCCAAAAUCCCCCCUUUUCACAAUAGAUUCCUCCCUUAAAUACUCUCUCUCUCUUCUCUUUUAGAAUUCUAUUUAAAAUAAAAUCCUAAUAUCUAAAAUAUUAAAUUCGUAAUUACAAAAAUAGCCAAAAAUAUAAAACACGUUAAACUAAAAACUGCAGGUUCGCAGUUGACAGCACGCGCCCACGCCUUAUCAACAAAGUUCUUCUGCCGCUCAUAAUUUCUCCAAGGGAACAAUCAUCCCUAAACAUCAUCUUGUAGCUCAAUUUUAUCACCAAUCAAUAGAAUUGCACCUACAAAAGUAAAUCACAAGUAAAUCACUAUUAUUAAGUGCAAAACAUCGAUAUUAAAGGAAGUAAACAAUGCAAAACUAGUGUAUAAAUUGCACUCUAACAAAUUCCCCCACACCAAGAUGAUGCUUGUCCUCAAGCAUAUAACUCAAGAUUAAUCCCAAAUCUCCACUCAAUUCUCAUCUCAACUCAUCCAAAAACAAUUUUAAGCAAGCAUACCUCAAGAAAUUAAGUCGAUCAACAUUUGAGAGAUAAGGAUUUUAAAGCAUAGAAUUUCAUAAGAUAGAAUAAGAACAUUCAACCACCAAGAAGAUCCAUUCAAAAUUCAAGUGCAGCAAGAUUUAAUAGCCCUCUCAAUAACUUCACUCCAUGCACUCAAAGUGUUUAGGGUGUCAUUUAUCCACUCAAAUCAAAUCAAAGAAUGUCAUUACCAUAAGCUUGCUCAUAUAUCACAUCUCAAUCCACAAAACAUGAAUAAAAUGCAAAAAUCUAAGGGUCUUAAAAGGGUUGUAAUGGGGUAAAAUGGGUGAAAUGAAAAAGAAAGGUUUAUGAAAGAAAAAGAGAUCAAAAUGAGAAGAAUGAACUCAUUGAAUGAACUUAUGAUAUCAAAAUGCUUAUUUCUACUCAAGUCACCAAGAAUGUAAACAUUUUUUUUUUCGAUUUUUUUUCUUCGAUUUUCUUUUUCUUUUUUUUCUUUUUCCUUUUCUUUUUCUUUCUUUUUUCAUUUUUUUCAUUUUUUUUUUGUUUUUUUUUUCGAAUCAAACAAAAGAAACGAACCUUGCACAAUUUAAUUCAAGCAUAAUGCUUGUUGAUCUAAUUGAGAAACUUCAAUAUAAGGUAGAAAAAGCAACAAAAUAUAUCCAUAUAAUGAGUCCAAAAAUCUCCUUAAAUUGAGGCUCAAAAAAAGAAGAAAAAUGGUUAAGUAGACGGAGAGAAUUAGAUGGGUAAUGGUUAAGGCUCAAACAAAGGUAGCAAAUAAAGGUCUUCGGGUAGAGAAAAAGGAAAAUGCGAGAAUAGAAAAAUGGUAAAUGGUUUGCCCUUAUCAUUUUAAUGCAUAAAAUCCCGUAAUGUGGCUUCAACAUGCAUAACAAAGCAAGUUCUAGAAUAAACAAACUAGGAUUGAUAUUCACAUAACAAAAAAAAAAAUAAUUAGAGCAAAGUGGUUGCUCAUAGGCUCAAAUCCUCACAAAAUUGGUAAAUUUGCCAUCAAAUCAUGUACACUCUUCAAAUGAAUCAACCAUCAAUAGUGGUGUAGAAUGAGAAGAAGGUAUGAGUGAGAUAUAAAAGGAAAGGUAAAAAGGAUAAUAAGCGAGAAAGAUGUAUGUAGUAAUAUGAAAAGUGAAAGAUAAAAUGUGAGUGAUGAAAGAGUAUGGUAAAAUAAAAAUAGACAUGAAUAAUUUGAGAUAGAUGGGAAAAAAGUAGUGAGAAGGAAAAGAAAAGAAAAAUAAUAAUAUAUGAAGCAUACUAACUCCAAAAUCAUUUAAGGAUGAGUAGAGUGAAAAUAGAUUAGUAGAGUGAAAACAAUAAUUCCAGACAUCAAUAAUGCAAAAAUCCCUCCCCCAUACCAAGAACUUACAUUGUCCCUAAUGUAAGAUAAUCAAAGCUCACAUAAAAGUUAAAGCGUAACGAUAAAAGAUUAAGGGCAAAAAGAAACUUUCCUGAAUUGUGAGCUUUGAUCCACAUAACGUCUAUGGGCUUGGCGGAAAUGGUGGGGUAAAUCCCACACUCUCGAAGUAUGCGGCCAAAUUCUGCUCCAUCUUGUUCAGCUUGUGCUCUAUUUUCUCUAACUGAAUGCUCAAAGGUGGUGCAGAUGUAGAAUGAAUAGUUGGCGGGGCAGCAAUGUCGUCGUCAAACUCAUCAUCAGAGGUAGCACCACUCCUAGCAUAAAGCUUCUUCGGAAGUUGAGUGGGUCCUGGUUCAGUAAACUGAAAUCUUCCCUCCUUGAAUUCAACCACACCUGUUCUUUCAAACACAGACAUAUCCAAAAAUUCCUCUCUUUCUCUUGUUGAGUCGCGAACGCGAGGCACCCUCCGAGAUUGGAUUCCGCAAGUGGCAAAACACUCAUGCCUUUUCCAUGCUUCGAUCUUUGUCUCACGGCUUUCAAUUUACCCGGCUGGAAUACAGGGCGUAGGCUGGUUGCGUUGCGUUGCUGCUCGGUUUGGGGCUAGUUACGCACUGCUGCUGCGUGGCUGUGUUGCGCGCAAGAGCUGGUUCGCGCUGCUGGUCUGCUGCUGCUCGGCUAUGUUGCACGCGCGGGACUGAUGCGCUGCGGGAUGGUGCUGGCUGGAUUGAUUUAGGCUGCGCGCGCGGGCUGGAGCUGAGAAUCUGCGUUGCUGGGGCUUGCGUUGCGGGUCUGUUGCGUGCUGCUCGUCUGCGUUGCGCGUGCGGAAUGGUGGUCGAUGCUGGUGCUGCGCGCGCGGGGCUUGCUUUGCGCGCUGUUGGGCUGCGAGAUGCAGGAUAGUGCUCGAUGCUUGCUAGUUCAGGCGGGCUGGUUUGCGUUGCAGGUGGGACUGAUGCGGUUGCAGCUGGUUCUGCGCGCUGGAGCUAAGGGUUGCUGCGGGAAAACGAAAAUCAACAAUGAAUUUUUUUGAAUUAGGGAUUUGUGAACAGUGAUUUUUGAUUUUUGGUUUUUUUUUUCGUUUUUUUAAAUAAAUAAAUAAAUAAAUAUAUAUAUAUAUAAGAAAGAAAAGAAGGGAAAAAAAACUUUUUUUUUCAUUUUUUUUAUAAAUAAAUAAAAAAUAUAUAUAAGAAAGAAAAUAAGGAGAAAAAAAGAAAACUCCUUUUUUUUCUUUUUUUUUUCUUUUUUUUAGUGAUGAAUCACUUUGAGACACUAAAAAUUUCAGAAGUACUUUUCUAAUAAGCACGUGGGCACGCCUUAAAACUAUUUUACUUUAAAAAUUACAGAAGUACUUAUUAGUUAAGACGUGGGCACGCCUUAUCAAAAAUUUUCUUCUGAUCAAAAUAAACAAACACAUUAUUAUAAAAAAAAAUCUGAAUCAAAAUUAAAAGAAGAUAUAACAAAAACCAAAAUAAACAAAUCAUUUGGGUUGCCUCCCAAAGAGCGCCUUUAUUUUAUGUCUUUGGCUAGACACAUUUAUGCAUCAAUCUCCAUAAUUGGGACUCUCGAGAGCCACAUCCUCCACAAUAUUCACCGAAAAACCUUCAUAAAAAGGUUUUAAGUGAUGACCGUUAACCUUAAAAACUUUGUCAGAGGUCGAACUCCGAAUCUCAACAGCACCAUGAGGAAAAACAUUAGUAACAAUAAAAGGUCCAACCCAGCAAGAUCGUAAUUUACUUGGAAAAAGUUUAAGCUUAGAAUGAAAAAGAAGAACUUUUUGACCAACAGAGAACUCCUUUCUCAAAAUCAUUCUAUCAUGAAAUGUUGUUAGAGUGCAAUUUAUGCACUAGUUUUGCAUUGUUUACUUCCCUUAAUAUCGAUGUUUUGCACUUAAUAAUAGUGAUUUACUUGUGAUUUACUUUUGUAGGUGCAAUUCUAUUGAUUGGUGAUAAAAUUCAUCCCUAAACAUCAUCUUGUAGCUCAAUUUUAUCACCAAUCAAUAGAAUUGCACCUACAAAAGUAAAUCACAAGUAAAUCACUAUUAUUAAGUGCAAAACAUCGAUAUUAAGGGAAGUAAACAAUGCAAAACUAGUGCAUAAAUUGCACUCUAACAAUAAUCCAACUUUCUCAAUGGAUUUGUCUAAUACAUUCAAUUUAUUUUUAUUCUGUACAUGUUUGGUUAAUUAUCUUGGUCUGUUAAGUUUAAGUCCAGUUGCAAGUCCCAUUUGGUUACGCAUUGUGUUCGUGUUGCUACUCAAUCCUUCAUAAAAUAGUUUAAGGUUUGGAAGUUAACUACUUUUAUUGAUUUCGUAUGACUUUUUGCUAGUUUAUCACUCACGGCAUAUAAUUAAUCAAUUCUUCCAGGCGUACCAUGACAUCUAGGACCAUAAGCAUUUGUGUGUUAAUGUAUUAAACUGAUCACUUAGAUCAAAUUUCAAUUUGGACUUGAAUUGCAGUUUUAGUGUCCUAUAUGAUUGGUCUUUCUCAAUUUUACCAAACAUAUGUUCGUUCUGAAAAUAUUAAAGUGGAUUUGAUAGUUUAAACAAUUUGAGGUUGGAUUUUGGCAGUUUGAAGUUGUAUAUUCUGGUACCAAUCAAGACAAGGAAGUGGAUGCCGAGUUUGAAACAACGAGUAGACAUCUGAAAGUCACGCCACAUUGGAUGAUCACACAAAAAUUGGACCUUACAGAGGAACAACACGGACAAAUUAAGCAGGAGCUGGAAAUGUAUAAAAUUUGAGCAGCUGUAGGAUCCAUAAAUGCAAAGAAUCAACCGGAUUAUUCGAACGAACGUACCUCUAAUGGUCUUUUUGGAAUGUCAACCAGUCAUGAAGUCCAAACGCGAAGUGGACGAGGAGGAGGCUGAUACUAAUUCUAGAAACUUCAAGAGCUUUCACUCCCAUGCCUUUUGAAUGUCUUUCUUGCUUCAGAAUUCAAAUGCAAGCUUUCCCUCUCAGUAUUUCUUCGUUGAGACAUUUUCUCGAACAGUUUUAUACUUAUGUCAAACAUCUUCUGAUAUAACUAGGAAGCCAGUAAGAUUGUUUUUCAAGUACGCUAAGCGGAAACAGUAGGCAAGGCCUUUGUCAUUAUAUCUGCCACUUGAUUUUUUCUGCCCACAUUCUUCUUAUUCAAUUCGUUUGUUCCAAUUUUGUCCCUAAUGAAGUGGUCUUAUAUCUCUAUACACUUUGCUCUUCCAUGAAAGACUAGAUUCUCUGCAAGUGCUAUUGCACUCUUGUUGUCACAUCACAACAGAGGAAUAAUUAAACAUACAAGGAUCUUAACCAGCUGAUCAUUUCUGCCGCUACAUGAGACAGGGCUCUGUAUUAUACUUUUGUACUUGAUUUUGAGACCACCUUUUGAUUCUUGGAGCUACAUGAGAUCAGAUUUCUUGCGGGGUAAAAAUAUUCAUGAAAACCCUCAAGUAUUUAUGACAUUUAAAUAAAAAUAGAGUUUGAUUUUUCUUUCAAGUAUGUUCCUACAUUAAUAUCUACUUAAAAACUGACAAUAUCAUUUAAAAAAAAUUAUUCUUCCACCUUUAAAAUUCAAUAUUAAAGAGUAAUUUGUCAUUUUUAAUUAGAGUUAGAGGCUUGUUUUAUUAUAUAUAUAAAAUCAUUCUCAGAUGCAAUAGUCCUCAUUUUUUUGUGCAGAUACACUAUUAAACCACGCAGUUCAAAAGUUAAUUAAAAUGAAUGGUUUAACAGUGUGUUUAUAUAAAAAAAAAUAAUAAUAAGGGCCUCGACAUUAGAGAUUAUAUAUAUUAUUCUAAUUAGGGAUCCCUAACCAUAUUAAAGUCAGGGGACAAGUUAAAAAAUAAAAAAUAAAAAUUUCAAUGUAUUUUGUCAUAUAAUGUAUUGAAAUCUGUAUUUUCUUUUGUCUUUUAUGCUGUGUUUACUUUUUGGAUUGGAGUGGGAAUCUUGAGAAGUGGAAAUCCUUGGAUUAGGAGUGUGGAGUGGGAGUGGGAGUAGGGUGUUUACUUAGACUAAAUGAAAGUAUGGAUUGUCAAUCAGAAUCCCAAUUAUUUGUUUACUUUGUCUUGGAUUGACAGUAAAUUGUUUUAAAUUAUAAUUUUAUCCUUAUGUAUAGAAUUAUAAUUUGUAAUUAAAAAAUUAAUAAAAAAUAUAUUUGGAAAAUAAAAUAAAUAUUUUAUUAUAUUUAUAAAUUAAUAAUAAUUACUAAUAUUCUUAAUUAUGUAAAUCAUAAUUUUUUAUUAAUUUUAAUUUAAAUUAUGUGAAUAAAAAUUAUUAAUAAUAGCAACACAAAUGAAAUAUUAUUAUUGAUAAUAUAGUACAAAAUUAAUAUUUUUUUAGAAUAAAAUAUUUAUUAUUAUUAAAUAAAUAAUUAAUAUUUAUUAAAAUUAAUUUUUAAUAUUAUUAAUUUAAAUAUAAUAUUUAUUUAUUUUUAUUUUAUUAAAUUUAAUAAAAUAAAUAUGAUAUAAUUAUUAUUUUUAAUAAAUAUUAUUUAUUUAUUUUAUUAAAUAUUAUUUAUUUUAUUUAUAAGGAUAAAAUGGGAAGAGGGGGGAGGGGAUUCCCACUCUCACCUCCCCCCAUGGGAGUGGGAAUCCCACUUCCCACUCCAAAAUUGGGUGGGACUCACAGAUUCCCACUCCCACUCCCCCCUUGUUUAAGGUAAGUAAACACUGGAGUGGGAGGAAUCCACACUCCACACUCCCACUCCAAAAAAUAAACACUGCCUUAGUUUAUCCCUAUUUUAAUAUGGUUGAAGAUUCGUAAUUAGAAACCCACUCUAAUUAUCUAUGUAUUUACUAUUUUUAAUACAUUCGCACAAAUAUUUAUAUACAAUAAAUGUAUUACUUAGCCCUGCCUGAUAAAAGAUCCCGGGUCCGGCUCUGAAGGAAGAUGCAAUAUCCUCCUGCUGACGCUUCAUUAACCUUUUUCCUUUCAUUUUAAACUUUCUGAAUUAUUGCCUUUCGUAAUUCUCAUAUCAUGCAUUGAGUAUUUAUCUAACUAUGAAAUUAAUUUGAUUAAUAGAGUAUGUUAUAGAAGGACGGGUAUCUAUUAAAAGUGAUGUUGUCGCGGAAUUGAGCUUGAAGUGUUGGAUUAAUGACUUGUUACCUAUUUCAUUGAUGGAAUUGUUGUGGACAUAAAUCUGCUAAGUGGAGAGGAAAGACAUUUUUGCUGUAAAGAAGCAAUGUGUGCUGUCUAUGGGAGCUGUAAUGAGUGGACUCUUCAACAAUGUACAAUAUUAUACAGUAUAUACAAAGACACACUAUCACACUAAAAAAUCUUGAGUUGACUCCUUAAUUUAUUUCAUCAAUCCCCACUUUUGAGUUAAUAUUAUUUAUCUUAAGAUUGUCCUUAAUGAAAAAUAAAAAUAAUUAAAAAAAUAAAUAUUUUUUCAUUCUAUCAAGUUCUUAGUAGAUUAAAUUCUUAUCUCUCACAAUUCUCUCAUCUUUUAAUUUAUUCAUAAUUUGAAUCAAAUAUUAACUCUUGAUCAAACCCCAAAUUAAAAUAAACAAAAUAUUAGAUUAUCACGUAAAAUCAAAACCAGUAUUAUCAAUAACAACAAAAAUCACCGCUUAUCCAUUAAAUUUAACAAAAACCAACAUUUAAAUUCAUCAAAUAUUGGCAGAGGUAGUGGAUUCAAGGUGAAGAAAAUAGAUGAUGGGAACGAACUCGUUGUUGAUGAAGUGGUGGGGGUGAUAAUUAUAUACGAGGGAGGGGAAGGUAGAGACAGAAUAAAAUAAUUUUUUUUUUGUUUCAAUAGAGAUAAUUCUACAAAAUAAUAAGAUUAAUUGAUAAGCGGGGUUGAUGAGAUAAUUUGAGGGGUUCAAAUAUCAUUACUCAUAUCCAUUUACAUGAAGCUAAUUAAAAAUAGUGAAGUAAUUAAAUACGCUAAUCAUACACAGCUGCCAUGUUAACUAUUAAAACAGCCUAAUGAGCUUAGCCUCAGUUUGAUCCUCUCCGUUGAUCUGCCAUUCCUAUCAUCACUACUUGCCACCUCGCAUUGUAUCAAAUCUCUUCUGUGUCCUCAUUGUACCCUCUCUUCGUAACACAUAAGCAGAAUCUAUUCUUGUACCAAAUUACCAAAUUACCACAAAACUGUUAGAGAGUCGGUGUGAUUUACUUACUGUUAAAUAAUAAAGAGAGUAAUUUUCUUUUUUUAAAUUUGAAUCUACCCGCCACUUCCAAGACAGAGAAAGCGUCGUCGUUUUAUGAUGGCUCCAUCAUCAUUUCCAUCUCCUCUCGAACGCACUGUCGCUUCAGCUCUUCUCCUGCUCUCCGUCUCCAAUCAAUCUCCCUCUCUCUCUUCCCCACUGUAAGACCUUCAUUAUUUCACUCUCAAAACUGUUUUUGUUUCUUAUUUGUUUUUCCUUAUUGAUUUGUUUGAUGUUUGUUUAAUGCAACGUGUAGGUUCGACACAGAUGGUGAAUUACUGCUGAAGAGCAAGAGCAGCAGCCGGGACGAAGAGAGCGUGAGCUUACUGUCGAGUGGAGAUUCAAAACGGUGCGUUUCGACGGUUACUAGUGAAGAUGCCUCCUCCAGUGAGAUCCGAGCUCACAAGCUGAGGAUCAUCGCUGUUGUGGCUCGCUGUCAUGAAGUGAAACUCAAGGUACAUGUUCUUCUGUUUGGUUUAAUAUAUAUGAUUAUGUAAAUGGUUUCGUAGUUCUUAGUUUGAAUUUGAUCUGAAAUUUUUUGUUUGAUAAUAAAAUGAAAUCACAUCUCUGUUUUCUACUUCGUAAACAGUCAUCUCUUCGGAAUCAAUUUUUUUGUUGUUCGUGUUGAAUUUUAUCAAAAGUGAUCAUUAAAACUUGUUUUUCUCAAAUUUAUGUUUGAUCUCUCAGUUUUUUUUUUUUUCUCGACUCUUCAAUUCAAUUUCACUGGAAAUUUACUAGAAGAUUCAAAUUCUGCUCUGUUUGGACCUGUUUCGUUUUGAAUUCUCGUAAUCAUUUGAAGGCUCAAGCUACUUAAAUUUUGUUAAAACUGUAGAACCUGAAGGGCACUUCAGUUGCUCAAACACCUUCAGCCUCUGCCCAAGAUUCAAGAUCAGAUUCCUAGAUGCUUGACUAUAGAUGACUUGAAAAAGGUUUAACCAAGAACUUCAAGUGAACAGAACAAUCAAUGGUUUAAGAAUCAAAGAAUCGAAAGAAACUAAAGAAUAAAGAACAGAAGAGAUUUAACGUGGUUCAGCUAAAACACUUAGCUUACAUCCACGGAGGAACAAGACUUCAGGCUUUUAUUGAAUGAACUCAAGAUUACAGAGAAUUACAGAUUGUAUCUCAUGGAAAAUUACCACCCUUAAACCCAGGAGUAACCCCCCUUUUAUACUCAUAAAUUGUAGCCAACUCUCUGCACCAGAAUCAGCUCCUUUUCAGUUGCUGAUAACUUCCUGGAAACUAAUCCCAGAUGCUCACGUGCAAGCCAUGCUUCAUUAACGACUUUAACCGCUUCUUUCAUUCGAAUCCAUUCACGUGAGUCUCAGGUGUUUCACUUAAGUCAAACGACAUUCCAAGACAUCGUUUCACUUAGCUUUGGUUUACACUCCGAAACGCACUCCCUCAAGUCGUUUUGAAUGUCACUGAAUUGCUUUCACUGGUUACUUUACAAAUCUCCACCUUGAAACAAUUCAUCCCUGUCAAUCUUUCUCCUCAACUUCAUGCAAGUUACAAACUGCAUAUUUCAGCUAUGUCCAAGCAGGUCUUAAACUUAGCUGAGGGUACCACCUUUGUAAGCAUAUCUGCAGGGUUGUUGCUGGUAUGUAUUUUUACCAUUUUUACAACUCCUUUUGAUAUUACAUUCCUUAUGAAAUGCAACUUAAUGUCGAUAUGCUUGGUCUUCUCAUGAUGAGCUGGAUUUUUGCUCAAGUAAAUGGCACUUGAGCUGUCACAGUGAAUAUCAACAACCUUCUGAGGUAUUCCUAACUCACUGAUUAAGCCUUUAAGCCAUAAAGCCUCCUUUACAGCUUCUGAGACUGCAGUAUACUCAGCCUCUGUAGUUGAUAAAGCCACUACAUGUUGCAAGCUUGCUUUCCAGCUUAUCAGACAUCCAUUCAACAUGAACAUGUAUCCAGUUUGUGACCUCCUUCUGUCCAGAUCUCCAGCAUAAUCAGAGUCAACAUAGCCCCAUAAACCAGCUUCAUUUAACUCUUGAUUCUUUCCAUAUAGCAACCCAAACUCCAAAGUUCCAUUUAGGUAUCUCAGCACCCAUUUAGCUGCCUUCCAAUGCUCUUUUCCAGGUGAAGCCAUAUACCUGCUUAUCAAGCUUAGAGCAUGUGAAAUAUAUGGUCUUGUGAGGACCAUUGCAUACAUCAUACACCCUACUGCAUUGGCAUAGGGUACCUUAGACAUCUCUUGCCUUUCUUCACUUGACUUUGGACACUGCUGGUUUGAGAGUUUAAAAUGAGAGGCUAGAGGUGUUAUCACUGGUUUACAGUUGCUCAUUCCAAAGGUAUUAAGUACUUUUUCCAAGUACUUCUUCUGAGACAAAAACAUAGUUCCCUUCCUUCAGUCUCUUGUUAUUUCUAUUCCCAAAAUCUUCUUGGCAUGACCCAGAUCCUUCAUAUCAAACUCAGAGUUCAGCAUCUAUUUUAAGGCUUCAACUUCUUUCCUCACUUUACAAGCAAUCAACAUAUCAUCAACAUAUAGUAGCAAGUAUAUGUGAUGAUCUGAAUCUAUUUGCUUGUAGUAUACACAACAAUCAAAAUUGCACCUCAUAAAUCCAUGUGAAAUCAUGAAUUCAUCAAACCUGAGGUACCAUUGCCUUGGGGACUGCUUUAAGCCAUACAAUGACUUCUUCAGCAAGCACACAUGGUCAGGGUAUUUAGAGCUUUCAAAACCUUCAGGUUGAGUCAUUAAAAUCUCCUCCUGUAGUCUCCCAUGUAAGAAAGCUGUUUUAACAUCAAGUUGAUCAAGCUCCAUGUCAUAUACAGCUGUUAGAGCUAACAAAACUCUUAUGGAAACAUGUCUGACCACUGGAGAGAAGACUUCCUUAAAAUCAACUCCUUCCUGCUGUGUAUAUCCCUUUGCUACUAACCUAGCUUUGAAUCUCCUAGGUUCAUCAGUUGUCGGCCCUUCUUUUACCUUGAAAAUCAAUUUGCACCCCACAAUCCUUCUUUUCUCAGGUUUCUUUACCAAUUCCCAGGUGUUGUUCUUGUACAGUGAGUCCAUUUAAUCUUCCAUAGUCCUCUGCCACUCUGAUUUAUAUGAACUCUUCAUAGCCUCUCUAUAGCUUGUUGGCUCAUUUUCCUCAAUCUCAUGUGAUGCUGCCAGUGCAUAUGCAAUGAGGUCUGCAUAACCAUAUCUUUGUGGAGGUCUUAUCUGUCUUCUCUCUCUAUCUUUGACCAGGUGAUAGUCUCUAAGUUGGGUUUGAGUGUGCUGUUGAGAUUGUGGCUCAGUGUUUCCACUACUGUCAUCUUUAUCUCCAUUAGAAUCUAUAGCUUCUUGUGAGGAUUUUAGAUUUGGAUGCUCCACCUCAAAAUGUAUACUCUCUGGAGUUUUAGUCUGAGGUUUAGUACCAUUUUCUUGUAGCUUUUUCUUGAGCACAGUCUCUUCAUUAAAGAUCACAUCCCUGCUGAUGAUGCACCUUGGUGGGGAUAGGUCUGUGCACCAUAACUUGUAACCCUUUACACCCUCUGGAUACCCGAUAAACUUCCCUUUCAGAGCUCUUGGAGAUAACUUCCCUUGCUUUACAUGUGCAUAAGCAUCACAUCCAAAAGCCUUAAGCUCUAUAUAGUUACCAGGUUUUCCAGACCACAUUUCUGAUGGUGUUUUAAAGUCAAUUGCAGCAGAUGGGCUAAGGUUCACCAAAAAACAGGCAGUCAGCAAGGUUUCUGCCCAUAGCCCUUUAGGAAGUUGGGACUGUAUCAUCAUGCAUCUGACUUUAUCCAUUAAAGUCCUGUUCAUCCUUUCAGCUAGGCCAUUUUGCUAUGGGGUUAACCUUACUAUUCUAUGUCUUGCAAUCCCUUCAUUUGCACAGAAACUGUCAAACUCUUGAUUACAAUACUCAAGGCCAUUGUCUGUUCUUAGUUUCUUAACCCUUUUCUCAGUUUGAUUUUCAACCAAUGCUUUCCACUCUUUAAAUUUCCCAAACACCUGAUCUUUACUUUUCAGCACAUACACCCACACUCUCCUAGAGUAGUCAUCUAUCAUUGUCAUAAAAUAUCUAUUUCCACCCAAAGAUGGAACCUGAGAAGGUCCCCAUAAGUCUGAAUGUAUAUAUUGCAGAAUCUCAGAUGUCUUAUGUAUAGAUUUCUUGAAGUUAUUCCUAGUGGAUUUACCUAGAAUGCAUUCUUCACAGAACACUAGCUCCCCAAUCUUAUCUUUCCCCAGAACACUCUGCUUAUUAAGUUCUUUCAGGCCUUUAAUACUCAUAUGCCCAAGUCUUAAGUGCCAUAGAGUAGUUUUAUCUAUGUCAGUGCUUUCAAUGGCAUUAGAGACCCCUGUUACAGACUCCCCAUCUAAGACAUAAACCCCAUUCUUUCUGGUCCCUUUCAUAACCAGUGCAGAUCUAUUAAGAAUCUUCAAUUCACCUGAUUCAAGCUUAAUGCUACAUCCCAUUUGAUCUAUCAUUCCUAAAGAAAUCAAAUUCCUUUUAAGUUCUGGAACAUGCCUAACUUGUCUGAUUUCUUUUACAGACCCAUCAUGUACCUUAAGAUGAAUUUUACCAAUCCCAAUGAUUUUACACACUGAAUUAUUACCCAUCAUUACUCUUCCUCCAUCAAAGUCUUGAUAAUUAGAAAAAUAACCCUUAUAUGGACUCAUAUAAAAUGUGCAACUAGAGUCAAGAAUCCACUUACCCUUUUGCAUAUCCUCAGUAGCAACACACACACCUGCUGACUCAUAGCCAUCUUCUUCUUCUUCAGCUGUAGCUGCAUUCCCAACCCUCUCCUUAUUCUUGUGCUUUAAGUCUGGGCAAUCCUUCUUGAAAUGUCCUUCCUUAUGGCAAUGGAAACAUUUCAAGUCUUUUGGCUUGGUCUUGGAUUUGGACUGCUUCUGAUUCUUUGCUGCAUUCUUAUUCUUUUCAAACUUCCCCUUUACUGUUAACCCAACUCCACUUUCUAUACUCACAGACUUUUGUUGCAACCCUCUAGUAUUUAAGGCUGCAUUUACCUCAUCCAGGGACAGUGUCUGCCUCCCAUACAUUAGGGCAUCCACAAAAUUAGAGUAUGAUUGUGGAAGUGAGCUUACCAAGAGCAGAGCUUUACUUUCAUCACUGAGGCUUUCAUCAAUUGUCUCCAGGGUGUCACACACUCUAUUGAAUUCAUCUAUAUGAUCAUCAAGAGAGGAUCCCUCUGCCAUCUUUAGAGUAAACAUCCUUUUCUUUAUAUGCAAUCUGUUGGUGUUAGAGUGCAAUUUAUGCACUAGUUUUGCAUUGUUUACUUCCCUUAAUAUCGAUGUUUUGCACUUAAUAAUAGUGAUUUACUUGUGAUUUACUUUUGUAGGAGCAAUUCUAUUGAUUGGUGAUAAAAUUGAGCUACAAGAUGAUGUUUAGGGAUGAUUGUUCCCUUGGAGAAAUUAUGAGCGGCAGAAGAACUUUGUUGAUAAGGCGUGGGCGCGUGCUGUCAGCUGCGGACCUACAUUUUUAGUUUAACGUGUUUUAUAUUUUUGGUUAUUUUUGUAAUUACGAAUUUAAUAUUUCAUAUAUUAGUAUUUUAUUUUAAAUAGAAUUCUAGAGGAGAAGAGAGAGAGAAUAUUUAACGGAGGAAUCUAUUGUGAAAAAGAGGGAUUUUUUGGGGGAUUGGAGAAAAAGAAAAAAACCCUAGAUUUAAUUUUCCUCUUCUCUCUAUGAAGAACUAAACCUAUUUUUCUGGUUGAAGGAUAAUGAAGCUUUGAUUCAUCACUACUGUGAGAUCUUUCUUGUGCUUUAAUUGUUUUAUUACUUUUUGGGUAUUUGUUUAUUCUCUGAAUUAUUUUUAUGAUUAUGUUUGUUAAUUAGGUAAUUGGCCACUAUUUAAUUAUCAACUUAAUCUAUUGUCAAUUAAAGGAUUCAUCGUAUGGAGAAUUUAAUGUUGGUGACAAAUAACAUAGCAGAGAGUUGUGUUGUGAGAAUAAACAAUCUAAUUUAAAUGAAUCAUCAUAUGUGUUGAUUAGGAUUUGGGUCUCUCUGGUUUUUCAGGCUGUCAAUUGAUUAAAUCCUAUGAUCGUAUCUAGGGUUGUCUAUUGAUUAGGGAAAUAACCAACGGUCGUACCUUGGUUAUCGACUAGUUAAGGAGAGAUUGGCUAUUAGAGGGUCUCAGUAGCUAUAACCGGUCUAUUCAUAAGUAAUAAUAAUCUAUAUUUGAAUCAAUGAUCAGUAGUCGAAUCAAGCUGAGUUAAUUCCUUCAACCAGAGCUUUCUCCAAUUUGAAUUACAACUUUAAUUUGCAUUCUUGUUAUUUUAAUUUGAUUUUAUUAUUGUCAACAAUUCCCCCAUUUUACGUUUUACGUUUCAAAAGGAUUUAAAUAAUUACCGAUCUCUGUGGACACGACCCUGCUCAAUCACUAUACACAAUUUAUUUAGAGUAUGAAUUUAUUUUUGUUGGCUUCGACACCCAUCAAAUUUUGGCGCUGUUGCCGGGGAUUGGUGUCAUUUAUUUAAUCCUUUUUACGUUUUACUUGGUGUAUGGUUCGUUCUUCUCGUACAGGUACACUUUCGUUUGAUCCUGAAAUUGAGAAGACAGCUUGCCAGCUGAGACAGCAGACUAAGCAAGCUAAGCAACGAUCCUCGUCGCCUUUGCUUUUUGAAACAGAUACGGUGCCUAAUUUAGUUGAAUCAUCUAGCGAUUCGGAAGAACAAGUGAUGGAUAGACCUGCACCUGUAGAAAGAACUCUUAGAGAGUUAGCUGAACCAGACUUGAAUCAGCAACCACUCUGCAUUCAUUAUGUAGAUUUGGAGGUAAAUUUUGAAUUAAAGUCUGGUCUUAUUCAUUUAUUACCCAAGUUUCAUGGUUUUGCAGGUGAAGAUCCUCAUAAACAUCUUAACGAGUUUCAUGUUGUGUGUUCAAGUAUGAGACCACAAGGCGUGACUGAAGAGCAUAUUAAGCUGCGUGCUUUUCCGUUCUCUGUAGAUGGGCUAGCUAAAGACUGGUUGUACUACUUGCCUCCUGGAUCGAUUACAACGUGGAAUGAUUUAAAGAAGCAGUUCCUCGAGAAGUACUUUCCUGCUUCAAGAGCUGCUAACAUCAGAAAAGACAUUUGUGGGAUCAGACAACUUCCUGGGGAGACUUUGUAUGAGUAUUGGGAGCGAUUCAAACAAUUGUGUGCCAGCUGUCCUCAGCAUCAGAUUUCUCAUCAACUUCUUAUUCAAUAUUUUUACGAAGGAUUGUCAUUGAUGGAUAGGAGUAUGAUAGAUGCUGCUAGUGGAGGCAUGUUGGUGAACAAGACCCCUAGUCAAGCAAGGGAGUUGAUAUCAAAUAUGGCUGCCAAUGCACAACAAUUUGGCAGCAGGCAAGAUCUCACUUCAAGGAAGGUGAAUGAGGUAAAUAUUUCUUCUGUUGAACAACGUUUAGAUAAACUUACUUCUCUUGUGGAAAAGUUUGUUGUAGGUAAUGUGCAACAGGUGAAGACUUGUGGCAUUUGUUACAAUAUGGAUCAUUCAACUGAUAUGUGUCCUACACUUCAAGAAGAACUCAUUGAACAAGCCAAUGCAGUUGGAGGAUUUCCAGGCAUGCCUCAGAGGAGGUAUGAUCCUUAUGCACAAACAUACAAUCUGGGAUGGAAGGAUCAUCCCAACUUCAGCUAUGGAGUUAAGCCGUCAGGAUUCCCACAACAGUAUCCACCAAGACAACCAACACCUCCACAGUCAAACUCCAAGUCAGGUAUAUCUCUUGAAGAAAUUGUUAAAUCACUUGCGACUAACACUCAACAAUUUCAGCAGGCAACUACAGCAAGCAUUCAAAACUUGGAUAACCAAAUGAGUCAAUUGGCGACUACAGUGAGCCGUCUGGAGUCUCAAGUAUGAGGGAGAUUGCCUUCACAAUCUGAGGUGAAUCCAAAGCAAAACGUUAGUGCUGUCAUCCUUAGAAGUGGGAAGGAGUUGCAAGAGCCUAGUAAGAAAGUGAAAAAGUAUGUAGAAGAUGAGUUUGAGAAGAAUGAAUUGAUGCCUCAAUCUCAAGAUGCGGAACCCACCAGAGCGAAACCCCUACCUAUUGUGAUACCUCCUCCUUUUCCAAGCCGGUUUGCAAAAUCCAAAAAGGAGGAACAAGAGAAAGAUAUCCUUGAGACAUUUCGCAAGGUUGAGGUAAAUAUCCCUUUAUUAGAUGCUAUAAAACAAAUACCUCGAUAUGCUAAAGUCCUUAAGGAACUGUGCACCUCUAAGAGAAAAUUAAGAGGAGAUGAAAAAGUUCACAUGGGGGAGAAUGUUUCAGCAGUUCUCCAAAAGAAACUACCUCCUAAAUGCAAGGAUCCAGGUAUGUUUACUAUACCUUGUAAAAUUGGUAGUGUUAGAAUUGAAAAGGCUUUGUUAGAUCUAGGAGCUUCUAUUAAUGUCAUGCCUCGUUCUAUUUAUUCAUCUUUGAAUAUUGGUCCAUUAAAAGAAACUGGCGUGAUAAUUCAACUAGCUGAUAGGUCUAAUGCAUAUCCUAAUGGGAUAUUAGAAGAUGUCUUAGUACAAGUUAAUGAGUUGGUUUUUCCUGCUGAUUUUUAUGUACUUGAUAUGGAAGAUGAUAACUCCUCUAAUUCUGUCCCAAUUUUGCUAGGAAGACCUUUUCUUAAGACUGCUAGGACUAAAAUGGAUGUACAUAAAGGGACUCUCACUAUGGAGUUUGAUGGAGAGGUUAUAGAAUUCAAUAUGAAUGAUACCAUGAAAUAUCCUAGUGAGGAACAUUCAGUAUUUUUUGUGGAUGUUAUUAACCCUAUAGCGCAGGAAAUUUUUUACAAGGAAAAGACGAAGACAUUUCAUGAUAGAAUGAUUUUGAGAAAGGAGUUCUCUGUUGGUCAAAAAGUUCUUCUUUUUCAUUCUAAGCUUAAACUUUUUCUGGGUAAAUUAUGUUCUUACUGGGUUGGACCUUUUAUUGUUACUAAUGUUUUUCCUCAUGGUGCAGUUGAGAUUCGGAGUCCGACCUCUGACAAAGUUUUUAAGGUUAAUGGUCAUCGCUUAAAACCUUUUUAUGAAGGUUUUUCGGUGAAUAUUGUGGAGGAUGUGGCUCUCGAGAGUCCCAAUUAUGGAGAUUGAUGCAUAAAUGUGUCUAGCCAAAGACAUAAAACAAAGGCGAUUUUGGGAGGCAACCCAAAUGAUUUAUUUAUUUUGGUUUUUGUUAUAUCUUCUUUUAAUUUUGAUUCAGAUUUUUUUUAAAAAUAAUGUGUUUGCUUAUUUUGGCCAGAAGAAAAUUUUUGAUAAGGCGUGCCCAGGUCUUAACUAAAAAGUACUUCUGUAAUUUUUAAAGUAAAAUAGUUUUAAGGCGUGCCCACGUGCUUAUUAAAAAAAUACUUCUGAAAUUUUUGGUGUCUCAAAGUGUUUCAUCACUAAAAAAAAAAAAAAUCUUUUUUUAAUUUAAUUUAAUUUAUUUUUUAUUUAAAAAAAAUGAAAAAAAAAAGAGAUUUUCUUUUGUUCUUUCUUUUAUAUAUAUAUUUAUUUAUUUAUUAAAAAAAAAAACCAAAAAUCGAAAAUCAUUGUUCACAAAUCCCUAAUUCAAAAAUUACUGUUGAUUAUCGUUUUACAGCAGCGCGCCUCAGCUCCAGCCUUCACCCCGCAAUGCAAGCAGCAGCCAGUGCGAACCAGUCGCGUGCAACGCAAGCCCCAGCAACCCAGAUUCUCAGCUCCAGCCGUGCGCAACGUAGCUGAGCAGCAGCAAACCAGCAGUGCGAACCAGCUCUCGCGCGCAAUACAACGCGAACGCAGCAGUGCGUAGAUCCAGCCCAGCAACGCAGCACGAACCACCAGCGCGCAACGCAAGCCCCCGCGCGCGCAACACCAGCAUCCCGUGUCUCGCAGCCCAGUAGCGCGAACCACCAGCGCGCAGCGCAACGCAGCACCCGCAAAGCAAGCCUCACCAGCGCGCAACGCAAGCCCGCAACGCAGCAACGAGCACACCCUGCAACGCAACCAGCUUACGCCCUGUAUUCCAGCCGGGUAAAUCGAAAUUCGUGAGUGCAAUUAUUGUAACAAUGCCGAAGAGGAAAGCAUCCACUUCCAAGUCAUCGAAAAAGACACCCAUCGUAAAGAAAUCUAAGAUUGCCGCUCCCACUACGGUUCCAUGGAACACAAUUUCAGAUUCACGCCAAGCCGUGAGACAAAGAUCGAAGCAUGGAAAAGGCAUGAGUGUUUUGCCACUUGCGGAAUCCAAUCUCGGAGGGUGCCUUGCGUUCGCGACUCAACAAGAGAAAGAGAGGUACAAAGAUAUUUCCAUGCGCAAAAUACUUCCAGCUAAGUAUAUUCAUUACCCGACUCUUGAAAAAUUGAAUGUUAAGGAUAAUUUUGAUUCUUUGAUAGAUAAGAUUGGGUUGCGUAUAUUUGUUAAUGUUGAUUGUUUGGGUUAUGUUGAGUUGAUUAGGGAGUUUUAUGCUACUUUUCAAUUUAAUAUGCCGAAUGAUUUUACUUUGCAUACCCCGGAUGUCAUUAAGUUUAGGUUAAUGGGAUGAAAUUUUUCACACUCUAUCACGGAUUUUAACCUAGCUUUAGGAUUCAUUGAUGAUGAUUAUUCUUCUAGUGAUGCAUAUUUAGGAACAACUUGUGACUUUAGCGGAAAUUUUGAGCCUUAUGGUCUUUGGCAUAAUUUAUCUGUUGAUCACAAUGCCUAUGACCCGAGUAAAUCAAAAAGUUCUUUCUUACGUGAUCCUGUUUUGAAAUGUGUGCAUCGAUUCUUAGCAUAUAAUUUUUUAGGCAAGAAAGAUCACUCAGGAGUUUUCUCUAAAACUGAAUUUUAUUUUAUCUGGUGCAUGUUAAAUGAUGUGAGGCCUAAUUUAGGUUUUUGGUUAGCGGAUCAAUUUCAAAGUGUGCUUAAACGGUAUAGGACUUUAUUUCUUGGUCCAUACAUAACUCUGUUAGCUAUAAACCUAUGUGUGCUUGAUCCCGACAAUAAUGAUUUGCAUCCUGCUUGCAAAAAGGAAUUUUUGGAUAUGUCUGUGUUUGCAAGAACAGGUGUGGUUGAAUUCAAGGAGGGGAGAUUUCAGUUUACUGAACCAGGACCCACUCAACUUCCGAAGAAGCUUUAUGCUAGGAGUGGUGCUACCUCUGAUGACGAGUUUGACGACGACACUGCUGCCCCGCCAACUAUUCCUUCUACAUCCGCACCACCUUUGAGUAUUCAGUUAGAGAAAAUGGAGCACAAGCUGAACAAGAUGGAGCAGAAUUUGGCCGCAUACUUCGAGAGUGUGGGAUUUACCCCACCAUUUCCGCCAAGCCCAUAGACGUUAUGUGGAUCAAAGCUCACAAUUCAGGGAAGUUUCUUUUUGCCCUUAAUCUUUUAUCCUUACGCUUUAAUUUUUAUGUGAGCUUUGAUUAUCUUACAUUGGGGACAAUGUAAGUUCUUGGUGUGGGGGAGGGAUUUUUGCAUUAUUGAUGCCUGGAAUUAUUAUUUUCACUCUACUCAUCUAUUUUCACUCUACUCAUCCUUAAAUGAUUUUGGAGUUAGCAUGCUUCAUAUAUUAUUAUUUUUCUUUUCUUUUCCUUCUCACUACUUUUUUCCCAUCUAUCUCAAAUUAUUCAUGUCUAUUUUUAUUUUAUUAUACUCUUUCAUCACUCACAUUUUAUCUUUCACUUUUCAUAUUACUACAUACAUCUUUCUCGCUUAUUAUCCUUUUUACCUUUCCUUUUAUAUCUCACUCAUACUUUCUUCUCAUUCUACACCAUUAUUGAUGGUUGAUUCAUUUGAAGAGUGUACAGGAUUUGAUGGCAAAUUUACCAACUUUGUGAGGAUUUGAGCCUAUGAGCAACCACUUUGCUCUAAUUAUUUUUAUUAUGUGAAUAUCAAUCCUAGUUUGUUUAUUCUAGAACUUGCUUUAUUAUGCAUGUUGAAGCCACAUUACGGGAUUUUAUGCAUUAAAAUGAUAAGGGCAAACCAUUUACCAUUUUUCUAUUCUCGCAUUUUCCUUUUUCUCUACCCGAAGACCUUUAUUUGCUACCUUUGUUUGAGCCUUAACAAUUACCCAUCUAAUUCUCUCCGUCUACUUAACCAUUUUUCUUCUUUUUUGAGCCUUAAUUUAAGGAGAUUUUUGGACUCAUUGUGUGGAUAUAUUUUGUUGCUUUUUCUACCUUGUAAUAAAGUUUCUCAAUUAGAUCAACAAGCAUUAUGCUUGAAUUAAAUUGUACAAGGUUCGUUUCUUUUGUUUGAUUCAUCACUAAAAAAAAAACAAAAACAAAAACAAAAGAAAAAAAAGAAAAAGAAAAAUCACAAAAAAAAAAUGUUUACAUUCUUGGUGACUUGAGUAGAAAUAAGCAUUUUGAUAUCAUAAGUUCAUUCAAUGAGUUCAUUUUUCUCGUUUUGAUCUCUUUUUCUUUCGUAAACCUUUCUUUUUCAUUUAACCUAUUUAACCCCAUUACAACCCUUUUAAGACCCUUAGAUUUUUGCACUUUAUUCAUGUUUUGUGGAUUGAGAUGUGAUAUAUGAGCAAGCUUAUGGUAAUAGCAUUCUUUGAUUUGAUUUGAGUGGAUAAAUGACACCCUAAACACUUUGAGUGCAUGGAGUGAAGUUAUUGAGAGGGCUAUUAAAUCUUGUUGCACUUGAAUUUUGAAUGGAUCUUCUUGGUGGUUGAAUGUUCUUAUUCUAUCUUAUGAAAUUCUAUGCUUUAAAAUCCUUGUCUCUCAAAUGUUGAUCGACUUAAUUUCUUGAGAUAUGCCUGCUUAAAAUUGUUUUUGGAUGAGUUGAGAUGAGAAUUGAGUGGAGAUUUGGAAUUAAUCUUGAGUUAUAUGCUUGAGGACAAGCAUCAUCUUGGUGUGGGGGAAUUUGUUAGAGUGCAAUUUAUGCACUAGUUUUGCAUUGUUUACUUCCCUUAAUAUCGAUGUUUUGCACUUAAUAAUAGUGAUUUACUUGUGAUUUACUUUUGUAGGUGCAAUUCUAUUGAUUGGUGAUAAAAUUGAGCUACAAGAUGAUGUUUAGGGAUGAUUGUUCCCUUGGAGAAAUUAUGAGCGGCAGAAGAACUUUGUUGAUAAGGCGUGGGCGCGUGCUGUCAGCUGCAGACCUACAGUUUUUAGUUUAACGUGUUUUAUAUUUUUGGUUAUUUUUGUAAUUACGAAUUUAAUAUUUCAAAUAUUAGUAUUUUAUUUUAAAUAGAAUUCUAGAGGAGAAGAGAGAGAGAGUAUUUAAGGGAGGAAUCUAUUGUGAAAAAUGGGGAUUUUUUGGGGGAUUGGAGAAAAGAAAGAAACCCUAGAUUUAAUUUUGCUCUUCUCUCUAUGAAGAACUAAACCUAUUUUUCUGGUUGAAGGAUAAUGAAGCUUUGAUUCAUCACUACUGUGAGAUCUUUCUUGUGCUUUAAUUGUUUUAUUGCUUUUUGGGUAUUUGUUUAUUCUCUGAAUUAUUUUUAUGAUUAUGUUUGUUAAUUAGGUAAUUGGCCACUAUUUAAUUAUCAACUUAAUCUAUUGUCAAUUAAAGGAUUCAUCGUAUGGAGAAUUUAAUGUUGGUGACAAAUAACAUAGCAGAGAGUUGUGUUGUGAGAAUAAACAAUCUAAUUUAAAUGAAUCAUCAUAUGUGUUGAUUAAGAUUUGGGUCUCUCUGGUUUUUCAGGCUGUCAAUUGAUUAAAUCCUAUGAUCGUAUCUAGGGUUGUCUAUUGAUUAGGGAAAUAACCAACGGUCGUUCCUUGGUUAUCGACUAGUUAAGGAGAGAUUGGCUAUUAGAGGGUCUUAGUAGCUAUAACCGGUCUAUUCAUAAGUAGUAAUAAUCUAUAUUUGAAUCAAUGAUCAGUAGUCGAAUCAAGCUGAGUUAAUUCCUUCAACCAGAGCUUUCUCCAAUUUGAAUUACAACUUUAAUUUGCAUUCUUGUUAUUUUAAUUUGAUUUUAUUAUUGUCAACAAUUCCCCCAUUUUACAUUUUACGUUUCAAAAGGAUUUAAAUAAUUACCGAUCUCUGUGGACACGACCCUGCUCAAUCACUAUACACAAUUUAUUUAGAGUAGGAAUUUAUUUUUGUUGGCUUCGACACCCAUCAGUUGGCGAGAGACUUUGUCAUAUAGAUUGUUUCCAGUUUUGCCCACAGAUCAGCCACUGUCUUUUCUUUGGCAACUUCUCUAAUAACAGAGUCUCCAAGACUCAAGAUUAUUGUGCUCCUUGCCCUUUUAUCUAUAUCAGUAGCCUGUUGAGGUGUUAGUGAUGAUAAAGCUUCCAUUCCCUCCUUCUUGGUGACUGGUUCUAAGGCAUCUCCCAGUCCCUGAGUUAUCAGUAGAGCCUCCAUCUUUACUUUCCACAUAUUGAAGUCGUUCUUGCCUGUAAACUUCUCCAGAUCAACUUUAGGGUGAGCCAUACUAGAAUCUGAUUAAAGAAACCCUGCUCUGAUACCAAUUGUAGAACUUGAAGGGCACUUCAGUUGCUCAAACACCUUCAGCCACUGCCCAAGAUUCAAGAUCAGAUUCCUAGAUGCUUGACUAUAUAUGACUUGAAAAAGGUUUAACCAAGAACUUCAAGUGAACAGAACAAUCAAUGGUUUAAGAAUCAAAGAAUCGAAAGAAACUAAAGAAUAAAGAACAGAAGAGAUUUAACGUGGUUCAGCUAAAACACUUAGCUUACAUCCACGGAGGAACAAGACUUCAGGCUUUUAUUGAAUAAACUCAAGAUUACAGAGAAUUACAGAUUGUAUCUCAUGGAAAAUUACCACCCUUAAACCCAGGAGUAACCCCCCUUUUAUACUCAUAAAUUGUAGCCAGCUCUCUGCACCAGAAUCAUCUCCUUUUCAGUUGCUGAUAACUUCCUAGAAACUAAUCCCAGAUGCUUACGUGCAAGCCAUGCUUCAUUAACGACUUUAACGCCUUCUUUCAUUCGAAUCCAUUCACGUGAGUCUCAGGUGUUUCACUUAAGUCAAACGGCAUUCCAAGACAUCAUUUCACUUAGCUUUGGUUUACACUCCGAAACGCACUCCCUCAAGUCGUUUUGAAUGUCACUGAAUUGCUUUCACUGGUUACUUUACAAAAACAUUUUAAUUAGCUUCAAUAAAUUUGUAAUUCACUUGCUCAUAGAUGUGAUCUCUCCGUUUCACCUAAAUUUUGCGCAUUGUUUGCUCAUAAUCUUUGUUUUUAACUUGAUUUUAAGAUUUUAUUUUCAAUUUUUAGCUCUUUCAUCCUGUUAUCAUUUAUUUUUCUAUAAUUAAUUUGAUUUCUCUUAGUCUGAAUAUGAAUUUAAAUUGUUUGCUUUUAGUUCUGUUCUGAGAUGUCCGCAGUUUGGAUUCGUAUUUCGGUUCAUUUUUAUCAAUAUUUUAUUACGAAACUUUUACACUCUAGUUUAUAGAAGUUUAAUUUCAAUUUGAAUUCGAUUUGUUGCUGGAAUUUUAAAUUUAAUUUCACAACAAGUAUGAUGGAAGAUUCAAUUUCUGUUCUGCCUUUGAAUCUUCAUUUUGAAUUUCUUGUACACUUUUGAGUGUUCAAGCUAAAUUAUAUGCUUCUCCAGUUCAUAAUUCGGUUCCUAAAUUUAUUAUUAUUCAUCUGGUGUUUGUAAACUCUCUGUUUGAAUUUAAUAAUUUCAUGCAUUUUUUUCCUUCUUCUUCUCAGGUCAUGCGAAAGAGUCGCUCAAAGAUGAGCCAGAAAUUCACAGCCGAUAAGCCGCCACCGUCACGGCAACCAACGGAGAAGUCAACAACUUCCUCAGGAUCCUUCUCGACAGAGGCUGGAUCGUGCCUAUCAAGCACCGCGAGCGCCGUUUCGAGCUCGCAAAGCCGCUACUGGGUUGCGGCUCGUGGGAAGCCGAGGGUUAGAAGAACUAGCAGCGGCCCGUCUCACAUUGAGCGCCGAGCCGAAGCCAUUCUGAAGCUGCUUUCUUCCCACGGCUGUUCGUCAGAAAUCAAGAUCCGUCAAGCCCUGGGUGACAGUCCCGACACUAGCAAAGCACUGAGAAUGUGCGAGUUGGCUUGGCUCUUUAUUUCGCGUUUGAUUUAAACCGUUAGAUCAUACGAAAUCUCUUUUACUAACUUGUCGAUCCGACGGUUGUUGUAGCGUGUCCAAACGAAACAGUUUAAAUUCUAACCGUCUGAUUUAUUUAUUUGCAGGUUAUUGAGGAGUGAUGAAGUCAAGAGAUAUGGCACAGGAGGACGGCAGGACCCAUAUAUUUACUAGGUAUUAAUCUCCUUAUCAUUCGUUAUCUUACUUAAUUAUAGAACUACAUGAUAUUAUUAUACACUAAUCACAGUUCUCUUUUUUUUUUUUUUUUUUCUAAUUACUAACAUAUGAAACUCUAUUGCCUGUGAAAUUCAGGGAAUUUUGUUUGUGUAUAAUUAAUCAUUUCUUUUUUUGGGAUUAAUUUAUAAUUAAUUUUGCAGAUAGCAAGUAUCUAGAACGAGCAGGACCCAGCAACACCGGGUAAUAUAUAUAUAGCGAGACUUUGCAAUUGGUAAAUAUUAAGAGUGGCAGCCAUUAAAGUUGAUUAAUAUGCUAGUAUAAUAUUAGUAUUGACAUUAGGCAGAGACGGAGACUUUAGUGAAUAUUAUUGCUAUAUGAGUGUGGCGUACGCCUACGUAGUUAAUUACAAUUUCCAAAUCUCUGCGGGUUACUGAAAAUUUAAGUGCCUUGCAUAUUAUUGCUAUUAACCCAGUUUUUCAUGCUCGCUCGAAGCAUAUUGAAUUAGAUUAUUACUUCAUUCGAGAAAAGGUUGCUGAUGGUGCCUUGGUUACGAAGUUUGUCCCUUCUUCGUUACAAAUUGCAGAUGUUUUUACUAAGGCUUUGUCAAAAGCCAUGUUCCGCAAUUUCAGAUACAAGCUUGGCGUUCAUCAAAUGUCACUUGCCAGCUUGAGCGGGGAUGUUAAGCAAGCUGACCAAGAUUACCAAAAGGAAAGUCAUCAACGGUCAAGUCAACAACGGGUUUAUCACUCCACACAACUUGCUCACAUCAAAGCUAUUUGUCAAGGAAUAUCUCCAGCACGAUUUUUGCACUUGAAUGCCAAUAUCAUGUACGAAUAUUUCAUUCCUAUUUUAUAAAGAUAUUGUGCGAUAGUUUAGGAAGUAUUCACUUAUUUUCCUUUAAUAUUAUUAAGCUUUUUAACGGCUACUUUGUCUUUAUUUUGUAUGAAUAAUUCUGUAAAUUUCAUUAAAAAUAUAGAACAAGAAUUAUACUCUUCAUAGAAUUUCUUUCACUAAAUUAAUUAAAAAUAUAGAACAAGAAUUAUCCUCUUCAUAGAAUUUCUUUCACUAAAUUCAUCAGCCUCUUGAACCCUCUCCUGAGGGCGCCUUCUAUCCUCUGUUUUCUGUUACCAUACACUAAUAGACAAAAGCAUUUAGAAUGACAACUGGGACAUAUAUAAGAGUGAAAUAAUUGAAAAAUUAUGCUUUUUUGUUUGUCAUGUUAAAAUCGUAAAGUGCAUAAGUACUAUGAAAGAGAUUAAUUUACGGAAACUGAAGCCAAGGGUUAAAAAAAAAAGGUGCAAAGAGAAUAAAGGGCAACGCUUAUGUAAAGAGACAUAAUUGUAUUGGUAGCACAAUGUCACGUUCAUACAGGGAUCAAGCAUACUAUUUACAGGUGGUAAGUGCUAAGAAUUGAUGUAGCUAGAAUCCAAAGAUGAUAAGGUAUGUUGUGCACUAUUGUUUAUUCUACAAUCAAUCUUGACCCUUGAUGCUUGGCUCUCAAUCUUGUCCAUCGAUCUUCUCUGAUCUCGAAAACUUCAAGACCUUUCAAUCUUAUGCCUUAUUAUUGGUGUCUUCCAUGCUGUAGAUUUCAAAUACAAGCUUUCCCGCCAACUUGCCAAGUAUUUGUCCAUUGGUGCAUUUUAUCAAACAGUUUGGAUACUUAUACCAAACGCCUUCUGUUUUAACUCCCCCUCUCAAGCUCAAGCAUCUGGGAAGACAUUAAUAAGCUUGUUUCUCAAGUAUAUGUAUCUGAAAAUUAAAUUUUAUAAAUUGUAUUCGGACUCUACAUUUUCUAAGGAACAUUGGUUUGGCUUAUAAGCUUAUUAUACUCAGGCUUGGUAGGAUUAUCGGUCGGUAGAUGACCGAGUGUUAGAGCUUUCGAAUUUAUGCCAAUUAAAAAAAAAUCUACAUAAGUUUUCAACUAGGCUAUUACCACAAUAAACAUUUGGAUAAACUAUUAUUGAAACCUUAUUGAGAAGUGGGACAUGUCGCAUACCAAUGCACUGACAUAUCUUCAAAUAGUGGUAACUCCACACAACAUGGCGCAACAAAUUAAGAGUUACAUAGAUAAAUUGGGUUCCCAAGAUUUCUUGAUAGACGGUUAAUGACUAUUUUGAUGUCUGUUUUGCAGACUGAUCUGCGUUUCCAGAGCCAUGCAGUGCUGGCCCUGCAGGAGGCAGCCGUGGCUUAGGGCAUCUCUAAUGUAGCACUAAACCUAACACCAAAUCACAUUUUACACCAAAAAGCUUCUCCAAUGUAACACCAAAAUGGUGUAAUGAAUAGUAUUGCACCAAAUAUGGUGCAAUACUAUUCAUUUGCACCAUAUUUGGUGCUAGGAAAAAAAAUCUCAAAUAUCCUUAUUACUUUAUAUUAUUUACAUAUAUGUCCUAUUUUAUAUAAUAUUUUAAGUUAUUAUUAUUUUUUGUUAUUUUUUAAUUUUUGAAUAUUAUACUAAUAUUUUAAAUAAAAAAUAUUCAGAACAAAAAUUUAUAAUAAAAAUAAAAUGCCAAUAACAUUAAUUACUAGAUUACAUAUUACAAAAUAAAAAAUACAAAAUUAAAUUAACACAAAUUAAGAAAACUACUACUACUGGCAUAAAUUAGAACAAUUAUUUAGUAAUGUGGGAGAUCAUUAUUAGAUCCUCCAAUAUCAUUAAAAUAUUUUUCGAUAUUAAUGUAAUGUUUAAUUUUCAUAAUGCACUUAUUAUUGUUAUUGUAUUUUCUAUAUUAAUGUAAUGUUUAAUUUUUAUAAUGUACUAAUUUAGUUAAUUAAAUGUAAAUUUAAUAAUUUUCUAUAUUUUUUUUGUUAAUCGAUAUAAAAUUAUUUAUUACUUAAUUAUCUAUAUUAAUAGUAAUAUUUAUUGUGUUUGAAUUAAUUCUUGAGAAUUAAAAGAAUAAAAAGAAGAAUAUUCUUUUUGGUGUAAAUGGGUUGGAGAUGAAAUAUUAAUUUAAUGUGAAAAAGGUACAUUUUAGGUAUUGGUGUUAUACCAAAAUAGUGUUAUGCAUUGGAGAUGGCCUUACCUCCUUAAGGACACUAACCUCUGCGCCAUUCACGCAAAGCGUGUCACUAUUAUGCCCAAGGACAUACAGCUUGCCCGUAGGAUCCGUGGCGAGCGUGCUUAAGCGCAAUUGCCGCUUGCUUCAAUUGAAUGACUGGAAAGGGAAGGGGGAAGUUGUAAUGUGUUAAUUUGUAUGUGGGGUUGGUGGGGACGGCGUCGCUUUUUCUUAGUUUUUUUUUUUCUUUUUCCUCCCUUAAAAAUGGUGAAAUUACUUAUACUGGUUUUUCUAUUUUACAUUUUGAAUAUUAUUAAUUAAUAUAAUUCAGGGAAAUUAUCAUUCGUAUACCCUAUAUUUGUUCUGUUAUCAAAAAUACUAUAACACUUUGAGGGUGUAUCAAUCGUCUACCCUUAGUUGACAAAAUGUAUCAUCCGACCACCAAACCGUUAGUUGCCGUUUGAAAGUUAACGGAAUUAUAGUGAAUUAAUGAUUUUACCCUUGAAAAUUAUCACUUGUAUACCCUUAAAUUCUUUUUUUAUCACUCGUAUACCCUUAAAUUAUUACUUGUAUCAUAUGAAAAGACCAAAUUACUCUUCUGACGUCAUCAUACUUAAACAGCAACUAAUGGUUUGGUGGUCAGCUGAUAUAUUUUGUCAACUUAGGGUGGACGAUUGAUACACCCUCAAAGUGUUGAAGUAUUUUUGAUAAUGGAGUAAACUAAGGGUAUAUAAAUGAUAAUUUUCCUAUAAUUUAAGAUAACAAUUAGGGAUAAAACAAUAAUUUUUUAUUCAAGAUCAUUUCAUCAAUAUUCUGUUAAAUAUUCUCACAAUUUAACUUUAUCCUUAACAAAAAUUUAACUUUUUUUUUAAAACUAACGGAACCAAAUCCUAUAUAUAAAUGUAUAGUAUGCAUUAAUAAAUAAAUAAAACUUUGACGACCGGAGGGAAUGAAUAAAUAAAUAGAUAAAACUUUCGAAGCUCGUGAAUGUGCUAUUUUUGUGUUUUUUAGUAAUUGUUUAAUUGAAAAAAGAAAGCUUCGGGGAUUUAUUUUUGACGGGACGGCUGAGAUUUGUCGACCUUCCAGAGAAUGAGAACAGAUUUUCAAUUUGUUGAUAAGUAUUCCUACAGUCCAGCCCAAAAGUACCGGCUCAAUGAGUUCGGUCAUGUUUGGUAACAGGUAUCCAUCACUUUCAAAAUCCGGUCCUACCAACGUAUCGGCUUUCACUGGCUGUCGUAUCAUCCGUGAAUUCAUGGGAGAGUGAGACUACUCCAAUCUCCACGCGAGAAAUUUUAGAAUAUUUUUGUUAUAUUAUAAUUAAUUAAUACAUAUAUGACAUGUGUAAUUGAGUUUAAUAUAACCACCAUUUGUAUAAUAGUUUAUAAAAUAAAUGCACACAUAUCAUGAUAUUAUUUACUUAUUGUAUGGAUAAUGAAUGCACACAUUGCAUCACUCUUUGAUAAACAAAUUCAUAAUAUAUAUUAAUCUUUGUGGAAGUUAUGUCCAAAAAAUAAAUAUUGUAAAAAAAUUUUAAUUACUAAUUUUUUGGACAUUAAUAAAAAAAAUUAAUAUAUUAACUCCUCAUGGAGUAUUCAAAACAAUUAAUAUAAAUUUUUUUGUUUCUAUUUUACUUUUUUCGGUUUAAAUUGAUAAUUUAAUUUUUCUUUUUAUUAAUGUCCAAUAAAAAAGAAAUAUUAUUGUAGGAGUGUAAUAUUGUAAAAACAAGUCAAAAAGAACAAAAAGUAACAAUAAGGGUGUCAAUACUUAACGACAAUGAUGUUUUGAGAUAUUUUUAAAAAUAUAAGAAUUAAAUAGGUAUUAAUCUCAAAAUAUAGGGAUUAAACGAGAUUUUACCCUUAUUAAUUAUAGUCAUCUUUUUAUAAAUUACAAUUGGAGGAAGUUGGCUAAUGUUGUUGACACGCACGCACGCACACAUAAAGAUUUAUUGGAAGUGCUUAUGCCGGCUCGAAGUUGUUGGGAAUUAAUGCAUGUAUUGAUUUAUUGGGAGUGUUUAAAUGAUUUUGUGAUUUACUUGAUUGAUUGAAUAUUGUUUGAUUGCUUCAUAUCCAUUCUACAAAGUUUAUUUCUUUGUGAAAUUUCAACGACAUAUUUUUUUUUAAAAAAAAUAUUAAGGGUGUUCUAAAUAAUUUUCAAAAAUAUAUGGACUAAUUAGAAUUAAUUACUAGGUAAUUAACUUGAUCUGUACAGGGUGAAACAAUAUUUAUCCUAAUUGUAUCAUGACAAAUACUUUUCCGAUUAGAAUUAGGAAACCAUAAGUUUAUUGAAUUAUUUUUUUUUAUUUUCCUUUGGAGAAACGGAUUAGAGAAUUAGAAAACAAUCCUAAUGAUAUAAUUAUCAGGUUUAAAACAGUGCAUAAACAGUGAAAAGCUAAUUAGUCUGUAGAGUAAUUUGCUAAUUGUUAUCUCCUCUCUAUGCGCGCUGAAUAAUUUGUUGCAUGCAAACUUUUUAUUUUAUGCAAAUCGUACUUACUGUAACAUUGGAAUUGAUGUAUAAGCAAAAUUACAAUAAUAUUUAUGUCAAUAAAAAUAGUUUUUUUUUUCCUUUUUAAAUAAAGGAGAGCAACGGGAUGUUGCUCUGCUCUACAUUUUUGCUAUCAUUUUAUUCUUUUUUUUUUUUUUUUUUGGCUUCUUAAAGCCUCAAACUUUGAUAACCAAAACUUCACCGACCUCUGAAAAAAUCGGCAGAUUAGUUUUUAUUAUCGGAAUAAUUGUUUGAGAAUACUAAAACAAAAUAUAAAAUAAGAAAAUAUGGGGUUAAAUUUGGGGAAAACAAAAAAAUCCAAUUGGGAAUUUUUUUUCUUUAAUUUUUGUUUUACUUGAUUGAGAUUUCUCCUUAGUUCUUACAGUUUUAAGUUUGGAUGCCGUAGGGUUAGUAAUUUAGUACUUCCUUUGCAAGCUGAGUGCGAGAACGAAAAUCUUUAAAGAAAUUAAAAAAGAUUAAAAAAAAGCAUACCAAUAGGUAAUUAUAAAUAACCAUAAAUAAACAUAAACAAAAUGUUUAUGAAGUAAAUUACACAUGCACAUAUUAUUUUCUUGUUUUAUUUCUUACUUGUCUAUUUUAUUUGCUGCUUGAUAACCCUUAAAUACUAAUCUAGUACUGCUAAUUUCAGACACAAAAUUUUUAACUCUAGGCUGCAGUUUUACUCAAAAUGAUGACCGCUGGCUUCGCACCAUUUAACCGGCAUACAUUUCUACAAAUUGAACAAGGCUAUUGAUUUUCAUUAUUAUUUUUUUAUUUAUUUAUAAAUUACUAUUUUAAUUUUCACUUUUUAUUGGGUUGUUUAACGGAUUAGUGAAGUUGGUGGUCGUGAUGCACUCACAAGGUACAAUUUUAUUUUAUAAUUUCAAAUUUGUAUUUUAAAAUGCAGGUACAUUAUGUAUACAUAAUUAUUGAUUUUCGUAUGUGGGUGUUUUGUAAUAUUGCUAAAAGACCAAACUUUAAUAAACUAUUUUUCAUCUUUUUUUUCCUUUUUUCCUAAAGUUUGAGUGAUAUCCGCAUUUUAAAUUCAUGUGGAACAAAAGCUAAUGUAUGCACAAAAUUCUUUUAUUUUUUCGGAGAAAAAUGGGUAAGAGAAGAAGAUUUUUCUCUUGCAAAAGAAAAACUAAUACGAUGCAAGCAUAGGAAAGAGGUCAGUGUUUUGGAUUAGAAUUUAGUAUUGAACUGAAUUUUAUACUAAAUAGUACUGCGAUUAAUAAACUCAUGAUUUGCUUUUGUUUUUACUUCAAGUGAAAGAAAGAGGAAACCUUUUGUUUUUUGUUUGAUUCUUGACUAUAGAUGUUACCUAUAUACAGAGUUGAGGUAGCUACCUUAAGUGAUGGUGAUAAAAAGAUUAAGCAGCGCACACAAUCUUAUUGUCGUCCAGACCAUCGAGCUGUGAUGACUCUAGCUUUUUGGUUACAUUAGCUUUAGUGGAAAGGAGGGCCAAUUUAAUAAAGACUAGAUUUGGUGGCUUACUAUAAUGCUUAUUCUCAGGGAAUCUAAUGUUAUAAGAUGAUUUAAUGAUCUUCUAUGAUUGUGAGUAGUAUAGUAUAAUUGAAAAGAGCCUGGGCUCCUAUGAUGAAUAUAUAAUAGUAACACAGUACUGUGAUUGAAAAAAACACAGUUACAAUAAACUCUUCAUUUAUUCAUUGCGGAGAUUGAAUGGCAAACAGAGAAUAAAAUGAAGUAGAGGGAUCUCAUUGCCAGUAAAAUUGACCCUCUUUAAUGUUAUAUGGCACAGGUGUGUGUACAGCAAGAGCAAGUUACUUGCAGUUUUUAUUGUAAAAUAUACAGGUUAUGACCAUGAUCAUUGUAGUUAGGUUUUGAUGAUUUUAGAUGCUUUUUUUUAUUUUUUUUAAAUUGUGACACCUUUGAUUUAUGGUAGUUUUGCAGAAGAAAAAAAUAUAUAUAAAAAUUAGGAGGGAUGAGUUAACUAACAAUUGCAAUCAUUGCAGUAAUGUUGAUGAGUGAUACAUCAUUUUAAAUUUACUUGUCAGUUGCUGAAAUGAUGAAAAAAAAACAAUAAACAAUAGCAGUAAUAUUUUUAUGGAAAUUCUUGGUUUUUAUGGAAAUACUCUUGCUGAAAUUCUAAGUUUGACUUUCAACUCUUGGUUUUUAUGGAAAGUAAAAUGACUUGUUUGUUAUAUUCAUACAACCCACUCUACAUAAUGAUUUCAUUUUAAUAAAUGGUUGAUGAUCUCCACAGAAAAACUACUUCAAUUCUUUUUUUUUUAUUUAACUUUUUGGUUGUUGAAAAUAGCCUUAAUUUUCAAAUCAUUGGAGAAAGAGUAAAGAACAUUUAACAAAUUUAUGUGCCAAAAAUAAAGGAGAAAUUGAAGAGAAAGGGUGCUUGCAGAAGUGGGUGCAAAGAUAAAUCAGUCCAUAAGAAUUAUUGUGGUUAUUAAUUUUUUGGCAAUAUAAAAAUUUUUCAGCAAAUAAAAAUAGAUUUUUUCUGAUUUACUAAAAAAUUAAUUAAAAACUUCGGCGAUAGCAUUUUUUAUGGGUGCAUGUACCCUCCCUUUAAAAAAAAUAUAAUAAUUAAUACUUAAUAUAGUAUUAAAUACGAAAAUAUCAAUAUUUGACUACACAAAUUUAUAUCAUUAGGUCCUUAAAAUUUAAAAUUGAAGACACAAAAUGAAAUUUAUAUAAAUUUCAUUCUCAUAGGAAAGGAUCCUCUUAUAAUCUUAAAAUAUUUGAGCUUUGAAAGAUUUUUUAAAACAAAUGUACUUUUAUUUUUGUACAAUCAAUAUUUACUUAUAUAUUAUAUUUUUAUUUAUUACACUACUAGAAAAAUGGUCUUUUGUGACACUUGUCUUCUGACACUUUAUUAUAAAGUAUCAGUAAUUAGAUGUAUUUGGGGCAUUUUCCGUGUUUAACAUAUAAGUAUCACAAAUUGCUAAUACUAUGGUGUCAGUAAAUUUAAUAUCACAGAUUCGUGACACUAAAGUAUUAGUAGUUAAAAAAAUAAAAUUUUAAUUUUGUAUCUAGUAAUAAUCGAACCGAAGCCCCCUAAGCCAUAACCUUUUGAUUUUAACCGCUACACCACUCGGCCACAAAUUGCAUUUUUGAACUUAUAAAUUAAUAAAUAAAUAAAUAUUAAAACUUAAAACCUAAAACCUAAAAAAUUUUCAUGUAUGGUAUGUGUGAAACGUAAAACCUAAAAAUUUUUGUUAAGUCAAAAAUCUAUCUUAUGGCCGCCGAAGCUUUCUUCCUUCUCUCUCCUUCCCUCUCUCUCGCUCUCUUUCUCUCUCGAACAAUGAUCUACCUUGAAAGCCACCUCCGUCAACACCUUGAAAGCCGCCGUCCUUAAGCUAAAAUAUCCCUGAAAAGAACCCAGAAAGUGCUAUGAAGAAUUUGGGCAAAGCUAAGGUUAAUUUGAAAGUCCGAAUCAGUGUUGUGGUAACUCUUUGCCUCAUUCUCUAUUCUCAUUGUUUAAGUAUUUAUCUGUUAAUUGAUUGAUGUUUAUUGAGUGCAAAUGAGAGCUUGCACUUGUUUGGAAAUCUAGCCAUCUAGGGUUUUUGUUGCUUAUAAUCUAAUUUAUUGUUUAAUAAAAUAAAUAAAACUCAGCUUUAUUAUAGGUGGAAUUCAGUUUAUUAAGUGAAAGAAUGAUUACAAUUGGUGAUUAUGGAUUUAGGUUGAAUGCAAUUUGUUAAUUAAAAGAAUAAUGGCAAUCAACAGUCAUGGAUUUAGUAUGUAUUAUAUAUUUCGUUUAAUGGUGUGUAUGAAAACCCAAAACCUAAAAUUUUCUUAAGUAAAAAUCUCAGUUCUCCCUCACAACCUAUAAGCCCAUCACUCUCUCUCUCUCUCUCCCCCCUCUUUCUAGCUAACAACCCAAAACGUAUUGUGAAACCGCCAUUUCAAUCUUUCAAAGCUCAUUAGUUAGCUGGUCAUUGUGAAAAGUAAGGUUAUUGUUUGCUUUUAUGUCUAAUUUUACUUUAAACAUGGGGAUUGAUGAUAUUCGAGUUGCUGAACACUUGAUUUUGAGGUGAAAGAUUAAUUAAUAGUUUACGAAAUUAUGCUGAAAAUUUGAGGAUUGAUAGACUGUUGUUGUGAACUUGGUUGUUUCCGAACUUGACUAAAUGACUUUCAAUUGAUUUGAAAGUUUGAUUAAACUAAGUUUAAAUGAGAACAUUUUAAUUCUGGAAAUUUUGGAAUGAAUUGGGUUUAUAUUUGAUUUUGAAUGGAUUUCUCAAUAUGGUUGGUUGUUGUCCAAUUUUAUUAGAAAUUACAUAUGUACCAUGUUUGAUAUUGCAAACGUAUAGUCUAACAUAGUUAGAAUAAGUUGAAAUUCGGAUAGACUACAAUUCUAUUUGCAUACUUCGAAUCUGGAAAAUUUUAUUUUGAUUGAACCUGUAAUUUAUUUUUAAUGAUUUUUCAAACUCUGCUGCCUCUGCAGUAACUUCUUUUGACAUAAAUGUUCAUUAAUAUUUGAUCCUAUCAAACACCAGCCUAAUGAUAUCGGAAUAGCCUCAAAUUUUAAUAUGUUGUUGACUUAUAUGUCCACUUAAACUCUGGAAAGUAUCAUUCUAAUAUAUUUAGUAUUUUAAAUUUAAUAAAUAUUCAAACACCUGCUGCUACUUUUACAGUUUCAUAUGCAAUUUUAACUUAUAUAGUUUUAUCAUGUGAGAAGCAAAUGUAUGGUUGUCCAAAUGACUUGGAAAUUUUUUUUGUGGUGCAUUGAAAUGUCUAAUUAUGUUUUGUAAGUUUCAUAGCAUUCCAAAUUGAAUUAAAGAAAAUCUUAAAUUCAAGUUGUCAAUUUUUCCUAUUAAAUCUGAUUAGUGAUAAAUCUACUAACUUGCAGUACUUUUCAGGAAAAAAAAUGUGUCAACGCUGUGAAUUGCAAUGGGAGAAGAAAGUACUAAAGGCAUAAAUCUUUUUUCAUUAUAUUUGGGACUAUUCUUAAAGGUUAGUCUUUUCCUUUUUCCUUUUUUUCUUUUUUAUUUAAGGUAAUCAUAUUCAUUUUAAUUUUAAUUACAAUCAAUUUUGCGUUGUUAGACAACUUGCACCAACCAAUCCAACAACAAAUGAAGAUAACAUUUUUGAAAUGCAUUCAAUUUUUUAAAAUAGCAAAAAGAAAAGGAAAAAUGAUACUAGUUUAGGCUUUAGGAAAUUUGCAUCAUCAUUCUUGCACUGCAGCUGCCUCUAUCUCGGUGCUCUCGGAGAAGUAAUCUUGCUUGAUUUUGCGUGAUAGUUGAUACAAGCCCGUCCUAGCCAUUGCAAAAUUGACACUAAAAAGGUUCCAGUUUUUCAUAUUGUAGUUUGAAAAGUCUGCAAUGUUUGCUAUGCUGAUGCCCCAUUUGAAUGUUGGAGCCCAAAAAUGAAUGGUUUUAGGACUAGCCGGGUGGUUCCAGAAAGCUAGGAGCUUGUUAGCUAUUCUUUUUAAUUGAACUAAUUUAACUUAAAUAUUAGCCCGAUUAUUGAUUUCUAUGGUUUGCCAUUGAUUUGAGUUUGACAUUCUUGUUUUGUGUUGGUUUGAGUUUGACAUCCUAGUUUAAGACUUUGAAGGCUUCCAAGAAAUGAUUUUGGAUUAUGAGCAAAUGAGUAAUAGUUUGAAAAUUAAUUUACUCUAUCAAAUAUAUACUUAGUGUAGCAUAUUAAUUUUAAGAACUAUGGAUCAUUCCUUGAAUAUUCUAGUAAAUGUUUAUGUUAUAUAUGCAUGUCUUAAUAUAUAAUAAUUAUAUUUUGAAGUUUGUUUUUUUUUCCCCCUUUCUAGGUUUAGGAAAAAUGUUUAAAGUGAUUUUGGGUUAUGAUGUCAAUCAAGUUAAAGCAACAUUACUUGUGAGUGGAAAUAUAUAAUGAUUAUAUUUUUAUUCUACUUUUUUUUCUUCUUAAAGUUUUAUAAUUAGGCAAAAUUAAUGAAUACUUAAUUACAAUUUAGGGUGAUAUUCUUUAAAUGGUUCACAUGAAUAGAUUUAAGUAGUAUAAUAAAUCUCAUACUCACUUUAUAAAGGCUUAACUAAGUUUGCAAAUAUUAUUUCUUUUAGUAGUAAUAAUUUUGGAUUGAACUCUCAAAUUAUUGAAAUAUUUUAUGUCCAAACUUUAUUAUGCCUAAUAUAAAUAUGGAGAUUCAUAGUUAUUUUAUGCCCAGUUUAAGGAAACUGCAGUUUGAGGAAUUAUUUUUUGCCUUGUUAAAUAAGCUUUUAAAAUGAAUAAAUUGAGGAAAUGAGUGGUGAUUUAUUUAUAAUAGAGCAUUUGUGAUAGCUUUUAACUAUGCACAAAAAUCAUUUUGUAUAUGUAGAUAGAGUAACAUGCUUGUGCUGAAAGUAGAUAUUACAUUGAAAACUUCUUGUCUACUAUAGUUUGCUAUAUAUAUAACCUUUACCAAAAGAGAAUAAUUGAGUUUAUUUAUAAAUAGCUUAUGAGGAUUUUUUUUUCUUUCGAACAAAAUAAUUUUAUUUAUGUUAAUUGUUGUUUCUCUAAUGGCUGGAUAUUGGCAGCUAAUUUUUUUUUCUUUUCCAUGUAUUCAUAUGCAGAUUUGAUCAAUGUGUUUGAAGUGUUUAUUCUUCAACUUCACUUAUAUCCUAACCCAUACAGUCUAUUGAAUGGAGAAGCUGCUGAUGUGAUAACGCAAUUAUACUACUCAUAUUCAAAGAGUGAAAGACAGUCAUCCUUCUCAAUUUAGCUUCUCGAUUUAUUAAAUUUAGCCACAAGUAGUAGGCAUUUGAUUGGAUGGUAGAAAUUUUUAUGUAUUGAAUUUGGAUUAUUGAGUUAUGAGAGUAGGAUAUCUCAUAUUUUUGUUAUUGAAGUUUUGAAAUUUGUAAUAUAUACUAAUAAUAUUUAAAUGUGAAAUGAAAGAUUUUGUGAUAUAAAUCAAUUUCUUUUUGUUAUUUUGUGGUGCCUUUUAAUUUUACCAAUAAAUCAAUAGGCAAUGAUCCAAUUCAUUUUUUAAAAAAAUAAAUUAACUAGUGAUACUAUGGUAACAGUAAUCAUAGACACUAAUAAAAUAUCAAUAACUACUAACAUUAUGGUGUCAUAAUAUCGGUGAUACUGUAGUAAUAGUAAUCACUGACACCACUUACAAGUGUCACUAUUUUUCUGAAUCCCAGAUUACUGGCACAAUUAACAAGUGUCAGUGACAGUAAUUUCUGACACUAUUCUAAAGUCAGUAAAGACCAUUUUUCUAGUAAUGUUAACUAUCAAUCAUGUGAGUAUAUUUACUCAGAAAUAUCAUAUCAAUAGAGAAUCUUGAUCCCACGCACACGCAAAUAUGUUAAUUUCUAUACGCUUCACUUAACCUAUAGAAUCAAUUAUCUAAAAUGCAAGUUUGUGGCCACAAAAAAAGCCAAAGAAAGAAGAUAACAACAAUUGACUUGUCUAUUAUACUCAUACUAUCCUCUCGACAUAAUGAUAUCAUUUUAAUAAGGCAAUGGCUGAUGAUCUCCGUUGAAAAACUAAUUCAAUUUUUUUGCUUCAUUUAACUUUUUGGUUGUUGAAAAUAAGCUUAAUUAUCAAAUAAUUGGAGAAAGAGUAAAGAACAUUUAACAAAUUUAUGUGCCAAAAAAAAAAAAAAAAGAAGUUGAAGAGAAAGGGUGCUUGCAGAAGUGGGUGUCAAAGAUAAAUCGGUCCAUAAGAAUUAUUGCGGUUAUUUUUUGGCAAUGUAAAAUUUUUAUAGCAAGUAAAAAUUAUUUUUUUUCCGAUUUACUAAAAAAUUAACUAAAAACUUCUGUGUCAGCAUUUUUUAUGGGUGCAUAUACCCUCCCUUUAAAAUAAAUAAUAAUUAAUGCUUAAUAUAAUAUUAAAUACGAAAAUAUCAAUAUUUGACUACUCAAAUUUAUAUCAUUAGGUCCUUAAAAUUUAAAAUUGAAGAUACGAAAGGAAACAUAUAUAAAUUUCAUUCUCAUGGAAAUGAUUCUCUUAUAAUCUUAUAAUAUUUGAGUUUUGAAAUUUUUUUUGAAACAAAUGUAAUUUUAUUUGUGUACAAUCAAUAUUUACUUAUUUAUUAUAUUUUAAUUUAUUAACUAUCAAUCAUGUAAGUAUAUUUAGUCAGAAAAAUUAUAUCAAGAGAGAAUCCUAAUUUCACGCAAACACAAAUACAAGACAAAUAUGUCAAUUUCUAUACUAUUCACUUUCCUGUAGAAUCAAUUAUCUAAAGUGCAAGUUUGUGGCUACAGAAAACUCGCCAAAGAAAGAAGAUAAUAACAAUUGAGCAUUGAUAGCAAAACUAAUGCAUCAUUUUCUUCUUGACUUGAUAAGAUGGCGCCAUUACAAAAAAACAAGUACCUUAAUUGAUACUACUGGCCAGUUCAUCUCUUCCAGUCUUGCUUAGUUACAAUCACAAACACCACGAGAACGACAUUUGCAUUAUAUAUAUCUUCAGCAGUCGAAACACCUUGCAUUACCAAAUAAACCAGUAACAAACAAAGCAAUCUUUCCUGGAGACGAACCUUAGUCUCAGUAUGAUCACUGUGUCAUUAACCCACUGCCUGCUUCUUUGCUUGGUUGUUGCAGCAGCAGCAGCAGCAAGCAGCAAUAUUACCACAGACCAACAAGCUCUUCUUGCCCUGAAAGAUCAUAUAACUUAUGAUCCGACCAACCUUUUAGCCCAUAAUUGGACCUCGAAUACCCCUGUUUGUACCUGGAUUGGCAUCACUUGUGAUGUCAAUAGCCGUAGAGUCACAGCCUUAGAUAUUUCUCAAUUCAAUCUACAAGGCACCAUCCCUCCUCAACUCGGAAACCUCUCUUCGCUCGCAACGCUUAAUCUUAGUCAUAACAAGCUUUCUGGAGACGUUCCAUCCUCCAUCUACACCAUGCAUUCGCUAAAAUUUCUUGACUUCACUGAUAACCAGCUCUCUGGUUCAGUGUCUUCCUUCGUCUUCAACAUGUCUUCAAUAUUAGACAUUCGUUUGACCAAUAACAGACUUUCUGGUCAGCUUCCGAAAAAUAUUUGCAACUAUCUUCCUCAUUUGAAAGCCCUUUUUUUGGACAAAAACAUGUUUCAUAGCAAAAUUCCUUCUGCUUUAUCAAAGUGCAAACAACUGCAACAAUUAAAUUUGCAGUUCAAUAAUUUAUCCGGUGCAAUACCAAAAGAAAUCGGCAACUUGACUAUGCUCAAAGGGAUAUAUCUCCUCUACAACAAACUCCACGGUAUGUUCACAAUCCUAUAUAAAUAUUUUAAUUUAUCACUUAUUAUCUUUCUUGAAUAAUAUAGAUAAGAUUUUGUAAGAGAGAUUUUUUGCAUCUAUAUUAAUUUUCCAGGUGAGAUACCGCACGAAAUCGCUAAUCUUCCAAAUCUAGAGGCUUUAGUACUUGGAAUCAACAACCUAGUUGGUGUGUUACCAGCUCCCAUCUUCAACAUGUCAACACUGAAGGUACUUAUCCUCAUAAAUAACUCUCUCUCCGGAAGUCUUCCAUCAAGAAUAGACCUUUCACUUCCAACUAUUGAGCAUCUUAACUUGGGACUUAAUAGAUUUUCUGGAACCAUUCCUAGUUCCAUCACCAAUGCUUCUAAGCUCACCUUGCUAGAAUUGGGAGGAAACACAUUUUUGGGAUUUAUUCCAAACACAAUUGGUAAUUUAAGAAACCUUGAGUGGCUCGGCUUGGCUUUUAACUACUUGACAUCUUCAACCUCAAAAUUGAGCUUUCUUUCCUCUUUGGCAAAUUGCAAGAAAUUAAGAGUCAUAAACUUAGCAGGCAAUCCACUUGACGGCUUCCUUCCAAGUUCAAUAGGAAAUCUUUCUAAGUCCUUGGAAACACUUGUCAUCACCAAUUGCAGUAUUAGUGGCAACAUUCCUCCAGCAAUUGGCAAUUUAAGCAACUUGUUGGGCUUAGUAUUAGAAGGCAAUAAAUUGACUUGACCAAUUCCAAUUACAUUCGGCCGACUGCAGAAACUCCAAAACUUAGAUCUCGCAUUCAAUAAGUUGGUAGGUUCAUUCCCAGAUGAGCUUUGCCAUCUAGCAAGGCUGGGUCAAUUGGUCUUAUUUGGCAAUAAGCUUUCAGGAUCUAUACCUUCAUGCCUAAGUAAUCUCACUUCUCUAAGAUCUCUCUAUUUAGGGUCCAAUAGGUUUACUUCUGUUAUUCCCUCAACUUUCUGGAGCUUAAAAGACAUCUUGUUCGUUGACUUUUCAUCAAAUUUCUUGGUUGGUCCUCUUUCUUUAGAUAUAGGAAAUUUGAAGGUGCUUGUAAGAAUAGAUUUAUCAAAAAAUAACUUAUCCGGUGAUAUCCCAGCCACAAUUGGAGGUCUAAAAGGUCUUCAAAUUAUGGACAUAGCAUAUAAUAGAUUGGAAGGCCCAAUUCCUGAAUCAUUUGGUGACUUGAUAAGUUUAGAAGUUUUGAAUUUGUCAAAUAAUAAAAUCUCUGGGUCUAUUCCAACAUCCAUGGAGAAACUGUUUUUCCUCCAAGUGUUAAAUCUCUCUUUCAAUAAACUAGAAGGUGAGAUUCCUAGUGGAGGAAUUUUUGCCAACUUCACAGCUGAGUCAUUUAUGGGAAAUGAGUUAUUGUGUGGUUUACCAAAUCUUCAAGUCCAACCAUGCAAAGUUAGCAAGCCGAGGACAGAACAUAAAUCAAGGAAAAAGAUACUUCUCAUUGUGAUUGUUUUGCCAUUGAGUAUUGCUCUAACGAUAGCAAUCACUCUAGCUCUCAAAUCUAAGCUGAUCGAAUGUGGAAAAAGAAGCACAGUGUUGUCAAACGAUAGUGUCUUGUCAUCACAAGCAACACUAAGAAGAUUUUCAUACUUAGAACUUUUACAAGCAACAGAUAAUUUUGCUGAAAACAACAUAAUUGGCAUAGGAGGUUUUGGUUCUGUUUAUAGAGCAAGACUUGAAGAUGGGAUGAAGAUUGCAAUAAAAGUGUUUCACCAGCAAUGUGCAAGCGCAUUGAAAAGUUUUGAGGCUGAAUGUGAAGUGUUAAAAAAAAUUCGCCAUCGAAACCUUAUCAAAGUUAUCAGCAGUUGCUCGAACGAUGAUUUCAAAGCAUUAGUCCUAGAAUACAUGUCCAAUGGGAGCUUGGGGGAUUGGCUGCAUUCUAGCAAUUAUGUGCUGAAUAUAUUUCAAAGGUUGAACAUAAUGAUUGACGUUGCAUCAGCUUUAGAAUAUCUCCACUUCGAUCAUUCAACUCCUAUUAUUCAUUGUGACUUAAAGCCUAGUAAUGUAUUGUUGGACGAACAUAUGGUUGCUCAUUUGAGUGAUUUUGGCAUAGCAAAGCUUUUAAGUGGAGAAGAUGAGUCAACGAUGCGAACAAAAACCCUUGCCACUAUAGGUUAUAUGGCACCAGGUUUGCUUCAAACAACUUUUGUUGUUAGUUCAUUUUAAAUUUUCCAACUUAUUGAUUUUUACGAUCCUCACAUCAAAAUGUUAUUGAUUAUUUAUCUAAUUGUGAAAUUAAUUUGAUUCAUAGAGUACGGCAUAGAAGGAGAAGUAUCUACAAAAAGUGAUGUUUACAGCUAUGGGAUUAUGUUGAUGGAAACUUUUACCAAGAAAAAACCCACAGAUGAAAUUUUUGUCGGAGAAUUGAGCUUAAAGCGUUGGGUUAAUGACUUGCUUCCUACUUCAUUAGUGGAAGUUGUGGACAAAACUCUGCUAAGUGGAGAGGAAAAACAUUCUGCAGCAAAGGAGCAAUGUCUGUUGUCUAUCUUUAGCUUGGCUCUGGAGUGUACAAUGGAAUCACCGGAAAAGAGGAUUAAUGCAAAAGAUAUUGUUACCGGAUUACUCAAGAUAAGAGACGCAUUGGGUAAAAGGAUAGGAAAUUUAAGUUAAUUUCGUUUGCUUUCAUUGAUAGUUAAUCUGAAUUCAUGUAAUAAGUGUAGGAAUCUUAUAUCUUUUCCUUUGAUAUUUUUUUUUUCUUGAGAAAACUGUUGUAGUCAUCUUGUUUCCAUGGGCGGAGUUGACUUAGUUCUUCCAAGAAAUGCUACUGAUGAUCUUUGUUAUAUACUUUCUCUUUUUUUUGCAUGCGUUUAGGUAGAAUAGUGGUCUAGCUGCAGGCUAAUAUGUCAAGCUACGCCAAAAGCGUAUGAUUUAAUUUACUAAACAUAACUUCAAGUUCAAGAAGUGUUUUUCACUGCCACCAAUGCUUUGGACACCUGUUGGAAGGUUUGUUGUCCUCAGCUUUUGUUUAGAGCAAAAGUUCGAGUCCCAUAAAGGCUCACACAUUCCUUUCCUUCAUCGCGAGGUGAAGAAAUUAGAAUGACAACUGGGACAUAUAUAAGAGUGAAAUAAUUAAAAAAUUAUGCUUUUUUGUUUCACCGAAGUACUGUGAAAGAGAUUAAUUUACAGAAACUGAAGCCAAGGGUUCAAAAAAAAAGUGCAAAGAGAAUAAUUGUAUUAGUAGCACAAUGUCAUAGAGAGAUCAAUUAUAUUAUUUACGGCUGGUAAGGACUAAGAAUUGAUGUAGCUAGAAUGCGAAGAUGAUAAGGUAUGUUGUGCACUAUUGUUUUAUUCUAUAAUCAAUCUUGACCCUUGAUGCUUGGCUCUCAAUCUUGUCCAUUGAUCUUCUCUGAUUUUGGAGACUUGAAGACCUUUCAGUAUCAUGCCUUGUUGUUGGUGUCUUCCAUGCUGUAGAACCGCCGACUUGCCAAGUAUUUGUUCAUUGACGCAUUUUAUCAAACAGUUGGCCUGCUCAUAGCAAAUAGCUCCUCUUUUAGAGCUUUCGAAUUCAUGCCAAUUAAUUUUCAACUAGGCUAUUACCACAAUAAACAUUUAGAAAUCUAAAUUUGUUCAUUAUAUAUUCUGAUCAUCACUUGAACAUCCAUGCAGACUCCUAUUAAUUAUAUCCUCUAAUGGAGAGAACUCAUUGCCUCAGUAUGAUCACUGUGUCAUCAACCCACUGCCCGCUUCUUUGCUUGGUUGUUGCAGCAAGCAACAAUAUUACCACAGAUCAACAAUAGUUUGUCCAUUUUUUUCAGUAAGGUCGUCAUUAAAAAUUAAUUUUCAUAUUGAUUUUCUUAAUUAUAAAUAAUACUAAUGAUAUUUCAUAGUUAUAAAUAUAUUAGAAUUAAUCAAAAUCAUUUUUUAGUGCGGCAUGGCUAAAACUACCUUUUUUUUUUUUUUUAUAAGUAAUUACUACUUUAAGGAAAAUACUCGUAUUUUCAGGAAAAAGUCAAGUACCCGUAGUUGUGAAGACUCGAGCUCACCCUCUUAUGAUAAAUCUUCAUAUCAAUUACAUAAAUAUCCUCUAAAUGUUUAGUUAACUAUUCAAAAUUCGAUGUUAUAUGGGUAUUUCAUUUAUUUGAGUAGGGGUUAGGGGUCAAUUGGAUACAAAUUCAAAAUUAUCCUUACUUGAGAAGGUGAUAAACAUUGGGGAUUUAGUUUGGGUGUCAUUAGCUACAAAUAUUAAACUCAUACAUCUAAUUCAAAAUUGCAUCCAGGUUCAUUGCAGCUAAGGCUUGUGGAAUUUCAUCAGUAAGAUGUGAGUAGUCAUACCUACGUCGACAUUCAAUGGCUGUAUGUUUCUGUAAAUGACAAAUUUGGCAUAUGACAGUUUCUUCAUUGACUUCCUCAGCUUGUUGUUUGGAUUGAUUCUGAAUUUUGUGCCAAGGCUGUCCAGAAUUAUUUUGUCGAGGUUGCUGCCACUGUUGUCCCGAAUUUCCUUGCCAUGAUUGUUGCCCUUGUUGACUUGGAUUAUUGUUUGAUUUUUGCCAUGGCUGACUUGCAUUAUUAUUCCAACUUUUUCCACCAUUGUAGUUGAUUUUUUGACCACUUGAAUCAGCCAAAUUUUGUCCUCCUGCUGCUGUAAAACCACGACCUUUUGAGUUAAAGAAACCUCCAUUUCCACGACCUUUUCCCUUGCCUCAUUGGCUAAAAAAGGCUUGAGCCAGAUUGAUUGUAUUCUUCUUUUCUUCUUCAAAAUUAAUAAGAGUUUGUUCAUGAUUUUCGAGGGCCAUGACAAACUGCUUAAAUGAGGGAUAAGGUGGUUUCGAAAGUUGAGCAAGUUUGAAGUCUUGAUACCUGUAGCCAAGACCUCUUGCAAGACCAAAGACUUCAUCUAAGUCAUUCACUGGCUUAUUUAUUGCAGCCAAACAAUCACAGAUAUGCUUGUAUUUGCGCACAUACUCUUCAACUGAUAGAGAUCCCUUUUUAAACCGAGAGAAUUACUAUAUUUACACAAUUAACCUUGGCUAGAAUUAAUUGUGCAGAUUGGAUGAUAACUAGAGAAUAGAAAUGAAGAAAAGGAAGCACACAACACCGAGAAGAGUAAUAAUUAAUGCUGCCAUUGACGAAAUGUUUUAUAUUACUCUUCUUUCUUGGUAUUUAUUUAUUUACAAUUUUUAAUGUAAAUGUACAGUUGUUGGGCUAAUAUCUUAUUUACUUUUGAACGUAUUAGAUGCCUUUUUUUUUCUUGGUUCAUAAUAAUUUUGUAGAAAUUCCUCAAGUUUGCCUAAAUGAUAGCACAUAUUCAUAAUUGGAUUGAUUGAGUAAUAAUAAAAUAUAUUUAUUUGGCAAAUGGCAGUUAGGCUUUCUUUUGAUGCAGAUUAAUUAGAGAGAAUAUAUAACAAUUUUAAGCUCGUCAGAUUCGGAAGCUGCUUAUCUGUCGUGUGGGGAUCACUUCCGUGUCUUAUUUUUCUAGAAAAAUCUGGACCAUUGGAUUUCCCAUUAUUCAAUAGAUAAAUGUUUGAUCUUGAUUCUUGAUUAAGAUCGAAGUUUGAUUCUAACCAACAUGAUGUCAGAUUCAGAUUGCGAAGCAAGCAAAUUGAAAGUAACUUGUUCUAUUUUGAUAAACACAAGUUCUAAUAAAACAUUCUCAUAGUAAAGUGAAUUACCAUCCAACGAUCCAACUCAUGUUUUCAAAUUGUAAAUUGCAAAUCGUGCGUUUGCUCCAUUACAGCGUUUCUUCAAUCUGAAAUAGAGAAUCAUUUGUGUUUUGGAUUAAUCGUGGGUCUAUAUCCAAAUCUAAAAAUUGACUAAUUUAAUUUCUAUUAAAUUCUUAAUCCUAACAAGAAAAAUUGAAGAUUAAAAACGACUAAUUUGGUACCAUACCACUAUUGUAACAUAGGUAGAUCCUCUAUUAAUUGGAGUAAAGAUUGAAUUAUCUCAUUUAUUAAGGUUUAUCAAAAUCUUGUGUCAAAAUCUAUUAAUGAUAUAGGUUCAAGGAUGAAAGAGUCACUUCAUUACUUUUGAGUUCCCAAAUAGAUGAAUGGAUGUUAUUUUUGGAUUCCGGAGAGUCGAAAAUAUUAGGAUAGGUGCUAAAUCGAAUUAAGUUGUAGAUAAGAUAGAAAUGGAUUUGGAGAGAUUGGAAUCCUAGGUAAUCCGGUGCACGUUGUCGUGUUAAAUUCUCGUUGACUUCACGUUGACUGAAGCAUUAUUGGAAGAAACAAGUUUAUUGAUGUGAGGCCUUUGAGAUUGUAAGUGUUAAAUCUGAGAAGAAUACCCACACAACCAUUAUCCUAUUACUCUUAUAUCACGUGAAGAGAAUUCAACAUUUGAUUCACACGGAAAAAAUUUGUGAGGAUUGUGAGGGUUGAUGCAAUAUAAUUUAGAUACAAAGUGUUUACCAGUGCGAUGCUUCGCAAGUGUUCUUGAAUCAAUAUAAACUCACGUUAUUUUCAUAGUGAUUGUUUCAUCUGCACGUGGAUAUAAUCACAUGUCGAGAUUUUUUUUUCUUAAAUUAUGGUCUUAUUUAGUAUUGCGGUGUUAUAUCUUUUAAGGUACAAUUAUUGUUGGAAAAAAGUUGCAACUAUUAAAUAAAAUUAAUACUAUGUGCUAAAUAUAAUUGUUAAAUAAUAAUUUUGACAAAAUUAGUGAAGUUAUGUAGAUUUUUUUUCAUCAUACAAGUAUAAAAUCAAAUCAACUUAACUUCUAAGUUCUAUAUCAGCUACUGUUUAUCAUAUGUUUUAGUUCUGUAACUUUUAAGUUAUAGUUACCCAACCUCAAUUCUAAACCAGACCUAUAAAGAUCAAAGAUUUCCUCAUUAAAUUAUAUGUCUUGUGAUUGCUUAUUUAAUUUAUAUUUUUUUUAUUUAUCUUUAUUAAUUAUAAUCAUCUUUUUAUAAAUUAAAAUUGAAGGAAGUUGAUUGAUGUUGUUGACACACACACACACACACGCACGCACGCACGCACUCACAAAGAUCACCACAAGAAAAUAGAGUAUUGGCUACAAAUUCUAUUGCAACAAAACUUACUUUAUUGCUAAAAUUCAUAUCUUGCAACAAAAAUUAGUCUUUAUCGCUAUAGCUAAACAGAUUUUAUUCUUCUUAAUGAUGUGGAAUAGGCAAGAAAAUUAGAAUAUAUGGCAACAAAAUAUUUUCUUGCCCUAUGCUAUGUUUGGCAACAAAAGUGUUCUUGUUGCCUAACAAGCUUAAUGAAGGCAAAAUAUGUUUCGUUGCUCAAGUUUUUCCACAACAAACACUUGAAUCAGUUGCAACAAAUGAAAUAUUGUAAAAGGUUGUGAUUAGCGAGAAAAUUUGUUUUGUACUCUCAGAGUUUUUUGCAACAAGAUUAAUUUUGUUGCGCAAAGGUUAACAAAAAUAUUAAAUUAAUAAAUGAAAAUAUAAAGAUAAUAUAAAAGCAAACAUGACUUUGUGGGAGGCUUUUUAAUUUUUUAUUUCCGCGCCCUUUAUUUAAUAAACCGCGUGCUAACCGAAGUAAAGUUUCCAUCUCCAAUUUUUUCUUAAUUAAAAUAUUGCUUCUAGAAUAUUUCCACUUUACUCUUCGCUUGUUUCUUUUGCCCUGCCUUGGAGUCAUUCUCUCUGGCCAAGCUUUAAGCCAUUGAAGAGUUGUACUUGGAAGGCACCACUCAAGACAACGAUUUCUUCAAGUAAAUUUAGUUUUAUUUUAUAUAUUGGCCUGUUGAGUUUGAUUUUGUUUAGUGGGUUUUGCUUUAAUUAUUUAUUAAGUGGGUCUUUGUUUCAAUUUUUAAUUUGUUAAAUUAAAGUUAAUGGAUUUUUCAUGGUGAAGAACUUGAGUUUGUGGACAAUAGUCAAAUGAAUGUAGGAUCUAUGCCCAGUAAUAGGAUCUUUCAUGUUAUAAUUUCUUUGACAAAAUUAUAGUUAUAUUGAUUUAUUUUUAUGUUGAUUAUUAAUAAACUCUAAUGUAUAUUUUUAAUAAUUACUAGAUGGGUCCUGGACAUAGAGUUACCAAACGUGUAAGAGCAGAAAUUGUUGUCGCAUCUACAAUUCCCCAAUCUCAGCCUGUUAUGCCCAGCCAAGAGUUUGUGCAAGGUGUUGUUACAACUCUAGAAUUUGGUACUUAAAGAGUUUAAUUGGUAGGUUUUGUUUGAUCGACUAUUAGUAAGUACUUAUGAUUAUUAAUAUUCUUCAUCUGUCAUUUUUUUUAAUUAUAAACUGAGAUAUCUUUUUUUCCUAAAUUCAGUCAAAUUUUGAGAUUGAUUUGAACUUACCACAUGUUCGUCGAUGUGUGAAUAACAUUAUGGGUGGGAGAUAUCAUGAUAUGAGACAUUGGAUGUAUGAUCAUUACUUGGAUUAUCCAUCCUUUGAAGAGGCACUUAAGCAUUCAUAUCCAGGCAUAUGUCCAGAUGAUUGGGCUUGGCUUUGUCAUAACAUUUACAAUUCCGCAAGUUUCCAGGUCCAAUGAUAUUCAUAUUAUGAACUUUAAAUUGUCCAACUAGUUGUCAAUAUGCUUGUAUAUGUAUCUUAUUUUCCACUGUUAUAUUUUUUUAAUGUAGACUCAAUCUACCAAAAACAAAGCUAAUCGUGCUAAGCUUCCAUAUGUCCAUUGUGGGGGAUCAAGACCUUUUGUUAAUUAUCUUGAGGAUGACAUGGUUGAUGGUGAAAUAGAAUUAUUUCGCGUCACUCAUUUCAGCAAGACAAAAGGUUGGGUGAAUGAGGUGGCACACUUAAACCAUGUAAGAUGCUUUGUUGGAAACAAAAUUUUUAAUUUUAUUAUUUCUUAUCACCUACAUACUGUUGAUGAAAGUUUACUCAUUGAGUUUUUUUUCUUAAUUUUUCUUUCAUGCUCUAAUUAACUUUAUUAUUUGAAAUAUCAAAUAAUUAGAUUUAUAAGUAUAACAACAAGUUUUUUUUUUUUUCAAUUUAUGUCUUAAUACAAAUUAAUUCCAUGACCAAUGGAUUAAAUUUCAACUAUUUAAUUAAUAAAAUUCUUUUUUUUCUUCCUUCGUUUACUAACAAAGCUUUACGUAUAGGACCAAAUGGUAGAGAUACAACAACAACAACAAAUAGAUCCUCAAGAAGCAAAACCACUAACUCAAAGGGAAAUAUGCAUUGAAGUACUUGGAAAGAAAACAUGCUAUUUUCGAGGACUUGGCAACGGACCACGCCCAACUUCAAACCAUGGUGUUGAUACUUCUGAGGCUGAUAGAUUGCAUGGUAUUAUAUCUUCACAACAAAGUAGAUUGGAUUCACAAGAUGUUGAGCUUCAAGAACAAAAGAAGACUAUUGAUCAAUUGGAGUCCAGAUUGUCCCAAUUUGAGGGUAUGAUGCAGCAAUUUUUUUCUUCUCAAGGAUCCGCUUUUCGCUUUACAGAUUCAGCUACUCAAUGAUUACUCAUUUCAAUGAUGUCCUUAGAGUAUCUUGAACUUGUUAGUAUUUUGAAUUGGUCAUCACUUGAUCUUUUUGGUUACUGCUGGUGCAUGUCAUAUCUUUAAGGAUUUGGAGUUUGGAGCAGUUGUAAUUAGAGAUCGUUUAUAAUUUUUGCUCAUUACAUUUUUGGGAUAGAUGACAAUCCACUUUUGUAUUUGACUAUCAUAUGUGAUUCUUAAAGUCAGUUUUGUAUAUAUAUAUAUAUAGCUUGGAUACUGAAUGGGCCUUUAACUUUUAAAUUAGUUCAAUGACAUUAAUGAUUUUUUUGUUAGAUUUCUCAACAUAUAUUUGUAGUUUAUUAUUGUCAUGGUGGGGGAAAAAAUUGGUAUCUUUCCCAACGAACUUGGUUUGCUUCCUUUUAUACCAUGAUAUUAUUAAAAAAAAUUGUACUAUUUUUUAAUGACAAAAUUGAUUUGUUUCUAAAAAUAUUUAAAUAUUUAUUGCAAAUUUGUAAAAUUUUCAACAUAAAGAAACAAAGUAGUUUUGUUGCCUAAAAUGAUCUUAGCUAACAAACACCUUUGUUGGUACACGUUUUUUUUAUAAAAUGUACUUUAUUUCUUAGCAACAAAUUAGUUUUGUAGUAAAUAACUAUAUAGAAACAAAAUUAUUUUGUUGUGUAAAACUGUUUAGCGCAACAAAAAUGUUUGUUGCCAAAUUAUUCUCUAAACAAGUUGAAGACUCCUUCACAACGAAUCUGUUUUGUUGCGAAAGGAAGUUUGAGGCGAGAAAUGUUUUGAUAUGUUGUUAAACAUAGAGGGCGACAGUGCUAGGCCGACGACGGGCCGACAAGCUUGUUUUUGUAGCAAUAACCUAUGGCAACAAAAUUGGCACUUUAGGCAACAAAAUCUUUUUGUUGCAAAAAGCCAUUUCUGUUGUGGUGGAUAUAUUGGAAGUGCUUAAUUACGUCGACUCGAAGUUGUUGGGAAUUAAUGCAUGUAUUGAUUUAUUGGGAGUGUUUAAAUGAUUUUGUGAUUUACUUGAUUGAUUGAAUAUUGUUUGAUUGCUUCAUAUCCAUUCUACAAAGUUUAUUUCUUUGUGAAAUUUCAACGAAAUAUGUUUUUUUUUUUUUAAAUAAGGGUGUUCUAAAUAAUUUUAAAAAAUAUAUGGACUAAUUAGAAUUAAUUAUUAGGUAAUUAACUCAAUCUGUACAGGGUGAAACAACAUUUAUCCUAAUUAUAUCAUGAUAAAUACUUUUCUGAUUAGAAUUAGGAAAUCAUAGGUUUAUUGAAUUGUUUUUUUUUUCCUUUGCGGAAACGGAUUAGAGAAUUAGAAAACAAUCAUGUUGAUGUCAAAAUCUGAUCUAGUCGGUUAGCGACUUAACAUCAUAUUACUGCACCAGUAUUAAAUUUAUUUGGUAGAGAAUCGGCUGGUCAAUUGUCAAGAUGUCCUGCAAUCACUAGCGAUUAACCUACGAAUACAUGAAAUCAUAGAAGACGGUAAGAGCCACCAGAAGUUUUUUCGUCGUGAAUCUUCUGACGCUCAAGUCAGUUUAUAGGUUUACCAUAAUAAAAAUAAAUAAUUUCUAUUUAAAACAAAAAAUAGAGAUCAAAAGCUCAAAAAUAAAACCCAAUCCCAAUAUGAAAAUGAAUUUCUUUUUUUUUUUUAGCUUGGCCGAAUCCUUCUGCCUCCUAAAGAAACAUAAUAGAGGAGCAGGUAGCCAUGUUCCCUAGGUAACGCCCCACUCCCCUCUUUUAUUCCUCCCCCUCUCUUCCGUUUCCUUCUUUUGCUCACUAUCCUUUAUAAUUUUUUAUGCUUGUCUUCCCAAAAUAGCCUUUGAAUACACAAGUAAAUGUCUAGGCUUUGGUGAGGAUAGUUUGGUUAUUGCAUUUUACAAGUAAGAUGAGUGGUGGAGAAAAAUGAGGAGUGCAUAUAACUCUUCAGCAAAUCCCACCAACAAUUCAAUUUUCUUAAUUAAUUAAUCUCCUUUUUUAUCCCCAAACAAAUCCUAAUGAUACUAUUAUCAGGUUUAAAACAGUACAUAAAUAGUGAAAAGCUAACUAGUCUGUAGAGUAAUUGCUAAUUGCUUUCUCCUCUCUGAGCGCGCUGAAUAAUUUGUUGCAUGCAAACUUUUUAUUAUAUGCAAAUCGUACGUACUGUAACAUUGGAAUUGAUGUAUAAGCAAAAAUACAAGAAUAUUUAUGUCAAUAAAAAUAGUUUUUUUUUCCUUUUUAAAUAAACACAACGCGAUGUUGCUCUUCUCUACAUUUUUGCUAUCUCUUUAUUCUUUUUUUUUUUUUUUGGGCUUCUUAAAGCCUCAAACUUUGAUAACCAAAACUUCAUCGACCUAUGAAAAAAAUCUGCAGAUUAGUUUUUAUUAUCGGAAUAAUUGUUUGAGAAUACUAAAACAAAAUAUAAAAUAAGAAAAUAGGAGGUUAAAUUAGAGGGGGGGGAAAAAGGCAUGUUCUAUCGAUUACUAUAGUUUAAGGGAAAAAAAAAUCCAAUUGGGAAUUUUUUUCUUUAAUUUUUGUUUUACUUGAUUGAGAUUUCUCCUUAGUCCUUACAGUUUUAAGUUUGGAUGCCGUAGGGUUAGUAAUUUAGUACUUCCUUUGCAAGCUGAGUGCAAGAAUGAAAAUCUUUUAAGAAAUUAAAAAAGAUUAAAAAAAAGCAUACCAAUAGGUAAUUAUAAAUAACCAUAAAUAAACAUAAACAAAAUGUUUAUGAAGUAAAUUACACAUGCACAUAUUUUUUUUUUGUUUUAUUUCUUACUUGUCUAUUUUAUUUGCUGCUUGAUAACCCGUAAAUACUAAUCUAUUACUGCUAAUUCCAGACACAAAAUUUUUAACUCUAGGCUGCAGUUUUACUCAAAAUGAUGACCACUGGCUUCGCACCAUUUAACCGGCAUACAUUUCUACAAAUUGAACAAGGCUAUUGAUUUUCAUUAUUAUUUUUUAUUUAUUUAUAAAUUACUAUUUUAAUUUUCACUUUUUAUUGGGUUGUUUAACGGAUUAGUGAAGUUGGUGGUCGUGAUGCACUCACAAGGUACAAUUUUAUUUUAUAAUUUCAAAUUUGUAUUUUAAAAUACAGGUACAUUAUGUAUACAUAAUUAUUGAUUUUCGUAUGUGGGUGUUUUGAAAUAUUGCUAAAAGACCAAACUUUAAUAAACUAUUUUUCAUCUUUUUUUUUCCUUUUUUCCUAGAGUUUGAGUGAUAUCCGCAUUUUAAAUUCAUGAGGAACAAAAGCUAAUGUAUGCACAAAAUUCUUUUAUUUUUUCCUAGAAAAAUGGGUAAGAGAAGAAGAUUUUUCUCUUGAAAAAGAAAAACUAAUACGAUGCAAGCAUAGGAAAGAGGUCAGUGUUUUUGGAUUAGAAUUUAGUAUUGAGCUGAAUUUUAUACUAAACUCUUUUGUGGUGCUGCGAUUAAUAAACUCAUGAUUUGCUUUUGCUUUUACUUCAAGUGAAAGAAAGAGGAAACCUUUUGUUUUUUGUUUGAUUCUUGACUAUAGAUGUUACCUAUAUAGAGAGUUGAGGUAUCUGCCUUAAGUGAUGGUGAUAAAAAGAUUAAGCAGCGCACACAAUCUUACUGUCGUCCAGACCAUCCAGCUGUGAUGACUCUAGUUUUUUGGUUACAUUAGCUUUAGUGGAAAGGAGGGCCAAUUUAACAAAGACUAGAUUUGGUGGCUUACUAUAAUGCUUAUUCUCAGGGAAUCUAAUGUUAUAAGAUGAUUUAAUGAUCUUCUAUGAUUGUGAGUAGUAUAGUAUAAUUGAAAAGAGUCUGGGCUUCUAUGAUGAAUAUAUAAUAUUAACACAGUACUGUGAUUGAAAAAAACACAGUUACAAUAUACUCUUCAUUUAUUCAUUGCGGAGAUUAAAUGGCAAACAGAGAAUAAAAUGAAGCAGAGGGAUCUCAUUGCCAGUAAAAUUGACCCUCUUUAAUGUUAUAUGGCACAGGUGUGUGUACAGCAAGAGCAAGUUACUUGCAGUUUUUAUUGUAAAAUAUACAGGUUAUGACCAUGAUCAUUGUAGUUAGGUUUUGAUGAUUUUAGAUGCUUUUUUUAUUUUUUUAAAUUGUGACACCUUUGAUUUAUGGUAGUUUUGCAGAAGAAAAAAAUAUAAAUAAAAAUUAGGAGGGAUGAGUUAACUAACGAUUGCAAUCAUUACUGUAAUGUUGAUGAGUGAUACAUCAUUUGAAAUGUACUUGUCAGUUGCUGAAAUGAUGAAAAAAAACAAUAAACAAUAGCAGUAAUAUUUUUAUGGAAAUUCAUGGUUUUUAUGGAAAUACUCUUGCUGAAAUUCUAAUUUUGACUUUCAACUCUUGGUUUUUAUGGAAAAUAAAAUGACUUGUUUAUUAUAUUCAUACAAUCCACUCUACAUAAUGAUUUCAUUUUAAUAAAUGCUUGAUGAUCUCCACUGAAAAACUACUUCAAUUCUUUUGUUUUUUUUUAACUUUUUGGUUGUUGAAAAUAGCCUUAAUUUUCAAAUAACUGGAGAAAGAGUAAAGAACAUUUAACAAAUUUAUGUGCCAAAAAUAAAUGAGAAAUUGAAGAGAAAGGGUGCUUGCAGAAGUGGGUGCAAAGAUAAAUUAGUCUAUAAGAAUUAUUGUGGUUAUUAAUUUUUUGGCAAUAUAAAAAUUUUUCAGCAAAUAAAAAUUGAUUUUUUCCGAUUUACUAAAAAAUUAAUUAAAAACUUUGGCGAUAGCAUUUUUUAUGGGGCAUGUACCCUCCCUUUUAAAAAAAAAUAUAAUAAUUAAUACUUAAUAUAGUAUUAAAUACGAAAAUCUCAAUAUUUGACUACACAAAUUUAUAUCAUUAGGUCCUUAAAAUUUAAAAUUGAAGACACAUAAUGAAAUAUAUAUAAAUUUUCAACCUCAUAGGAAAUGAUCCUCUUAUAAUCUUAAAAUAUUUGAGAUUUGAAAGAUUUUUUAAAACAAAUGUACUUUUAUUUUUGUACAAUCAAUAUUUACUUAUUUAUUAUAUUUUUAUUCAUUAACUAUCAAUCAUGUGAGUAUAUUUACUCAAAAAUAUCAUAUCAACGGAGCAUCUUGAUCCCACGCACACGCAAAUAUGUUAAUUUCUAUACGCUUCACUUACCUCUAGAAUCAAUUAUCUAAAAUGCAAGUUUGUGGCCACAAAAAAAGCCAAAGAAAGAAGAUAACAAUUGACUUGUAUAUUAUACUCAUACAAUCCACUCGACAUAAUGAUAUCAUUUUAAUAAGGCAAUGGCUGAUGAUCUCCAUUGAAAAACUAAUUCAAUUUUUUUGCUUCAUUUAACUUUUUGGUCGUUGAUAAUAACCUUAAUUAUCACAUAAUUGGAGAAAGAGUAAAGAACAUUUAACAAAUUUAUGUGCAAAAAAAAAAAAAAAGGAGAAGUUGAAGAGAAAGGGUGCUUGCAGAAGUGGGUGUCAGAGAAAAAUCGGUCCAUAAGAAUUAUUGCGGUUAUUUUUUGGCAAUAUAAAAUUUUAUAGCAAGUAAAAAUUAAUUUUUUUCCGAUUUAUUAAAAAAAUAACUAAAAACUUCUGCGACAGCAUUUUUAUGGGUGCAUAUACCCUCCCUUUAAAAAAAAUAAUAAUUAAUGCUUAAUAUAGUAUUAAAUACGAAAAUAUCAAUAAUUGACUACUCAAAUUUAUAUCAUUAGGUCCUUAAAAUUUAAAAUUGAAGACACGAAAAAAUUGAAGAUAUGAAAGGAAAUAUAUAUAAAUUUCAUUCUCAUGGAAAGGAUUCUCUUAUAAUCUUAUAAUAUUUGAGUUUUGAAAUUUUUUUGAAACAAAUGUAAUUUUAUUAGUGUACAAUCAAUAUUUACUUAUUUAUUAUAUUUUAAUUUAUUUAUUAUAUUUAGUCAGAAAAAUUAUAUCAAGAGAGAAUCCUAAUUUCACGCAAACACAACUACAAGACAAAUAUGUUAAUUUCUAUACUAUUCACUUUCCUGUAGAAUCAAUUAUCUAAAAUGCAAGUUUGUGGCUACAGAAAACUCGCCAAAGAAAGAAGAUAAUAACAAUUGAGCAUUGAUAGCAAAACUAAUGCAUCCAAUUCUUCUUGACUUGAUGAGAUGGCGCCAUAACGUAGAAACAAGUACCUAAAUUGACCGGCACUGAGUGAUGUGAAUACUACCAGCCAGUUCAUCUCUUCCAGUCUUGCUUAAUCACAAUCACAAACACCACGAGAUCGACAUUUGCAUUAUAUAUAUCUUCAGCAAUCGAAACACCUUGCAUUACCAAAUUAACCAGUAACAAACAAAGCAAUGUUUCAUGGAGAGAAAGCUUAGUCUCAGUAUGAUCAUUGUGUCAUUAACCCACUGCCUGCUUCUUUGCUUGGUUGUUGCAGCAGCAGCAGCAGCAAGCAGCAAUAUUACCACAGACCAACAAGCUCUUCUUGCCCUGAAAGAUCAUAUAACUUAUGAUCCGACCAACCUUUUUGCCCAUAAUUGGACCUCGAAUACCUCUGUUUGUAACUGGAUUGGCAUCACUUGUGAUGUCAAUAGCCAUAGAGUCACAACCUUAGAUAUUUCUCAAUUCAAUCUACAAGGCACCGUCCCUCCUCAACUUGGAAACCUCUCUUCACUCACAACACUUAAUCUUAGUCAUAACAAGCUUUCCGGAAGCGUUCCCACCUCCAUCUACACCAUGCAUACACUAAAAUUUCUUGACUUCACUGAUAACCAGCUCUCUGGUUCAGUUUCAUCCUUCGUCUUCAACAUGUCUUCAAUAUUAGACAUUCGUUUGACCAAUAACAGACUUUCUGGUGAGCUUCCGAAAAAUAUUUGCAACUAUCUUCCUUAUUUGAAAGCCCUUUUUUUGGACAAAAACAUGUUGCAUGGCAAAAUUCCUUCUGCUUUAUCAAAGUGCAAACAACUGCAACAAUUAAAUUUGCAGUUCAAUAAUUUAUCCGGUGCAAUACCAAAAGAAAUCGGCAACUUGACCAUGCUCAAAGGGAUAGACCUCGGCUACAACAAACUCCACGGUAUGUUCAUAAUACUAUGUAAAUAUUUUAAUUUCUCACUUGUUAAUUUUCUUGAAUAUCUUAGAUAAGAUUUUGUAAGUGAGAUUUUUUGCAUCUAUGUUAAUUUACCAGGUGAGAUACCCCACGAAAUCGCUAAUCUUCGAAAUCUAGAGGCUUUAGUGCUAGGAAUGAACAACCUAGUUGGUGUGGUAUCAGCUAUAAUCUUCAACAUGUCAUCACUGAAGGUACUUAUCCUCAUCAAUAACUCUCUCUCCGGAAGUCUCCCAUCAAGAAUGGACCUUUCACUUCCAACUAUUGAGCAUCUUAACUUGGCACUUAAUAGAUUUUCUGGAACCAUUCCUAGUUCCAUCACCAAUGCUUCUAAGCUCUCCUUUCUAGAGUUGGGAGGAAACACAUUUUCGGGCUUUAUUCCAAACACAAUUGGAAAUUUAAGAAACCUUGAGUGGCUCGGCUUGGCUAAUAACUCCUUGACAUCUUCAACCUCAAAAUUGAGCUUUCUUUCCUCUUUGGCAAAUUGCAAGAAAUUAAGAUCCUUAAACUUAAUAGGCAAUCCGCUUGACGGCUUCCUUCCAAGUUCAAUAGGUAAUCUUUCCAUGUCUUUGAAAAUACUUCUCAUCGCCAAUUGCAGUAUUAUUGGCAACAUUCCUCGAGCAAUUGGCAAUUUAAGCAACUUGUUGGCCUUGACAUUAGAAGGCAAUAAAUUGACUGGACCAAUUCCAAUUACAUUCGCCCGACUGCAGAAACUCCAAGGUUUAUAUCUUCCAUUCAAUAAGUUGGUAGGUUCAUUCCCAGAUGAGCUUUGCCAUCUAGCUAGGCUGGCUGAAUUGGUCUUACUUGGCAAUAAGCUUUCAGGAUCUAUACCUUCAUGCUUAAGUAAUCUCACUUCUCUAAGAUCUCUCUAUUUAGGGUCCAAUAGGUUUACUUCUGUCAUUCCCUCAACUUUCUGGAGCCUAAAAGACAUCUUGUUCUUUGACUUUUCAUCAAAUUUCUUGGUUGGUCCUCUUUCUUUAGACAUAGGAAAUUUGAAGGUGCUUGUAAGAAUAAAUUUAUCAAAAAAUAACUUAUCCGGUGAUAUCCCAGCCACAAUUGGAGGAUUGAAAGAUCUUCAAAUUAUGGACCUAGCAUAUAAUAGACUGGAAGGCCUAAUUCCUGAAUCAUUUGGUGACUUGAUAAGUUUAGAAGUUUUGAAUUUGUCAAAUAAUAAAAUCUCUGGGUCUAUUCCAACAUCCAUGGAGAAAAUCUUUUACCUCCGAGACUUAAAUCUCUCUUUCAAUAAACUAGAAGGUGAGAUUCCUAGUGGAGGAAUUUUUGCCAACUUCACAGCUGAGUCAUUUAUGGGAAAUGAGUUAUUGUGUGGUUUACCAAAUCUUCAAGUCCAACCAUGCAAAGUUAGCAAGCCGAGGACAGAACAUAAAUCAAGGAAAGAGAUACUUCUCAUUGUGAUUGUUUUGCCAUUGAGUAUUGCUCUAACAAUAGCAAUCACUCUACCUCUCAAAUCUAAGCUGAUCGAAUGUGGAAAAAGAUGCACAGUGUUGUCAAAUGAUAGUGUCUUGUCAUCACAAGCAACACAAAGAAGAUUUUCAUACUUAGAACUUUUACAAGCAACAGAUAAUUUUGCUGAAAACAACAUAAUUGGCAGAGGAGGUUUUGGUUCCGUUUUUGGAGCAAGACUUGAAGAUGGGAUGAAGAUUGCAAUAAAAGUGUUUCACCAGCAAUGUGCAAGCGCAUUGAAGAGUUUUGAGGCUGAAUGUGAAGUGUUAAAAAAUAUUCGCCAUCGAAACCUUAUCAAAGUUAUCAGCAGUUGCUCGAACGAUGACUUCAAAGCAUUAGUCCUAGAAUACAUGUCCAACGGGAGCUUGGAGGAUUGGCUGCAUUCUAGCAAUUACGUGCUGAAUAUAUUUCAUAGGUUGAACAUAAUGAUUGACGUUGCAUCAGCUUUAGAAUAUCUCCACUUCGAUCAUUCAACUCCUAUUAUUCAUUGUGACUUAAAGCCUAGUAAUGUAUUGUUGGACGAAAAUAUGGUUGCUCAUUUGAGUGAUUUUGGCAUAGCAAAGCUUUUAAGUGGAGAAGAUGAGUCUACGAUGCGAACAAAAACCCUUGCCACUAUAGGUUAUAUGGCACCAGGUUUGCUUCAAAUAACUUUUUUUUUUAGUUCAUUUUAAAUUUUGCAACUUAUUGAUUUUUACGAUCCUCACAUCAAAAUUUUAUUGAUUAUUUAUCUAAUUGUGAAAUUAAUUUGAUUCAUAGAGUACGGCAUAGAAGGAGAAGUAUCUACAAAAAGUGAUGUUUACAGCUAUGGGAUUAUGUUGAUGGAAACUUUUACCAAGAAAAAACCCACAGAUGAAAUUUUUGUUGGAGAAUUGAGCUUAAAGCGUUGGGUUAAUGACUUGCUUCCUACUUCAUUAGUGGAAGUUGUGGACAAAACUCUGCUAAGUGGAGAGGAAAAACAUUUUGCAUCAAAGGAGCAAUGUCUGUUGUCUGUCUUUUGUUUGGCUCUGGAGUGUACAAUGGAAUCACCGGAAAAGAGGAUUAAUGCAAAAGAUAUUGUUACCAGAUUACUCAAGAUAAGAGACACAUUGAGUAAAAGGAUAGGAAACUUCAGUUAAUUUCGUUUGCUUUCAUUGAUGGUUAAUUCAAAUUCAUGUAAUAAGUGUAAGAAUCUUAUAUGCUUUCCUUAGAUAUAUAUUUUUUUUUUUGAGAAAACUGUCGUAGUCAUCUUGUUUCCAUGGGCAGAGUUGAUUUAGUUCUUCCAAAAAAUGCUACUGAUGACCUUUGUUUAAUACUCUCUUUUUUUGCAUGUGUUUAGGUAGAACAGUGGUUUGGCUGCAGGCUAAGAAGACUAACUACACUAAAAGAAUAUGAUUUAAUUUAUUAAACAAAACUUCAAGUUCAAGAAAAGUAUUUCACUGCCCCCAAUGCUUUGGACACCUACUGGUAGGUUUGUACGUGUCCUCAACUUUUUUUUGGAGCACAAAAUUCGAGUCCCAUGGAGACUCAAACAUUCCUUUCCCGCAUCCCGAGCACGCUAAAUUCAUCAGACUGACGACUGGGACAUAUACAAGAGUGAAAUGUUUGGAGCACACUAAGUUCGAGUGAAAGAGAUUAAUUUACGGAAACUAAAGCCGAAGGUUCAAAAAAAAGUGCAAAGUGAAUUGAUGCACAAUGUCAUAUUCAUACAGAGAUCAAUUAUAUUAUUUACAGCUGGUAAGGGCUAAGAAUUGAUGUAGCUAGAAUACAAAGAGGAUAAGGUAUGUUGAGCACUAUUGUUUUUAUUCUACAAUCAAUCUUGACCCUUGAUGCUUGGCUCUCAAUCUUGUCCAUUGAUCGUCUCUGAUUUUGGAGACCUCAAGACCUUUCAGUAUCAUGCCUUGUUAUUGGUGUCUUCCGUGCUGUAGAAUUCAUAUACAAGCUUUCCCGCCGACUUGCCAAGUAUUCGUUCAUUGAUGCAUUUUUAUCAAACAGCUGGGCUACUUAUACCAAACACCGCCUGGUUUAACUCCCCCUCUCUAGCUCAACUAUCUGGGAAGACAAUUAAUUGAGAUAUGAAUCAGAAAGUUAAAUUUUAACAAUUAUAUUCGGACUCUACAUUUUGUAAUGAACAUUGGUUUGACUUGUUAUACAUUUAUGCGUACAUAAUUAAUAACCGAUUCUCAAGUGCGGACAUUCAAGAGCACUGCUUAAAGACCAAAUAUUUUGAUUUACUAUUUUUUGUCUUUCAAUUUUCUUUUAAGUUCUGAUGACGUCCGCAUUUUAAAAUCCUGUGGAACAAAGGCCUGAGGUGCAUAUAAAAUUCUUUUAUUUUUCAGAGGAAAAUGGGUGAGAGAAGAAGAUUUGGCAAAAGAAUUGCAACGGCAAUAUGAAACUAGUCUUUGUCUUUUAAUUCUUUUAUAUUUGUUUUUGUUAUUGAUGUUAGCUUGGAUGUGUGCGCGUGUUGUUAACAUAUAUGUUUACAUAAUGUUGAUUUUGAUGAUAACAAACAAAAUUAAGAAUGAUUAAUCUUUUAAGCUCAAAUUAUUUAAUAUUCUUUUUAAAUAAAUCAUUAUUUUCACAUUAUAAAUGUUUCAUAUUUAAUGGAAAAUUGAUUUUAUGAAAUUGGUUGUUUUUCAAAGUUUAUGGUUUAAUUGAAAGAAUUUUGAAAACUUUGAAAUAAACAAGUAUUGCUUGAAAUUUUAGUAAAGGACUUAUUUGAAAAGUGUCUUAGCAUUUUUGGCUAUAUCAUAAUUUCAGAAAGUUUUGGGAUUAACAAAGCAUUACUUAGAAAUUCUGAAAUUGGACCUAUUUGCAAAGUUUCAUAACGUUUUGGGCCUUAAUAUAGUUUUGUAAAGUUUGGGAGUCAAAAUGUAAUUUUAGAAAAUAAUUUCACUGUAGCAUCACUGUAGUAAACGGCUAACCGUUUAUUUAAAACGGCUAACCGAUAAUUUUCAGAAAGCAUAUUUUGCAUAGUAUUGUUAAAAUGAUGAUUCUGAAACAUAACGGUGAACCGUUUACUGAAAACGGUUAACCGAUUAUUUUCAGAUUGCUAACCUUGAACCGUUUAGUAAGAACGGUUAAACCAAAUUUGUUUUGCAGGUCUCUGGAAUUUAACGGCGAAAGGGUAAUACUAAACGAUAAACCGUUUAUUUGAAAAUUGGUCCAACGGUAACUUUGACCAGCCUAAACGGUUAACCGUUAAUGGUUAACGGCGAACCAUUUUCGAGCAGACAGUCUAUAACGGCUAGUUUUUCAGCUCCAACUAUAAAUAAGCUCAAUCCAAUUCAAACAAGAUAAAUUCCAACGAUCAUCAUUGAGCAAAAUAUUGAGAAUACAACUUUCAUUGAGCUUUAAAUCCUUGUAUUCAUCUCAUUCAUUCACACAUUGAGCUUUCACUUGUGAUCAAACACAUUGUGUGAGAGAGAUUCAUUUGAAAUCCUCUUUGUAAAAUCAAGUUAAAAGAUUGUAAGUGUUGGGAUACACUUGAGUUAAGAGAUUGGGGAUAAUCUCUUGUUGUAAAGGUCCAUUGACACCUUGGAAGUCAAUUGUAAGCGUUUGAAGCCUAGGGAGGCUAGCUUAGUGAAAUCCUCAAGCCCAGUGAGCUUGGAGGCGUGGACGUAGGCGGGGUUUGCCGAACCACGUAAAAAUCAUUGUGUUUGUUUUCUCUUCCCUUAGUCUUUUAAUAUUGUGCAUGAUUGAAUUUAUUGUUUUCAAUUUGAUUAAGGCAAUAAAUUAAAUUGUUGUGCGAAUUGUAUUGCAUAAAUUUUAAAAUCCCAAUUCACCCCCCUCUUGGGUUGCCUAGUUAGUAUUUCACGUGUGACUGAAUUCAACUUAUAUUUGUUUUUGUUAUUGUUAUUAAUUUUAUUUGUUUGUGUUAAAUUGGACCACCAAAAAGGGCUGUCCAUUAUCAAAUCAACACGGUUUAAUUAUUAUUAUUUCUACACUUUUUUUAUAAACAAAUAUAAAUAAAAGGAUAUUUACACCCCAAAUUUUAGUGAAAUAGUCAUUAACACUCCUAAAUUUUUAAAAAAAGAUAUCAAGAUCAUUUUUUGAUCUUAAUACUCUCAUACGGUACCUCUAUUAUUCUUAAAAAUUGACUCUAAUGUUUUAUAAUAAAUAAAAAUAAAACAUUAAAAUAAAUGUAAUAACAUAUAAUUUUAAAAUAAUUUCAUUAUUUAAAAAAUAUUUUUAACAUUUUACAAUCUAUUAAAUAUAUUUUAUUAUAUUAAAGUAAUUUUAUAAUAAAUAGAAUCAUAUUAUUAGAAUAAAUGCAUUAAAACUUAAAUUAUUUUGAAUAUCAUGUAAGAUAAUAAUUUUAACAUUACUAGUAUGUCAGUUUUUUUUUAAUUGUAGAAUGUAUUUAGUGCAAAUAUUUAUUUCAAAUCUCUACAAUAAAUAAAAGAUUAAAAUAAAUAUAAUAAUUUACAUAUCUAAAUUUAUUAAAAUAUUUUAAUAUUGUUAGUCUACUGCAUAUAUCACAAUAUUUAUAUAACAUUUGUAUUUAUUAAAAGCUUUAAAAUCAAUUCUUUUGAGAAUAAUAGAGGUAAAGGGUACAAUGGUCAAAAUGGGGACUUUGUACCCUUUUUUGAAAACUUGAAAGUGUUGGUGGUUAUUUUUCCAAACCUUCAGGGUAUAGAUGUCCUUUUUCCACAAAUAUAUGAGAAAAUUAUCAAGAAAUACAGUAUCUGAACUUUGAAGUAACAAGGAUCACCUUUUAUGAAAUCGAUUGCUUUUCAUGAUAGACUGUUACCAUUUUUCUACAAUAGAUUGAAUUUAGUAAAAAAUUGAUUAAGAUGUCUACUCAUGGAGAGUGAAAUUUAUGUUCAAAACUAAUUUCAACAAGCAUGCACCACCGAACGUGUUUCUCACGGAAAAGUUGCUUGGAUUUUUGGGACUUCCUGUUCAAAUAUUCAACACGGCAUGCACCACGCGAUUGAACAUGCAAAAGUAGGGGUCUAUUUUCAUUUCCAGCAUUAUAGAAAUCUUAAUUUUGUUCAUUAGUUAUUUUGAUCAGCACUGUUGAAUCUCCAUGUAUUGCCAAUCACUAAGAAACAACAUAUUCUUAUUAAUUAUAUCCUCUAAUGGAGAGAACUCAUUGUCUCAGUAAGAUCACUGUGUCAUUAACCCACAGCAUGCUGAUUUGCUUGGUUGCUGCAGCAAGCAAAAAUAUUACCACAGAUCAAAAAUCUCUUCUUGCCCCAAAAGAUCACAUAACUUAUGCUCCAACUAAUCUUUUGACCCAAAAUUGGACCUCAAAUACGUCUGUUUGUACGGGGAUUAGCAUCCCUUGUGAUGUCAAUAGCCAUGAAGUCGCAGCCUUGGAUAUUUCUCAAUUCAAUCUACAAGGCACCAUUAUUCCAAACACAACUGGUAAUUUAAGAAACCUUAAGUGGCUCGGCUUGGCUUAUAAACUACUUGACAUCUUCAACUUCAAAAUUGAGCUUUCUUUCCUCUUUGGCAAAUUGCAAAAAAUUAAGAAUCUUAGGCUUACUGGAAAUCCACUUGACCGUAUCCUCUCAGGUUCAAUAGGUAAUCUUUCUAUGUCUUAGGAAAGAUUUCACAUCGCCAAUUGCAGCAUUAGUGGCAGAAUUCCUCAAGUAAUCAGCAAUUUAAGCAACUUGUUGGCUGGUGUGCAAAAUUUUAAUAUACUCGCAAACGCAGGAAUCUAGAAAUAGAAUAAUGGUAACGAGGUCAAACCCACAUGGAUUGUUAUAAAAUGACAAAAGAAUAGCUGCUGGUCUAGAGGUGGCUUACUACAUUCAUACAAGAUCGUUUCUUGUUCUCCAAGAUGUGCAUUAUACUAAUAAUGCUAUACAAACUUAUAUACUGAUCUUAUCCUCUAGAUCUGUUCAGGCUGAGUGAUCUCUCACAUUUGCCAUAUCAGAAGAUUACAUGCCAGUAAUGUCAUGUGAUGACCUGUUGCUUGGUGAUGUCGAAUGCCUGGCCUUUACUUCUCUGAGCAAAUUGAUCAAACAAUCUGUUCAUUUUAUCGAACACCUUCACCAACUAACAUUUAAUUUACUUUUGAUGGUUUUUAAGUGCAUUUAAUGAUUAUUUUUGCUCCAACUUCAGAUAAACCAAACGCUAGUAUAUUAGAAGAAGAAGUUAACUGGCAGCUAACCAGGUCAAAAUAGCGACUCUAUAUAAAAAAUAUAUAUAUAAAAUAAAAAAUAAAAAAUGGGACUUUAUUUAAUUAAUUGUUGGUCUAAAGCUGUUGGUAUCCGUUGGCCACGUUUCUGAAGAGUCAUCUCAAAUCAAAAUUUUUAACGAACAAAGAACUUUGCUUUUUUCCAUUGUUCACAUUGCUGCUGGCUGCCACCCGUGAGAUAAAAGUGCUACAAUCCAAAAUGUUCCACCAUUAUUUAUUCUAAUUUUAAUUUUCCAAUGGAAAAAAUUACAUAAUUAAAAUGGCUUCUAAUAUCAUUUCCACAUCUCAAUAUGUGUCACUAUCAGAAGGUUGUUUUCAUGAUUCAUUGUAAAUUUGGAUUACAGUACCUGUACUUUCUGAUGGUUCAUUAUUUAUUCUCAGGAAUCGAGUCUCCUUACAUUACCAAACUAAUAACAACCAGCAAUCUUUUAUCCUUUCACGGUGAGAAAUCACAGUCUUCGUAUGAUCGCAGUGCCAUUAACCCACUGCCUGCUUCUUUACUUGGUUGUUGCAGUAGCAGCAGCAAGCAACAUUACCACAGGCCAACAAGCUCUUCUUGCCCUGAAAGCUCAUAUAAGUUAUGAUCCAACUAAUCUUUUGGCUCAAAAUUCGACCUCAAAUACCUCUGUUUGUAACUGGAUAGGCAUUACUUGUAAUGUCAAUAGCCAUAGAGUUACAGCCUUGAAUAUUUCCAGCUUGAAUCUACAAGGUACCAUCCCCCCUCAACUUGGAAACCUUUCUUCACUGACAACACUUAAUCUUAGUCAUAACAAGCUUUCCGGCGACAUUCCCCCCUCCAUCUUCACCAUGCAUAAGCUGAAAUUUCUUGAUUUCAGUGAUAAUCAGCUCUCUGGUUCUUUGUCCUCCGUCACCUUCAACUUGUCUUCAGUAUUAGAUAUUCGUUUGGAUAGUGACAAACUCUCUGGUGAACUCCCAGUAAAUAUUUGCAAUUAUCUUCACUAUUUAAAAGUCCUUUUUUUGGCCAAAAACAUGUUUCACGGUCAAAUACCACUGGCUUUAUCCAAGUGCAAACGGCUACAACUGUUAAAUUUGGGGUUCAAUAAAUUAUCAGGAGCCAUACCGAAAGAAAUCAGCAACUUGACUAUACUUCGAAAGAUAUCUCUCAGAAAUAAUAAACUUCGCGGUAUAAAUGUUUAUAAUAUAUACUUUGUAAAUGCUCUUAUUAAUCAUUCUUAAACUUUCUUAGACACUUUUGUCUAAAUAAAUUUCGUAAGAGAGUUUUUUGCAUCUCUGUUAAUUUUGCAGAUGAGAUACCUCACGAAAUUGGGUAUCUUCCAAAUCUAGAGAAUUUGGUGCUUGGAUUCAACAACCUAGUAGGCGUUGCACCUGCUGCAAUCUUCAACAUGUCAACAGUGAAAGAAAUUUACCGGUUAGAUAACUCUCUCUCGGGAAGUUUUUCAUCAGGAAUAGACCUUUCACUUCCUGAACAGAUUUUCUGGAACCAUUCCUAGUUUCAUCACCAACGCAUCUAAACUUGUAUAUCUAGAUAUGGGAACAAACUCUUUUUCGGGCAUUAUUCCGAACACAAUUGGUAAUAAUCUAAGAAAACUUGACUGGCUCGACUUAACAUACAAUUGCUUGACAUCUUUAACUCUAGAAUUGAGUAGUACUAGGUUGUUAAAUGACGGUAUCUUGUCAUCACAAGGAACACUAGGAAGAUUUUCAUACCAAGAUCUUUUUCGUGCAACAGAUAAAUUUAGUAAAGACAAUCUAAUUGACAUAGGAAGUUUUGGUUCUGUUUAUCGAGGAAGACUUCGUGAUGGAAUUGAGGUUGCAAUAAAAGUGUUUCACCAGAAUUUGUGCAAUGGAAUUGAUGAGUUUUGAGGCUGAAUGUGAAGUGAUGAAAAAUAUUCGUCAUCGAAAUCUUGUCAAAAUAAUCAGUAGUUGUUCGAACGAAGAUUUCAAAGCAUUAGUUCUAUAAUAUAUGCCCAAUGGGAGAUUGGAGGAUUGCUUGCAUUCUACCAAUUGUUCGUUAAAUAUUUUUGGCAGGUUGAACAUAAUGAUAGAUGUUGCAUCGGCUUUGGAAUAUCUCCACUUCAAUCAUUCAACUCCUAUCAUUCAUUGCGAUUUAAAGCCUAGUAAUGUAUUGUUAGAUGAAAAUAUGGUUGCUCAUUUGAGAUUUUGGAAUUGGAAGGCUCUUAACUGGAGACAAAUCAAUGAUACAAACAGAAACACUUGCCACAAUUGGUUAUAUGGCACCAGGUUUGCUCUGAAACAAUUUUUUUUUUUUUUUUUUUGGGUUUUCAUUUACACUUUCCAAAUUAUUAUUUUUCCAUGAUCCUUCUAUCCUAAUGUUGUUGAUUAUUUAUCUAAUGAUAAAAUCAAUUUGGUUGAUAGAAUAUGGCAUAGAAGGACGAGUAUCUACUAGAAGUGAUGUUUAUAGCUAUGGAAUUAUGUUAAUAGAAACAUUUACCAGGAAGAAACCCACAGAUGAAAUGUUUACAACAGAAUUGAGCUUGAAGCUUUGGGUUAACAACUUGCUACCUGCUUCAUUGAUGGAAGUUGUGGACAAAACUUUUUAAGUAGGGAAGAAGAAGAUUUUACUGUGAAGGAGCAGUGUGUGUUAUCAAUCCUGAGUUUAGCUAUGAAGUGUGUGAUGGAAAUGCCAGAAAAAAGGAUCAAUGCAAUAGAUAUUGUAACUAAAAUAUUGAAAAUAAGAGAUGUAUUGAGUAAAUGGUUAGCAAAUUUAGGUUAAUCUCAUUUCUUGGCAUUGAAACUUUAACUUGAAUCAAUAUAUACUUAAUUUGAAUCUUUGUAUGAGUGUAAGAAUAUGAUAUAUUUUCCUUUGAUUUUUUUUUUUGAGACAAACAUCGUAGCUAUCUUGUUUCAAAUUAAUUUUAUGCUUUUUUUUUCUUUUUCUAAGAUCAUGCCUAAGAGCCGUAGGAAGAUCAGCUACAAAUUCAAAGCCGGCUAAGGCAUUUGACAAUGGAGAGAUUGUUAGUUUUUUCUCCAUUGAAAUUAAUAUAUAUCACCUAUCCCAACUAUUUUCAUAAUGUCUAAUAACCUCCUGGCACCAUAAUUUUACCAUAUAACCCUUAUUUUUAAAUGCACUUUUAUUUAUAUUAAUAUUAAUUAAAUAAAUCAUAUGAGUUGGAAUUAAAAUUAAAAAAUUAAAGACCAAGAAUAAGAAAUAUACGUUUUAGUGUGCUUAAAAAAUUAAUAUUAAAAUAUUUUUUUUUUGUACUUUUUAUUGUCCAACCAAUGUUGACAUUUGCCUAUAUCAGGUUUUUUAUGUGUACAGUGCAGGUUCAACUUAAGCCAUUAAUAGAACAACUUGAGAGAGCAAAAGUAUUGCAAGUUCUUGAUUUUGAAAUCUCCAAGCAUAGGAAGCCAAAGCAUCUGCUUCUUCUGGGCAUGCUGCAAUGCUGGUUCUAGUUCGAACGUGACCUCUCAGUCAUCUCAAGAAGGGCUAUUCAUUGGGGACAUCGAGGUAACUUUACCCCACCCGGAGGUUUGAUAAUUCAACUUUUUUAAUAGAUUUGUCUAAUACAUUCAAUUUGAUUUUAUUAUGUACAUGUUUGGUUAAUUACCGUGUUCUGUUAAGUUCAAGUCCAGUUGCAAGUCCCAUUUGGUUUUGCAUUGUGUUCGUUCCGCCACUGAAUCCUUCAUAAAAUAGUUUAAGGUUUGGAAGUUGGUUGGAUAAAUAGUGCUAUAAUGGUAGUUACUUUCUUUUAUUUCGUUUGACUUUUCGCUAGUGUAUCACUCCUAGCAUAUAAUUAAUCAAUUCUUCCAGGCAUACCAUGACUUGAUUGUGAUGCUGUGGAUUAUCUAGGACCAUAAGCAUUUGUGUGUUAAUGUAUUAAACUUUUGCCAUACCUUUAACCAAUCUCAUAUGCAAGUAAAUAUGAUCACUUAGAUCAAAUUUCAGUUUAGACUUGAAUUGAAGUUUUAGUGUCCUGUAUGACUGGUCUUUCUCAAUUUUAUCAAACAUAUGUUUCCUUCUGAAAAUAUUAAAGUGGAUUUGAUAGUUUAAGCAAUUUGUGGUUGGAUUUUGGCAGUUUGAAGUUGUAAUUCUGGUACCAAUCAAGACGAGGAAGUGGAUGCCAAGUGUGAAACAACAAGUGGGCAUCUGAAAGUCACGCCACAUUGGAUGAUCCCACAAAAAAUGAAUCUUACAGAGGAACAACAUGGACAGAUUAAGCAGGAGCUAUAAAUGGAUAAAAUUUGAGCAGCUGGAGGAUCCAUAGAUGCCAAUAAACAACCGGAUUAUUCGAACGGACGUACCUCUAAUGGUCUAUCUGGAAAGUCCAGCGGGCAUGAAGUCUAAACGUGAAGUGGAUGAGGAGGAAGAUGAUACUAAUUCUAGAAACUUCAAGAGCUUUCAUUCUCAUGCUUUAUGAAUUUCUUUCUUGCUUCAGAAUUCAAAUGCAAGCUUUCCCUCUCAGUAUUUCUUCAUUGAGACAUUUUUCUCGAACAGGUUUAUACUUGUGUCAAACAUCUUCUGUUAUAACUAGGAAGCCAGUAAGAUUGUUUUUCAAGUACGUUAAGCGGAAACAAUAGGCAAGGCCUUUUGUCAUUAUAUCUACCACUUGAUUUUUUCUGCCCAAGUACUUACUAUUCAAUUCGUUUGUUCCAAUUUUGUCCCUAAUGAAGUGGUCUUAUAUCCCCACAAACUUUGCUCUUCCAUGAAAGACGAGAUUCUGUGCAAGUGCUAUUGCACUCUUGUUGUCACAUAACAACAGAGGAAUAAUUAAACAUACAUGAAUAUGCACUUUAGUAAGCAAGGAUCUUAACCAGCUGAUCAUUUCUGCUGCUACAUGAGACAGGGCUCUGUCUUAUACUUUUGUACUAGAUUUUGAGACCACCUUUUGCUUCUUGGAGCUACAUGAGAUCAGAUUUCUUGCGGGGUAAAAAAAUUCAUGAAAACCCUCAAGUAUUUAUGACAUUUAUAUAAAAAUAGAGUUUGAUUUUUCUUUCAAGUAUGUUCCUACAUUAAUCUCUACUUAAAAACUGAAAUAUCAUUUAAAAAAAUAAUUAUUCUUCCACCUUUAAAAUUCAAUAUUAAAGAGUAAUUUGUCAUUUUUAAUUAGAGUUAGAGGCUUGUUUUAUUAUGUAUAUAAAAUAUUUCUUAGGUGCAAGAACCCUCAUUUUUUUGUGCGGAUAUACUAUUAAACCAUGCAGUUUAAAAGUUGAUUAAAAUGAAUGGUGUAAUAGUGUGUCCAUAUAAAAAAAAAAAAAACAUAAUAAGGGCAUUGGCAUUAAAGAACAUAUAUAUUAUCCCAAUUAGGGAUCCCUAACCAUAUUAAAGUCAGGGGACAAGUUAAAAACAAAAAACAAAAACUUCAAUGUAUUUUGUCAUAUAAUGUAUUAAAAUCUGUAUUUUCUUUUAUCUUUUAGUUUAUCCCUAUUUUAAUAUGGUUAAAGAUUCGUAAUUGGAAACCCACUCUAAUUAUCUAUGUAUUUCUUAUUUUUAAUACAUUCGCACAAAUAUUUAUAUACAAUAAAUGUAUUACUUAGCCCUGCCUGAUAAAAGAUCCCGGGUCCGGCUCUGAAGGAAGAUGCAAUAUCCUCCUGCUGACGCUUCAUUAACCUUUUUCCUUUCAUUUUAAACUUUCUGAAUUAUUGCCUUUCGUAAUUCUCAUAUCAUGCAUUGAGUAUUUAUCUAACUAUGAAAUUAAUUUGAUUAAUAGAGUAUGGCAUAGAAGGACGGGUAUCUAUUAAAAGUGAUGUCGUUGCGGAAUUGAGCUUGAAGUAAGUUUUGGAUAAAUCUGCCGUAAAGAAGCAAUGUGUGCUGUCUAUCUUGAGUUUUGGAUUAAUCUCCUUAUCAUUUGUUAUCUUACUUAAUUAUAGCACUAUAUGAUAUUAUUAUACACUAUUUACAGUUUUCUGUGUUUUUUUUUUUUUUCUAAUUACUAACAUAUGAAACUCUAUUGCCUGGGAAAUUCAAGGAAUUUUGUUUGUGUAUAAUUAAUCAUUUCUUUUUUGGGAUUAAUUUAUAAUUAAUUUUGCAGAUACCAAGUAUCUAGAAAGAGCAGGACCCAGCAAGACCGGGUAAUAGAUAUAUAGAGAGAGACUUUGCAAUUGGUAAAUAUUAAGAGUGGCAGCAAUUAAAGUUGAUUAAUAUGCUAGUAUAAUAUUAGUAUUGACAUUAGGCAGAGACGGAGACUUUAGUGAAUAUUAUUGCUAUAUGAGUAAUUUUUGUAUAUGAGCGUGGCUAAUUACAAUUUCCAAAUCUCUGCGGGUUACUGAAAAUUUAAGUGCCUUGCAUAUGACUAUUAACCCAGUUUUUCAUGCUCGCUCGAAGCAUAUUGAAUUAGAUUAUCACUUCAUUUGAGAAAAAGGUUGCUGAUGGUGCCUUGGUUACGAAGUUUGUCCCUUCUUCGUUACAAAUUGCAGAUGUUUUUACUAAGGCUUUGUCAAAAGCCAUGUUCCGCAAUUUCAGAUACAAGCUUGGCGUUCAUCAAAUGUCACUUGCCAGCUUGAGGGGGGAUGUUAAGCAAGCUGACCAAGAUUACUAAAAGGAAAGUCAUCAACGGUCAAGUCAACAACGGGUUUAUCACUCCACACAACUUGCUCACGUCAAAGCUAUUUGUCAAGGAAUAUCUCCAGCACGAUUUUUGCACUUGAAUGCCAAUAUCAUGUAGGAAUAUUUCAUUCCUAUUUUAUAAAGAUAUUGUGCAAUAGUUUAGGAAGUAUUCACUUAUUUUCCUUUAAUAUUAUUAAGCCUUUUAACGGCUACUUUGUCUUUAUUUUGUAUAAAUAAUUCUGUAAAUUUCAUUAAAAAUAUAGAACAAGAAUUAUACUCUUCAUAGAAUUUCUUUCACUAAAUUCAUCAGCCUCUUGAACCCUCUCCUGAGGGCACCUUCUGUCCUCUGUUUUCUGUUACCAUACACUAACAGACAAAAGCAUUCAGAAUGACAACUGGGACAUAUAUAAGAGUGAAAUAAUUGAAAAAUUAUGCUUUUUUGUUUGUCAUGUUAAAAUCGUAAAGUGCGUAAGUACUAUGAAAGAGAUUAGUUUACGGAAACUGAAGCCAAGGGUUAAAAAAAAAAAAGGUGCAAAGAGAAUAAAGGGCAACGCUUAUGUAAAGAGACAUAAUUGUAUUGGUAGCACAAUGUCACGUUCAUACAGGGAUCAAGCAUAUUAUUUACAGGUGGUAAGGGCUAAGAAUUGAUGUAGCUAGAAUACAAAGGUGAUAAGGUAUGUUGUGCACUAUUUAUUUAUUCUACAAUCAAUCUUGACCAUUGAUGCUUGGAUCUCAAUCUUGUCCAUUGAUCUUCUCUGAUCUCGAAAACUUCAAGACCUUUCAAUCUUAUGCCUUAUUAUUGGUGUCUUCCAUGCUGUAGAUUUCAAAUACAAGGUUUCCCGCCAACUUGCCAAGUAUUUGUCCAUUGGUGCAUUUUAUCAAACAGUUUGAUACUUAUACCAAACGCCUUCUGUUUUAACUCCCCCUCUCAAGCUCAACUAUCUGGGAAGACAUUAAUAAACUUGUUUCUCAAGUAUAUGUAUCUGAAAAUGAAAUUUUAAAAAUUAUAUUCGGACUCUACAUUUUCUAAUGAACAUUGGUUUGGCUUAUAAGCUUAUUAUACUCAGGCUUGGUGGGAUUAUCGGUCGGUAGAUGACCGAGUGUUAGAGCUUUCGAAUUUAUGCCAAUUAAAAAAAAAAAAAAAAGAAUCUACAUAAAGUUUCAACUAGGCUACUACCACAAUAAACAUUUGGAUCAACUAUUAUUGAAACCUUAUUGAGAAGUGGGACAUGUCGCAUACCAAUGCACUGACAUAUCUUCAAAUAGUGGUAACUCCACACAGCAUGGCACAAUAAAUUAAGAGUUAUAUAGAUAAAAUCUUUCACUCUUUGGUAAUCAUCAAUUUCACUAUUAUUCGGUUUAUUAUGUUUGUUUCUUUCAGUAUGUUAAAAGAUUAUGUUGUGAAUUUGUUUUACAGGCUGCCCGUAAGUCUGCGCCCACCACCGGUGGUGUUAAGAAGCCUCAUCGUUACCGUCCUGGAACCGUCGCCCUUCGGUUUGUUCUCUAAUUUAAAUUUCCGUUGUAUAGCUUUAGUUGUUCUUGUCUAAUUUUGUGGGUAAUUUUGUAUAGAGAAAUUCGCAAGUACCAGAAGAGUACCGAACUGCUUAUCAGGAAACUCCCAUUCCAGGGACUUGUUCGUGAAAUUGCUCAGGACUUCAAGGUACCUUGUUAUCGUUUUGGUUGUUAUCUUUGUUAUCUUUAAAUUGGGUUCCCAAGAUUUCUUGAUAGACGGUUAAUGGCUAUUUUGUUGUCUGUUUUGCAGACUGAUCUGCGUUUCCAGAGCCAUGCAGUGCUGGCCCUGCAGGAGGCAGCCGAGGCUUAGGGCAUCUCCAAUGUAGCACUAAACCUAACACCAAAUCAUCUUUUACAUCAUUUUUGGUGUAAAAUGCUUCUCCAAUGUAACACCAAAAUGGUGCAAUGAAUAGUAUUGCACCAAAUAUGGUGCAAUACUAUUCAUUUGCACCAUAUUUGGUGCUAGGAAAAAAAGUCUCAAGUAUCCUUAUUACUUUAUCUUAUUUACAUAUAUGUCAUAUUUUAUAUAAUAUUUUAAGUUAUUAUUAUUAUUGUUAUUUUUUAAUUUCAUUUUUUAAUUUUUGAAUAUUUUAAAUAAAAAAUAUUCAACACAAAAAUUUAUAAUAAAAAUAAAAUGCCAAUAACAUUAAUUACUAGAUUACAUAUUACAAAAUUAAAAAUACAAAAUUAAAUUAACACAAAUUAAAAAAGCUACUACUACUAGCAUAAAUUAAAACAAUUAUUUAGUAAUGUGGGAGAUCAUUAUUAGAUUCUCCAAUAUCAUCAAAAUAUUUUUCUAUAUUAAUGUAAUGUUUAAUUUUCAUAAUGCACUUAUUAUUGUUAUUGUAUUUUUCUAUAUUAAUGUAAUGUUUAAUUUUUAUAAUGUACUAAUUUAGUUAAUUAAAUGCAAUAUUUAUUAAUUUUCUAUUUUUUUGUUAAUCGAUAUAAAAUUACUUAUUACUUAAUUAUCUAUAUUAAUAGUAAUAUUUAUUGUGUUAAUUGAAUUAAUUCUUGAGAAUUAAAAGAAUAAAAAGAAAAAUAUUCUUUUUGAUGUAAAAUUUGGUGUAAAUGGGUUGGAGAUGAAAUAAUAAUUUAGUGUGAAAAAGGUUCAUUUUUAGUGUUGGUGUUACACCAAAAUGAUGUUAUGCAUUGGAGAUGGCCUUACCUCGUCGGUCACUUUGAGGACACCAAUUGAAUGACUGGAAAGGGAAGGGGGAAGUUGUAAUGUGUUAAUUUGUAUGUGGGGUUCGUGGGGACGACGUCGCUUUUUCUUAGAUAUUUUUUUUCUUUUUCCUCCCUUAAAAACAGUGAAAUUACUUAUACUGGUUUUUCUAUUUUACAUUUUGAAUAUUAUUAAUUAAUAUAAUUUAAGAUAACAAUCAGGGAUAAAACAAUCAUUUUUUAUUCAAGAUCAUUUUAUCAAUAUUCUGUUAAAUAUUCUCACAAUUUAACUUUAUCCUUAACAAAAAUUUAACUUUUUUUUUUAAACUAACGGAACCAAAUUCUAUAUAUAAAUGUAUAGUACGCAUUAAUAAAUAAAUAAAACUUUGACGACCGGAGGGAAUGAAUAAAUAAAUAGAUAAAACUUUCGAAGCUCGUGAAUGUGCUAUUUUGGUUUUUUUUUUUUAGUAAUUGUUUAAUUGAAAAAAGAAAGCUUCGGGAUUUAUUUUUGACGGGACGGCUGAGAUUUGUUGACCUUCUAGAGAAUGAGAACAGAUUUUCAAUUUGUUGAUUAGUAUUCCUACAGUCCAGCCCAAAAGUACCGGCUCAAUGAGUUCGGUCAUGUUUGGUAACAGGUAUCCAUCACUUUCAAAAUCCGGUCCUACCAACGUAUCGGCUUUUACUGGCUGUCGUAUCAUCCGUGAAUGCAUGGGAGAGUGAGACUACUCCAAUCUCCACGACAGAAAUUUUAGAAUAUAUCUAUUGUAUUAUAAUUAAUUGAUACAUAUAUGACAUGUAUAAUUGAGUAUAAUAUAACCACUAUUUAUAUAAUAAUUUAUAAAAUAAAUGCACACAUAUUAUGACAUUAUUUACUUGUUAUAUGGAUAAUAAAUGCACACAUGUCAUCAGUCUUUGGUAAACAAAUUCACAAUAUAUAUUAAUCUUUGUGGAAGCUAUGUCCAAAAAAUAAAUAUUGUAAAAAAAUUUUAAUUAAUAAUUUUUUGGACAUUAAUAAAAAAAAUUAAUAUAUUAACUCCUCAUGGAGUAUUCAAAACAAUUGAUAUAAAUUUUGUUGUUUCUAUUUUACUUUUUUGGUUUAAAUUGACAAUUUAAUUUUUCUUUUUAUUAAUGUCCAAUAAAAAAGAAAUAUUAUUGUACGAGUGUAAUACUGUAAAAACAAGUCAAAAAGAAUAAAAAGUAACAAUUAGGGUGUCAAUACUUAACAACAAAGAUGUUUUGAGAUAUUUUUAAAAAUAUAAGGAUUAAACGAGAUUUUACCAUUAUUAAUUAUAGUCAUCUUUUUAUAAAUUACAAUUAGAGGAAGUUGGUUAAUGUUGUUGACACGCACGCACACAUAAAGAUUUAUUGGAAGUGCUUAUGCCGACUCGAAGUUGUUGGGAAUUAAUGCAUGUAUUGAUUUAUUGGGAGUGUUUAAAUGAUUUUGUGAUUUACUUGAUUGAUUGAAUAUUGUUUGAUUGCUUCAUAUCCAUUCUACAAAGUUUAUUUCUUUGUGAAAUUUCAACGACAUAUUUUUAAAAAAUAAUAAUAAUAAGGGUGUUCUAAAUCAUUUUAAAAAAUAUAUGGACUUAUUAGAAUUAAUUACUAGGUAAUUAACUUGAUCUGUACAGGGUGAAACAACAUUUAUCCUAAUUGUAUCAUGACAAAUACUUUUCCGAUUAGAAUUAGGAAACCAUAGGUUUAUUGAAUUAUUUUUUUUUAUUUUCGUUUGGAGAAACGGAUUAGAGAAUUAGAAAACAAUCCUAAUGAUAUAAUUAUCAGGUUUAAAACAGUGCAUAAACAGUGAAAAGCUAAUUAGUCUGUAGAGUAAUUUGCUAAUUGUUAUCUCCUCUCUAUGCGCGCUGAAUAAUUUGUUGCAUGCAAACUUUUUAUUUUAUGCAAAUCGUACUUACUGUAACAUUGGAAUUGAUGUAUAAGCAAAAUUACAAUAAUAUUUAUGUCAAUAAAAAUAGUUUUUUUUUCCUUUUUAAAUAAACACAACGCGAUGUUGCUCUGCUCUACAUUUUUGCUAUCUCUUUAUUCUUUUUUUUUUUUUGGGCUUCUUAAAGCCUCAAACUUUGAUAACCAAAACUUCAUCGACCUAUGAAAAAAUCUGCAGAUUAGUUUUUAUUAUCGGAAUAAUUGUUUGAGAAUACGAAAACAAAAUAUAAAAUAAGAAAAUAGGGGGUUAAAUUAGAGGGGGAAAAAAAGGCAUGUUCUAUCGAUUACUAUAGUUUAAGGGAAAAAAAAUCAAUUGGGGAUUUUUUUUCUUUAAUUUUUGUUUUACUUGAUGGAGAUUUCUCCUUAGUCCUUACAGUUUUAAGUUUGGAUGCCGUAGGGUUAGUAAUUUAGUACUUCCUUUGCAAGCUGAGUGUAAGAAUGAAAAUCUUUAAAGAAAUUAAAAAAGAAAAAAAUAAAAAAAGCAUACCAAUAGGCAAUUAUAAAUAACCAUAAAUAAACAUAAACAAAAUGUUUAUGAAGUAAAUUACACAUGCACAUAUUAUUUUCUUGUUUUAUUUCUUACUUGUCUAUUUUAUUUGCUGCUUGAUAACCCUUAAAUACUAAUCUAGUACUGCUAAUUUCAGACACAAAAUGUUUAACUCUAGGCUGCAGUUUUACUCAAAAUGAUGACCACUGGCUUCGCACCAUUUAACCAGCAUACAUUUCUACAAAGGGAAAAGGACAUUCAACCCCCCAACGUUUAGGAAAAUGGACAAAAAACCCUUCAACGUUUCAAAAAGGACUUAUAACCCUCUUUCUGUUAACAAACACCGUUUGUUUUAACAGUAAAUUUAUUUUUAAUUUUUAAUUACUAUUAUACCCUUAUAAUAAAAAAAUUAAUGUAUUAAUUUGAGAUAUAUCACAAUUAAUAAUUUUUUAAAAGCUUAAAAUUAAGAUACAAUUAUUUUUUUGCCAAAAUUAUUUACUAUAAAUUAUACCUUUCUAACAAUAAUAAUAUCGUUUUGAUUCCUCAAAGAAAAAGAGUUUAAUCAAAUUUCGUUUUAUUAGUAAUAAUCACAUAUGAAAGAUUUUAUCAUUAGAAACGUAUAAUUUAUAGCAAAUAAUUUGGGCAAAAAUGUAAUUGUAUCUCAAUUUUUAGUUUUAAAAAAAUUAUUAAUUGUGACAUGUCUCAAAUCAAUAUAUUAAUUUAUAUUUAUUAUAAGGGUAUAAUAGUAAUUAAAAAUUAAAAAUAAAUUUACUGUUAAAACAAACGGUAUUUAUUAACGGAAAGAGGGUUAUAAGUCCUUUUUAAAAUAUUGAGGGGUUUUUUGUCCCUUUUCCUAAACGUUGGGGGGUUGAACGUCCUUUUCCCUUCUACAAAUUGAACAAGGCUAUUAAUUUUCAUUAUUAUUUUUUAUUUAUUUAUAAAUUACUAUUUUAAUUUUCACUUUUUAUUGGGUUGUUUAACGGAUUAGUGAAGUUGGUGGUCGUGAUGCACUCACAAGGUACAAUUUUAUUUUAUAAUUUCGAAUUUGUAUUUUAAAAUGCAGGAACAUUAUGUAUACAUAAUUAUUGAUUUUCGUAUGUGGAUGUUUUGAAAUAUUGCUAAAAGACCAAACUUUAAUAAACUAUUUUUCAUCUUUUUUUUCCUAAAGUUUGAGUGAUAUCCGCAUUUUAAAUUCAUCUGGAACAAAAGCUAAUGUAUGCACAAAAUUCUUUUAUUUUUUCCGAGAAAAAUGGGUAAGAGAAGAAGAUUUUUCUCUUGAAAAAGAAAAACUAAUACGAUGCAAGCAUAGGAAAGAGGUCAAUGUUUUGGAUUAGAAUUUAGUAUUGAGCUGAAUUUUAUACUAAACUCUUUUAUAGUACUGCGAUUAAUAAACUCAUGAUUUGCUUUUGCUUUUACUUCAAGUGAAAGAAAGAGGAAACCUUUUGUUUUUUGUUUGAUUCUUGACUAUAGAUGUUACCUAUAUAGAGAGUUGAGGUAGCUACCUUAAGUGAUGGUGAUAAAAAGAUUAAGCAGCGCACACAAUCUUACUGUCGUCCAGACCAUCCAGCUGUGAUGACUCUAGUUUUUUGGGUUACAUUAGCUUUAGUGGAAAGGAGGGCCAAUUUAACAAAGACUAGAUUUGGUGGCUUACUAUAAUGCUUAUUCUCAGGGAAUCUAAUGUUAUAAGAUGAUUUAAUGAUCUUCUAUGAUUGUGAGUAGUAUAGUAUAAUUGAAAAGAGCCUGGGCUCCUAUGAUGAAUAUAUAAUAGUAACACAGUACUGUGAUUGAAAAAAACACAGUUACAAUAAACUCUUCAUUUAUUCAUUGCGGAGAUUGAAUGGCAAAGAGAGAAUAAAAUGAAGCAGAGGAAUCUCAUUGCCAGUAAAAUUGAUCCUCUUUAAUGUUAUAUGGCACAGGUGUGUGUACAGCAAGAGCAAGUUACUUGCAGUUUUUAUUGUAAAAUAUACAGGUUAUGACCAUGAUCAUUGUAGUUAGGUUUUGAUGAUUUUAGAUGCUUUUUUUUUAUUUUUUUAAAUUGUGACACCUUUGAUUUAUGGUAGUUUUGCAGAAGAAAAAAAUAUAUAUAAAAAUUAGGAGGGAUGAGUUAACUAACGAUUGCAAUCAUUACAGUAAUGUUGAUGAGUGAUACAUCAUUUGAAAUUUACUUGUCAGUUGCUGAAAUGAUGAAAAAAAACAAUAAACAAUAGCAGUAAUAUUUUUAUGGAAAUUCUUGGUUUUUAUGGAAAUACUCUUGCUGAAAUUCUAAUUUUGACUUUCAACUCUUGGUUUUUAUGGAAAGUAAAAUGACUUGUUUGUUAUAUUCAUACAACCCACUCUACAUAAUGAUUUCAUUUUAAUAAAUGGUUGAUGAUCUCCACAGAAAAACUACUUCAAUUCUUUUUUUUUUUAUUUAACUUUUUGGUUGUUGAAAAUAGCCUUAAUUUUCAAAUCAUUGGAGAAAGAGUAAAGAACAUUUAACAAAUUUAUGUGCCAAAAAUAAAGGAGAAAUUGAAGAGAAAGGGUGCUUGCAGAAGUGGGUGCAAAGAUAAAUCAGUCCAUAAGAAUUAUUGUGGUUAUUAAUUUUUUGGCAAUAUAAAAAUUUUUCAGCAAAUAAAAAUUGAAUUUUCCGAUUUACUAAAAAAUCAAUUAAAAACUUCGGCGAUAGCAUUUUUUAUGGGUGCAUGUACCCUCCCUUUAAAAAAAAAUAAUAAUUAAUACUUAAUAUAGUAUUAAAUACGAAAAUAUCAAUAUUUGACUACACAAAUUUAUAUCAUUAGGUCCUUAAAAUUUAAAAUUGAAGACACAAAAUGAAAUAUAUAUAAAUUUCAUUCUCAUAGGAAAGGAUCCUCUUAUAAUCUUAAAAUAUUUGAGCUUUGAAAGAUUUUUUAAAACAAAUGUACUUUUAUUUUUGUACAAUCAAUAAUUACUUAUUUAUUAUAUUUUUAUUCAUUAACUAUCAAUCAUGUGAGUAUAUCUACUCAGAAAUAUCAUAUCAAGGGAGAAUCUUGAUCCCACGCACACGCAAAUAUGUUAAUUUCUAUACGCUUCACUUACCUGUAGAAUCAAUUAUCUAAAAUGCAAGUUUGUGGCCACAAAAAAAGCCAAAGAAAGAAGAUAAUAACAAUUGACUUGUAUAUUAUACUCAUACAAUCCACUCGACAUAAUGAUAUCAUUUUAAUAAGGCAAUGGCUGAUGAUCUCCAUUGAAAAACUAAUUCAAUUUUUUGCUUCAUUUAACUUGUUGGUUGUUGAAAAUAACCUUAAUUAUCAAAUAAUUGGAGAAAGAGUAAAGAACAUUUAACAAAUUUAUGUGCAAAAAAAAAAAAAAGAAAGGAGAAGUUGAAGAGAAAGGGUGCUUGCAGAAGUGGGUGUCAAAGAAAAAUCAGUCCAUAAUAAUUAUUGCCGUUAUUUUUUGGCAAUAUAAAAUUUUUAUAGCAAGUAAAAAUUAAUUUUUUUCCAAUUUACUAAAAACUUCUGCGACAGCAUUUUUUAUGGGUGCUUAUACCAUCCCUUUAAAAAAAAUAAUAAUAAUUUAAUGCUUAAUAUAGUAUUAAAUACGAAAAUAUCAAUAUUUGACUACUCAAAUUUAUAUCAUUAGGUCCUUAAAAUUUAAAAUUGAAGAUACGAAAGGAAAUAUAUAUAAAUUUCAUUCUCAUGGAAAGGAUUCUCUUAUAAUCUUAUAAUAUUUGAGUUCUGAUUUUUUUUUUAAACAAAUGUAAUUUUAUUUGUGCACAAUCAGUAUUUACUUAUUUAUUAUAUUUUAAUUUAUUAACUAUCAAUCAUGUAAGUAUAUUUAGUCAGAAAAAUUAUAUCAAGAGAGAAUCCUAAUUUCACGCAAACACAAAUAUAAGACAAAUAUGUCAAUUUCUAUACUAUUCACUUCCUGUAGAAUCAAUUAUCUAAAAUGCAAGUUUGUGGCUACAGAAAACUCGCCAAAGAAAGAAGAUAAUAACAAUUGAGCAUUGAUAGCAAAACUAAUGCAUCAUUUUAUUCUUGACUUGAUGAGAUGGUGGCAUUACAAAAAAAACAAGUACCUUAAUUGACGGGCACUGAGUGAUGUGAAUACUACCAGCCAGUUCAUCUCUUCCAGUCUUGCUUAAUCACAAUCACAAACACCACGAGAUCGACAUUUGCAUUAUAUAUAUCUUCAGCAAUCGAAACACCUUGCAUUACCAAAUUAACCAGUAACAAACAAAGCAAUCUUUCAUGGAGAGAAACCUUAGUCUCAGUAUGAUCACUGUGUCAUUAACCCACUGCCUGCUUCUUUGCUUGGUUGUUGCAGCAGCAGCAGCAGCAAGCAACAAUAUUACCACAGACCAACAAGCUCUUCUUGCCCUGAAAGAUCAUAUAACUUAUGAUCCAACCAACCUUUUUGCCCAUAAUUGGACCUCGAAUACCUCUGUUUGUACCUGGAUUGGCAUCACUUGUGAUGUCAAUAGCCAUAGAGUCACAGCCUUAGAUAUUUCUCAAUUCAAUCUACAAGGCACCAUCCCUCCUCAACUCGGAAACCUCUCUUCACUCACAACGCUUAAUCUUAGUCAUAACAGGCUUUCUGGAAACGUUCCCUCCUCCAUCUACACAAUGCAUACGCUAAAAUUUCUUGACUUCACUGAUAACCAGCUCUCUGGUUCAGUGUCUUCCUUCGUCUUCAACAUGUCUUCAAUAGUAGACAUUCGUUUGACCAAUAACAGACUUUCUGGUGAGCUUCCGAAAACUAUUUGCAACUAUCUUCCUCAUUUGAAAGCCCUUUUUUUGGACAAAAACAUGUUUCAUGGCAAAUUUCCUUCUGCUUUAUCAAAGUGCAAACAACUGCAACAAUUAAAUUUGCAGUUCAAUAAUUUAUCCGGUGCAAUACCAAAAGAAAUCGGCAACUUGACUAUGCUCAAAUGGAUAGACCUCGGCUACAACAAACUCCACGGUAUGUCCAUAAUAAUAUGUAAAUAUUUUAAUUUCUCACUUGUUAUUUUUCUUGAAUACUUUAGAUAAGAUUUGUAAGGGAGAUUUUUUUGCAUCUGUGUUAAUUUGCUAGGUGAGAUACCCCACGAAAUCGCUCAUCUUCGAAAUCUAGAGGAUUUAGUGCUUGGAAUGAACAACCUAGUUGGUGUGGUAUCAGCUACAAUCUUCAACAUGUCAACACUGAAGGUAAUUAUUCUCGCAAAUAACUCUCUCUCCGGAAGUCUUCCAUCAAGAAUAGACCUUUCACUUCCAACUAUUGAGCAUCUUAGCUUGGCACUUAAUAGAUUUUCUGGAACCAUUCCUAGUUCCAUCACCAAUGCUUCUAAGCUCACCUUGCUAGAAUUGGGAGGAAACACAUUUUCAGGCUUUAUUCCAAAUACAGUUGGUAAUUUAAGAAACCUUGAGAGACUCGGCUUGGCUAAUAACUCCUUGACAUCUUCCACCUCAAGAUUGAGUUUUCUUUCCUCUUUGGCAAAUUGCAAGAAAUUAAGAUCCUUAAACUUAAAUGGAAAUCCACUUGACGGCUUCCUUCCAAGUUCAAUAGGUAAUCUUUCCAUGUCUUUGAAAAUACUUCUCAUCGCCAAUUGCAGUAUUAUUGGCAACAUUCCUCCAGCAAUUAGCAAUUUAAGCAACUUGUUGGCCUUAGUAUUAGACCGCAAUAAAUUGACUGGACCAAUUCCAAUUACAUUCGGCCGACUGCAGAAACUCCAAGGCUUAUAUCUUGCAUCCAAUAAGUUGGUAGGUUCAUUCCCAGAUGAGCUUUGCCAUCUAGCUAGGCUGGCUGAAUUGGUCUUAUUGGGCAAUAAGCUUUCAGGAUCUAUACCUUCAUGCUUAAGUAACCUCACUUCUCUGAGAUCUCUCUACUUAGGGUCCAAUAGGUUUACUUCUGUUAUUCCCUCAACCUUCUGGAGCCUAAAAGACAUCUUGUUCUUUGACUUUUCAUCAAAUUUCUUUGUUGGUACUCUUUCUUUCGACAUAGGUAAUUUGAAGGUGCUUCUAGGAAUAAAUUUAUCAGAAAAUAACUUAUCGGGUGAUAUCCCAGCCACAAUUGGAGGAUUAAAAAACCUUCAAAUUAUGGACCUAGCAUAUAAUAGAUUGGAAGGGCAAAUUCCUGAAUCAUUUGGUGACUUGACAAGUUUGGAGUUUUUGAAUUUGUCAAAUAAUAAAAUCUCUGGGUCUAUUCCAACAUCCAUGGAGAAACUGUUUUUCCUCCGAGUGUUAAAUCUCUCUUUCAAUAAACUAGAAGGUGAGAUUCCUAGUGGAGGAAUUUUUGCCAACUUCACGGCUGAGUCAUUUAUGGGAAAUGAGUUAUUGUGUGGUUUACCAAAUCUUCAAGUCCAACCAUGCAAAGUUAGCAAGCCGAGGAAAGAACAUAAAUCAAGGAAAAAGAUACUUCUCAUUGUGAUUGUUUUGCCAUUGAUUAUUGCUCUAACAAUAGCAAUCACUCUAGCUCUCAAAUCUAAGCGGAUUGAAUGUGGAAAAAGAAGCACAGUGUUGUCAAAUGAUAGUGUCUUGUCAUCACAAGCAACACUAAGAAGAUUUUCAUACUUAGAACUUUUACGAGCAACAGAUAAUUUUGCUGAAAACAACAUAAUUGGCAGAGGAGGUUUUGGUUCUGUUUAUAGAGCAAGACUUGAAGAUGGGAUGAAGAUUGCAAUAAAAGUGUUUCAUCAGCAAUGUACAAGCGCAUUGAAGAGUUUUGAAGUUGAAUGUGAAGUGUUAAAAAAUAUUCGCCAUCGAAACCUUCUCAAAGUUAUCAGCAGUUGUUCGAACCAUGACUUCAAAGCAUUAGUCCUAGAAUACAUGUCCAACGGGAGCUUGGGGGAUUGGCUGCAUUCGAGCAAUUAUGUGCUGAAUAUAUUUCAGAGGUUGAACAUAAUGAUUGACGUUGCAUCAGCUUUAGAAUAUCUCCACUUCGAUCAUUCAACUCCUAUUAUUCAUUGUGACUUAAAGCCUAGUAAUGUAUUGUUGGACGAAAAUAUGGUUGCUCAUUUGAGUGAUUUUGGCAUAGCAAAGCUUUUAAGUGGAGAGGAUGAGUCUACGAUGCGAACAAAAACCCUUGCCACUAUAGGUUAUAUGGCACCAGGUUUGCUUCGAACAACUUUUUUUUUUUAGUUCAUUUUAAAUUUUGCAACUUAUUGAUUUUUACGAUCCUCACAUCAAAAUGUUAUUGAUUAUUUAUCUAAUUGUGAAAUUAAUUUGAUUCAUAGAGUACGGCAUAGAAGGAGAAGUAUCUACAAAAAGUGAUGUUUACAGCUAUGGGAUUAUGUUGAUGGAAACUUUUACCAAGAAAAAACCCACAGAUGAAAUUUUUGUUGCAGAAUUGAGCUUAAAACGUUGGGUUAAUGACUUGCUUCCUACUUCAUUAGUGGAAGUUGUGGACAAAACUCUGCUAAGUGGAGAGGAAAAACAUUUUGCAUCAAAGGAGCAAUGUCUGUUGUCUAUCUUUAGUUUGGCUCUGGAGUGUACAAUGGAAUCACCGGAAAAGAGGAUCAAUGCAAAAGAUAUUGUUACCAGAUUACUCAAGAUAAGAGACACAUUGAGUAAAAGGAUAGGAAACUUAAGUUAAUUUCGUUUGCUUUCAUUGAUAGUUAAUUCGAAUUCAUGUAAUAAGUGUAAGAAUCUUAUAUCUUUUCCUUUGAUAUAUUUUUUUUCUUGAGAAAACUGUUGUAGUCAUGUUGUUUCCAUGGGUAGAGUUGAUUUAGUUCUUCCAAAAAAUGCUACUGAUGACCUUUGUUUUAUACUUUCUCUUUUUUUGCAUGUGUUUAGGUAGAACAGUGGUUUGGCUGCAGGCUAAGAAGUCUAACUACACUAAAAGAAUAUGAUUUAAUUUAUUAAACAAAACUUCAAGUUCAAGAAAAGUAUUUCACUGCCCCCAAUGCUUUGGACACGUACUGGUAGUUUUGUACGUGUCCUCAACUUUUUUUUGGAGCACAAAAUUCGAGUCCCAUGGAGACUCAAACAUUCCUUUCCCACAUCCCGAGCACGCUAAAUUUAUCAGACUGACAACGGGGACAUAUACAAGAGUGAAAUGUUUAGAGCACGCUAAGUUCGAGUGAAAGAGAUUAAUUUACGGAAACUAAAGCCAAGGGUUCAGAAAAAAGUGCAAAGAGAAUAAAGGACAACACUUUUGUGAAGCGACAUUGUUGUAUUGAUAGCACAAUGUCAUAUUCAUACAGAGAUCUAGAAUAUUAUUUACAGCUGGUAAGGGCUAAGAAUUGAUGUAGCUAGAAUACAAAGACGAUAAGGUAUGUUGUGCACUAUUGUUUUAUUCUACGAUCAAUCUUGACCCUUGAUGCUUGGCUCUCAAUCUUGUCCACUGAUCUUCUUUGAUUUUGGACACUUCAAGACCUUUCAGUAUCAUGCCUUGUUAUUGGUGUCUUCCGUGCUGUGGAAUUCAUGUACAAGCUUUCCCGCCGACUUGCCAAGUAUUCGUUCAUUGAUGCAUUUUUAUCAAACAGCUGGGCUACUUAUACCAAACACCGCCUGGUUUAACUCCCCUUCUCUAGCUCAACUAUCUAGGAAGACAAUUAAUUGAGAUAUGAAUCAGAAAAUUAAAUUUUAAAAAUUAUAUUCGGACUCUACAUUUUGUAAUGAACAUUGGUUUGAAUUGUUAUACAUUUAUGCGUACAUAAUUAAUAACCGAUUCUCAAGUGCGGACAUUCAAGAGCACUGCUUAAAGACCAAAUAUUUUGAUUUACUAUUUUUUGACUUACAAUUUUCUUUUAAGUUUUGAUGACGUCCGCAUUUUAAAAUCCUGUGGAACAAAGGCCUGAGGUGCAUAUAAAAUUCUUUUAUAUAAAAUUUGGGGUUCAAUAAAUUAUCGGGAGCCAUACCGAAAGAAAUCGGCAACUUUAUUAUGCUUCGAACGAUAUCUCUCAGAAAUAAUAAACUUCGCGGUAUAAAUGUUUAUAAUAUAUACUUUGUAAAUGCUCUUAUUAAUCAUUCUUAAACUUUCUUAGAGACUUUUGUCUAAAUAAAUUUCGUAAGAGAGUUUUUUGCAUCUCUGUUAAUUUUGCAGAUGAGAUACCUCACGAAAUUGGGUAUCUUCCAAAUCUAGAGAAUUUGGCGCUUGGAUUCAACAACCUGGUAGGUGUUGCACCUGCUGCAAUCUUCAACAUGUCAACAGUGAAAGAAAUUUACCGGUUAGAUAACUCUCUCUCGGGAAGUUUUUCAUCAGGAAUAGACCUUUCACUUCCUGAACAGAUUUUCUGGAACCAUUCCUAGUUUCAUCACCAACGCAUCUAAACUUGUAUAUCUAGAUAUGGGAACAAACUCUUUUUCGGGCAUUAUUCCGAACACAAUUGGUAAUAAUCUAAGAAACCUUGACUGGCUCGACUUAACAUACAAUUGCUUGACAUCUUUAACUCUAGAAUUGAGCUUUCUUUCCUCUUUGACAAAUUGCAAGAAAUUAAGAUUCUUAGGCUUAACAGGCAAUCAACUUGACGGUGUCCUUCCAACUUCAAUAGGUAAUCUUUCUAUGUCUUUGGAAAACAUUUACAUCUCAAAUUGUAGUAUUGGCGGCAGCAUUCCUCAACUAAUCAGCUAUUUAAGCAAUUUGUUGCUCUUAGAUUUAGAAGGCAAUAAGUUGACUGGAUCAAUUCCAGUCACAUUCGGCCGGUUGCAGAAACUCCAAGGUUUAUAUCUUCCAUUUAACAAGUUAGCAGGAUCAAUCCCAGACCAGCUUUGCCAUUUAGCUAGACUGGAUACAUUAGGUUUGGCUGGUAAUAAGUUUUCUGGAUCAAUCCCUUCAUGUUUAGGUAAUCUCACUUCUCCACGGUUUCCCGACUUAGGGUCCAAUAGGCUUACAUCAGUCUUGCCCUCGACUUUUUGGAAUCUAAAAGACAUUUUGUUCUUUGACCUUUCAUCAAAUUCUUUGGAUGGUCCUCUUUCUUUAGACAUAGGAAAUUUAAAGGUUGUGAUAGGUAUAAAUUUAUCACGAAAUAACUUUUCAGGUGAUAUCCCAAGUACAAUUGGAGGUCUAAAAGACUUACAGAAUAUCUCCUUAGCAUGUAAUGGAUUGGAAGGUCUAAUUCCUGAAUCAUUUGGUUACUUGACAGGUUUGGAAAUUUUAGAUUUGUCAAAUAACAAAAUCUUUGGGUUUAUUCCGAUAUCUUUCGAAAAACUCUUGUACCUCAAAAGCUAAAUUUGUCUUUUAACAAACUAGAAGAAGAGAUUCCUAGGGGAGGACCUUUUGCAAAUUUCACAGCUAAGUCAUUCAUGGGAAAUGAGAAAUUGUGUGGUUUACCAAAUCUCCAAUUCCCAAAAUGCAAGCGUCGGACGCGUUGAAAAUCAAAGAAAAAGAUGCUUCUACUUGUGAUUGUCUUGCCAUUGAGUACUGCUCUAAUAAUCGUAAUCCCUCUAGCUCUCAAAUAUAAAUCGAUAAGAGGUGGAAAGAGUAGUACUAGGUUGUUAAAUGAUGUUAUCUUGUCAUAACAAGGAACACUAAGAAGAUUUUCAUACCAAGAUCUUUUUCGUGCAACAGAUAAAUUUAGUAAAGACAAUCUAAUUGACAUAGGAAGUUUUGGUUCUGUUUAUCGAGGAAGACUUCGUGAUGGAAUUGAGGUUGCAAUAAAAGUGUUUCACCAGAAUUUGUGCAAUGGCAUUGAAGAGUUUUGAGGCUGAAUGUGAAGUGAUGAAAAAUAUUCGCCAUCGAAAUCUUGUCUAAAUAAUCAGUAGUUGUUCGAACGAAGAUUCCAAAGCAUUAGUUCUAUAAUAUAUGCCCAAUGGGAGAUUGGAGGAUUGCUUGCAUUCUACCAAUUGUUCGUUAAAUAUUUUUGGCAGGUUGAACAUAAUGAUAGAUGUUGCAUCGGCUUUGGAAUAUCUCCACUUCAAUCAUUCAACUCCUAUCAUUCAUUGCGACUUAAAGCCUAGUAAUGUAUUGUUAGAUGAAAGUAUGGUUGCUCAUUUAGUGAUUUUGGAAUUGGAAGGCUCUUAACUGGAGAUCAAUCAAUGACAUAAACAGAAACACUUGCCACAAUUGAUUAUAUGGAACCAGGUUUGCUCUGAAACAAUUUUUUUUUUUUUGAGUUUUCAUUUAGACUUUCCAAAUUAUUAUUUUUUCCAUGAUCCUUCUAUCCUAAUGUUAUUGAUUAAUUAUCUAAUGAUAAAAUCAACUUGGUUGAUAGAAUAUGGCAUAGAAGGACGAGUGUCUACAUGAAGUGAUGUUUAUAGCUAUGGAAUUAUAUUAAUAGAAAUAUUUACCAGGAAGAAACCCACAGAUGAAAUGUUUACUACAGAAUUGAGCUUGAAGCUUUGGGUUAACAACUUACUACCUGCUUCAUUGAUGGAACUUGUGGACAAAACUCUUUUAAGAAGGGAAGAAGAAGAUUUUACUAUGAAGGAGCAGAGUGUGUUAUCAAUCCUGAGUUUAGCUUUGAAGUGUGUGAUGGAAAUGCCAGAAAAAAAGAUCAAUGCAAUAGAUAUUGUAACUAAACUAUUGAAACUAAGAGACAUACUGAGCAAAGGUUAGCAAAUUUAGAUUAACCUCAUUUCUUGGCAUUGAUAUUUUAACUUGAAUCAAUAUAUACUUAAUUUGAAUCGAUGUAUGAGUGUAAGAAUAUGAUAUAUUUUCCUUUGAUUUGUUUUUUCUUGAGAGAAAUAUCGUAGCUAUCUUGUUUCAAAUUAAUUUUAUGCAUUUUUUUUCUUUUUCUAAGAUCAUGCCUAAGAGCCGUAGGAAGAUCAGCUAAAAAUUCAAAGCCGGCUAAGGCAUUGGAAGAUGGAGAGAUUGUUAGUUUUUUCCCUAUUGAAAUUAAUAUAUAUCACCUAUCCCAACUAUUUUCAUAAUGUGUGAUAACCUCCUGCCACUAUAAUUUUACCAUAUAAUCCUUAUUUUUAAAUACACUUUUAUUCAUAUUAAUAUUAAUUAAAUAAAUCAUAUGAGUUGAAAUUAAAAUUAAAAAAUUAAAUGCCAAAAAUAAGAAAUAUACGUUUUAGUGUGAUAAAAAAAAUAAUAUUAAAAUAUUUUUCUUGUACUUUUUAUUAUACAACCAAUGUUAAGUUCAAGUCCAGUUGCAAGUCCCAUUUGGUCAUGCAUUGUGUUCGUUUCGCUACUGAAUCCUUCAUAAAAUAGUUUAAGGUUUGGAAGUUGGUUGGAUAAAUAGUGCCAUAAUGGUAGUUACUUUUUUUUAUUUCGUAUGACUUUUCGCUAGUGUAUCACUCCUAGCAUAUAAUUAAUCAAUUCUUCCAGGCAUACCAUGACUUGAUUGUGAUGCUGUGGAUUAUCUAGGAAGCAUUUGUGUGUUAAUGUAUUAAACUUUUGUCAUACUGUAUGACUGGUCUUUCUCAGUUUUAUCAAACAUAUGUUCCUUCUGAAAAUAUUAAAGUGGAUUUGAUAGUUUAAGCAAUUUGUGGUUGGAUUUUGGCAGUUUGAAGUUGUAAUUCUGGUACCAAUCAAGACAAGGAAGUGGAUGCCAAGUGUCAAACAACAAGUGGGCAUCUGAAAGUCACGCCACAUUGGAUGAUCCCACAAAAAAUGAACCUUACAGAGGAACAACAUGGACAGAUUGAGCAGGAGCUAUAAAUGGAUAAAAUUUGAGCAGCUGGAGGAUCCAUAGGUGACAAGAAACAACCGGAUUAUUCGAACGGACGUACCUCUAAUGGUCUAUCUGGAAAGUCCAGCGGGUAUGAAGUCUAUACGUGAAGUGGAUGAGGAGGAAGAUGAUACUAAUUCUAGAAACUUCAAGAGCUUUCAUUCUCAUGCUUUAUGAAUUUCUUUCUUGCUUCAGAAUUCAAAUGCAAGCUUUCCCUCUCAGUAUUUCUUCAUUGAGACAUUCUUCUCGAACAGGUUUAUACUUAUGUCAAACAUCUUCUGUUAUAACUAGGAAGCCAGUAAGAUUGUUUUUCAAGUACGUUAAGCGGAAACAAUAGGCAAGGCCUUUUGUCAUUAUAUCUGCCACUUGAUUUUUUCUGCGCAAGUACUUCUUAUUCAAUUCGUUUGUUCCAAUUUUGUCCCUAAUGAAGUGGUCUUAUAUCCCCACACACUUUGCUCUUCCAUGAAAGACUAGAUUCUGUGCAAGUGCUAUUGCACUCUUGUUGUCACAUCACAACAGAGGAAUAAUUAAACAUACAUGAAUAUGCACUUUAGUAAGCAAGGAUCUUAACCAGCUGAUCAUUUCUGCUGCUACAUGAGACAGGGCUCUGUAUUAUACUUUUGUACUAGAUUUUGAGACCACCUUUUGCUUCUUGGAGCUACAUGAGAUCAGAUUUCUUGCGGGGUAAAAAAAUUCAUGAAAACCCUCAAGUAUUUAUGACAUUUAUAUAAAAAUAGAGUUUGAUUUUUCUUUCAAGUAUGUUCCUACAUUAAUAUCUACUUAAAAACUGAAAAUAUCAUUUAAAAAAAUAAUUAUUACUCCACCUUUAAAAUUCAAUAUUAAAGAGUAAUUUGUCAUUUUUAAUUAGAGUUAGAGGCUUGUUUUAUUAUAUAUAUAAAAUCAUUCUUAGGUGCAAGAACCAUCAUUUUUUUGUGCGGAUACAGUAUUAAACCAUGCAGUUUAAAAGUUGAUAAAAUGAAUGGUUUAAUAGUGUGUCCAUAUAAAAAAAAAAAACAUAAUAAGGGCAUUGGCAUUAAAGAACAUAUAUAUUAUCCCAAUUAGGGAUCCCUAAUCAUACUAAAGUCAGGGGACAAUUUAAAAAAUAAAAAAACAAAAACUUCAAUACAGUAUAUUUUGUUAUAUAGUAUAUUGAAAUAUGUAUUUUCUUUUGUCUUUUAGUUUAUCCCUAUUUUAAUAUGGUUAAAGAUUUGUAAUUAGAAACUCACUCUAAUUAUCUAUGUAUUUACUAUUUUUAAUACAUUCACACAAAUAUUUAUAUACAAUAAAUGUAUUACUUAGCCCUGCCUGAUAAAAGAUCCCGGGUCCGGCUCUGAAGGAAGAUGCAAUAUCCCCCUGCUGACGCUUCAUUAACUUUUUCCUUUCAUUUUAAACUUUCUGAAUUAUUGCCUUUCGUAAUUCUCAUAUCAUGCAUUGAGUAUUUACCUAUAUGAAAUUAAUUAUUGAUUAAUAGAGUAUGGCAUAGAAGGGCGGGUAUCUAUUAAAAGUGAUGUUUACAGCUAUGGAAUUAUGCUAAUGGAAACAUUUACCAAGAAGAAACCCACAGAUGUUGUCGCGGAAUUGAGCUUGAAGUGUUGGAUUAAUGACUUGUUACCUAUUUCAUUGAUGGAAUUGUUGUGGACAUAAAUCUGCUAAGUGGAGAGGAAAGACAUUUUUGCCGUAAAGAAGCAAUGUGUGCUGUCUAUCUUGAGUUUGGCUUUGGAGUGUACCAUGGAAUCACCCGAAUAGAGGAUCGAUGCAAAAGAUAUUGUUACUAGACUUUUGAAGAUAAGAGAUAAGUUGACUAAAAGUUAAGCAAAUUUAAAUUAACUUCUUCUCUUUUCUUUUCUUUUCUUUUCAUUGUAAUGAACUUUAAUCCAUGUUAUGAGAAGACUCUUACAGCAAGAAGUGUAAGAACAUUGAAUAUUUUCCUCAGAUAUUUUGUUGAGAAAACUAUUGUAGCCAUCUUUUUCCCAUGGGAGCUGCAAUGAGCAGACUCUUCAACAAUGUGCAAUAUUAUACAGUAUAUUCAAAGACACACUAUCACACUAAAAAAUCUUGAGUUGACUCCUUAAUUUAUUUCAUCAAUCCCCACUUUUGAGUUAAUAUUAUUUAUCUUAGGAUUGUCCUUAUUGAAAAAUAAAAAUAAUUAAAAAAAUAAAUAUUUUUUCAUUCUCUCAAGCUCUUAGUAGAUUAAAUUCUUAUCUCUCACAACUCUCUCAUCGUUUUAAUUUAUUCAUAAUUUGAAUCAAAUAUUAACUCUUGAUCAAACCCCAAAUUAAAAUAAACAAAAUAUUAGAUUAUCACACAAAAUCAAAACCAGUAUUAUCAAUAACAACAAAAAUUACCGCUCAUCCAUUAAAUUUAACAAAAACCAACAUUUAAAUUCAUCAAAUAUUGGUGGAGGUAGUGGAUUCAUGGUGAAGAAAAUAGAUGAUGGGAAUGAACUCGUUGUUGAUGAAGUGGUGGGGGUGAUAAUUAUAUACGAGGGAGGGGAAGGUAGAGACAGAAUAAAAAUAAUAUUUUUUUUGUUUCAAUAAAGAUAAUUCUACAAAAUAAUAAGAUUAAUUGAUAAGCGGGGUUGAUGAGAUAAUUUGAGGGGUUCAAAUAUCAUUACUCAUAUCCGUUUACAUGAAGCUAAUUAAAAAUAGUGAAGUAAUUAAAUACGCUAAUCAUACACAGCUGCAAUGUAUUAAAACAGCCUAAUGAGCUUAGCCUCAAAUUGACCCUCACCGUUGAUCUGCCAUUCCUAUCGUCACUACUUGCCACCUCGCAUUGUAUCAAUAUCUCUUCGUAACACAUAAACAGAAUCAAUUCUUGUACCAAAUUACCAAAUUACCACAAAACUGUUAGAGAGUCGGUGUGAUUUACUCACUGUUAAAUAAUAAAGAGAGUAAAUUUUAUUUUUAUUUUUUUUAAAUUUGAAUCUACCCGCCACUUCCAAAACAGAGAAAGCGUCGUCGUUUUACGAUGGCUCCAUCAUCAUUUCCAUCUCCUCUCGAACGCACUGUCGCUUCAGCUCUUCUCCUUCUCUCCGUCUCCGACAAACCUCCCUCUCUCACUUCUCCACUGUAAGAUCUUCAUUAUUUCACUCUUAAAACUGUUUUUGUUUCUUAUUUGUUUUUCCUUAUUGAUUUGUUUGAUGUUUGUUUAAUGCUGCUGAAGAGCAAGAGCAGCAGCCGGGACGAAGAGAGCGUGAGCUUACUGUCGAGUGGAGAUUCAAAACGGUGCGUUUCAACGGUUACUAGUGAAUAUGCCUCCUCCAGUGAGAUCCGAGCUCAUAAGCUGAGGAUCAUCGCUGUUGUGGCUCGCUGUCAUGAAGUGAAACUCAAGGUACAUAUUCUUCUGUUUGGUUUAAUAUAUAUGAUUAUGUAAAUGGUUUCGUAGUUCUUAGUUUGAAUUUGAUCUGAAGUUGUUUGUUUGAUAAUAAAAUGAAAUCACAUCUCUGUUUUCUACUUCGUAAACAGUCAUCUCUUCGGAAUCAAUUUUUUGUGUUGUUCAUGUUGAAUUUUAUCAAAAGUGAUCAUUAAAACUUGUUUUUCUCAAAUUUAUGUUUGAUCUCUCAGUUUUUUUUUUCUCGACUCUUCAAUUCAAUUUCACUGGAAAUUUACUAGAAGAUUCAAAUUCUGUUCUGCUUGGACCUGUUUCGUUUUGAAUUCUCGUAAUCAUUUGAAGGCUCAAGCAACUUAAAUUUUGUUAAAACAUUUUAAUUAGCUUCGAUAAAUUUGUAAUUCACUUGCUCAUAGAUGUGAUCUCUCCGUUUCACCUCAAUUUUGCGCAUUGUUUGCUCAUAAUCUUUGUUUUUAACUUGAUUUUAAAAAAUGAUUUUAAGAUUUUAUUUUCAAUUUUUAGCUCUUUCAUCCUGUUAUCAUUUAUUUUUCUAUAAUUAAUUUCAUUUCUCUUAGUCUGAAUAUGAAUUUAAAUUGUUUUCUUUUAGUUCUGUUCUGAGACUUUGCAAUUGGUAAAUAUUAAGAGUGGCAGCAAUUAAAGUUGAUUAAUAUGCUAGUAUAAUAUUAGUAUUGACAUUAGGCAGAGACGGAGACUUUAGUGAAUAUUAUUGCUAUAUGAGUAAUUUUUGUAUAUGAGCGUGGCGUAGGCCUACGUAGUUAAUUACAAUUUCCAAAUCUCUGCGGGUUACUGAAAAUUUAAGUGCCUUGCAUAUGACUAUUAACCCAGUUUUUCAUGCUCGCUCGAAGCAUAUUGAAUUAGAUUAUCACUUCAUUCGAGAAAAGGUUGCUGAUGGUGCCUUGGUUACGAAGUUUGUCCCUUCUUCGUUACAAAUUGCAGAUGUUUUUACUAGGGCUUUGUCAAAAGCCAUGUUCCGCAAUUUCAGAUACAAGCUUGGCGUUCAUCAAAUGUCACUUGCCAGCUUGAGGGGGUAUGUUAAGCAAGCUGACCAAGAUUACCAAAAGGAAAGUCAUCAACGGUCAAGUCAACAACGGGUUUAUCACUCCACACAACUUGCUCACGUCAAAGCUAUUUGUCAAGGAAUAUCUCCAGCACGAUUUUUGCACUUGAAUGCCAAUAUCAUGUAGGAAUAUUUCAUUCCUAUUUUAUAAAGAUAUUGUGCAAUAGUUUAGGAAGUAUUCACUUAUUUUCCUUUAAUAUUAUUAAGCCUUUUAACGGCUACUUUGUCUUUAUUUUGUAUAAAUAAAUCUGUAAAUUUCAUUAAAAAUAUAGAACAAGAAUUAUACUCUUCAUAGAAUUUCUUUCACUAAAUUCAUCAGCCUCUUGAACCCUCUCCUGAGGGCGCCUUCUGUCCUCUGUUUUCUGUUACCAUACACUAAUAGACAAAAGCAUUCAGAAUGACAACUGGGACAUAUAUAAGAGUGAAAUAAUUGAAAAAUUAUGCUUUUUUGUUUGUCAUGUUAAAAUCGUAAAGUGCGUAAGUACUAUGAAAGAGAUUAGUUUACGGAAACUGAAGCCAAGGGUUAAAAAAAAAAAGGUGCAAAGAGAAUAAAGGGCAACGCUUAUGUAAAGAGACAUAAUUGUAUUGGUAGCACAAUGUCACGUUCAUACAGGGAUCAAGCAUAUUAUUUACAGGUGGUAAGGGCUAAGAAUUGAUGUAGCUAGAAUACAAAGAUAAUAAGGUAUGUUGUGCACUAUUUAUUUAUUCUACAAUCAAUCUUGACCCUUGAUGCUUGGCUCUCAAUCUUGCCCAUUGAUCUUCUCUGAUCUCUAAAACUUCAAGACCUUUCAAUCUUAUGCCUUAUUAUUGGUGUCUUCCAUGCUGUAGAUUUCAAAUACAAGCUUUCCCGCCAACUUGCCAAGUAUUUGUCCAUUGGUGCAUUUUAUCAAACAGUUUGGAUACUUAUACCAAACGCCUUCUGUUUUAACUCCCCCUCUCAAGCUCAAGCAUCUGGGAAGACAUUAAUAAGCUUGUUUCUCAAGUAUAUGUAUCUGAAAAUUAAAUUUUAUAAAUUAUAUUCGGACUCUACAUUUUCUAAGGAACAUUGGUUUGGCUUAUAAGCUUAUUAUACUCAGGCUUGGUAGGAUUAUCGGUCGGUAGAUGACCGAGUGUUAGAGCUUUCGAAUUUAUGCCAAUUAAAAAAAAAAAAAAAAAGAAUCUACAUAAGUUUUCAACUGGGCUAUUACCACAAUAAACAUUUGGUAAUCAUCAAUUUCACUAUUAUUCGCUUUAUUAUGUUUGUUUCUUUCAGUAUGUUAAAAGAUUAUGUUGUGAAUUUGUUUUACAGGCCGCCCGUAAGUCUGCGCCCACCACCGGUGGUGUUAAGAAGCCUCAUCGUUACCGUCCUGGAACCGUCGCCCUUCGGUUCGUUCUCUAAUUUAAAUUUCCGUUGUAUAGCUUUAGUUGUGGGUAAUUUUGUAUAGAGAAAUUCGCAAGUACCAGAAGAGUACCGAGCUGCUUAUCAGGAAACUCCCAUUCCAGAGACUUGUUCGUGAAAUUGCUUAGGACUUCAAGGUACCUUGUUAUUGUUUUGGUUGUUAUCUUUGUUAUCUUUAAAUUGGGUUCCCAAGAUUUCUUGAUAGACGGUUAAUGGCUAUUUUGUUGCCUGUUUUGCAGACUGAUCUGCGUUUCCAGAGCCAUGCAGUGCUGGCCCUGCAGGAGGCAGCCGAGGCUUAGGGUAUUUCCAAUGUAGCACUAAACUUAACACCAAAUCACAUUUUACACCAUUUUUGGUGUAAAAUGCUUCUCCAAAUGUAACACCAAAAUGGUGUAAUGAAUAGCAUUGCACCAAAUAUGGUGCAACACUAUUCAUUUGCACCAUAUUUGGUGCUAGGAAAAAAAAUCUCAAAUAUUCUUAUUACUUUAUCUUAUUUAUAUAUAUGUCCUAUUUUAUAUAAUAUUUUAAGUUAUUAUUAUUAUUGUUAUUUUUUAAUUUUUGAAUAUUAUACUAAUAUUUUAAAUAAAAAAUAUUCAACACAAAAAUUUAUAAUAAAAAUAAAAUGCCAAUAACAUUAAUUACUAGAUUACAUAUUACAAAAUUAAAUUAACACAAAUUAAAAAAACUACUACUACUAGCAUAAAUUAGAACAAUUAUUUAGUAAUGUGGGAGAUCAUUAUUAGAUCCUCCAAUAUCAUCAAAAUAUUUUUCUAUAUUAAUGAAUGUUUAAUUUUCAUAAUGCACUUAUUAUUGUUAUUGUAUUUUUCUAUAUUAAUGUAAUGUUUAAUUUUUAUAAUGUACUAAUUUAGUUAAUUAAAUGCAAAUUUAAUAAUUUUCUAUAUUUUUUUUGUUAAUCGAUAUAAAAUUACUUAUUACUUAAUUAUCUAUAUUAAUAGUAAUAUUUAUUGUGUUAAUUGAAUUAAUUCUUGAGAAUUAAAAGAAUAAAAAGAAGAAUAUUCUUUUUGGUGUAAAUGGGUUGGAGAUGAAAUAAUAAUUUAAAGUGAAAAAUGUGUAUUUUUUGUGUUGGUGUUAUACUAAAAUGGUGUUAUGCAUUGGAGAUGGCCUUACCUCGUCGGUCUCUUUGAGGACACUAACCUCUGCGCCAUUCACGCAAAGCGUGUCACUAUUAUGCCCAAGGACAUACAGCUUGCCCAUAGGAUCCGUGGCGAGCGUGCUUAAGCGCAAUUAGAGCUGGCAAAAUGGGUCAUCGGGUCGUGUUCGUGUCGUGUCAAAUUUAGGUCGACCCAAACCCGACCCAUUUAAUAAUCGUGUCAAAAUAUUGAGACCCAACCCCGACACGGAAAAAUAAUCGGGUUACCCAAUAACCCGUUUAAUAUCUAUAUAUUAAAUAAAAGUUACAUCAAAUAUUUACACACUAUCAUACAUACAUAUGUACAUAAAUACAUACAUACAUAAUUUAUCGAUAUUAUAAAAUAUACAUAUCUACCAAUAUAUUAUACAUUUACACUAUUGAGGUUUUAAUUAUAUAUAUAUAAAAUAUUAUAUAUCAAUAUUAUAAAAUAUACAUGUCUAUUAAUUUUUACACAUUUACACUAUUGAAGCUUUAAAUGUAUGUAAAAUUUUAUAAAUAAAACACUGUUUAUAUUCACCAUUUUAAAGAAUAAAAAAAAAGAACAUCUCUAAUAUUUGAGUUUUAAUUAUAACAAUAUGUAAAUUAUUUUAAAAUAGAAAAUAUAAUCGGGUCAUUGAUCGGGUAAAUGGGUCAAGAAUUUUAACCCAAACCUGACACGGAAAAAAAUCGUGUUGACCCGGACCCGACCCAUUUAAUAAUCGUGUUAAAUUUGACGACCCAUACCCAUUUAUUUAUGUCGUGUUCGUAUCGGGUAAUCGGGUCGUGUCAAAUUUUACCAGCUCUAAGCGCAAUUGCCGCUUGCUUCAAUUGAAUGACUGGAAAGGGAAGGGGGAAGUUGUAAUGUGUUAAUUUGUAUGUGGGGUUGGUGGGGACGGCGUCGCUUUUUCUUAGACCUUUUUUUUUCUUUUUCCUCCCUUAAAAACAGUGAAAUUACUUAUACUGGUUUUUCUAUUUUACAUUUUGAAUAUUAUUAAUUAAUAUAAUUUAAGAUAACAAUCAGGGAUAAAACAAUCAUUUUUUAUUCAAGAUCAUUUUAUCAAUAUUCUGUUAAAUAUUCUCACAAUUUAACUUUAUCCUUAACAAAAAUUUAACUUUUUUUUUUUAAAACUAACGGAACCAAAUCCUAUAUAUAAAUGUAUAGUAUGCAUUAAUAAAUAAAUAAAACUUUGACGACCGGAGGGAAUGAAUAAAUAAAUAGAUAAAACUUUCGAAGCUCGUGAAUGUGCUAUUUUUGUUUUUUUUAGUAAUUGUUUAAUUGAAAAAAGAAAGCUUCGGGAUUUAUUUUUGACGGGACGGCUGAGAUUUGUUGACCUUCUAGAGAAUGAGAACAGAUUUUCAAUUUGUUGAUAAGUAUUCCUACAGUCCAGCCCAAAAGUACCGGCUCAAUGAGUUCGGUCAUGUUUGGUAACAGGUAUCCAUCACUUUCAAAAUCCGGUCCUACCAACGUAUCGGCUUUCACUGGCUGUCGUAUCAUCCGUGAAAGCAUGGGAGAGUGAGGCUACUCCAAUCUCUACUAGAGAAAUUUUAGAAUAUAUCUGUUGUAUUAUAAUUAAUUGAUGCAUGUAUGAUAUGUGUAAUUGAGUUUAAUACAAUCACCAUUUGUAUAAUAAUUUACAAAAUAAAUGCACACAUAUCAUGACAUUAUUUACUUAUUGUACGAAUAAUAAAUGCACACAUGUCAUCAUUCUUUGGUAAACAAAUUCACAAUAUAUAUUAAUCUUUGUGGAAGUUAUGUCCAAAAAAUAAAUAUUGUAAAAAAAUUUUAAUUACUAAUUUGUUGGACAUUAAUAAAAAAAUUUAAUAUAUUAACUCCUCAUGGAGUAUUAAAAACAAUUAAUAUAAAUUUUUUUGUUUCUAAUUUACUUUUUCAGUUUAAAUUGAUAAUUUAAUUUUUCUUUUUAUUAAUGUCUAAUAAAAAAGAAAUAUUAUUGUACGAGUGUAAUAUUGUAAAAACAAGUCAAAAAGAACAAAAAGUAACAAUAAGGGUGUCAAUAUUUAAUGACAAUGAUAUUUUGAGAUAUUUUUUAAAAUAUAGGGAUUAAAUAUGUAUUAAUCUCAAAAUAUAGGGAUUAAACGAGAUUUUACCAUUAUUAAUUGUAGUCAUCUUUUUAUAAAUUACAAUUGGAGGAAGUUGGUUAAUGUUGUUGACACGCACGCACACACGCACACACGCACACAUAAAGAUUUAUUGGAAGUGCUUAUGCCGACUCGAAGUUGUGGGAAUUAAUGCAUGUAUUGAUUUAUUGGGAGUGUUUAAAUGAUUUUGUGAUUUACUUGAUUGAUUGAAUAUUGUUUGAUUGCUUCAUAUCCAUUCUACAAAGUUUAUUUCUUUGUGAAAUUUCAACGACAUAUUUUUUUUAAAAAAAAAUAAUAAGGGUGUUAUAAAUAAUUUUAAAAAAUAUAUGGACUAAUUAGAACUAAUUACUAGGUAAUUAACUUGAUCUGUACAGGGUGAAACAACAUUUAUCCUAAUUGUAUCAUGACAAAUACUUUUCCGAUUAGAAUUAGGAAACCAUAGGUUUAUUGAAUUUUUUUUUUCCUCUGGAGAAACGGAUUAGAGAAUUAGAAAGCAAUCCUAAUGAUAUAAUUAUCAGGUUUAAAACAGUGCAUAAACAGUGAAAAGCUAAUUAGUCUGUAGAGUAAUUUGCUAAUUGUUACCUCCUCUCUAUGCGCGCUGAAUAAUUUGUUGCAUGCAAACUUUUUAUUUUAUACAAAUCAUACGUACUGUAACAUUGGAAUUGAUGUAUAAGCAAAAAUACAAGAAUAUUUAUGUCAAUAAAAAUAGUUUUUUCGUUCCUUUUUAAAUAAACACAACGCGAUGUUGCUCUGCUCUACAUUUUUGCUAUCAUUUUAUUCUUUUUUUUUUUUUUUGUGGGCUUCUUAAAGCCUCAAACUUUGAUAACCAAAACUUCAUCGACCUAUGAAAAAAUCUGCAGAUUAGUUUUCAUUAUCGGAAUAAUUGUUUGAGAAUACGAAAACAAAAUAUAAAAUAAGAAAAUAGGGGGUUAAAUUUGGGGAAAACAAAAAAAACCAAUUGGGAAUUUUUUUUCUUUAAUUUUUGUUUUACUUGAUUGAGAUUUCUCCUUAGUCCUUACAGUUUUAAGUUUGGAUGCCGUAGGGUUAGUAAUUUAGUACUUCCUUUGCAAGCUGAGUGCGAGAACGAAAAUCUUUAAAGAAAUUAAAAAAGAGUAAAAAAAAGCAUACCAAUAGGUAAUUAUAAAUAACCAUAAAUAAACAUAAACAAAAUGUUUAUGAAGUAAAUUACAAAUGCACAUAUUAUUUUUUUGUUUUAUUUCUUACUUGUCUAUUUUAUUUGCUGCUUGAUAACCCGUAAAUACUAAUCUAGUACUGCUAAUUUCAGACACAAAAUGUUUAACUCUAGGCUGUAGUUUUACUCAAAAUGAUGACCACUGGCUUCGCACCAUUUAACCAGCAUACAUUUCUACAAAUUGAACAAGGCUAUUGAUUUUCAUUAUUAUUUUUUAUUUAUUUAUAAAUUACUAUUUUAAUUUUCACUUUUUAUUGGGUUGUUUAACGGAUUAGUGAAGUUGGUGGUCGUGAUGCACUCACAAGGUACAAUUUUAUUUUAUAAUUUCAAAUUUGUAUUUUAAAAUGCAGGUACAUUAUGUAUACAUAAUUAUUGAUUUUCGUAUGUGGGUGUUUUGAAAUAUUGCUAAAAGACCAAACUUUAAUAAACUAUUUUUCAUCUUUUUUUUUUCCUUUUUUCCUAGAGUUUGAGUGAUAUCCUCAUUUUAAAUUCAUGUGGAACAAAAGCUAAUGUAUGCACAAAAUUCUUUUAUUUUUUCCUAGAAAAAUGGGUAAGAGAAGAAGAUUUUUCUCUUGAAAAAGAAAAACUAAUACGAUGCAAGCAUAGGAAAGAGGUCAGUGUUUUGGAUUAGAAUUUAGUAUUGAGCUGAAUUUUAUACUAAACUCUUUUAUGGUACUGCGAUUAAUAAACUCAUGAUUUGCUUUUGCUUUUACUUCAAGUGAAAGAAAGAGGAAACCUUUUGUUUUUUGUUUGAUUCUUGACUAUAAAAAGAUUAACCAGCGCACACAAUCUUACUGUAGUCCAGACCAUCCAGCUGUGAUGACUCUAGUUUUUUGGUUACAUUAGCUUUAGUGGAAAGGAGGGCCAAUUUAACAAAGACUAUAUUUGGUGGCUUACUAUAAUGCUUAUUCUCAGGGAAUCUAAUGUUAUAAGAUGAUUUAAUGAUCUUCUAUGAUUGUGAGUAGUAUAGUAUAAUUGAAAAGAGCCUGGGCUCCUAUGAUGAAUAUAUAAUAGUAACACAGUACUGUGAUUGAAAAAAACAAAGUUACAAUAAACUCUUCAUUUAUUCAUUGUGGAGAUUGAAUGGCAAACAGAGAAUAAAAUGAAGCAGAGGAAUCUCAUUGCCAGUAAAAUUGACCCUCUUUAAUGUUAUAUGGCACAGGUGUGUGUACAGCAAGAGCAAGUUACUUGCAGUUUUUAUUGUAAAAUAUACAGGUUAUGACCAUGAUCAUUGUAAGGUUUUGAUGAUUUUAGAUGCUUUUUUAUUUUUUUAAAUUGUGACACCUUUGAUUUAUGGUAGUUUUGCAGAAGAAAAAAAUAUAUAUAAAAAUUAGGAGGGAUGAGUUAACUAACGAUUGCAAUAAUAUUUUUAUGGAAAUUCUUGGUUUUUAUGGAAAUACUCUUGCUGAAAUUCUAAUUUUGACUUUCAACUCUUGGUUUUUAUGGAAAGUAAAAUGACUUAUUUGUUAUAUUCAUACAAUCCACUCUACAUAAUGAUUUCAUUUUAAUAAAUGCUUGAUGAUCUCCACUGAAAAACUACUUCAAUUCUUUUGUUUUAUUUAACUUUUUGGUUGUUGAAAAUAGCCUUAAUUUUCAAAUAAUUGGAGAAAGAGUAAAGAACGUUUAACAAAUUUAUGUGCCAAAAAUAAAGGAGAAAUUGAAGAGAAAGGGUGCUUGCAGAAGUGGGUGCAAAGAUAAAUCAGUCCGUAAGAAUUAUUGUGGUUAUUAAGUUUUUGGCAAUAUAAAAAUUUUUCAGCAAAUAAAAAUUGAUUUUUUCCGAUUUACUAAAAAAUUAAUUAAAAACUUCGGUGAUAGCAUUUUUUAUGGGUGCAUGUACACUCCCUUUAAAAAAAAUAUAAUAAUUAAUACUUAAUAUAGUAUUAAAUACGAAAAUAUCAAUAUUUGACUACACAAAUUUAUAUCAUUAGGUCCUUAAAAUUUAAAAUUGAAGACAAAAAAUGAAAUAUAUAUAAAUUUCAUUCUCACAGGAAAGGAUCCUCUUAUAAUCUUAAAAUAUUUGAGCUUUGAAAGAUUUUUUAAAAUAAAUGUACUUUUAUUUUUGUACAAUCAAUAUUUACUUAUUUAUUAUAUUUUUAUUCAUUAACUAUCAAUCAUGUGAGUAUAUUUACUCAGAAAUAUCAUAUCAAGGAAGAAUCUUGAUCCCACGCACACACAAAUAUGUUAAUUUCUAUACGCUUCACUUACCUGUAGAAUCAAUUAUCUAAAAUGCAAGUUUGUGGCCACAAAAAAAGCCAAAGAAAGAAGAUAAUAACAAUUGACUUGUAUAUUAUACUCAUACAAUCCACUCGACAUAAUGAUAUCAUUUUAAUAAGGCAAUGGCUGAUGAUCUCCAUUGAAAAACUAAUUCAAUUUUUUUGCUUCAUUUAACUUUUUGGUUGUUGAAAAUAACCUUAAUUAUCAAAUAAUUGGAGAAAGAGUAAAGAACAUUUAACAAAUUUAUGUGCAAAAAAAAAAAGGAGAAGUUGAAGAGAAAGGGUGCUUGCAGAAGUGGGUGUCAAAGAAAAAUCUGUCCAUAAGAAUUAUUGCGGUUAUUUUUUGGCAAUAUAAAAUUUUAUAGCAAGUAAAAAUUAAUUUUUUUCCGAUUUACUUAAAAAUUAACUAAAAACUUCUCCGACAGCAUUUUUAUGGGUGCAUAUACCCACCCUUUAAAAAAUAAUAAUAAUUAAUGCUUAAUAUAGUAUUAAAUAUGAAAAUAUCAAUAUUUGACUACUCAAAUUUAUAUCAUUAGGUCCUUAAAAUUUAAAAUUGAAGAUACGAAAGGAAAUAUAUAUAAAUUUCAUUCUCAUGGAAAGGAUUCUCUUAUAAUCUUAUAAUAUUUGAGUUUUGAAAUUUUUUUGAAACAAAUGUAAUUUUAUUUGUGUACAAUCAAUAUUUACUUAUUUAUUAUAUUUUAAUUUAUUAACUAUCAAUCAUGUAAGUAUAUUUAGUCAGAAAAAUUAUAUCAAGAGAGAAUCCUAAUUUCACGCAAACACAAAUACAAGACAAAUAUGUCAAUUUCUAUACUAUUCACUUUCCUGUAGAAUCAAUUAUCUAAAAUGCAAGUUUGUGGCUAUAGAAAACUCGCCAAAGAAAGAAGAUAAUAACAAUUAUGGGAAAUGAGUUAUUGUGUGGUUUACCAAAUCUUCAAGUCCAACCAUGCAAAGUUAGCAAGCCGAGGACAGAACAUAAAUCAAGGAAAAAGAUACUUCUCAUUGUGAUUGUUUUGCCAUUGAGUAUUGCUCUAACGAUAGCAAUCACUCUAGCUCUCAAAUAUAAGCUGAACGAAUGUGGAAAAAGAAGCACAGUGUUAUCAAAUGAUUGUAUCUUGUCAUCACAGGCAACACUAAGAAGGUUUUCAUACUUAGAACUUUUACAAGCAACAGAUAAUUUUACUGAAAACAACAUAAUUGGCAGAGGAGGUUUUGGUUCCGUUUAUGGAGCAAGACUUGAAGAUGGGAUGAAGAUUGCAAUAAAAGUGUUUCACCAGCAAUGUGCAAGCGCAUUGAAGAGUUUUGAGGCUGAAUGUGAAGUGUGAAAAAAUAUUCGCCAUCGAAACCUGAUCAAAGUUAUCAGCAGUUGCUCGAACGAUGAUUUCAAAGCAUUAGUCCUAGAAUACAUGUCCAACGGGAGCUUGGGGGAUUGGCUGCAUUCUAGCAAUUACGUGCUGAAUAUAUUUCAGAGGUUGAACAUAAUGAUUGACGUUGCAUCAGCUUUAGAAUAUCUCCACUUCGAUCAUUUACCUCCUAUUAUUCAUUGUGACUUAAAACCUAGUAAUGUAUUGUUGGAUGAAAAUAUGGUUGCUCAUUUGAGUGAUUUUGGCAUAGCAAAGCUUUUAAGUGGAGAAGAUGAGUCUACGAUGCGAACAAAAACCCUUGCCACUAUAGGUUAUAUGGCACCAGGUUUGCUUUAAACAACUUUUUUUUUAGUUCAUUUUAAAUUUUGCAACUUAUUGAUUUUUACGAUCCUCACAUCAAAAUUUUAUUGAUUAUUUAUCUAAUUGUGAAAUUAAUUUGAUUUAUAGAGUACGGCAUAGAAGGAGAAGUAUCUACAAAAAGUGAUGUUUACAGCUAUGGGAUUAUGUUGAUGGAAACUUUUACCAAGAAAAAACCCACAGAUGAAAUUUUUGUCGGAGAAUUGAGCUUAAAGCGUUGGGUUAAUGACUUGCUUCCUACUUCAUUAGUGGAAGUUGUGGACAAAACUCUGCUAAGUGGAGAGGAAAAACAUUUUUCCGCAAAGGAGCAAUGUCUGUUGUCUAUCUUUAGUUUGGCUCUGGAGUGUACAAUAGAAUCACCGGAAAAGAGGAUUAAUGCAAAAGAUAUUGUUACCAGGUUACUCAAGAUAAGAGACACAUUGAGUAAAAGGAUCAGAAAUUUAAGUUAAUUUCGUUUGCUUUCAUUGAUAGUUAAUCUGAAUUCAUGUAAUAAGUGUAGGAAUCUUAUAUCUUUUCCUUUCAUAUAUUUUUUUUUCUUGAGAAAACUGUUGUAGUCAUCUUGUUUCCAUGGGCAGAGUUGAUUUACUUCUUCCAAGAAAUGCUACUGAUGACCUUUGUUUUAUGGCAAUCCCUAUCUUACGUGCAUGUAAGAUACAUCCCCUUCACAUGAAUAAUGUGUGAGUCCAAUCCCUAUCUUAUAUGCAUGUAAGAUACAUCCCCCUCACAUGAACAGUGCAUGUGUGGGACCCACACACUGUUCAUAUGAGGGAGAUGUAUCUUGCAUGCAUGUAAGAUAGAGGGAUCCUUGUUUUAUACUUUCUCUUUUUUUUGCAUGUGGUUAGGUAGAACAGUGGUUUGGCUGCAGGCUAAGAAGUCUAACUACACUAAAAGAAUAUGAUUUAAUUUAUUAAACAAAACUUCAAGUUCAAGAAAAGUAUUUCACUGCCCCCAAUGCUUUGGACACCUACUGGUAGGUUUGUACGUGUCCUCAACUUUUUUUUAGAGCACAAACUUCGAGUCCCAUGGAGAUUCAAACAUUCCUUUCUCGCAUCCCGAGCACUAAAUGUUUGGAAAUUGGUGGGUGAAGCAGAACCGCAGCUAAUAUGAAAUUGGAAGAAAAUAAAGAACAAGCACAAAAAGAGAAUACCAGAAUUACGUGGUUCGGCUUUUAGCCUACGUCCACGGGUGAAAACAGAAGGAAAUAUUUUACUAGUAAAAAGAAGUUACAAGUAUUGUAGUAUUUUAGCUCACUUCCCAAAAUCCCAAUGCACCCAAACUCUCAAAACACCAAAACAAGAGCUUAUAAUUUCAAGCUCUCUAAACUCUCUCUAAAUACAAGAAAACUCUUCUCAAAAUUGGAUAAGCAAAUGAGGGAAUGAGCCCCUCUAUUUAUAGACAAAAUCUUGGCUACAAUUCACUUUUUUUUUAAAAUUAUUUAUUAUUGUUCAAAAUUUCAACAUUCAAAGUUUGAUAUUCAAACUUUGAAUAUCUAGAAGUUUGAAUUUGAUAUUCAAAGUUCGAACAUCAAGACACCCAAUCUUGACAUUCUCCCACUUGGAGAUUUGAUUGAGAACCAAACAAUCUCCACACCAUUCUUUCUGCUUUGCCAUUGCCAUGUUGCUUACGUUUCUGCUAGGCCAUACGAGGAUCUAUUCCAGACAAACUUGUCAGUAUUGAUUGGCUUGGUCAAAACAUCUGCUAGGUUCUCCUUCGUAUGGAUUUUCUGUAAAUCCACACUUCCGUCUUCUACUACUUCUCGAACGAAGUGAUGUACUCCUAUGUGCUUUGUCCUGGAAUGAAAGGCUGGAUUCCUUACAAUGUGCAAGGCACUCUGACUGUCACAAAACACAGAAAUUUUCUCUUGUUUGUGCCCGAGCUCCUCCAAUAAUCUUUGUAUCCAAAUAGCUUCCUUGCAAGCUUGUGUAGCUGCCAUAUAUUCUGCUUCUGUUGUAGAUAAAGCCACAACAGUCUGUAGUUUCGAAACCCAGCUUACAGCUGCUCCCGCAAGUGUAAACACAUAACCAGUAGUGGAUUUCCUUUUAUCAAGGUCUCCUACAAAAUUUGAAUCCACAUAGCCCCUGACAGUAAACUCUGAUCCUCCAUAACAUAAUACAACAUCUGAGGUUCCUCUGAUGUAUCUCAGAAUCCUCUUCACAGCUAUCCAAUGCUCUCUACCAGGAUUCGCCAUGUAUCGACUGACUGCUCCCAUUGCUUAUGCAAUGUCUGGUCUAGUACAUAUCAUAGUGAACAUCAAACUUCCCACUGCUGAUGUAUACGGUACUCGAGACAUCUCCUUCCUCUCUGCUUCAUUGCUAGGACACAUACUUGAGGAUAAUUUGAAAUUAACAGGAAGUGGGGUAGAAAUUGACUUACAAUCUUGCAUGUUGAAGCGCCGCAAAAUUUUCUUCAAGUAAUUCCUCUGCGAAAGCCAAAUCUUCCUGUUAUUUCUGUCUCGGUGAAUUUGCAUCCCUAGAAUCUCGUUUGCUGGUCCCAAGUCCUUCAUUUCAAACUCCCUAGCCAACUGUGCCUUCAAUUCUUGGAUUCGAUCUUUGUUGAGACCUGCUACCAACAUGUCAUCCACAUACAACAGCAAAAUAAUGAAAUCAUUAUCUUCAAACCUCUUGUAAUAUGCACAAUGGUUUGAACUGAGUCUGUUGUAUCCAAGGCUCAUAAUGAAGGAAUCAAAUCUCUUAUACCAACACAUCGACGCCUGUUUGAGACCGUAUAGAGAUUUAUUCAACUUGCAAACCAAUUUCUCCUUUCCUGUUUCUGUAAAACUUUCUGGUUGGAGCAUAUAUAUUUCUUCUUCAAGUUCUCCAUGAAGAAAUGCAGUUUUCACAUCUAAUUGCUCUAGAUGUAAGUCAAAUGUAGCACACAUCACCAAGACUACUCUGAUUGUUGUGAGUCGAACCACCGGAGAAAAUAUCUCGUUGAAGUCAAUACCUUUUUUCUGAGCAUAUCCUUUCACCACCAAUCUCGCACGAUACUGCUCCACUUGGUUAUUGCCAUCACGUUUGAUCUUGUAGACCCAUUUGUUUCCAAUGGCUUUUCUUCCACGUGGUAGUGGUACAAGUUCUCAUGUCUUGUUCUUGUGUAGAGCUUCAAUUUCUUCCUGCAUUGCUGUCAUCCACAAAAUAACAUCUGAGCUGUUUAAAGCUUCAUGGAAAGUUGAAGGCUCUCCAUCUUCUGUUAGAAGAUAGUAUGCAACAUUGAUCUCUGUGACAUACUCCGAGUGCCACGUUGGCGGUCGUCUCUCACGAGUUGACCGACGAAUUUCUUGAGCCUCGGACUCGACUAGUUCUUGUUCCUCGUGCUCUGGUGCUGCUUCAGAAGAAUUUGAAUCUUCUGAAUUAUUUUUCACAUAUACCGGUACAGUUUCUGGCUUUUCUUUUACAGUGCUAUCAUCCUCAUCUUUCCUUUGCAAUUGAUCUUCUAUAAAAAUAACAUCUAUGCUGAUGACGAUCUUGUGGGCAGUAGGAUCCCACAGACGAUACCCUUUUACUCCAUCAGCAUAUCCCAAGAAGAUACAUCUUCUAGAUUUUGCAUCCAGUUUUGUUUUUUCUUGAGCAUUGUACAUCACGUACACAGGACAUCCAAAUGCAUGUAGGUAGGAAUAAUCAGCUGGCUUUCCAGUCCACAUCUUCAUCGCUGUCUUCAGCCCAAUUACUGUAGAUGGUGAUCGAUUUACUAUAUAACAGGCAGUUUUGGUUGCUUCUACCCAAAAUGAAUUGGGUAGACCAGCAGUCCUCAACAUAGCUCUUAUCCGUUCUGUAAGAGUUCUAUUCAUCCGCUCUGCCACUCUAUUUUGUUGAGAAGUAUAUGCCACCGUGAACUGUCUUUGAAUACCUUCUUGCUUACAAAAAGCAAAAAACUCGCUGUCUAUAUACUCUCUACCAUUAUCUGUCCUCAAGCACUUGAUCUUUUUACCAGAUUCAAGUUCUACUGCGUUUUGUAUUCUUUAAACACUGGAAAUACAUCUGACUUUUUCUUAAUUGGAUACACCCAACAUCUUCGGGAAUAAUUAUCAAUGAAAGUCACCAUGUACUUUGCACCUCCCAUGGAUAUAUCCGGUGAUUCCCAAAUAUCAGAAUGAAUCAAGUCUAUAAUGCAUUUACUUCUAGCAAUAGAUCUACUGAAUUUUAAUUUAUGCUGCUUACUUGUAACACAAUGCUCGCAAAAUGGUAAACUUACCGAUUUGAGCCCCGGAAGCAAUUUUCGCUCAGAGAGAAUCUUCAAUCCUUAUUCUAACAUGUGGCCAAGUUUGAGAUGCCACAUCAUCGUUGACUCUUCUCCAUUUGACGCGACACACGCAUCAGCCUCUUGUAGUGUUUCUCCUUUAAGCAUGAAUAAAUUAGCACCGAUCUUUUCUGCCUUCAUCAAUACAAACGCACCUUUAACGAUCUUCAUAAUUUCAUUCUCCACAUGAGUUUUGUACCCAUGACUAUCCAUUUGUCCCAAAGACAAAAGAUUUUUCUUCAGGCCGUUGACAUGUCGUACCUCCCUAAUUGUGCGAAUUGUACCAUCAAAUAUUUUUAUUUUGAUAGUACCAAUACCAGCGAUCUCCAAGGCAUGAUCAUUACCCAUAUAUACAGAUCCUCCUGAGAUAGGUUCAUAUGUGUGGAACCAUUCUCUCCGAGAGGUCAUGUGCCAGGUAGCUCCUGAGUCUAUAAGCCAGACAUCAGAUAGUCGUUUUCUGCCUUCUGAAACAGUUGUUGUUUCGCUGUAGAGAAUUUCGCCAUCAUCCGAGGUACUUACGACACAACUCUGAGCAUUUGAUGACUCAAGUUCUUUGCCCUCUCUUCUCUUCUGGUUACUCCAACACUCUUUCUUGACGUGCCCUUUCUUGCCACAAUUGUAGCAUUUAACAUUCUUCUUACUUCUAGAUUUUGAUCUACCAUGAUUUUGACUCCCAUUGGGGCCACGUUCCGUUGAUCUCCCUCUCGUCACCGAUAGCGCCUCCGCUUGCUGUGAACUUGCUUGUCUGUUUUCCUUAUUUUUCCGCCUGCUUUCCUCAUUUAAUACGAAGGCUGCAACAUCGUCGAAAACUAGACUGUCCACUGGAUUGUUGUUCGUUAAGUUGAUGAUGAGUUGAUCAUACUAAUCUGGUAGACUUUAAAGUAGAAGCUCUGCACGUUCAUUCUCCUCUAUAUUAUGACCCAACGUUGUAAGUUGUGAAAAUAGAGUCUUCAAUGUGUUGAUGUGGUCGGUCACCAUUAUAGAUUCCGCCAUUUGAAGAGUAUAGAGUUUCCUCUUCAAGAAGAUUUUGUUGUGUAGUGACUUGACCUCGUACAAUUUUGUGAGAGUAUCCCAAAUUUCCUUCGCUGUAUUUUUCUUUGCCACACUGGAUAAUACUCCGUCUGCAAGUGCCAAGUGUAGAUCAGAAAUAGCGUUGCCAUCUAUCUCGUUCCACUUGUCAUCAAUUAUCUCCAUGGGCCUUUCUCCAAUUGCUGCCAAGUAAUUAUUUUUCCUCAAUACAGCUUUCAUCUUCAUUUUCCACAACGAAAAAUUAUUUCCGUUAAAUUUCUCAAUUUCAUACUUUGCUGCCAUUUUGUUGAUAACUAUUGUACACAAACUAGUGUAUCACAUUGAAUAGUUGUGAGUAUGUGUAAAAAUGCACACCAGGAAAGUUUCCAGGAAAGACUGGAGGGGUCACAAUGGUCCCACUUAAAACUCAGACUCCUUAAGCUCUUAUCACCUUUGUGACAGAACUUUCCUAGACAUGUACAAAACCACACAGUUGCUUUACUCACACCACUAUUCCCUGCUUUGCACCGCCAAAUUCUUGGAUCGCUCCUACCGUUUUACGUGAAUAGUACUGUAUACGUGAACAGUACCGUAUACGUGAAUAGUACCCCUUACGUGAACAGUACCCGACUCUAAAAAAUAUAACAAAUAGCUCUGAUACCACUGUUAGGAAAUUGGUGGGUGAAGCAGGACCGCAGCUAAUAUGAAAUUGGAAGAAAAUAAAGAACAAGCACAAAAAGAGGAUACCAGAAAUUACGUGGUUCGGCUUUUAACCUACGUCCACGGGCAAAAAUAGAAGGAAAUAUUUUACUCAUAAAAGGAAGUUACAAGUAUUGUAGUAUUUUAGCUCACUUUCCAAAAUCCCAAUAUACCCAAACUCUCAAAACACUAAAACAAGAGCUUAUAAUUUCAAGCUCUCUAAACUCUCUCUAAAUACAAGAAAACUCUUCUCAAAAUUGGAUAACCAAAUGAGGGAAUGAGCCCCUCUAUUUAUAGCCAAAAUCUUGGCUACUAUUCACUUUUUUUUAAAAAUUAUUUAUUAUUGUUCAAAAUUUCAACAUUCAAAGUUUGAUAUUCAAAGUUUGAAUAUCUAGAAGUUUGAAUUUGAUAUUCAAAGUUUGAAUAUCAAGACACCCAAUCUUAACACUAAAUUCAUCAGACUGACAACUGGGACAUAUAGAAGAGCGAAAUAACUGGGACAUAUACAAGAGUGAAAUGUUUAGAGCACGCUAAGUUCGAGUGAAAGAGAUUAAUUUACGGAAACUAAACCCAAGAGAAUAAAGGACAACACUUAUGUGAAGCGACAUAAUUGUAUUGAUAGCACAAUGUCAAAUUCAUACAGAGAUCUAGUAUACUAUUUACAGCCGGUAAGGGCUAAGAAUUGAUGUAGCUAGAAUACAAAGACGAUAAGGUAUGUUGUGCACUAUUGUUUUAUUCUACGAUCAAUCUUGACCCUUGAUGCUUGGCUCUCAAUCUUGUCCAUUGAUCUUCUUUGAUUUUGGACACUUCAAGACCUUUCAGUAUCAUUCCUUGUUGUUGGUGUCUUCCGUGCUGUAGAAUUCAUAUACAAGCCUUCCCGCCGACUUGCCAAGUAUUCGUUCAUUGAUGCAUUUUUAUCAAACAGCUGGGCUACUUAUGCCAAACACCGCCUGGUUUAACUCCCCCUCUCUAGCUCAACUAUCUGGGAAGACAAUUAAUUGAGAUAUGAAUCAGAAAAUUAAAUUUUAAAAAUUGUAUUCGGACUCUACAUUUUGUAAUGAACAUUGGUUUGACUUGUUAUACAUUUAUGCGUACAUAAUUAAUAACCGAUUCUCAAGUGCGGACAUUCAAGAGCACUGCUUAAAGACCAAAUAUUUUGAUUUACUAUUUUUUGUCUUUCAAUUUUCUUUUAAGUUCUGAUGACGUCCGCAUUUUAAAAUCAUGUGGAACAAAGGCCUGAGGUGCAUAUAAAAUUCUUUUAUUUUUCAGAGGAAAAUGGGUGAGAGAAGAAGAUUUGGCAAAAGAAUUGCAACGGCAUUUGAAACUAGUCUUCGUCUUUUAAUUCUUUUAUAUUUGUUUUUGUUAUUGAUGUUAGCUUGGAUGUGUGCGCGUGUGACUGAAUUCAACUUCUAUUUGUUUUUGUUAUUGUUAUUAAUUUUAUUUGUUUUUGUUAAAUUGGAUCACAAAAAAGGGUGGUCCAUUAUCAAAUCAACACGGUUUAAUUAUUAUUAUUUCUAUGCUUUUUUUAUGAACAAAUAUAAAAUAAAAGGACAUAUACACCCCAAAUUUUAGUGCAAUAGUCAUCAGCAUCCCUAAAUUUUUAAAAAAAGACAUCAAGAUCAUUUUUUGAUCUUAAUACUCUUAUACGGUACCUCUAUUAUUCCUAAAAAUUGACUCUAAUGUUUUAUAAUAAAUAAAAAUAAAAAAUUAAAAUAAAUGUAAUAACAUAUAAUUUUAAAAUAAUUUCAAUAUUUAAAAAAUAUUUUUAACAUUUUACAAUCUAUUAAAUAUAUUUUAUUAUAUUAAAGUAAAUUUUAUAAUAAAUAGAAUCAUAUUAUUAAGAUAAAUGCAUUAAAAUUUAAAUUAUUUUGAAUAUCAUGUAAGAUAAUAAUUUUAACAUUACUAGUAUGUCAGAAUUUUUUUUUUUAGUUGUAGAAUGUAUUUAGUGCAAAUAUUUAUUUCAAAUCUCUACAAUAAAUAAAAGAUUAAAAUAAAUAUAAUAAUUUACAUAUCUAAAUUUAUUAAAAUAUUUUAAUAUUGUUAGUCUACCGCAUAGAUCACAAUAUUUAUAUAACAUUUGUAUUUAUUAAAAACUUUAAAAUCAAUUCUUUUGAAAAUAAUAGAGGUAAAGGGUAUAAUGGUCAAAAGGGGGACUUUGUACCCCUUUCUGAAAAUUUGAGAGUGUUGGUGAUCAUUUCUCCAAACCUUCAGGGUGUAGAUGUCCUUUUCCCAUAAAUAUAUGAGAAAAUUGUCAUACAAUAUCUGAAUUCUGAAGUAACAAGAAUCACCUUUAUGAAAUCAUAUUGCUUUCCAUGAUAGACUGUUACCAUUUUUCUAUAAUAGAUUGAAUUUAGUAAAAAAAUUGAUUAAGAUGUCUACUCAUGGAGAGUGAAAUUUAUGUUCAAAACUAAUUUCACAUUAAGUAUAUAAAUGUGUGUGUGUGUGUGUGAUUUAAUUCAUUAAGCACGUGUAACUUUAAGUUGAAGACAUGCAUUCAUCCCCUCGCCAAUGAUUCAGAAAAUAAUGCAAAAAGAAUGAAGUACAAAAUUUAUACAUAUAAAGCGACAUAAUUUUAUUGAUAUCAUAAUAUCAUACUGAAAUUGGAACUGAGAAGAGGCUCUAUUAAUUAAGUAUAUUAAAUAUCAAUUAAAAAUACAAAAUGACAAAAGAAUAGCUGCUGGUCUAGAGGUGGCUUACUACAUUCAUACAAGAUCGUUUCUUGUUCUCUAAGAUGUGGAUUAUACUAAUAAUGCUAUGCAAACUUAUCCAAAGGUCUAUUAAUUAAUUCAUUAAUCCGACGGCUCGUUAGGUUGUCCUUUCAUCCAUACAGCUGCAUGCUUGUCUUCUUAUAUGCUGAUCUUAUCCUCUAGAUCUGUUCAGGCUGAGUGAUCUCGAUCUUAUCCUCUAGAUCUUAUGCGAUCACGACCUGUUGCUUGGUGAUGUCGAAUGCCUGGCCUUUACUUCUCUGAGCCAAUUGAUCAAACAAUUUGUUCAUUUUAUCGAACACCUUCACCAACAAACAUUUGAUUUACUUUUGAUGGCUUUUAAGUGCAUUUGAUGAUUAUUUUUGCUCCAACUUCAGAUAAACCAAACGCUAGUAUAUUAGAAGAAGAAAUUAACUGGCAGCUAACCAGGCCAAAGUAGCGACUCUAUAUAAAAAAUAUAUAUAUAAAAUAAAAAAUAAAAAAUGGGACUUUAUUUAAUUAAUUGUUGGUCUAAAGCUGUUGGUAUCCGUUGGCCACGUUUCUGAAGAGUCAUCUCAAAUCGAAAUUUUUAACGAACAAAGAACUUUGCUUUUUUCCAUUGUUCACAUUGCUGCUGGCUGCCGCCCGUGAGAUAAAAGUGCUACAAUCCAAAAUGUUCCACCAUCAUUUAUUCUAAUUUUAAUUUUCCAAUGGAAAAAAUUACAUAAUUAAAAUGGCUUCUAAUAUCAUUUCCACACCUCAAUAUGUGUCACUAUCAGAAGGUUGUUUUCGUGAUUCAUGGUAAAUUUGGAUUACAGCACCUGUACUUUCUGAUGGUUCAUUAUUUAUUCUCAGGAAUCGAGUCUCCUUACAUUCACUACAACAAAUAGUUAUAUUACCGACCAUAUAUUUUUAAGGGUACCAUUUACUCUUGAUAAUAAGUACGUUUUACAAAGGUAUUACACUGUCGUCGGAUAAACGUAGAAACUAGUAACUAUUUUUCCAAGGGUAAUUUGCCCCUCGAUGGUAAUGAAUAUUUUGUCGGAAAAGUCGAAAUUACACUGAUUUUUUUAAAUGAAUUGUUUUUUAUUUUGAAAUAAUAAUCAAUAAAGAAAACCCAAAAAAAUUACUUCAGCAAACUAACUAAAGACAGCGACUACUAUUUGAAACCAUUGCCUAUUUCAAAUAUAUAAUAUUUAAGAAAAAAACUCGGUUACAAAUAAAAUCACAAAUCAAUGAAGUUUACUCAAUUCACCGGAAAAAAAAAACCCUAGAAAUUCUAUCACAAUUCCCGCCGUCAGCAACGAUCUCUCAUUCACACCGGCACCAACCUCUCAUUCAUGGGGGAACCGAUCUCUCCUUCUGAUGUCAGUAUGUCAAAAUUCCUUUUAUUCGAUUUGCAGAUACGGUCUGAAUCUUCUUAUUGAUUUUCAAUUUCAGCUUAAAAUUAGUCGAGGCAUCUUCAAUUUGCCGGCAAUUUCAGCCACGAUGAUGAUGAUUAAACCACAACCUGUGGGCUACGGCGACCAAGACGUCAAGCUUAAGGCUCAACGAUCGAUUAAAGAACCAAAUCAUCGGUAGCUAGACGAAGAAGCUCUCGUUCCUCAAGGUUGAUGUCGUUCUUGCCGUUUGCAGAAGCCGUAUCGGCCGAUAUUACAGCCUAGCAGGUUCACAUGUGGCUUCAAAGCCGUCUAAGCCAUGCUAGACGCCAGCCUAUUUCCUGAUUUGUCUCUGAUAUUUUCUCGUAGAGAUGAACAAGUGAAAUUUCAAAUCUAUUAUCUUUCUCUUUUGGUUUUAUUAUUGCAUAUUUUUUAAAUUUUUAAUCUUUUUAUUACUGAUUUGGGGAGCUUAGUGUUCAAUUUGUAUGAUCACAUAAGAGGAUCCUGUGAUAUUUAUUUAUCUGACAUUUACAUUUUAAUGUUCAUUACUGAGUAAUGAUCUAUGUUUGAGUUUUUGAUCAUCAUCUGCUAACUGAUUUUUUCUUUUAAUUUCAUGAAUUAUAUAUAUAUAUAUAAUUUCAUAGCUCUUUAGUAUAUGGCUAAGAGCAGAGCACAUCUAAUUUUGAGCCAUAUAUGAUGCCACUUGUUAUUUAUUAAUUAAUAGUAGAGUUAAUUAAAUUUAAAAAAAAGAAUUGAAAGAUAAGAAGUAACAUAGAAUUUUUUUUUUAAAAUCGAAUAUCAUUUUAUUGUAGUACAUUAGCUCUUGUUUAAUGAUUAUAUUUAGUUAAUGGAUUCAUUCAUUAGUUUGUUCAGAAAUUGGAGUUGCUAUAUUUUGAUCCAAAUGAAAAAUAAAAACUUAUAAUGAAGGAUGGAUGGGUGUCAUUUUCCCUUAUAGUUUUUAUAUUGCUUCGUAGAUGAUUGUAUUUAUUUUUUAUGCGAUCAAGCCUCAAUUCUUGUAUCUUUUAUGGCACCAUUUUAAUAGAACUUGAUCGAUACUUGCAGUUUUUCUGCCAAAACAAUUAUAGGGCGGCAUACAAAUUUUGUAGAGGUUACUUUGUAUAGCCUAAUUCAAGAUUUCUUUUUUCUUUGACUUUUGACAUGCAAUUCUUAUUUUGACCAUUAAAUGGAAAUUAAUCAUGCAUUUUCUCAGUAGUGUGAUGCUUAUUUGGCUUUUGACAUGCAAUUCUUGUAGAGAUGAUGCUUUUGGGAUUCAUUUCACUCGUACUCACUAUCAGGUGUCAAGGAAGCUCAUGUGAGCCAAAUAGUCAGCAAAGCAGAGGAUUAUAACAGCAGCAACUUACAGCUGCGAGUUGAUGAUUUGGACUGCCAGCUGGCACCUGGUGGUUAUAUAAUUUCUUGUACUCGUAACUGAUUAGUUGUAGUUUGUUAAUAAGCUGCUGCAUGAUUAGCAUGUGAGAUUAGUUUAGCUAGUAUGGUUAAUCAGUUACGUGAGUAUAUAAAGCAAAGGCAGCACAUUUCCUCUGUAAUCUUGUUGAAAGAAAUAAAAACAAAUUCUCAGAUUCUUAUCAUUUUCUCUCAAUAUUUCUUAGUCAUCAAACAAGCUGUUUUGUCACUUGGUAUCAGAGCCAAGAUAAUGGCGUCUGUUAAUCUAGUUACUUCAAAUCAGAUCCAAAAUACUCCCGCUGUUUCAACUAAUAUUUCAUUCACUUUCAAUACACCAGUGAAGCUUGAUCAAGCUAACUAUCUCAUAUGGCGAUCUCAAGUGCUUGCUUCAAUUCGUGGCAACAGACUUGAAAAGCUUAUUGAUGACUCGAUUACUCCUCCUCCAUCUCACAUUGCUCAAAGAGUUGGAGAUGACGUCAGAUCUGUGGAGAAUCCAGACUUUAUAUCUUGGAGAUCUCAGGAUCAAGUGCUGCUUGGAUGGUUACUCUCUUCAAUGAGUGAAGGAAUCAUCAGUCUAGUCUUCAAUCUGGAGACAUCACGUGAGGUUUGGAAAGCUGUUGAGGUACAAUUUGGUUCUCAAUCCAAAUCACGACUGUUACAUCUAAGAUAUAUGAUGAAUUCUACUAGAAAGGAUGAUAUGAAAAUCACAGAUUACUUCAUUAAAAUGAAAAACAUAUCUGAUAAUAUGGCUGCAGCAGGAAGUGCCUUGAGUAAUGAUGACUUAAUUUUGCAUGUGUUGUCUGGUUUAGGACCAGAUUAUAAUUCAGUAGCUACCUAUAUAACUGGUCAAGUAGGAACUGGAAAAAUGGAUCUGAAUGAAGCUUAUGCAAUGCUUUUAACUCAAGAAGUUAGGAUUGAACAACAGUCUCAUAUGCUAGCUGGUACAGAUAUGAAAAAUAACUUUGAAGCAAAUUUUGCUCAAAACAGAGGACCUAAGAAAGGAAACAUGUUCAAUGGAAAAGGUUUUGGUGGUUAUGGCUAUAAUUCUGGUUCUGGAAAUAACUAUAACUCAGGCUUUAGCAAUAAUGGUUAGUACAAAGGAAACUUUGGUACUGAGUUUGCUGGUACUGGUUUUAACAAUCAGUUCAAAGGAUACCAGUCCAGUAAUCAUGGAGGGGGAGGAGGAGGUAACUGGAAUAACAACAAUGGACCAAGUAACUUUAACAGUGGCAAACCAUCUGUGAAUCCUAAGCCACAAUGGAAUGCAUCAAAGCCUACCUGUCAAAUUUGCCUCAGGCCUGGACACACUGCAAAUAUUUGCUGGAAACUUGAAGAGUUUAUUACUUCAGGUGCUUACAAACCACCACCAAAUAGAGGACCUAAGGCAGCUUAUCUGGCUAACAUGGAUGCUCCAGUUGACAACAAUUGGUAUCUGGAUAGCGGAGCCACACAUCACCUCACAAAUGAUAUGAAUAAUGUGAAUGGUGUUGAACCUUUUGCAGGUAAUUCCAAACUUAUUGUUGGAAAUGGUGUUGGUUUGUGCAUAACACACAUAGGUUCUGUUGUUCUAAGAAUGCCUGAUGAUCUGAAUUAUUCUGAUCUUAAGCUAAACAACAUUCUACUUGUUCCAAAAAUAACCAAAAACCUGAUAAGUAUUUCCCAAUUAACCAAAGAUAAUAAUGUUGUGGCUGAAUUUACUGAUAGUUUCUGUUUUGUGAAGGACAAGGUGAAGAAUUCAGUUAUGCUACAGGGCAAAGCUGAAAAAGGUUUAUAUAGAUUGUUGUGUGUUUCCUCAACCAAGUCCUCUGCUUCACAGUCAAACCAAGGUCUUCUUACUCAUGUCGAGUCAGCUGUUUCAAAUCAGCCAAUUUCAAUGUUUUCAACUGUUGUUUCAAAAUUUCCAAAUAAAACUGCUUGCUGUUUGCAUACAGAAGCACUAUGUUGUCAAACUCCUAGUUGUAUGUUGAAUACUAUGGUAUUACAUCAGAGACUAAGGUGCUUAGUCAUGUAAUCAAUUCUUGUUCUUCCUUAAAGAAUGUCAGUGGUAAUAAAACAAUCGAUUCCUGUGAUGCUUGUAAGAUGGGAAAAAUGCAUAAACUUCAUUUUUCAAUUACUGAAACCAAAACCAAAAAUCCUUUGGAACUUCUACAUACUAAUCUAUGGGGACCUUCUCCCACACCUUCUAUCCAAGGAUACAAAUACUAUGUUAGCUUUGUGGAUGACUUCACAAGGUUCACCUGGAUUUUCCCUUUGAAAACCAAAGCUGAUACAUUUCAAGUGUUUAAAAUCUUUAAAGCUCAGGUGGAAAAACAAUUGGAUAAGCCUAUUAAAUGUCUUCAGUUAGAUUGGGGUGGGGAAUACAGAUCUUUUGUUCAUUUUCUUCAUGAAACAGGAAUACAAUUUAGACAUUCAUGCCCUUAUACACACAAUCAAAAUGGUCUUGUAGAAAGAAAGCAUAGGCACAUCACUGAGUUGGGUUUAACUUUACUUGCACAAGCUAAAAUACCCAUCAAAUUCUAGUGGGAUUCUUUUCAUACAGCCACUUACAUUAUUAACAGAUUACCAACUCCUGUUCUUUCCAUGAAAACUCCCUAUGAAUGUCUCUUUCAUUUGCUACCUGAUUAUCCUUUUCUCAAAACUUUUGGUUGUGCUUGUUUUCCAUUCUUAAGAGAUUACAAUCGUCACAAGUUUGAUUUCCAUACAUCCAAGUGUGUCUUCCUAGGAUACAGUCCAUUACACAAAGGUUACAAGUGUCUUCAUCCAUUAGGGAAAACUUAUAUAGCCAGCCAUGUUCUUUUUUAUGAAACCUCUUUUCCAUACUCUACUGAUUCACAUUUUUUGAAGUCCUUGCCACCUAAGGUGUCUGACUUCCAAUACAAUUCUCUACAGUUUUACAAUAUUUCAGUUCCUCAUAGCAAUCUAAAACCUUUUGAAGCUGCUGCAGCAGACACUGAUUCUCAUACUUCUAGUUCUAAUUACAAUAUCAUGUCACCUUCCUUCUCUACUCAUCCUGUUUCUUCUACUGAUACCAUAUCCUCACCUAUUAUUUACACCACAUCUCCUAUCACAACUCCAAACACUACAUCUUCACCCAUCAUCCAUCACCACUCUCCAGAAUUUCCUAUAACACAUCAGGUUCCUUUACACACAUCACCUUCCAGACCAUCUUUCUCCUCUGCUCAUCCUAUGAUUACCAGAGCUAAAGCUGGUAUCUUCAAACCUAAGGCAUUCUUAACAGCACAUAAUAGCUUAGAGCCUUCUAGUGUUGAUGAAGCUUUAGCUGAUCCUAAGUGGCAAGCUGCAAUGCAACUGGAAUAUGAUGCACUUAUUCAAAACAAAACCUGGAGUCUAGUUCCAAUGGAUCCAGCUUAUAAACUGGUGGGUUGUAAGUGGGUUUUCAGAACAAAGUAUAAUCCAGAUGGCUCAGUCUCUAAGUAUAAGGCUCGGUUGGUUGCUAAGGGUUUCCAUCAGACAGCUGGGGUUGACUAUUCAGAAACUUACAGUCCUAUAGUUAAGUCUUCCACUGUCAGAGUUAUACUGAGCUUAGCAGUCAUGCAAGACUGGAAUGUUAGACAAAUAGACAUCAACAAUGCCUUUCUUAAUGGGGAUCUCACUGAAGAUGUGUUCAUGCAACAGCCAGAGGGUUUUGUUUCAGGGGGAGGCUACGUCUGCAAGCUAAACAAAGCCCUUUAUGGUUUAAAACAGGCACCAAGGGCCUGGUAUGAUAAACUUAAGGGCUGUCUUACUGAUUGGAAGUUUACAAACGCUAAGGCUGAUACCUCACUGUUUAUUAGGCAUGACAUUAAAGGCAUAAUCUUUGUUUUGAUCUAUAUAGAUUAUAUUCUAGUCACAGGACCAGAUUCAGUCUUGCUGGAGGCUUUCAUCACAAACUUGAGUAAAGUAUUUGCCUUAAAAGACUUAGGUCUGGUUUCAUACUUCCUUGGUAUAGAAGUCAGCUACACAGAUCAUGGAAUGCAUCUCUCCCAAACUAAGUAUAUCAAGGAUUUGCUAGCUAAAGCAUCAAUGCAGAACUGCAAAGAGACAGAAACUUCUUUCAGCACAGGCUACAAAUUAGAAAGAACAGCUAAAGGUCUUUUGGGUGCAGAAUUUGAAAAUCCAACUCUCUACAGAAGUAUAGUUGGAGGACUUCAAUACUUGAUCUUAACCAGACCAGACAUUGCCUAUUCAGUACAUAAACUUAGCCAGUAUCUAUGUGCCCCAACUCUCCAACAUUGGUUAGCUUGUAAAAAGGUGUUGAGAUAUUUACAAGGAACUAUUACACAUGGUCUUUAUAUUCAGCAAGAGGGGACUUUGGAAACAAUUGGCUUGACAGGGUAUUCAGAUGCUGAUUGGGCGUGUGAUAUUGAUGACAGAAAAUCCAUUGGAGCUUACUGUAUUUUCCUUGGCAAUAAUCUAGUUUCCUGGUCUUCGAAAAAGCAAGCUAUUGUAGCAAAGUCUAGCACUGAAAGUGAAUACCGACCAUUGUCGGCAGCAAGUUCAGAGCUUACUUGGCUACAGUCCUUGUUUUCUGAGCUGAAGAUUAUCAAGUUGCCAACUUCUGUUCUCUGGUGUGAUAAUCAGAGUGCAGGUGAUCUAGCUAAAAAUCCAGUAUUUCACUCUAAGUCCAAACAUAUAGAGCUGGAUGUUCAUUACAUUAGAGAUAAGGUUCUGAAUAAGGAGUUAGAAGUAAGGUACAUUCUCACUGAAGAGCAAGUGGCAGAUGUUCUUACUAAGCCUCUGUCAUUUCCAAAAUUUAGUUAUUUUCGUUCCAAGCUCAAUGUGAUCAACAGACCCUUGAGCUUGAGAGGGGAUGUCAAGGAAGCUCAUGUGAGCCAAAUAGUCAGCAAAGCAGAGGAUUAUAACAGCAGCAGCUUACAGCUGCGAGUUGAUGAUUUGGACUGCCAGCUGGCACCUGGUGGUUAUAUAAUUUCUUGUACUCGUAACUGAUUAGUUGUAGUUUGUUAAUAAGCUGCUGCAUGAUUAGCAUGUGAGAUUAGUUUAGCUAGUAUGGUUAAUUAGUUACGUGAGUAUAUAAAGCAAAGGCAGCACAUUUCCUCUGUAAUCUUGUUGAAAGAAAUAAAAACAAAUUCUCAGAUUCUUAUCAUUUUCUCUCAAUAUUUCUUAGUCAUCAAACAAGCUGUUUUGUCACUUCAGGCAUAGGUAUAUUUCUAAAAUAUUUCUUCCUGCAAAGGUUGCAGACACUAUGUUGCUGUGCAAGGCUGGUGGUAUGCACGAGACAGAGGAGUAAGUACUUGCUUUGUAGAAGAUUUUAGCUCGUCUUAAGAAUUAUAUAUGAAUUAUUUUUGCUAAAAGACAUAUUCUAACUAGUUUUAUGUUUAAUUGACAAAGUGUGGAGGUUCUAAAUGGCAGUGAUCAUCAUUAUGAUAGUGUGGUUCCUUUGGAUCCUUCCAAAAAUAGUCUGAACAAUGAAUGUGGUAUAAUCUAUCUCUCACUGAUCCUUGCUGAAAUAUUUUAUUAUCAUGUAGCCUAUGAAGUUAAAUUUUAUGGUUUGAAGAAUAUUUUUUAGUUUAUUUAUUAUAAUUGAUCUGCUAUUGAACUAUUUCUCAUUAUAAAUAAUGACAAACAAUAUCUACGGCUGUUGUUACACUACAAAUCCUUUGAUUGAGAUGCAUAUUUGUAUAAAUGGUUAGGCAUUGUAAUCACUUCACUUCUCAAUCAACAUCAAUUACUGAACACAAUUAAAGGUUUGUUUAAGUUACUCAUUCAUGCGUUUCAACAUUUUAGAUUAAAAGGUUUGGUUACUGUUGAUAUAAAUGUUUCUGCUUUUGUAUCGAAUGGGUGCGGUUGUUUCAUGUUUUCUGUAAGGUUGCCAAGAAAGGGAAAGAUAUGAAAUAAAGUUUCCAGUUUUGCUUUGUUUUCAUUUUGCUUUCUAAUUAACAAAGGGGAGUGAAUUCCGUCGGCAAGUGCAAACUAAACCUAAAUUAUCAAAUUUAUUUAUUAUCAUCAGGUCCUUAAAAUUUAAAAUUUAAAUUUAAAUCUUGACGGCACUUUAUAUCAUUAGGUCCUUAAAAUUUAAAAUUGAAGACACAUAAUGAAAUAUAUAUAAAUUUCAUCCUCAUAGGAAAGGAUCCUCUAAUAAUCUUAAAAUAUUUGAGCUUUGAAAGAUUUUUUAAAACAAAUGUACUUUUAUUUUUGUACAAUCAAUAUUUACUUAUUUAUUAUAUUUUUAUUCAUUAACUAUCAAUCAUGUGAGUAUAUUUACUCAAAAAUAUCAUAUCAACGGAGCAUCUUGAUCCCACGCACACGCAAAUCUGUAAAUUUCUAUACGCUUCACUUACCUCUAGAAUCAAUUAUCUAAAAUGCAAGUUUGUGGCCACAAAAAAAGCCAAAGAAAGAAGAUAAUAACAAUUGACUUGUAUAUUAUACUCGUACAAUCCACUCGACGUAAUGAUAUCCUUUUAAUAAGGCAAUGGCUGAUGAUCUCCAUUGAAAAACUAAUUCAAUUUUUUUGCCUCAUUUAACUUUUUGGUUGUUGAAAAUAACCUUAAUUAUCAAAUAAUUGGAGAAAGAGUAAAGAACAUUUAACAAAUUUAUGUGCAAAAAAAUAAAAAAAAAGGAGAAGUUGAAGAGAAAGGGUGCUUGCAGAAGUGGGUGUCAAAGAAAAAUUGGUCCAUAAGAAUUAUUGAGGUUAUUUUUUGGCAAUAUAAAAUUUUUAUAGCAAGUAAAAAUUAAUUUUUUUUCCAAUUCACUAAAAACUUCUGCGACAGCAUUUUUUAUGGGUGCUUAUACCCUCCCUUUAAAGAAAAAAUAAUUUAAUGCUUAAGAUAGUAUUAAAUACGAAAAUAUCAAUAUCUGACUACUCAAAUUUAUAUCAUUAGGUCCUUAAAAUUUAAAAUUGAAGAUACGAAAAAAUUGAAGAUAUGAAAGGAAAUAUAUAUAAACUUCAUUCUUAUGGAAAUGAUUCUCUUAUAAUCUUAUAAUAUUUGAGUUUUGAAAAUUUUUUAAAACAAAUGUAAUUUUAUUUGUGUACAAUCAAUAUUUACUUAUUUAUUAUAUUUUAAUUUAUUUAUUAUAUUUAGUCAGAAAAAUUAUAUCAAGAGAGAAGCCUAAUUUCACGCAAACACAAAUACAAGACAAAUAUGUUAAUUUCUAUACUAUUCACUUUCCUGUAGAAUCAAUUAUCUAAAAUGCAAGUUUGUGGCUACAGAAAACUCGCCAAAGAAAGAAGUUAAUAACAAUUGAGCAUUGAUAGCAAAACUAAUGCAUCAUUUUCUUCUUGACUUGAUGAGAUGGCGCCAUUACAAAAAAACAAGUACCUUAAUUGACGGGCACUGAGUGAUGUGAAUACUACCAGCCAGUUCAUCUCUUCCAGUCUUGCUUAAUCACAAUCACAAACACCACGAGAUCGACAUUUGCAUUAUAUAUAUCUUCAGCAAUCGAAACACCUUGCAUUACCAAAUUAACCAGUAACAAACAAAGCAAUGUUUCAUGGAGAGAAACCUUAGUCUCAGUAUGAUCAUUGUGUCAUUAACCCACUGCCUGCUUCUUUGCUUGGUUGAUGCUGCAGCAGCAGCAGCAGCAAGCAGCAAUAUUACCACAGACCAACAAGCUCUUCUUGCCCUGAAAGAUCAUAUAACUUAUGAUCCGACCAACAUUUUUGCCCAUAAUUGGACCUCGAAUACCUCUGUUUGCACCUGGAUUGGCAUCACUUGUGCUGUCAAUAGCCAUAGAGUCACAGCCUUAGAUAUUUCUCAAUUCAAUCUACAAGGCACCAUCCCUCCUCAACUUGGAAACCUCUCUUCACUCACAACGCUUAAUCUUAGUCAUAACAAGCUUUCCGGAAGCGUUCCCACCUCCAUCUACACCAUGCAUACGCUAAAAUUUCUUGACUUCACUGAUAACCAGCUCUCUGGUUCAGUUUCUUCCUUCGUCUUCAACAUGUCUUCAAUAUUAGACAUUCGUUUGACCAAUAACAGACUUUCUGGUGAGCUUCCGAAAAAUAUUUGCAACUAUCGUCCUUAUUUGAAAGCCCUUUUUUUGGACAAAAACAUGUUGCAUGGCAAAAUUCCUUCUGCUUUAUCAAAGUGCAAACAACUGCAACAAUUAAAUUUGCAGUUCAAUAAUUUAUCCGGUGCAAUACCAAAAGAAAUCGGCAACUUGACCAUGCUCAAAGAGAUAGACCUCGGCUACAACAAACUCCACGGUAUGUUCAUAAUACUAUCUAAAUAUUUUAAUUUCUCACUUGUUAAUUGUCUUGAAUAUCUUAGAUAAGAUCUUGUAAGUGAGAUUUUUUGCAUCUAUGUUAAUUUACCAGGUGAGAUACCCCACGAAAUCGCUAAUCUUCGAAAUCUAGAGGCUUUAGUGCUAGGAAUGAACAACCUAGUUGGUGUGGUAUCAGCUAUAAUCUUCAACAUGUCAUCACUGAAGGUACUUAUCCUCAUCAAUAACUCUCUCUCCGGAAGUCUCCCAUCAAGAAUGGACCUUUCACUUCCAACUAUUGAGCAUCUUAACUUGGCACUUAAUAGAUUUUCUGGAACCAUUCCUAGUUCCAUCACCAAUGCUUCUAAGCUCUCCUUUCUAGAGUUGGGAGGAAACACAUUUUCGGGCUUUAUUCCAAACACAAUUGGAAAUUUAAGAAACCUUGAGUGGCUCGGCUUGGCUAAUAACUCCUUGACAUCUUCAACCUCAAAAUUGAGCUUUCUUUCCUCUUUGGCAAAUUGCAAGAAAUUAAGAUCCUUAAACUUAAUAGGCAAUCCGCUUGACGGCUUCCUUCCAAGUUCAAUAGGUAAUCUUUCCAUGUCUUUGAAAAUACUUCUCAUCGCCAAUUGCAGUAUUAUUGGCAAUAUUCCUCAAGCAAUUAGCAAUUUAAGCAACUUGCUGGCCUUAGUAUUAGAACGCAAUAAAUUGACUGGACCAAUUCCAAUUACAUUCGGCCGACUGCAGAAACUCCAAGGCUUAUAUCUUGCAUCCAAUAAGUUGGUAGGUUCAUUCCCAGAUGAGCUUUGCCAUCUAGGUAGGCUGGCUGUAUUGGCCUUACUUGACAAUAGGCUUUCAGGAUCUAUACCUUCAUGCGUAAGUAAUCUCACUUCUCUAAGAUCUCUCUAUUUAGAGUCCAAUAGGUUUACUUUUGUCAUUCCCUCAACUUUCUGGAGCCUAAAAGACAUCUUGUUCUUUGACUUUUCAUCAAAUUUCUUGGUUGGUCCUCUUUCUUUAGACAUAGGAAAUUUGAAGGUGCUUGUAAGAAUAAAUUUAUCAGAAAAUAACUUAUCCGGUGAUAUCCCAGCCACAAUUGGAGGACUGAAAGACCUUCAAUUUAUGGACCUAGCAUAUAAUAGAUUGGAAGGCCCAAUUCCUGAAUCAUUUGGUGACUUGACAAGUUUGGAGGUUUUGAAUUUGUCAAAUAAUAAAAUCUCUGGGUCUAUUCCAAAAUCCAUGGAGAAACUCUUUUACCUCCGAGACUUAAAUCUCUCUUUCAAUGAACUAGAAGGUGAGAUUCCUAGUGGAGGAAUUUUUGCCAACUUCACAGCUGAGUCAUUUAUGGGAAAUGAGUUAUUGUGUGGUUUACCAAAUCUUCAAGUCCAACCAUGCAAAGUUAGCAAGCCGAGGACAGAACAUAAAUCAAGGAAAAACAUACUUCUCAUUGUGAUUGUUUUGCCAUUGAGUAUUGCUCUAACAAUAGCAAUCACUCUGCCUCUCAAAUCUAAGCUGAUCGAAUGUGGAAAAAGAAGCACAGUGUUGUCAAAUGAUAGUGUCUUGUCAUCACAAGCAACACUAAGAAGAUUUUCAUACUUAGAACUUUUACAAGCAACAGAUAAUUUUGCUGAAAACAACAUAAUUGGCAGAGGAGGUUUUGGUUCCGUUUAUGGAGCAAGACUUGAAGAUGGGAUGAAGAUUGCAAUAAAAGUGUUUCACCAGCAAUGUGCAAGCGCAUUGAAGAGUUUUGAGGCUGAAUGUGAAGUGUUAAAAAAUAUUCGCCAUCAAAACCUUAUCAAAGUUAUCAGCAGUUGCUCGAACGAUGACUUCAAAGCAUUAGUCCUAGAAUACAUGUCCAACGGGAGCUUGGGGGAUUGGCUGCAUUCUAGCAAUUAUGUGCUGAAUAUAUUUCAGAGGUUGAACAUAAUGAUUGACGUUGCAUCAGCUUUAGAAUAUCUCCACUUCGAUCAUUCAACUCCUAUUAUUCAUUGUGACUUAAAGCCUAGUAAUGUAUUGUUGGAUGAAAAUAUGGUUGCUCAUUUGAGUGAUUUUGGCAUAGCAAAGCUUUUAAGUGGAGAAGAUGAGUCUAUGAUGCGAACAAAAACCCUUGCCACUAUAGGUUAUAUGGCACCAGGUUUGCUUCAAACAAUUUUUUUUUGAGUUCAUUUUAAAUUUUCCAAAUCAUCGAUUUUUACGAUCCUCAUAUCAAAAUGUUAUUGAUUAUUUAUCUAAUUGUGAAAUUAAUUUGAUUCAUAGAGUACGGCAUAAAAGGAGAAGUAUCUACAAAAAGUGAUGUUUACAGCUAUGGGAUUAUGUUGAUGGAAACUUUUACCAAGAAAAAACCCACAGAUGAAAUUUUUGUCGGACAAUUGAGCUUAAAGCGUUGGGUUAAUGACUUGCUUCCUAAUUCAUUAGUGGAAGUUGUGGACAAAACUCUGCUAAGUGGAGAGGAAAAACAUUUUGCCGCAAAGGAGCAAUGUCUGUUAUCUAUCUUUAGUUUGGCUCUGGAGUGUACAAUGGAAUCACCGGAAAAGAGGAUUAAUGCAAAAGAUAUUGUUACCAGGUUACUCAAGAUAAGAGACACAUUGAGUAAAAGGAUAGGAAAUUUAAGUUAAUUUCGUUUGCUUUCAUUGAUAGUUAAUUCAAAUUCAUGUAAUAAGUGUAAGAAUCUUAUAUGCUUUCCUUAGAUUUUUUUUUUUUUUUGAGAAAACUGUUGUAGUCAUCUUGUUUCCAUGGGCAGAGUUGAUUUAGUUUUUCCAAGAAAUGCUACUGAUGACAUUUGUUUUAUACGCUCUCUUUUUUUGCAUGCGUUUAGGUAGAAUAGUGGUCUAGCUGCAGGCCAAUAAGUCAAGCUACGCCAAAAGCGUAUGAUUGAAUUUAUAAGAGUGAAAUAAUUAGCAAAAAGAGUUUAGAAUGACAACUGGGACAUACAUAUAUAAGAGUGAAAUAAUUAAAAAAUAAUGCUUUUUUGUUUGUCGUGUUAAAAUCGUAAGUACCGAAGUACUGUGAAAGAGAUUAAUUUACAGAAACUGAAGCCAAGGGUUCAAAAAAAAAGUGCAAAGAGAAUAAUUGUAUUGGUAGCACAAUGUCAUAUUCAUACAGAGAUCAAGUAUAUUAUUUACGGCUAGUAAGGACUAAGAAUUAAUUGUACACUAUUGUUUUAUUCUACAAUCAAUCUUGACCCUUGAUGCUUGGCUCUCAAUCUUGUCCAUUGAUCUUCUCUGAUUUUGGAGACUUGAAGACCUUUCAGUAUUAUGCCUUGUUGUUGGUGUCUUCCAUGCGGUAGAACCGACGACUUGCCAAGUGUUUGUUCAUUGACGCAUUUUAUCAAACAGUUGGCCUGCUCAUAGCAAACAGCUCCUGUUUUAAUUCGAUGUUAUACGGGUAUUUCAUUUAUUUGAGUAGGGGUUAGGGGUCAAUUGGAUACAAAUUCAAAAUUAUCCUUACUUGAGAUGGUGAUAAAAAUUGGGGAUUUAAUUUGGAUGUGAUUAGCUACAAAUAUUAAGCUCAUACAUUUAAUUCAAAAUUGGAGGGCUGAUAUAUGUGCAUCAUCGUGCACGUUAUAGUGACACUGCGUCACCAUCCCACAACCUCUCCAAUGAAAAAUUGACAUGCAUCUUGUGCGCUUCUGAUCAAAAUCCUGAAAAUUAAUCACAAAGUUAUACUUUUAUUAUAAAAAGAAUAAAGAAACUCCAAGAAAAAAAAAAUAGACUUACAUAAAUAGUUUGAGUAUUCUAGAUUCCAAGUUGUCUAUAUUAGCUUGAUCUUUUUAUAAAUAGUCAUCUUCGAAAAAAAAUUCCACCACCAUAUAUUUUAAUUUUAUGUUAAUUAAUAAAUAGAAAAAAAAUCAUUUUAGAAUUAAUUAAAACAUUAUUUAUUGUUGCCAAAAAAAAGGAAGAAUUUAGUGAUAAGAAAAAAGUGUCUCAAAUAUACGUUAAAAAAAUUAAUCAUGGUGGGUUCGAUUGAUUGAAUUUUUUUUUUUAUCUUUUUCUUUUUUAAGAAUUAAGACAAUUGGAUUGAUUGAGUAAUAAUAAAAUAUAUUUAUUUGGCAAAUGGCAGUUAGGCUUUCUUCUGAUGCAGAUUAAUUAGAGAGAAUAUAUAACCAUUUUAAGCUCGUCAGAUUCGGAACCUGCUUAUCUGUCGUGUGGGGAUCACUUCCGUGUCUUAUUUUUCUACAAAAAUCUAGACCAUUGGAUUUCCCAUUAGUCAAUAGAUAAAUGUUUGAUCUUGAUUCUUGAUUAAGAUCGAAGUUUGAUUCUAACCAACAUGAUGUCUGAUUCAGAUUGCGAAGCCAGCAAAUUGAAAGUAACUUGUUCUAUUUUGAUAAAACAUUCUCAUAGUAAAGUGAAUUACCAUCCAACGAUCCAACUCAUGUUUUCAAAUUGUAAAUUGCAAAUCGUGUGUUUGCCCCAUUACAGAGUUUCUUCAAUCUGAAAUAGAGAAUCAUUUGUGUUCUAGAUUAAUCGUGGGUCUAUAUCCAAAUCUAAAAAUUGACUAAAUUCUUAAUCCUAACAAGAAAAAUUGAAGAUUAAAAACAACUAAUUUGGUACCAUACCACUAUUGUAACAUAGGUAGAUCCUCUAUUAAUUGGAGUAAAGAUUGAAUUAUCUCAUUUAUUAAGGUUUAUCAAAAUCUUGUGUCAAAAUCUAUUAAUGAUAUAGGUUCAAGGAUGAAAGAGUCACUUCAUUACUUUUGAGUUCCCAAAUAGAUGAAUGGGUGUUAUUUUUGGAUUCCGGAGAGUCGAAAAUAUUAGGAUAGGUGCUAAAUCGAAUUAAGUUGUAGAUAAGAUAGAAAUGGAUUUGGAGAGAUUGGAAUCCUAGGUAAUCCGGUGCACGUUGUCGUGUUAAAUUAUCGUUGACUUCACGUUGACUGAAGCAUUAUUGGAAGAAACAAGUUUAUUGAUGUGAGGCCUUUGAGAUUGUAAGUGUUAAAUCUGAGAAGAAUACCCACACACCCAUUAUCCUAUUACUCUUAUAUCACAUGAAGAGAAUUCAACAUUUGAUUCACACGGAAAAAAUUUGUGAGGAUUGUGAGGGUUGAUGGAAUAUAAUUUAGAUACAAAGUGUUUACCAGUGCGAUGCUUCGCAAGUGUUCUUGAAUCAAUAUAAACUCACAUUAUUUUCAUAGUGAUUGUUUCAUCUGCACGUGGAUAUAAUCACAUGUCGAGAUUUUUUUCCUUAAAUUAUGGUCUUAUUUAGUAUUGAGGUGUUAUAUCUUUUAAGGUACAAUUAUUGUUGGAAAAAAGUUACAACUAUCAAAUAAAAUUAAUACUAUGUGCUAAAUAUAAUUGUUAAAUAAUAAUUUUGACAAAAUUAGUGAAGUUAUAUAGAUUUUUUUUCAUCAUCCAAGUAUAAAAUCAAAUCAACUUAACUUCUAAGUUAUAUAUCGGUUACUGUUUAUCAUAUGUUUUAGUUCUGUAACUUUUAAGUUAUAGUUACCCAACCUCAAUUCUAAACAAGACCUAUAAAGAUCAAAGAUUUCCUCAUUAAAUUAUAUGUCUUGUGAUUGCUUAUUUAAUUUAUAUUUUUGUUAUUUAUCUUUAUUAAUUAUAAUCAUCUUUUUAUAAAUUAAAAUUGAAGGAAGUUGAUUGAUGUUGUUGACACACACGCACACACUCACAAAGACAUAUUGGAAGUGCUUACGUCGACUCGAAGUUGUUGGGAAUUAAUGCAUGUAUUGAUUUAUUGGGAGUGUUUAAAUGAUUUUGUGAUUUACUUGAUUUAUUGAUUGAAUAUUGUUUGAUUGCUUCAUAUCCAUUCUAGAAAGUUUAUUUCUUUGUGAAAGUUCAACGAAAUAUGUUUUUUUUUUUUUAAAUAAGGGUGUUCUAAAUAAUUUUAAAAAAUAUAUGGACUAAUUAGAAUUAAUUAUUAGGUAAUUAACUCAAUCUGUACGGGGUAAAACAACAUUUAUCCUAAUUAUAUCAUGAUAAAUACUUUUCCGAUUAGAAUUAGGAAAUCAUAGGUUUGUUGAAUUGUUUUUUUUUUAUUUUCCUUUGCGGAAACGGAUUAGAGAAUUAGAAAACAAUCAUGUUGAUGUCAAAAUCUGAUCUAGUCGGUUAGCGACUUAAUAUCAUAUUACUGCACCAGUAUUAAAUUUAUUUGGUAGAGAAUCGGCUGGUCAAUUGUCAAGAUGUCCUGCAAUCACUAGCGAUUAACCUACGAAUAUAUGAAAUUAUAGAAGACGGUAAGAGGCACCGGAAGUUUUUUCGUCGUGAACCUUCUGACGCUCAAGUCAGUUUAUAGGUUUACGAUAAUAAAAAUAAAUAAUUUCUAUUUAAAACAAAAAAUAGAGUUCAAAAGCUCAAAAAUAAAACCCAAUCCCAAUAUGAAAAUGAAUAUCUUUUUUUUUAGCUUGGCCGAAUCCUUCUGCCUCCUAAAGAAACAUAAUAGAGAAGCCGGUAGCCAUGUUCCCUAGGUAACGCCCCACUCCCCUCUUUUAUUCCUCCCCCUCUCUUCUGUUUCCUUCUUUUGCUCACUAUCCUUUAUAAUUUUUUAUGCUUGUCUUCCCAAAAUAGCCUUUGAAUACACAAGUAAAUGUCUAGGCUUUGGUGAGGAUAGUUUGGUUAUUGCAUUUUACAAGUAAGAUGAGUGGUGGAGAAAAAUGAGGAGUGCAUAUAACUCUUCAGCAAAUCCCACCAACAAUUCCAUUUUCUUAAUUAAUUAAUCUCCUUUUUUAUCCCCAAACAAAUCCUAAUGAUACUAUUAUCAGGUUUAAAACAGUACAUAAAUAGUGAAAAGCUAACUAGUCUGUAGAUUAAUUUGCUAAUUGCUAUCUCCUCUCUACGCGCUCUGAAUAAUUUGUUGCAUGCAAACUUUUUAUUUUAUGCAAAUCGUACGUACUGUAACAUUGGAAUUGAUGUAUAAGCAAAAAUACAAGAAUCUUUAUGUCAAUAAAAAUAGUUUUUUUUUCCUUUUUAAAUAAACACAACGCGAUGUUGCUCUUCUCUACAUUGUUGCUAUCUCUUUAUUCCCUUUUUUUUUUUUCGGCUUCUUAAAGCCUCAAACUUUGAUAACCAAAACUUCAUCAAACUUUGAAAAAAAUCUGUCUGGUUAGUUAUUAUUAUCGGAAUAAUUAUUUGAGAAUACUAAAACAAAAUAUAAAUAAGAAAAUACGGGGUUAAAUUUGGGGAAAACAAAAAGGCAUGUUGGAUAGAUUACUAUAGUUUAAGGGAAAAAAAAUCCAAUUGGGAAUUUUUUUCUUUAAUUUUUGUUUUACUUGAUUGAGAUUUCUCCUUAGUCCUUACAGUUUUAAGUUUGGACUCCGUAGGGUUAGUAAUUUAGUACUUCCUUUGCAAGCUGAGUGCAAGAAUGAAAAUCUUUAAAGAAAUUAAAAAAGAUUAAAAAAAAGCAUACCAAUAGGUAAUUAUAAAUAACCAUAAAUAAACAUAAACAAAAUGUUUAUGAAGUAAAUUACACAUGCACAUAUUAUUUUUUUGUUUUAUUUCUUACUUGUCAAUUUUAUUUGCUGCUUGAUAACCCGUAAAUACUAAUCUAGUACUGCUAAUUUCAGACACAAAAUUUUUAACUCUAGGCUGCAGUUUUACUCAAAAUGAUGACCACUGGCUUCGCACCAUUUAACCGGCAUACAUUUCUACAAAUUGAACAAGGCUAUUGAUUUUCAUUAUUAUUUUUUAUUUAUUUAUAAAUUACCAUUUUAAUUUUCACUUUUUAUUGGGCUGUUGAACGGAUUAGUGAAGUUGGUGGUCGUGAUGCACUCAUAAGGUACAAUUUUAUUUUAUAAUUUCAAAUUUGUAUUUUAAAAUGCAGGUACAUUAUGUAUACAUAAUUAUUGAUUUUCGUAUGUGGGUGUUUUGAAAUAUUGCUAAAAGACCAAACUUUAAUAAACUAUUUUUCAUCUUUUUUUUUCCUUUUUUCCUAAAGUUCGAGUGAUAUCCGCAUUUUAAAUUCAUGUGGAACAAAAUCUAAUGUAUGCACAAAAUUCUUUUAUUUUUUCCAAGAAAAAUGGGUAAGAGAAGAAGAUUUUUCUCUUGAAAAAGAAAAACUAAUAUGAUGCAAGCAUAGGAAAGAGGUCAGUGUUUUGGAUUAGAAUUUAGUAUUGAGCUGAAUUUUAUACUAAACUCUUUUAUGGUACUGCGAUUAAUAAACUCAUGAUUUGCUUUUGCUUUUGCUUUUACUUCAAGUGAAAGAAAGAGGAAACCUUUUGUUUUUUGUUUGAUUCUUGACUACAGAUGUUAGCUAUAUAGAGAGUUGAGGUAGCAGCCUUAAGUGAUGGUGAUAAAAAGAUUAGGCAGCGCACACAAUCUUACUGUCGUCCAGACCAUCCAGCUGUGAUGACUCUAGUUUUUUGGUUACAUUAGCUUUAGUGGAAAGGAGGGCCAAUUUAACAAAGACUAGAUUUGGUGGCUUACUAUAAUGCUUAUUCUCAGGGAAUCUAAUGUUAUAAGAUGAUUUAAUGAUCUUCUAUGAUUGUGAGUAGUAUAGUAUAAUUGAAAAGAGCCUGGGCUCCUAUGAUGAAUAUAUAAUAGUAACGCAGUACUGUGAUUGAAAAAAACACAGUUACAAUAAACUCUUCAUUUAUUCAUUGCGGAGAUUGAAUGGCAAACAGAGAAUAAAAUGAAGCAGAGGAAUCUCAUUGCCAGUAAAAUUGACCCUCUUUAAUGUUAUAUGGCACAGGUGUGUGUACAGCAAGAGCAAGUUACUUGCAGUUUUUAUUGUAAAAUAUACAGGUUAUGACCAUGAUCAUUGUAGUUAGGUUUUGAUGAUUUUAGAUGCUUUUUUUAUUUUUAUUUUUUAAAUUGUGACACCUUUGAUUUAUGGUAGUUUUGCAGAAGAAAAAAAUAUAUAUAAAAAUUAGGAGGGAUGAGUUAACUAACAAUUGCAAUCAUUGCAGUAAUGUUGAUGAGUGAUACAUCAUUUGAAAUUUACUUGUCAGUUGCUAAAAUGAUGAAAAAAAACAAUAAACAAUAGCAGUAAUAUUUUUAUGGAAAUUCUGGGUUUUUAUGGAAAUACUCUUGCUGAAAUUCUAAUUUUGACUUUCAACUCUUGGUUUUUAUGGAAAGUAAAAUGACUUGUUUGUUAUAUUCAUACAACCCACUCUACAUAAUGAUUUCAUUUUAAUAAAUGCUUGAUGAUCUCCACAGAAAAACUACUUCAAUUCUUUUUUUUUAUUUAACUUUUUGGUUGUUGAAAAUAGCCUUAAUUUUCAAAUCAUUGGAGAAAGAGUAAAGAACAUUUAACAAAUUUAUGUGCCAAAAAUAAAGGAGAAAUUGAAGAGAAAGGGUGCUUGCAGAAGUGGGUGCAAAGAUAAAUCAGUCCAUAAGAAUUAUUGUGGUUAUUAAUUUUUUGGCAAUAUAAAAAUUUUUCAGCAAAUAAAAAUAGAUUUUUUUCUGAUUUACUAAAAAAUUAAUUAAAAACUUCGGCGAUAGCAUUUUUUAUGGGUGCAUGUACCCUCCCUUUAAAAAAAAUAUAAUAAUUAAUACUUAAUAUAGUAUUAAAUACGAAAAUAUCAAUAUUUGACUACACAAAUUUAUAUCAUUAGGUCCUUAAAAUUUAAAAUUGAAGACACAAAAUGAAAUAUAUAUAAAUUUCAUUCUCAUAGGAAAGGAUCCUCUUAUAAUCUUAAAAUAUUUGAGCUUUGAAAGAAUUUUUAAAACAAAUGUACUUUUAUUUUUGUACAAUCAAUAUUUACUUAUUUAUUAUAUUUUUAUUCAUUACACUACUAGAAAAAUGGUCUUUUGUGACACUUGUCUUCUGACACUUUAUUAUAAAGUAUCAGUAAUUACAUAUAUUUGGGGCAUUUUCCGUGUUUAACAUAUAAGUAUCACAAAUUGCUAAUACUAUGGUGUCAGUAAAUUUAAUAUCACAGAUUCGUGACACUAAAGUAUUAGUAGUUAAAAAAAUAAAAUUUUAAUUUUGUAUCUAGUAAUAAUCGCACCGAAGACCCCGAAGCCAUAACCUUUUGCUUUUAACCGCUAUACCACUCGGCCACAAAUUGCAUUUUUGAACUUAUAAAUUAAUAAAUAAAUAAAUAUUAAAACUUAAAACCUAAAACCUAAAAAUUUUUCAUGUAUGGUAUGUGUGAAACCUAAAACCUAAAAAUUUUUGUUAAGUCAAAAAUCUAUCUUAUGGCCGCCGAAGCUUUCUUCCUUCUCUCUCCUUCCCUCUCUCUCGCUCUCUUUCUCUCUCGAACAAUGAUCUACCUUGAAAGCCGCCUCCGUCAACACCUUGAAAGCCGCCGUCCUUAAGCUAAAAUAUCCCUGAAAAGAACCCAGAAAGUGCUGUGAAGAAUUUGGGCAAAGCUAAGGUUUGAAAGUCCGAAUCAGUGUUGUGGUAACUCUUUGCCUCAUUCUCUAUUCUCAUUGUUUAAGUAUUUAUCUGUUAAUUGAUUGAUGUUUAUUGAGUGCAAAUGAGAGCUUGCACUUGUUUGGAAAUCCAGCCAUCUAGGGUUUUUGUUGCUUAUAAUCUAAUUUAUUGUUUAAUAAAAUAAAUAAAACGCAGCUUUAUUAUAGGUGGAAUUCAGUUUAUUAAGUGAAAGAAUGAUUACAAUCGGUGAUUAUGGAUUUAGGUUGAAUGCAAUUUGUUAAUUAAAAGAAUAAUGGUAAUCGACAGUCAUGGGUUUAGUAUGUAUUAUAUAUUUCGUUUAAUGGUGUGUAUGAAAACCCAAAACCUAAAAUUUUCUUAAGUAAAAAUCUCAGUUCUCCCUCACAACCUAUAAGCCCAUCACUCUCUCUCUCUCUCUCUCUCCCCUCUUUCUAGCUAACAACCCAAAACUUAUUGUGAAACCGCCAUUUCAAUCUUUCAAAGCUCAUUAGUUAGCUGGUCAUUGUGAAAAGUAAGGUUAUUGUUUGCUUUAUGUCUAAUUUACUUUAAACAUGGGGAUUGAUGAUAUUCGAGUUGCUGAACACUUGAUUUUGAGGUGAAAGAUUAAUUAAUAGUUUACAAAAUUAUGCUGAAAAUUUGAGGAUUGAUAGACUGUUGUUGUGAACUUGGUUGUUUCCGAACUUGACUAAAUGACUUUCAAUUGAUUUGAAAGUUUGAUUAAACUAAGUUUAAAUGAGAACAUUUUAAUUCUGGAAAUUUUGGAAUGAAUUGGGUCUAUAUUUGAUUUUGAAUGGAUUUCUCAAUAUGGUUGGUUGUUGUCCAAUUUUAUUAGAAAUUACAUAUGUACCAUGUUUGAUAUUGCAAACGUAUAGUUUAACAUAGUUAGAAUAAGCUGAAAUUCAGAUAAACUACACUUCUAUUUGCAUACUUCGAAUCUGGAAAAUUUUAUUUUGAUUGAACCUGUAAUUUAUUUUUAAUGAUUUUUCAAACUCUGCUGCCUCUGCAGUAACUUCUUUUGACAGAACUGUUCAUUAAUCUUUGAUCCUAUCAAACACCAGCCUACUGAUAUCGGAAUAGCCUCAAAUUUUAAUAUGUUGUUGACUUAUAUGUCCACUUAAAAUCUAGAAAGUAUCAUUCUAAUAUAUUUAGUAUUUUAAAUUUAAUAAAUAUUCAAACACCUGCUGCUACUUUUACAGUUUCAUAUGCAAUUUUAACUUAUAUAGUUUUAUCAUGUGAGAAGCAAAUGUAUGGUUGUCCAAAUGACUUGGAAAUUUUUUUUGUGGUGCAUUGAAAUGUCUAAUUAUGUUUUGUAAGUUUCAUAGCAUUCCAAAUUGAAUUAAAGAAAAUCUUAAAUUCAAGUUGUCAAUGUUUCCUAUUAAAUCUUAUUAGUGAUAAAUCUACUAACUUGCAGUACUUUUCAGGAAAAAAAAUGUGUCAACACUGUGAAUUGCAAUGGGAGAAGAAAGUACUAAAGGCAUAAAUCUUUUUUCAUUAUAUUUGGGACUAUUCUUAAAGGUUAGUCUUUUCCUUUUUCCUUUUUUUCUUUUUUAUUUAAGGUAAUCAUAUUCAUUUUAAUUUUAAUUACAAUCAAUUUGGCGUUGUUAGACAACUCGCACCAACCAGUCCAACAGCAAAUGAAGAUAACAUUUUUGAAAUGCAUUCAGUUUUUGACAAUAGCAAAAAGAAAAAGGAAAAAUGAUACUAGUUUAGGCUUUAGGAAAUUUGCACCAUCAUUCUUGCACUGCAGCUGCCUCUAUCUCGGUGCUCUCGGAGAAGUAAUCUUGCUUGAUUUUGCGUGAUAGUUGAUACAAGCCCGUCCUAGCCAUUACAAAAUUGACACUAAAAAGGUUCUAGUUUUUCAUAUUGUAGUUUGAAAAGUCUGCAAUGUUUGCUAUGCUGAUGCCCCAUUUGAAUGUUGGAGCCCAAAAAUGAAUGGUUUUAGGACCAGCCGGGUGGUUCCAAAAAGCUAGGAGCUUGUUAGCUAUUCUUUUUAAUUGAACUAAUUUAACUUAAAUAUUAGCCCGAUUAUUGAUUUCUAUGGUUUGCCAUUGAUUUGAGUUUGACAUUCUUGUUUUGUGUUGGUUUGAGUUUGACAUCCUAGUUUAAGACUUUGAAGGCUUCCAAGAAAUGAUUUUGGAUGAUGAGCAAAUGAGUAAUAGUUUGAAAAUUAAUUUACUGUAUCAAAUAUAUACUUAGUGUAGCAUAUUAAUUUUAAGAACUAUGGAUUAUUCCUUGAAUAUUCUAGUAAAUGGUUAUGUUAUAUAUGCAUGUCUUAAUAUAUAAUAAUUAUAUUUUGAAGUUUGUUUUUUUUUUUUUCCCUUUCUAGGUUUAGGAAAAAUGUUUAAAGUGAUUUUGGGUUAUGAUGUCAAUCAAGUUAAAGCAACAUUACUUGUGAGUGGAAAUAUAUAAUGAUUAUAUUUUUAUUCUACUUUUUUUUUAUCUUCUUAAAGUUUUAUAAUUAGGCAAAAUUAAUGAAUACUUAAUUACAAUUUAGGGUGAUAUUCUUUAAAUGGUUCACAUGAAUAGAUUUAAGUAGUAUAAUAAAUCUCAUACUCACUUUAUAAAGGCUUAACUAAGUUUGCAAAUAUUAUUUCUUUUAGUAGUAAUAAUUUUGGAUCGAACUCUCAAAUUAUUGAAAUAUUUUAUGUCCAAACUUUAUUAUGCCUAAUAUAAAUAUUGAGAUUCAUAGUUAUUUUAUGCCCAGUUUAAGGAAACUGUAGUUUGAGGACUUAUUUUUUGCCUUGUUAAAUAAACUUUUAGAAUGAAUAAAUUGAGGAAAUGAGUGGUGAUUUAUUUAUAAUAGAGCAUUUGUGAUAGCUUUUAACUAUGCACAAAAAUCAUUUGGUAUAUGUAGAUAGAGUAACAUGCUUGUGCUGAAAGUAGAUAUUACAUUGAAAACUUCUUGUCUACUAUAGUUUGCUAUAUAUAUAACCUUUACCAAAAGAGAAUAAUUGAGUUUAUUUAUAAAUAGCUUAUGAGGAUUUUUUUUUUCUUUCGAACAAAAUAAUUUUAUUUCUGUUAAUUGUUGUUUCUCUAAUGGCUGGAUAUUGGCAGCUAAUUUUUUUUUUCUUUUCCAUGUAUUCAUAUGCAGCUUUGAUCAAUGUGUUUGAAGUGUUUAUUCCUCAACUUCACUUAUAUCAUAACCCAUACAGUCUAUUGAAUGGAGAAGCUGCUGGCGUGAUAACGCAAUUAUACUACUCAUAUUCAAACAGUGAAAGACAAUCAUCCUUCUCAAUUUAGCUUCUAGAUUUAUUAAAUUUAGCCACAAGUAGUAGGUAUUUGAUUGGAUGGUAGAAAUUUUUAUGUAUUGAAUUUGGAUUAUUGAGUUAUGAGAGUAGGAUAUCUCAUAUUUUUGUUAUUGAAGUUUUGGAAUUUGUAAUAUAUACUAAUAAUAUUUAAAUGUGAAAUGAAAGAUUUUGCGAUAUAAAUCAAUUUCUUUUUGUUAUUUUGUGGUGCUUUUUAAUUUUACCAAUAAAUCAAUAGACAAUGAUCCAAUUCUUUUUUUUUUUAAAUAAAUUAACUAGUGAUACUAUGGUAACAGUAAUCAUAGACACUAAUAAAAUAUCAAUAAUUACUAACACUAUGGUGUCAUAAUAUUGGUGAUACCGUAGUAAUAGUAAUCACUGACACCACUUACAAGUGUCACUAUUUUUCUGACUCCCAGAUUACUGGCACAAUUAACAAGUGUCAAUGAAAGUAAUUUCUAACACUAUUCUAAAGUCAGUAAAUACCAUUUUUCUAGUAGUGUUAACUAUCAAUCAUGUGAGUAUAUUUACUCAGAAAUAUCAUAUCAAUAGACAAUCUUGAUCCCACACACACGUAAAUAUGUUAAUUUCUAUACGCUUCACUUAACCUGUAGAAUCAAUUAUCUAAAAUGCAAGUUUGUGGCCACAAAAAAAGCCAAAGAAAGAAGAUAAUAACAAUUGACUUGUAUAUUAUGCUCAUACAAUCCACUCGACAUAAUGAUAUCAUUUUAAUAAGGCAAUGGCCGAUGAUCUCCAUUGAAAAACUAAUUCAAUUUUUUUGCUUCAUUUAACUUUUUGGUUGUUGAAAAUAACUUUAAUUAUCAAAUAAUUGGAGAAAGAGUAAAGAACAUUUAACAAAUUUAUGUGCAAAAAAAAAAAAAAGGAGAAGUUGAAGAGAAAGGGUGCUUGCAGAAGUGGGUGUCAAAGAAAAAUCUGUCCAUAAGAAUUAUUGCGGUUAUUUUUUGGCAAUGUAAAAUUUUUAUAGCAAGUAAAAAUUAAUUUUUUCCGAUUUACUAAAACAUUAACAAAAAAACUUCUGUGACAGCAUUUUUUAUGGGUGCAUAUACCCUCCCUUUAAAAAAAAUAAUAAUUAAUGCUUAAUAUAAUAUUAAAUACGAAAAUAUCAAUAUUUGACUACUCAAAUUUACAUCAUUAGGUCCUUAAAAUUUAAAAUUGAAGAUACGAAAGGAAGCAUAUAUAAAUUUCAUUCUCAUGAAAAGGAUUCUCUUAUAAUCUUAUAAUAUUUGAGUUUUGAAAUUUUUUUGAAACAAAUGUAAUUUUAUUUGUGUACAAUCUGAAAUGGCCCAAAACGUCAUAAAACUUUUCAAAUAGGUUCAAUUUCAGAACUUCCUAAAAAUAGUCGUCUUUCCCCAACUUUCUGAAAUUAUGAUAUAGCCCCAAAGAUUUUAUUAUUUCGCACAAAGGUCCUUUUCAACAUAAUACCCAUAUUUUUCAAAGUUCUCAAAACCUUUCACUUUAGUCCAAAAUAUUCAUAAAUUAUAGUAUGGCCCAAAACAUUUCAAAUGUUUGUAAAAACGUCCAACUCUGAAAUUUAAUACUUAUUAAAAACAAAGAUUUCAAAUCUUAGCAUUUAAAUCCAAAUUACUCAAAUCGAUAAAAUACUUUAUUUUAUAAAAAUAAAACCUUUUAGUUUAUGAAAAGUAUUUAAUUAAAUUAAUCUCUUGAGCUUCUCAAAUGCUAAAUCAUGCAUCAAUUAAAUCAUACCGGCUUUACAAGAAUUUAUCGCACUAAUUUGUUCGUUGAGCUCUAAACUAUAUUCUUGAUGUCGCCGUUGUCCGCUGAGUGUCUUCAAUCUUGAUUUCACUUGAUUCACUUGCAUAAAUAUUAUCCUUAAAAAACUAGUGAAAAUGUGAAAUACAAUAUUUAUUAAAUCACUCAAUACAUAUGUUUGUUAUCAUCAAAAUUACAUUAUGUAUAGCCCUUUAGGCUAACAAUCUCCCCCUUUUUGAUGAUGACAAACAUCUCAUGUAUUUUGACAUUUAUACUCCCCCUUAAUACAUGGCAUAUAUAAUUAAACAUAUAAAUCAAAUUCAAAACAAAAACUCCCCCUGAAUAUUUGAUUUAUGAUAAUUUGUAAGCUCCCCCUUAAUAUUUCAAAACCAUGCAUAAAUACUUGAAAUACAAAAUACGUAUUACAUGUCUUCAUAUUCAAAAUACAUGACUUCUCCCCUUCAUCAUCAAAAUUACUAGAAAUUCAUGCGAAGAUCGAUAAUAUGUCAAUGGUUAAUCAAGAAACAUAUAAUAACCAAACAUCCAAUUAACCAUUAAAUGAUCAUGAAUCAUCAUGCCAUCAAAAGAAUGUUCUAAAUGCAUAUUAUCCAAAAUCAUAUUGUAUGCUCCCCCUAAAUAUAUGGCCAAUUAAAAAAUUUAACCAAAAUGAUAUUAUCCAAAAACAUAUCAUAUUUAUCUCUCCCUUCAUAAAAAAUAGAUAGAUGCAAUCGAAACAAGAGCAUAAAAAAUAAUUCGAUAAAGAUAUUACCAAUUUUGUGCGAGCAAAAAUUUCGGCAGAGUCUCCCCUUAAAAUGAACAAAUCCUUAAAUAUACAACAUGGUUAAAAACACUUCCAUAUAAGCUGAAACAAUUAUAACAAACCAACAACUCCAUUAAUUCAUCAAGCAAUACACAUACAAUCAUCAAUCAUCAAAAGUACUAUAAAUCCAUGCUUAUACCAAAAAGAAUAUCUCAAUGAUUAAUCAAGAAGCAUAAAAAUAAAGCAUGCAAUUAAUCCAAAGAGUCAUAUUCAUUCUAAGAAUUCAGAAAAUAUCAUCCAAAUAUAAAUUAUCCAAAUAUUAAACAACCAUCAUCCGUAAUCCACAAUUAGAACAAUUAUGCAUAUGAAAAUGUAGGCGCAUAAUAUAAUAAGGAACCAUGGUAAUUUAAAAUACCCAAAAAUGCACAAAUUCGGUUUUGGAAAAUAAUUAGUGAAAUGAAUGAUUUUAAACCGAUUGUAUUGAUCCAAGAGAUGAUUUAAGAUAAUGGAUGGUGUUGAUUGGAUCAAAAGUGGACUAAAAAGAGUUUAAAUUGGAAGAGAAAGAAAUGGGUAAGUUAGGUUUUUUGAUUUUGGGUUUUAUGUGGAGAGAUAAUGAAAUCAAGUUUUGAGAGUGAAAAUUGAAGGAGUAAUGGAUGAAUAAUGAGUUGGAUGAUUGAUUUUAGCAAGAGAAUGAGUGAAAGAUGAAGAAAUUUGAGAAAGAAAAUGGAGAACACUAUUCACGCGUGAAUGAAAUGAGAAUGGAAUGAUGAAGAACAAGUGAAGAAAUCAUGAUGGAGAAGUGUUUAAUGAAGAUAAAAUGCAUGGGUAUUAGUUUGAAUGGUUGAUUUGGGCAUGAAAAUGGAUGAAAAAAGAAGAAAUUGAAAGUGAAAAUGGAUGGGUUGCUCACGGUUUUGAGUGAAAGAGAGAACAUGUGCAGAAAAUUAACAAAGGAAGAAGAAGAAGCAAAAAAAAUUUUCCCAACCCGUGACCAAGCGGCUAGCCGCUUGCUCUCGGGUUGGGGACAGUUUCCAAGCGGCUAGCCGCUUGGAACAGGCGGCUAGCCGCCUGUUCCAGCUGCACUCAAGUUGAUUUCCGACUAAUUUCGAUCAAUUUUGUGACCAUUUUGUGAUCCUGAAACAUCUCAAGAGCCAAUUUAAUGCAUGAUUCAUGAUUUUAAACAUCUAAAAGAUGAUUAAUUCAAACAAAUAAUCCAUCCAACAAGCAUAUAUUCAUGAAGCACAUAAGCAUUCAAAAAUUAAUAAAUCAAACACCACAUAUAUCUAACUUGCUCAAACACUUCAUAAACAUUAAUAAUCAUCAAGCAAACGAUUUUAAUAGAUUCAAUAACAUAAAUAGAGAUGUUAAUGCGAAAAUUUCAUCAUCCCAAGUUCAUGCCGAAUUUUUGAAAAUUGUUCUUCGCAAAGGGGUUUUGUAAAAAUAUCGGCAAGUUGUUUUUCCGUAAAGAUAAAUUCUAAUGCAAUAUCACCUUUUUGAACAUGAUCUCUCAAGAAAUGAUGCCUAAUCUCUAUAUGCUUGGUUCUAGAAUGUUGAAUGGGAUUCUUUGAAAGAUUUAUGGUGCUAGUAUUAUCACACUUGAUAGGAAUUUGUUCAAGAUUAAUACCAUAGUCUCUAAGUGUUUGUUUCAUCCAAAGUGCUUGUGCACAACAACUACCUGCGGCAAUAUAUUCCGCCUCAGUAGUUGAGAGUGUCACCGAAUUUUGUUUCUUACUAAACCAUGAAACAAGUGAAUGACUAAGAAAAUGGCAAGUUCCACUAGUACUCUUCCUAUCGACCUUGUGACCAGCAAAAUCGGCAUUCGAAUAACAAGCUAAAUCUAUAUGAGUUCCUCUAGGAUACCAAAGGCCAAUAUCUAUGGUUCUACUCAAAUAAUGAAAAAUUCUUUUAACAUAAAGCAAAUGAGAUUUCUUGGGACAUGAUUAAAAUCUUGCACACAAACAUACACUAAACAUGAUAUCGGGUCUACUUGCAGUUAAGUAAAGUAAGGAUCCAAUCAUACAUCGAUACUUUUUAAUAUCAACCACUUUACCUUUUUCAUCUUUAUCAAGCAUGAUUGUUGUACUCAUUGGAGUAUUCUUGGUAUUUGAUUCAUCAAUACCAAAUCUCUUGAGCAAGUCUUUGACGUACUUAGCUUGGUUGAUGAAGAUCCCCUCAUUGGUUUGUUUGAUUUGAAGUCUAAGAAAAUACUUCAAUUCUCCCAUCAUGCUCAUCUCAAAUUCCUUACUUAUACAAGAGGAAAAUUCUUUGCACAAAGAUUCAUUAGUAGAACCAAAAAUAAUAUCAUCAACAUAAAUUUGAACAACAAGUAUAUCUUGAUUUUUAUUUUUAAUAAAGAGGGUAGUAUCUGCUCUUCCCAUCGAAAAAUCGUUAUCCAAUAAGAAAUUUUUAAGCCUAUCAUACCAUGUUCUAGGUGCUUGUUUUAAUCCAUAUAAUGCUUUUGAUAACUUAUACACAUGAUUUGGAAAUUUCUCAUUUUCGAAACCAGGGGGUUGUUUCACAUAAACUUCCUCCAUAAUAUAACCAUUUAGGAAAUCACUCUUGACAUCCAUUUGAAAUAAAAUAAAAUCUUUAUGACAUGCAAAUGCUAACAACAUCCUAAUGGAUUCUAAUCUAGCUACAAGUGCAAAAGUUUCAUCGAAAUCGAUUCCUUCUUCUUGGUUGUAUCAUUGAGCCACUAAUCUACCUUUAUUUCUUACAACCACACCGGAUUCAUCCAUUUUAUUUCUAAAUACCCAUUUAGUGCCUAUAAUGGAUUGAUGUUCCGGUUUAGGAACCAAUUCCCAUACUUUAUUUCUCUCAAAUUGAUUUAACUACUUUUGCAUUGCCAUAAUCCAAAACUCAUCAUUUUCCGCAUUCGCAAAAGAUUUUGGUUCAAUUUGAGAAAUAAAUGCAGCAUGCUCACAUGUGUUUCUAAGUGAUGAUCUAGUUGUGAUACCUCUUGAAGGAUCACCUAAAAUUAAAUCCUUAGGAUGAGCGGAAACAUACCUCCACUCCUUGGGGAGUGUUUGAGAACUACCUUCUUGUUGCUCCAGCUCCAUAUUUGUUUGUUCUUCUUGUCUAUCCUCUUGAUUUUCUUGUGGUGCAUUCUCUUGAUUCUCUUUUGAUGAUUCUUCUUGUAAUUCUCCAUCUGCAUUAUCAUUAACAACUCCUUUCUCCGCAGAGGAGGGGUUAGAUUCAUCAAACGUAACAUGCAUGGAUUCUUCCACAACUAAAGUUCUUUUAUUAUAAACUCUAUAAGCUUUGCUUGAGUUUGAAUACCCGAGAAAGAUGCCAACAUCAGAUUUUGGAUCAAAUUUAUCAAGAUAAUCUUUUUUGUUUAAAAUAAAACAUUUGCAUCCAAAAACUUUGAAAUAACCAAUGUUGAGUUUUCUAUCUUUCCAAAGCUCAUAGGGAGUUUUAUUGAGAUGAGGUCUAAUCAACACCCGAUUUAAAACAUAACAAGCGGUGUUGACGGCUUCGGCCCAAAAAUAUUUUAGUAAUGCAUUUUCAUUUAACAUGGUCCUAGCCAUUUCUUGAAUAGACCUAUUCUUUCUCUCAACAACUCCAUUUUGUUGUGGAGUCCUAGGUUAUGAAAAUUGAUACUCAAUGCCAAAAUCAUUACAAAAAUUUUCAAAUGCAUGAUUUUCAAACUCUCCACCAUGAUCACUUCUAAUACAAGUAAUAGAAUAACCCUUUUCAUUUUGAACCUUUUUAUAGAAAAUUCUAAAUGCAUCAAUGACAUCAUCCUUAUUAGCUAAGAAUAAUACCCAUGUGUAUCUAGAAUAAUCAUCUACAAUUACAAAUGCAUAAAAUUUGCCACUUAAACUAGCAUAUCUAGAGGGUCCAAACAAAUCUAUGUGAAGUAAUUGAAGAUGUUUUAAAGUAGAGAUAUGAUUCUUGUUUUUGAAAGAGGUUUUGAUUUGUUUUCCAAAUUGACAUGCUUCACAAAUUCUAUCCUUUUGAAAACCAAUUUUUGGAAGACCUUUAACUAAAUCGUUUUUCGAAAUUUUUGAAAUUAAAUCCAUGCUUGCAUGUCCUAGUCUUCUAUGCCAUAACCAACCAUCAUCAUGCAAUGCCGAAAAACAUUUAUCAUGAGUAGAUGCACAUUCUAUAUCAAUCGUGUAAACAUUGCCACAUCUAUUUCCCAUAAACAAAAUUUUCCCAUCACAUGCAUUCUCAAUAACACAUCUUGAUUUAUCAAAAACAACUUUAUAACCUUUGUCACAUAGUCGACUAAUGCUAAUCAAAUUGUGUUUCAAAUUUUCAACAAAACACACAUUUUCAAUUAGAGUUGAAGAAAUUUUACCAACAUUUCCAAUUCCGAGAAUUUUUCCUUUUGAGUUAUCUCCAAAGGAUACAUCUCCACCAUUUUCGAUUUUGGUGAAACUUGAGAACCAUGCAUAGUUUCCUGUCAUAUGCCUAGAACAUUCGCUAUCCAAGUACCAUUUAUUUUUCUUUUUCUUCAAGCCCGGCAAAGAAAAUCUUAUGUCUUAGGUACCCAAACCUUUUUGGGUCCUUGAUCGUUAGCAAUGGUUCCUUUUGGAACCCACACACAUUUGACACCAUUAUAUGCAUUCCUUUUUACGGGACAUCUAUAUUUCAUGUGGCCAUUUUAAUUACAAUAAUGACAAAAAAUCUUAUGAUCAUUUGUGGAGGUAGCUUUAACAAAAUAAUUCUUAUAAUCUUUUGCUUCAAGUUAGGCUUAUACCCAAGUCCUCCUUUAUCAAAAACACAUUUUUGGGAGUUAAGCAUGUUAUCCAAUAUCUUUUACCCAUUUCUAAAUUUUAGAACAACAUUACUAAGUUCAAUAUUCUUUUUCUUGAGCAUUUCAUUUUCCUUUUUCAAAUCAUCUACAUGUGACUCUAAAUGCUCAUGUAAAGUGCUAGAUUUUUCAUUUAAUAAUGCAACUCUAUUAUGCAAGGUUUUAUUCUCUAAUUCUAAUCCUUUAAUCUUCUCAUUCAAUGACUCAUUGCAUUUUUGCAUGGCAUCCUUUUCAUUUGUAGAUUCUAGCAAUUUCUUUUUAAGGCAUGCAUUCUUUUUACUAAUUUUCAUCAACUCAUCAUGCAUUUCUUUAAAAGCAUCAUAUAAUUCAUCAUAGGUUGGAUCACUUACCUCAUUGAGAUCAUCAUCAUCUCCUAGUGCCAUAAGUGCUAGGUUUGAUACUUCUUGCGACUCAUCUUCAUCACUUGAAUCUUCAUCGCUAUCAUCCCAAGUAGCAACCAUAGCUUUCUUCUUGAGUUUGUUGAGAAGUGGGCAUUCCGAUCUUAUAUGGCCGGGCUUCUUGCAUUCAUAGCAUAUGAUUACCUCUUUCUUCUCCUUUUGGUUUUUGAAAUUUUUGAAUUUUCUUCGGUCACCGGGUUUCAUGAAAAAAAUUUUGAACCUCCUUGCUAGCAUAGCCAACUCCUCAUCAUUUGGCUCACUUUCCCCAUCACUCUCAUAUUUGGUGACUUUGAGAGCAAUGUUUUUCUUCCUUUCCUCAUUUCCUCUUUCAGCUGCUAAAUCUUCCUCAUAAAAAUAAGAAAACCAAUUAAAUCAUCAAUAGGUAAGAUAUUCAAAUCUUUAGCUUCCUCAAUGGCAGUCCUUUUUGGUCUCCAUUCCUUAGGUAACGACCUAAUGAUUUCUUAACUUUCUCGCUAUUUGAAAAGGUCUUUCCUAGAGCUCCUAGAGUGUUUACUAUAUCCGUAAAUCUAGUAUACAUAGAAUACACACUCUCAUUUUAUUCCAUUUGGAACAAUUCAUAUUGCCGAGUGUACCUACUAAUUUUAGACUCUUUCACUUGAUUCGUGCCUUCAUAAACAACUUCAAGUUUGUGCCAAAUUUCAUUAGCACUUUCACAACUAGACACUCUAUGAAACUCUUUCUUAUCGAGUGCACAAAGCAAGGCAUUCAUGGCUUUGGAAUUUAGAGAAGCUUUUCUCUUUUCCAAUUCAUUCCAUUCCCGUGAAGGUUUCGGAAUGUCUUCCCCAAUUUCAUUUUUAGUCAAAGGCAUAAAUGGACCAUCACAUACAACUUCCCAAAUUUCAUAAUCUAAUGCUUGUAAGUAAAUUCUCAUCAUAGUUUUCCAAUACGGGUAGUCAUUUCCGUCAAAGAACGGUGGCCUAGUUGUGGAUUGUCCUUCCCUAAAGAUUGAAUCAUUUUGGGUUGCCAUGGAUCUUUUACUCUAGACGGUUAGUCCUAACAAGAGAACCAAGCUCUGAUACCAAAUGAAAUGCAAGUAACGCAACCCAAGAGGGGGGUGAAUUAGGUUUUUAAAAUAAAUGCAAUACGAUUCGCACAAUAAAUCAAUCUAAUGCCUUAAUGAAAUAGAGAACAAUAAAUUCAAACAAGCGUAAAAAUAAAAGAGCAAGGGAAGAGAAAAAUGAACACGUGGAUUUUUACGUGGUUCGGCAAUCCCCGCCUACGUCCACGCCUCCAAGCCAACCAAGCUCGAGAAUUUCACUAUCCAAGCCUCCCAAGGCUUCAAGUUUUUACAAUUGACUUCCAAGGUGUCAAUGAACCUUUACAACCAAGAGAUUAUCUCCCCAAUCUCUUCACUCCAAGUGUUUCCCACACUUACACACUCACAAUUUGAUAAGAAAUGAAAAUUACAACAAAAACUCUCUUUAAGAGUGGAUAUGCAACUAAUAGCUCAAUAAUGAUUCAAUCAAUGAUGAUUUGUGUUUUGGAAGCUCAAUAUAUGUUGUAUGAUCUUAUAUUUGCGUGCAUUAGUUCUUAGAAUGAAGUUUGAGUUGAGUUUUUAUAGUGAAAGCCCAAAAACUAGCCGUUAUAGGCAAAUUCCCGCGCCCAAGCGGUUAGCCGCUUGAUUAUCUGGCUAGCCGCUCAGGAACAGUGAUAUUACCAUUAUCUUUAAAUUGCUACAGUACUACUGUUCACUAAAAUUACACUUUAGCCCAAAAUUUUCUAUAAUUAUACUUUGGCCCAAAACGUCAUAAAACUUUUCAAAUAAGUCCACUUUCAGAACUUCCUAAAAAUAGUUGUCUUUCCCAAACUUUCUGAAAUUAUGAUAUGACCCCAAAGAUUUUAUUAUUUCGCAUAAAGGUCCUUUUUAACAUAAUACCCAUAUUUUUCAAAGUUCUCAAAACCUUUCACUUUAGUCCAAAAUAUUUAUAAAUUAUAGUAUGGCCCAAAACAUUUCAAAUGUUUGUAAAAACGUCCAACUCCGAAAUUUAAUACUUAUUAAAAAUAAAGAUUUUAAAUCUUAGCAUUUAAAUCCAAAUUACUCAAAUCGACAAAAUACUUUAUUUUAUAAAAAUAAAACCUUUUAGUUUAUGAAAAGUAUUUAAUUAAAUUAAUCUCUUGAGCUUCUCAAAUGCUAAAUCAUACAUAAAUUAAAUCAUACCGGCUUUACAAGAAUUUAUCGCACUAAUUUGUUCGUUGAGCUCUAAACUAUAUUCUUGAUGUCGCCGUUGUCCGUUGAGUGUCUUCAAUCUUGAUUUCACUUGAUUCACUUGCAUAAAUAUUAUCCUUAAAAAACUAGUGAAAAUGUGAAAUACAAUAUUUAUUAAAUCACUUAAUACAUAUGUUUGUUAUUAUCAAAAUUACAUUAUGUAUAGCCCUUUAGGCUAACACAAUCAAUAUUUACUUAUUUAUUAUAUUUUAAUUUAUUAACUAUCAAUCAUGUAAGUAUAUUUAGUCAGAAAAAUUAUAUCAAGAGAGAAUCCUAAUUUCACGCAAACACAAAUACAAGAAAAAUAUGUCAAUUUCUAUACUAUUCACUUUCCUGUAGAAUCAAUUAUCUAAAGUGCAAGUUUGUGGCUACAGAAAACUCACCAAAGAAAGAAGAUAAUAACAAUUGAGCAUUGAUAGCAAAACUAAUGCAUCAUUUUCUUCUUGACUUGAUGAGAUGGCGCCAUUACAAAAAAACAAGUACCUUAAUUGACGGGCACUGAGUGAUGUGAAUACUACCAGCCAGUUCAUCUCUUCCAGUCUUGCUUAAUCACAAUCACAAACACCACGAGAUUGACAUUUGCAUUAUAUAAAUCUUCAGCAGUCGAAACACCUUGCAUUACCAAAUAAACCAGUAACAAACAAAGCAAUCUUUCAUGGAGAGGAACCUUAGUCUCAGUAUGAUCACUGUGUCAUUAACCCACUUCCUGCUUCUUUGCUUGGUUGUUGCAGCAGCAGCAGCAGCAAGCAACAAUAUUACCACAGACCAACAAGCUCUUCUUGCCCUGAAAGAUCAUAUAACUUAUGAUCCAACCAACCUGGUUGCCAUUAAUUGGACCUCGAACACCUCUGUUUGCACCUGGAUUGGCAUCACUUGUGAUGUCAAUAGCCACAGAGUCACAGCCUUAGAUAUUUCUCAAUUCAAUCUACAAGGCACCAUCUCUCCUCAACUUGGAAACCUCUCUUCACUCACAACACUUAAUCUUAGUCAUAACAAGCUUUCUGGAAAUGUUCCCUCCUCCAUCUACACCAUGCAUACGCUAAAAUUUCUAGACUUCACUGAUAACCAGCUCUCUGGUUCAGUGUCUUCCUUCGUCUUCAACAUGUCUUCAAUAUUAGACAUUCGUUUGACCAAUAACAGACUUUCUGGUGAGCUUCCAAAAAAUAUUUGCAACUAUCUUCCUCAUUUGAAAGCCCUUUUUUUGGACAAAAACAUGUUUCAUGGCAAAAUUCCUUCUGCUUUAUCAAAGUGCAAACAACUGCAACAAUUAACUUUGCAGUCCAAUAAUUUAUCCGGUGCAAUACCAAAAGAAAUCGGCAACUUGACCAUGCUCAAAGGGAUAUAUCUCGGCUACAACAAACUCCACGGUUUGUUCAUAAUACUAUAUAAAUAUUUUAAUUUAUCACUUAUUAUCUUUCGUGAAUAAUUUAGAUAAGAUCUUGUAAGUGACAUUUUUUGCAUCUAUGUUAAUUUACCAGGUGAGAUACCCCACGAAAUCGCUAAUCUUCGAAAUCUAGAAGCUUUAAUGCUAGGAAUGAACAACCUAGUUGGUGUGGUAUCAGCUAGAAUCUUCAACAUGUCAACACUGAAGGUAAUUACCCUCAUAAAUAACUCUCUCAGCGGUAGUCUUCCAUCAAGAAUAGACCUUUCACUUCCAACUAUUAACGAGCUUAACUUGGCACUUAAUAGAUUUUCUGGAACCGUUCCUAGUUCCAUCACCAAUGCUUCUAAGCUCACCUUGCUAGAGUUGGGAGGAAACACAUUUUUGGGAUUUAUUCCAAACACAAUUGGUAAUUUAAGAAACCUUGAGUGGCUCGGCUUGGCUAAUAACUACUUGACAUCUUCAACCUCAAAAUUGAGCUUUCUUUCCUCUUUGGCAAAUUGCAAGAAAUUAAGAUCCUUAUCCUUAGAACGCAAUCCACUUGGCGGCUUCCUUCCAAGUUCAAUGGGUAAUCUUUCUAUGUCUUUAGAAACACUUUUUAUCGCCAAUUGCGGUAUUAUUGGCAAUAUUCCUCAAGCAAUUAGCAAUUUAAGCAACUUGCUGGCCUUAGUAUUAGAAGGCAAUAAAUUGACUGGACCAAUUCCAAUUACAUUCGCCCGACUGCAGAAACUUCAAGGCUUAUAUCUUGCAUCCAAUAAGUUGGUAGGUUCAUUCCCAGAUGAGCUUUGCCAUCUAGGUAGGCUGGCUGAAUUGGCCUUACUUGACAAUAGGCUUUCAGGAUCUAUACAUUCAUGUGUAAGUAAUCUCACUUCUCUAAGAUAUCUCUAUUUAGGGUCCAAUAGGUUUACUUCUGUCAUUCCCUCAACUUUCUGGAGCCUAAAAGACAUCUUGUUUUUUGACUUUUCAUCAAAUUUCUUGGUUGGUCCUCUUUCUUUCGACAUAGGUAAUUUGAAGGUGCUUCUAGGAAUAAAUUUAUCAGAAAAUAACUUAUCGGGUGAUAUGCCAGCCACAAUUGGAGGACUAAAACACCUUCAAAUUAUGGACCUAGCAUAUAAUAGAUUGGAAGGGCGAAUUCCCGAAUCAUUUGGUGAGUUGACAAGUUUGGAGGUUUUGAAUUUGUCAAAUAAUAAAAUCUCUGGGUCUAUUCCAAAAUCCAUGGAGAAACUCUUUUACCUCCGAGAGUUAAAUCUCUCUUUCAAUGAACUUGAAGGUGAGAUUCCUAGUGGAGGAAUUUUUGCCAACUUCACAGCUGAGUCAUUUAUGGGAAAUGAGUUAUUGUGUGGUUUACCAAAUCUUCAAGUCCAACCAUGCAAAGUUAGCAAGCCGAGGACAGAACAUAAAUCAAGGAAAAACAUACUUCUCAUUGUGAUUGUUUUGCCAUUGAGUGUUGCUCUAACAAUAGCAAUCACUCUAGCUCUCAAAUCUAAGCUGAUCGAAUGUGGAAAAAGAUGCACAGUGUUGUCAAAUGAUAGUGUCUUGUCAUCACAAGCAACACUAAGAAGAUUUUCAUACUUAGAACUUUUACAAGCAACAGAUAAUUUUGCUGAAAACAGCGUAAUUGGCAUAGGAGGUUUUGGUUCUGUUUACGGUGGAAGACUUGAAGAUGGGAUGAAGAUUGCAAUAAAAGUGUUUCACCAGCAAUGUGCAAGCGCAUUGAAGAGUUUUGAGGCUGAAUGUGAAGUGUUAAAAAAUAUUCGCCAUCGAAACCUUAUCAAAGUUAUCAGCAGUUGCUCGAACGAUGACUUCAAAGCAUUAGUCCUAGAAUACAUGUCCAACGGGAGUUUGGAGGAUUGGCUGCAUUCGAGCAAUUACGUGCUGAAUAUUUUUCAAAGGUUGAACAUAAUGAUUGACGUUGCAUCAGCUUUAGAAUAUCUCCACUUCGAUCAUUCAACUCCUAUUAUUCAUUGUGACUUAAAGCCUAGUAAUGUAUUGUUGGACGAAAAUAUGGUUGCUCAUUUGAGUGAUUUUGGCAUAGCAAAGCUUUUAAGUGGAGAGGAUGAGUAUGUGAUGCGAACAAAAACCCUUGCCACUAUAGGUUAUAUGGCACCAGGUUUGCUUCAAACAACUUUUGUUUUUAGUUCAUUUUAAAUUUUCAAACUUAUUGAUUUUUACAAUCCUCACAUCAAAAUUUUAUUGAUUAUUUAUCUAAUUGUGAAAUUAAUUUGAUUCAUAGAGUACGGCAUAGAAGGAGAAGUAUCUACAAAAAGUGAUGUUUACAGUUAUGGGAUUAUGUUGAUGGAAACUUUUACCGAGAAAAAACCCACAGAUGAAAUUUUUGUUGCAGAAUUGAGCUUAAAGCGUUGGGUUAAUGACUUGCUUCCUACUUCAUUAGUGGAAGUUGUGGACAAAACUCUGCUAAGUGGAGAGGAAAAACAUUCUGCAGCAAAGGAGCAAUGUCUGUUGUCUAUCUUUAGUUUGGCUCUGGAGUGUACAAUGGAAUCACCGGAAAAGAGGAUUAAUGCAAAAGAUAUUGUUACCGGAUUACUCAAGAUAAGAGACACAUUGAGUAAAAGGAUAGGAAAUUUAAGUUAAUUUCGUUUGCUUCCAUUGAUAGUUAAUCUGAAUUCAUGUAAUAAGUGUAGGAAUGUUAUAUCUUUUCCUUUCAUAUAUUUUUUUUCCUUGAGAAAACUGUUGUAGUCAUCUUGUUUCCAUGGACAGAGUUGAUUUAGUUCUUCCAAGAAAUGCUACUGAUGACAUUUGUUUUAUACUUUCUCUUUUUUUGCAUGCGUUUAGGUAGAAUAGUGGUCUAGCUGCAGGCUAAUAAGUCAAGCUAUGCCAAAAGCGUAUGAUUUAAUUUAUUAAACAUAACUUCAAGUUCAAGAAGUGUUUCUCAUUGCCACCAAUGCUUUGGACACCUGUUGGAAGGUUUGUUGUCCUCAGCUUUUGUUUAGAGCAAAAGUUCGAGUCCCAUAAAGGCUCAAACAUUCCUUUCCUUCUGUCCCAAGGGCGCCUUCUGUCCUCUGUUUUCUGUUUCCACACACAAAUAGCCAAAAGAAUUUAGAAUGACAACUGGGACAUAUAUAAGAGUGAAAUAAUUAAAAAAAUAAUGCUUUCUUGUUUGUCGUGUUAAAAUCGUAAGUACCGAAGUACUGUGAAAGAGAUUGAUUUACAGAAACUGAAGCCAAGGGUUCAAAAAAAAAGUGCAAAGAGAAUAAUUGUAUUGGUAGCACAAUGUCAUAUUCAUACAGAGAUCAAGUAUAUUAUUUACGGCUGGUAAGGACUAAGAAUUGAUGUAGCUAGAAUGCGAAGAUGAUAAGGUAUGUUGUGCACUAUUGUUUUAUUCUACAAUCAAUCUUGACCCUUGAUGCUUGGCUCUCAAUCUUGUCCAUUGAUCUUCUCUGAUUUGGGAGACUUGAAGACCUUUCAGUAUCCUGCCUUGUUGUUGGUAUCUUCCAUGCUGUAGAACCGCCGACUUGCCAAGUAUUUGUUCAUUGAUGCAUUUUAUGAAACAGUUGGCCUGCUCAUAGCAAACAGCUCCUGUGUUAACUCCCCCUCCAUAGCUCAACUAUCUGGGAAGACAAUUAAUUGAGCUUGUUUCACAAUUAUAUGAAUCUGAAAGUUCAAUUUUAAAAAUUACAUUCGGACUCUACAUUUUCUAAUGAACAUUGGUUUGGCUUAUAAGCUUAAUAUGCUUAGGCUUAGGCUUGGUAAGAUUAUCGGUCGGUAGAUGAACAAGUUUUAGAGCUUUCGAAUUCAUGCCAAUUAAUUUUCAACUAGGCUAUUACCACAAUAAACAUUUAGAAAUCUAAAUUUGUUCAUUAUAUAUUCUGAUCAGCACUUGAACAUCCAUGCAGACUCCUAUUAAUUAUAUCCUCUAAUGGAGAGAACUCAUUGCCUCAGAAUGAUCACUGUGUCAUCAACCCACUGCCCGCUUCUUUGCUUGGUUGUUGCAGCAAGCAACAAUAUUACCACAGAUCAACAAUAGUUUGUCCAUUUGUUUCAGUGAGGUCGUCAUUAAAAAUUAAUUUUCAUAUUGAUUUUCUUAAUUAUAAAUAAUACUAAUGAUAUUUCAUAGUUAUAAAUAUAUUAGAAUUAAUCGAAAUCAUUUUUUUAGUGCGGCAUGGCUAAAACUACCUUUUUUUUUUAUAAGUAAUUACUACUUUAAGGAAAAUACUUCUAUUUUCAGGGAAAAGUCAAGUACCCGUAGUUGUGAAGACUCGAGCUCACCCUCUUAUGAUAAAUCUUCAUAUCAAUUACAUAAAUAUCCUCUAAAUUUUUAGUUAACUAUUCAAAAUUCGAUGUUAUACGGGUAUUUCAUUUAUUUGAGUAGGGGUUAGGGGUCAAUUGGAUACAAAUUCAAAAUUAUCCUUACUUGAGAAGGUGAUAAAAAUUGGGGAUUUAGUUUGGAUGUCAUUAGCUACAAAUAUUAAACUCAUACAUCUAAUUCAAAAUUAGAGGGCUGAUAUAUGUGCAUCCUCAUGCACAUGAUAGUGACACGUGUCACCAUCCUACAACCUAUCCAAUGAAAAAUUGACAUGCAUCUUGUGCGCUUCUGAUCAAAAUCCUGAAAAUUAAUCACAAAGUUAUGCUUUUAUUAUAAAAAGAAUAAAGAAACUCCAAGAAAAAAAAAAGACUUACAUAAAUACUUUGAAUAAUCUAGAUUCCAAGUUGUCUAUAUUAGCUUGAUCUUUUUAUAAAUAGUCAUCUUCGAAAAAAAAUUCCACCAACAUAUAUUUUAAUUUUAUGUUAAUUAAUAAAUAGAAAAAAAUCAUUUUAGAAUUAAUUAAAACAUUAUUUAUUGUUGCUCAAAAAAGGUAGAACUUAGUGAUCAGAAAAAAGUGUCUAAAAUAUAUGUUAAAAAAAAAUCAUGGUUGAUUGGACUGAUUGAAUUUUUUUUCUUUUUCUUUUUUAAGAAUUAAGACAAUUGGAUGGAUUGAGUAAUAAUAAUACAUAUUUAUUUGGCAAAUGGCAGGGAGGCUUUCGUCUAAUGCAGAUUGAUUAGAGAGAAUAUAUAACAAUUUUAAGCUCAUCAGAUUCGGAAGCUGCUUAUCUGUCGUGUGGGGAUCACUUCCGUGUCUUAUUUUUCUAGAAGAAUCUGGACCAUUGGAUUUAACAUUAGAUAAAUGUUUGAUCUUGAUUCUUGAUUAAGAUCGAAGUUUGAUUCUAACCAACAUGAUGUCAGAUUCAGAUUGCGAAGCAAUCAAAUUGAAAGUAACUUGUUCUAUUUUGAUAAACACAAGUUCUAAUAAAAAAAUUCUAAGUGUAUAUAUAUAUAUAUAUAUAUAUAUAUAUAUAUUUUUUUUUUUUUUGUGUUCAAUUUAUCUAGUCAAAUCUAUUUUUAAAUAUUUUAUUAACAAUGAUAUGAAAAUAUUCGAACCCCUUCUCAUUGUAAAGUGAAUUACUAUCCAACUACACCAAAUAAUGUUUUCAAAUUGUAAACUGCAAAUCGUGUGUUUGCUCCAUUACAGCGUUUCUUCAAUUUAAAAAAGAGAAUCAUUUGCGUUCUAGAUUAAUCGUGGGUCUAUAUCCAAAUCUAAAAAUUGACUAACUUGAUUUCUAUUAAAUUCUUAAUCCUAACAAGAAAAAUUGAAGAUUAAAAAUGACUAAUUUGGUACCAUACCACUAUUGUAACAUAGAUGGAUCCUCUAUUAAUUGGAGCAAAGAUUGAAUUAUCUCAUUUAUUAAGGCUUAUCAAAUAGAUGAAUGGAUGUUAUUUUUGGAUUCCGGAGAGUCGAAAAUAUUAGGAUAGGUGCUAAAUCGAAUUAAGUUGUAGAUAAGAUAGAAAUGGAUUUGGAGAGAUUGGAAUCCUAGGUAAUCCAGUGCACGUUGUCGUGUUAAAUUCUCGUUGACUUCACGUUGACUGAAGCAUUAUUGGAAGAAACAAGUUUAUUGAUGUGAGGCCCUAGAGAUUGUAAGUGUUAAAUCUGAGAAGAAUACCCACACACCCAUUAUCCUAUUACUCUUAUAUCACAUGAAGAGAAUUCAACAUUUGAUUCACACGGAAAAGAUUUGUGAGGAUUGUGAGGGUUGAUGGAAUAUAAUUUAGAUACAAAGUGUUUACCAGUGCGAUGCUUCGCAAGUGUUCUUGAAUCAAUAUAAACUCACAUUAUUUUCAUAGUGAUUGUUUCAUCUGCACGUGGAUAUAAUCACAUGUCGAGAUUUUUUUCCUUAAAUUAUGGUCUUAUUUAGUACUGAGAUGUUAUAUCUUUUAAGGUACAAUUAUUGUUGGAAAAAAGUUGCAACUAUCAAAUAAAAUUAAUACUAUGUGCUAAAUAUAAUUGUUAAAUAAUAAUUUUGACAAAAUUAGUAAAGUUAUAUAGAUUUUCUUUUAUCAUCUAAGUAUAAAAUCAAAUCAACUUAACUUCUAAGUUAUAUAUCGGCUACUGUUUAUCAUAUGUUUUAGUUCUGUAACUUUUAAAUUAUAGUUACCCAACCUCAAUUCUAAACAAGACCUAUAUAGAUCAAAGAUUUCCUCAUUAAAUUAUAUGUCUUGUGAUUGCUUAUUUAAUUUAUAUUUUUGUUAUUUAUCUUUAUUAAUUAUAAUAAUCUUUUUAUAAAUUAAAAUUGAAGGAAGUUGAUUGAUGUUGUUGACACACACACACACCCACACGCACACACUCACAAAGAUAUAUUGCAAGUGCUUACGUCGACUCGAAGUUGUUGGGAAUUAAUGCAUGUAUUGAUUUAUUGGGAGUGUUUAAAUGAUUUUGUGAUUUACUUGAUUUAUUGAUUGAAUAUUGUUUGAUUGCUUCAUAUCCAUUCUAGAAAGUUUAUUUCUUUGUGAAAUUUCAACGAAAUAUGUUUUUUUUUUUUAAAUAAGGGUGUUCUAAAUAAUUUUAAAAAAUAUAUGGACUAAUUAGAAUUAAUUAUUAGGUAAUUAACUCAAUCUGUACAGGGUGAAACAACAUUUAUCCUAAUUAUAUCAUGAUAAAUACUUUUCCGAUUAGAAUUAUGAAAUCAUAGGUUUAUUGAAUUGUUUUUUUUUAAUUUUCCUUUGCGGAAACAGAUUAGAGAAUUAGAAAACAAUCAUGUUGAUGUCCAAAUCUAAUCUAGGCGGUUAGCGACUUAAUAUCAUAUAGCUGCACCAGCAUUAAAUUUAUUUGGUGGAGAAUCGGCUAGUCAAUUGUCAAGAUGUCCUGCAAUCACUAGCGAUUAACCUAUGAAUACCUGAAAUCACAGAAGACGGUAAGUGGCACCAGAAGUUUUUUCGACGUGAACCUUCCAACACUCAAGUCAGUUUAUAGGUUUACCAUAAUAAAAAUAAAUAAUUUCUAUUUAAAACAAAAAAUAGAGUUCAAAAGCUCAAAAAUAAAACCCAAUCCCAAUAUGAAAAUGAAUAUCUUUUUUUUUAGCUUGGCCGAAUCCUUCUGCCUUCUAAAGAAACAUAAUAGAGAAGCCGGUAGCCAUGUUCCCUAGGUAACGCCCCACUCCCCUCUUUUAUUCCUCCCCCUCUCUUCCGUUUCCUUCUUUUGCUCACUAUCCUUUAUAAUUUUUUAUGCUUGUCUUCCCAAAAUAGCCUUUGAAUACACAAGUAAAUGUCUAGGCUUUGGUGAGGAUAGUUUGGUCAUUGCAUUUUACAAGUAAGAUGAGUGGUGGAGAAAAAUGAGUGCACAUAACUCUUCAGCAAAUCCCACCAACAAUUCCAUUUUCUUAAUUAAUUAAUCUCCUUUUCUAUCCCCAAACAAAUCCUAAUGAUACUAUUAUCAGGUUUAAAAUAGUACUGCGAUUGAAAAAAACAAAGUUGCAAUAAACUCUUCAUUUGUUCAUUGUGGAGAUUGAAUGGCAAACAGAGAAUAAAAUGAAGCAGAGGAAUCUCAUUGCCAGUAAAAUUGACCCUCUUUAAUGUUAUAUGGCACAGGUGUGUGUACAGCAAGAGCAAGUUACUUGUAGUUUUUAUUGUAAAAUAUACAUGUUAUGUCCAUGAUCAUUGUAGUUAGGUUUUGAUGAUUUUAGAUGCUUUUUUAUUUUUUUUAAAUUGUGACACCUUUGAUUUAUGGUAGUUUUGCAGAAGAAAAAAAUAUAUAUAAAAAUUAAGAGGGAUGAGUUAACUAACGAUUGCAAUCAUUACAGUAAUGUUGAUGAGUGAUACAUCAUUUGAAAUUUACUUGUCAGUUGCUGAAAUGAUAAAAAAAACAAUAAACAAUAGUAGUAAUAUUUUUAUGGAAAUUCUUGGUUUUUAUGGAAAUACUCUUGCUGAAAUUAUAAUUUUGACUUUCAACUCUUGGUUUUUAUGGAAAGUAAAAUGACUAGUUUGUUAUAUUCAUACAAUCCGCUCUACCUAAUGAUUUCAUUUUAAUAAAUGCUUGAUGAUCUCCAUUGAAAAACUACUUCAAUUCUUUUGUUUUAUUUAACUUUUUGGUUGUUGAAAAUAGCCUUAAUUUUCAAAUAACUGGAGAAAGAGUAAAGAACAUUUAACAAAUUUAUGUGCCAAAAAUAAAGGAGAAAUUGAAGAGAAAGGGUGCUUGCAGAAGUGGGUGCAAAGAUAAAUCAGUCUAUAAGAAUUAUUGUGGUUAUUAGUUUUUUGGCAAUAUAAAAAUUUUUCAGCAAAUAAAAAUUAAUUUUUUCCGAUUUACUAAAAAAUUAAUUAAAAACUUCGGCGAUAGCAUUUUUUAUGGGUGCAUGUGCCCUCCCUUUAAAAAAAUAUAAUAAUUAAUACUUAAUAUAGUAUUAAAUACGAAAAUAUCAAUAUUUGACUACACAAAUUUGUGUCAUUAGGUCCUUAAAAUUUAAAAUUGAAGACACAAAAUGAAAUAUAUAUAUAUAUAAAUUUCAUUCUCAUAGGAAAGGAUCCUCUUAUAAUCUUAAAAUAUUUGAGCUUUGAAAGAUUUUUUAAAACAAAUGUACUUUUAUUUUUGUACAAUCAAUAUUUACUUAUUUAUUAUAUUUUUAUUCAUUAACUAUCAAUCAUAUAAGUAUAUUUAGUUAGAAAAAUUGUAUCAAGAGAGAAUCCUAAUUUCACGCAAACAAAAAUACAAGACAAAUAUGUCAAUUUCUAUACUAUUCACUUUCCUGUAGAAUCAAUUAUCUAAAAUGCAAGUUUGUGGCUAUAGAAAACUCGCCAAAGAAAGAAGAUAAUAACAAUUGAGCAUUGAUAGCAAAACUAAUGUAUCCAAUUCUUCUUGACUUGAUGAGAUGACGCCAUGAUGUAAACACAAGUACCUAAAUUGACCGGCACUGAGUGAUGUGAAUACUACGAACCGGUUCAUCUCUUCCAGUCUUGCUUAGUUACAAUCACAAACACCAUGAGAUCGACAUUUGCAUUAUAUGUUAGGAAAUUGGUGGGUGAAGCAGGACUACAGCUAAAAUAAAAUUGGAAGGAAAAUAAAGAACAAGCACAAAAGAGAAUACCAGAAAUUACGUGGUUCGGCUUUUAGCUUACGUCCACGGGUGAAGACAGAAGGAAAAUAUUAUACUAGUGAAAAGGAGUUACAAGUAUUAUAGUAUUUUAACUCACUACCCAAAACCCCAAUACACCCAAACUCUCACUCACUAGACUCACAAGAGCUUUAUAAUUUUAGGCUCUUAAAAUCUCUCAAGCUCUCUCUCCUUCUUAUUCUCUCACAAAUUGAAUGCUUUAGCUCUUCAUCUGCACUUCUAUCUAUAGCAAAAUAGUGGCCAAGAAAAUCAACGAUUUUAGCCCACUAAUUAUGGCUUCAAUUUCGUCAAUCCGCGUGUAUGAAUUUUGUGGGCUAUGUCCUCCAUUUUCUUUGAUUUGCUGGCACCAAAGUCAAGCACCAAAUUUGGUGCUGACUUUUAAGUGCUUGCUUUGACAUUAUAUAUAUCUUCAGCAAUCGAAACACCUUGCAUUACCAAAUAAACCAGUAACAAACAUAGCAAUCUUUCAUGGAGAGAAACCUUAGUCUCAGUAUGAUCACUGUGUCAUUAACCCACUGCCUGCUUCUUUGCUUGGUUGUUGCAACAGCAGCAGCAGCAAGCAGCAAUGUUACCACAGACCAACAAGCUCUUCUUGCCCUGAAAGAUCAUAUAAUUUAUGAUCCGACCAUGGACAGAGUUGAUUUAGUUCUUCCAAGAAAUGCUACUGAUGACAUUUGUUUUAUUCUUUCUCUUUUUCUUUUUUUGCAUGUGUUUAGGUAGAACAGUGGUUUGGCUGCAGGCUAAGAAUUCUAACUACACUACAAGAAUACCUUUCCAACAUCUACUGGUAGGUUUGUACGUGUCCUCAACUUUUUUUCGGGGCACAAAAUUCGAGUCCCAUGGAGACUCAAACAUUCCUUUCCCACAUCUCGAGCACGCUAAAUUUAUCAGACUGACAACUGGGACAUAUACAAGAGUGAAAUGUUUAGAGCACGCUAAGUUCGAGUGAAAGAGAUUAAUUUACGGAAACUAAAGCCAAGAGAAUAAAGGACAACACUUAUGUGAAGCGACAUAAUUGUAUUGAUAGCACAAUGUCAAAUUCAUACAGAGAUCUAGUAUACUAUUUACAGCUGGUAAGGGCUAAGAAUUAAUGCAGCUAUAAUACAAAGACGAUAAGGUAUGUUGUGCACUAUUGUUUUUAUUCUACAAUCAAUCUUGACCCUUGAUGCUUGGCUCUCAAUCUUGUCCAUUGAUCUUCUCUGAUUUUGGAGACUUCAAGACCUUUCAGCAUCGUGCCUUGUUAUUGGUGUCUUCCGUGCUGUAGAAUUCAUAUACAAGCUUUCCCGCCGCCGACUUGCCAAGUAUUCGUUCAUUGAUGCAUUUUUAUCAAACAGCUGGGCUACUUAUGCCAAACACCGCCUGGUUUAACUCCCCCUCUCUAGCUCAACUAUCUGGGAAGACAAUUAAUUGAGAUAUGAAUCAGAAAACUAAAUUUUAAAAAUUGUAUUCGGACUCUACAUUUUGUAAUGAACAUUGGUUUGAAUUGUUAUACAUUUAUGCGUACAUAAUUAAUAACCGAUUCUCAAGUGCGGACCAAAUAUUUUGAUUUACUAUUUUUUGUCUUUCAA